RNAcentral lists this long non-coding RNA (194079 nucleotides) under Fragaria vesca (wild strawberry). RNAcentral describes it as "long non-coding RNA (FVES_LNC001522)". The record is from RNAcentral. Lineage: Eukaryota; Viridiplantae; Streptophyta; Magnoliopsida; Rosales; Rosaceae.
AUGUCUAUGUUUCAAGUUUGAAGGAAAGUGCUUAAGACCUGGAAUCCUAACAACAAAUCUUAGCAACAACUGCUGUAUAAACUUGAUUGUCUACAUAUGAGAAUUGACUUGGCUAACAAAGAAUGCAAUUCAAACUUAACCAAAACCAAGAAAUCAGAAAUCAGCAAUUCUACUUACCAUCAAAUUCAAAUCCAAAACUAAUUCUUAAUAGCAACUAAUCAAAACAGGCAAACAAUGAAACUAAAAUCCUGAAGUGAUAACAACUUCUGAUUAAAAGUAUACACUUACUUUGAAUAACACAAACAAUAGACUAGAACAUAAAAAGAAUCAAACCUGAGUUCUUUUACCAGUUGCCUACAACAUGAAUUUCUUCUCUCUCUCUCUCUCUCUCUCUCUCUCUCUCUCUCUCUCUCUAAUAGUAAACUCAAAGAAAACCAUAUGAAAAACUCAGAAUGCUCGACCUACUUAUACAGUCUGGAAAAUGGAUAGAACUUAGCGUCCAAGACAAGAGCAAAGGAAGCGUUCAAUUGAAAUCUUACCCAUUUAGGUACUAGACUAGACCCCUAGUGUAAUAUCCCACAUCGGCCAAACGGAGAGGGGUUAUGUGCUGUAUAUGUACAUGCCCACCUCCAAUCUAACACGAGGCCUUUUGGUGGCUCAGCGGCUUCGGAGAGGAUGGGUACUCCGAGGUUAAGCAUGUUGAUGCUAGAGCAAUCCCAGGAUGGGUGACCUACUGGGAAGCUGCUCCUGAGCUGCCGGAAACAAAACCGUGAGGGCCGGGGGCCCAAAGCGGACAAUAUCGUGUUACGGCGGAGCGGGUCCCGGGAUGUGAAUAAUGGUAUCAGAGCCACUCUGCCGUGUGGUGCGAGUGUGCCGACGAAGGCGUCGGACUCCCAAGGGGGGUGGAUUGUAAUAUCCCACAUCGGCCAAACGGAGAGGGGUUAUGUGCUGUAUAUGUACAUGCCCACCUCCAAUCUAACACGAGGUCUUUUGGUGGCUCAGCGGCUUCGGAGGGGAUGGGUACUCCGAGGUUAAGCAUGUUGAUGCUAGAGCAAUCCCAGGAUGGGUGACCUACUGGGAAGCUGCUCCUGAGCUGCCGGAAACAAAACCGUGAGGGCCGGGGGCCCAAAGCGGACAAUAUUGUGUUACGGCGGAGCGGGUCCCGGGAUGUAACACCUAGGGUUCUAGCUCCUACUAUAUAGCUUCAAGGAGUCAUUGACAAAUCCCUAGGAAUUUGACACCUCUUGCUUGUUCAUGGUGGUAGCCGUGAAAUUGGACUUUUCUAAGGUUGCAAGGUUUCAGAUUGAGAAACAUCUGGUCGGGAGGAAGAAGAAGAAGUCGGUCAAGGAGAAGAAGGCGGUGAAGAAGAAGCAGAAGGCGGAGGAGAAGAAGAAGACGACGUUGUUCUGUUAUUCUACGACAACAAGCUUUCUUUCUUUUUUUUUCUUUUCCUAAAAGUUGUUUGGGCUCAGGUUUGGGUUAAGCUAUAUUGGGUUUACUAUUGGGUUAAAGUUUGGGCUUUAAAACUAAAAACAAAUAAACCAAAUAAGAUGAAAUAAAAAAUGGGAUUCCAUAAAACAUAUCUAAAAACAACUAAAUCAAUUUCAGCAAAAAUACUAAAUACUAACAAUUUAGAGUAAAAGAAUAUAAGUAUACUAGUUUAGGUAUUUAAAAUUUUGAGUCGUCACAAAGCGAUUAUAGGUUGAGGAAGGAAUCGUCUUGGCUUUUAGGUUCUCUAGCCUUUGUUGCAAGACUUUUGGCGUUUUCACCGAUGUUACUUCUCUCUUUUUAUGUGAUUUUUUGUAUAAAUUUGGGAGAAGUGCUAAAAGUAGUAGAAGAGCAAAAUCCAAAUUGCAUGAAAUUUAAAGAGCGGAAAGUAAUUUGCAGGAUGUAAAGAAAACAAUAAAAAGAAGAAGAAAACUACGCUAGAGAAAGAAUGAAAAGAUCAAUAUUGUACAGAAUUUGGUGUUUGUAUGAAUUUGUAUAGAGUUGAGUUGUGUUAGUCGGGAACCAUUUAUAAUAAGGUUGAGGUUCGAAUAUAUACAAUUACAAACGCAUACUUAAGGAAAGAGAAUACAAUUAAAUAUUUGAAUUUCGGUUUUAAUGAUUGGAAUAAAAUUUACACUUCAUAUUGCUCAUUCCUUAAUCACACCAUAUUUACUUUCUUCUUGAGGCACUAUUAGAAUCGAUUUGCUCUUGAUUUACUCUUGAUUGUUUCCAAUUAACCAUAAUGUUAAUUUGUUGUCAUAUAUCGCCGUUGCUUCAAUAUUUAGUACGUAUUAGUGUUAAUACCAAAUAAUGAAUCUCGGCAAAUCUCAAUAAUAAUGAUGAUAAUUAUACGAAAUAAUUGUGAUAAUUAUCAUUAAAUGUUGUAAUCUUCCUCGCAACCAACGAAUUUGGCCUAGUAGAUUGACGUGUAAAAAAUAGGUACAAACAAGACCUGGCGGACCCACAUUUUAUGUUGGGUCUAGCUGGCAUGCCUGGGUCAGGAAUUGGGUCAAAAUCCUAGCCUUUUUCUUGUGUUGGGUUAGUAAAUGUCAAAACGAAACAUGUCAACAUACCACUGGUAGAAACGAGUUUUUAUGAAACUGUGGUCACCACCUCAACAUUCUUACGUGGAGACCGGCCAAUUACUAACUGCUAAACUUGCUCUUAUAGCUGAAAAUUAUUCAGCGUACCCGACAUCUUCACCGUCCGUUUGAGCACGUGGACUUGGGCCAUUAGUUGGGCGUUUGCGGUCUGUUAGGUAGGCGGGUGAUGGGGCUAGGGUAAGUAAGUGGAUGUGGAUCUUUAUGGUUUCGCCCAUCAUCGACGACGAAAGCAAUCCCUUAUCUCGUCAUGCUUAGAGUCCAGAAGACGGCUCGUUGUGUUCCAAUUCUGAAAGACGAAGAUAUGACUCUGUAGCCUUCGAUUGGAAUCUCAAGGACCGAAUCCUGAACGUGUGGAGAUCGGCGUCUGAAAGGGUUAGGAACUUAGGAUGAGCCUAUGACGAAAUUAAGGGUCAGCAUGCUUUCUUCGAUGUGUAGUUAUGCACUACUAAUUAACUUCUCAUUCGUUUGAUUUGUUUUAAGAUUAUUUUUACUGGUCUUUAAAUGUAGGGAUGCUACUUCAUGUACAGUUCAUUUCUCUGCUUUUGGAGUUUGCUUUGAAUAUUGAGUGGUAAUUGGUGAUGGAUCCUGGUUCAAAUUUUAUCAUUUCAUCGAUUAAAGCUGAAGCUAACCUCCCUAAUGCGGAUUUUAUUAUUUGAUGCUCAAGCAGCCCCUUCUUAGCUUGUUUGUUGUUGUUUUGUUUCAUCUAUUGUAAUCUCCAGCCAUCUUUUGGCUUCUGCAAUAGAAGUUCUUUAGUUUAACCAAAAAAAAAAAAAAAAAAAAAGCUGAAGCUAAAGCCUCCCUGUUUAAAAGGAUUGGUUUUCCAUAAGGGUCCAGUUAUUUGCAAAUUGGAAGGAGCCCAGAAAUCAAUAAUGAAAUUUAGUAGAGCUUUUGCUUCAUUUUGUUUUGCAAGUAUUCACUGUCUAAUAUUAUCUAUUGUCGCUGCUUAUGGAAAGUUAAAUUGGUAUUGUUGUAUCUUGUUAGCAUAAAUGGAUAUACAUAAAUAACAUAAUGGAUAUUCUGUCGAUUGCUUUUUGGUUAUUGAAAGUUCUAUUGUUUCUGUAGUGUUCAACUACAAGAAUCUUGUUUAUAUAAAAUAGUUCAGAAGCAAAAAGUCAGUGUGAUCUCUGUUUACCUCUUGAUUUCUUUCGAGGGUCUUAAAAUUGGGAAGCGUUGGACUACGUCGAAGUAAUGUACGCCACUGUUGUCCCAAGACACGUGGUCGACAACUAUCCGCAGUUCCGCACAGAUGAGUUCAAUGGACAACUAUCCGCAGUUCUGCACAGUGAUUCGACUCUUUUCUACGUUUUGGAUUCCAGAUCCAGACUAUUACAAUCUUUGUUCUUCGUUGAGACGAAGGCAAUGUGUUCUGCUCACAAAAAUUAGGAACGUGUAUCUAGCUGUGCUAAUAAUUACAAGACCAGACCCCAUACCAGUUCCAAUCCCAAACACAAAACCAAAACACCAACUAUGAAUUAAAGCACGAAAGAGAAGGAAAGGAACGAAAUUGGUGAUGGAAGUGGUGUCCAAUAUGGAGUCGACGAAGCCGGCAUAGACCAUGUUCUCAUUAAUUUCAGUUUUGGUUUCUUCCUGAGCUAUGUUCAGCAAUUCAUUUGAGAGAAGAGAGGAGAGAGAAAGAUGGCAUGACGAGACUUUGAGAAGAAAAGGAGAGAUGAAAUAAAAUAUCACAUUAAAGAAUGUAAGAGAAAUCUUGGCCCAUUUAGAUUCAAUGGCCCAGAUCUGUUUUCAAAUCUCUGUUUUGUCUUUCAGUCUCACAGAAAAAUAAAUUACUUACCGUUACCACAUGGUUACAAUACUUUCCUUCUGUACCAGAAACAGUGAAAUGUACACGUACUUUGGCGUUUUCUAUUUUACUGAUAAUUUAGGGUUUCUGAUUCUCUGAGUAUUGAUCUGAUGUGGGAUAUUGAGUGGUAUAGUUUAUGUGUAGUUCACGUCUCUGCAUUUGGAGUUUGCUUUGAAUAUUGAGUGUUAGUUGACGGUUCAAGACUAGCUUCUUUGGUUUAUCUUGUGCAACUGGAAAAUUCAAGGGCAACAAUUGACUCAACGUAUGAGCAGAAGCCCUAAUUAGUUCAUGGAUAUAAUUAAGUAGUCAUCUAUCUAUCAAUAAUGAGACUUAUUUAAGGGAGUGCGGCUGUUGGGACCUCCUAAUUUGCUCACUAGAUCUUAUUCUAUUUUGAAUUAUUAAAUGACAUAUACAUCCUCAUACACAAUGACUAUUAAUGACAAUAGUUAUAUAAAAGGAAAUAUUAUAUUUAUUUUCUUUAGACUUUCCAAUUUAAUAAUAAUUGAUUCUAUUCUUUAUUAUUUUCUUUGUAUAUUUUUGUUUUCCAAUUUCUUUUUAUUAAAGCAUAUAUAUAGUUUAUAAGAGCUAAAAAAUAAUCAAUAUCAAUCAUGUGACAUACAAUUUUGUAUUAUCAUACAUGUUGAACGCAUAUAUUUGCAAGAUGCGUGCAUAAAUAUUUUUGUAAAAAUAAUAAUUUAAUAUCUAUCAAUUAUAGAAAAUAUAUAUUUAUUGAAAUAAUUUAUUAUGAGUUACAAAAUAGAGAUCAAAUUAUUCAAAAGAAAAAACAUGGAGAAAAAGAGAAAUUUUAAAUACACACCCCUAAUUUCUUAAUACACACCCCUUACUUAAUACACUACCAAUUUAGUUUUUCAUUUCAAUAUUAUACUAAAUACACAUCCCAAACUGCCUAAAAUACCNNNNNNNNNNNNNNNNNNNNCAAAUCUCCAAUAUAACAUCAAUCGGCUAGAAUUUGAAGAAAAAAAAUAUUGAACAUACAUAAUUUUUUUCAAAGUUAAGAAACUAGUAAAAGUACAAUAGCAUAAAAACUAGUUUUUAGUCUGCAAGAUAAAAAUUAAAGUUGAUAAAAAAAAAAACCAAAUGAAUCGGUAAAUAGUACAUGUGAUUACGACAGUAAUCGAAAUUCCAAGUGAUGAAAUUUAGAGAAGAGAUUUUUAUUUCUUUUCUUUUGAUGCGUAGUAAUAGUGGAGAAGAGUUAAGUUUUAAGGAAGAGAAAGUUUUUUUUCCCCCCUAAUAAUUGAUGGAUGUUUUUGUAAUUAAACAUACCUAUAAAAUCUGGUAUGAAAUAUAAAAUAUCAGAGAUGUGUAUUAAGAGAUUAGAGGUGUGUAUUUAAAAUUUCUCGGAGAAAAAAUAACACGUACAAAAGAGAAAACAAUUAAAAAGAGAUAUAGAGUAGUUCAUGAUAGAACAUUUUCUUGUAUGAAAAAAAAUCAAAAAAUGAAGGUAGGGAUAAUAGAGAUGUUGACAAACAAAAAGGAAAAAAAGAAAAAAAGAAUGAGAGGUCUAUUGAUUGAAUAAGAGAUAAUUAAUUGAUUGAAAUAUACGUCAAUAAAUAACUAAGGUUAUGUUAGAAAUUUGAAAUGAGGUCUAGUAAGCAAAGACUUAUAUUAAAAAGUAAAAAGGAGGUGUAAAGAGAAUGAGAGGCAUAACGAGUAAAUUUGGAGGUCUCAAUAGCCACACUCUAUUUAAGGGUGCUGAAAUUUACACACCCAUUUUUACAUUCUACACACCCAUUGUAAUUUUUUAAUAUUUUUUCAUCAAUCCACAAAUUUCUAUUCCAAAACUACCCCUCCCUUUCCAUCUUUCUUUUACUAUGUGAAACCCUUUCUAUGUCUUUCUCUUUCUCCUCCCAGUCCAUCUGCAACCAAAUUCUAACACAGAUGGCCAAUCACAAUUCACAAGAAAUAUUUUCUCUCACAUCACAAGAUCCUCACUCUUUCGCACCCACCACCGUUCGACGACCCUGAUCUGAGGACCUCAACUCGCUGCUCAACCCGAGGCCCGAGAAUCCGAUUCUGUCCAAUCAUUGGCUUCUUUCGCCUCAAUGACGCCGGCAAGGGGAUAAGCAGCCCCACCGAAGAGGAUUAGGUCGAGGUCCAAAUUGAAUUCUUACCCACCUGGAAUUUUGUUACUUGAUUUUCCAGUUAAUUCUCCGUAGCUCCAUCCCGGCAUUCUUGGUUUCGAAUUGGCGGCGUUGGCUCGGUCUCAACGUCGUCAUAGCAGGCUUGUGGGAUGUGUGGGAUUUACAAGUAGGUGGAGGGAGGGGAAAGAGGAGUGAGAGAGUGAGGAGGAGAGAGAAGUGCGUGAGGGAACUAAGAAUGAUGAUUUUAGUCGUUAUGAUCAAGAAUCGAGAAUAAAGGAUUGUAAUAAAAAAAGAAGUGAGAAUAAGGAUGAUAUAUAGAUAUGGAUAUGCCUAUGAAUAGUGAUAGAGUCUGCUUACAACAAUGUUUUAUUCUCUGCAAAAUCUUUGAGCACAGAGAUUUCUACAGACAAAUAGAUGUACGUAGGUAGAAAAAACGGAAUAAGAGAUCUAGUAAAAGAAUGUGUUGGGCACUUUGACGAGUUAUCUAGUAUCCGGCCAAUCUUGAGGUGUCGUCCAAUGGAGAGACUUCAUCUCAACAACCCAAAAAGUCUCUUUGUCUGUAUUGAUUUUCAUAGAAGACACUGAAGGAAGUGGAUAAAACAGAAACUAGAGGGAAAUGAUGAAACAGGGAGGAGACAAAUAAAGACAAGGGCAAUUUUGUAAAAGUAUCACAAAGAGUGUGUAGAAUGCAAAAAUGGGUGUGUAGAUUUCAGCACCCUUAUUUAACUGUGUUAUAGGACUGUCAGGACAUGCUUGAGAAAGGGAACCAUAUCUGAAGAUAUCCUUUAGAAGUUAGAAGAGCCUUCUCUGGAAUAAAACCAGUGAUUGCAGUAGAAGAUUCUUAUUGUCUGAUUGGAGUUGAUCUUAGCUUUGUUGAAUGUUGAAUGUUGAUGUAACUUGGGUUUUGUUAGAAUGCUGUCGCCUUCUCUGGACAUUGUUUAUGUGUUUUUUUUUUGUUUUGUUUUGUCAAGGAAACUUUUAUGUUGAUGUUUUGAAUUUGAUAUGCAAUGUUGAUGCAUUAACUUUGGUGCUCUAGAGCUGCAAUGAUAUUAAACCCGUAUUUCACUAUUUGAACUUAACAUGUAACCGUAUUUUCCAAACCCGCUCUUUGAUUGGGGUUCAAAUGUUAUCGGAAAUAUAUGAGUUUUCUACCAUACCCAUAUUUUACUAUAUCUAUCACAUCCUACGGAAAAUUUUAUGAAAUUUGAUUUGCAAGAUAUAGUUGUUUCACAAAGAUUUGCACUUGCGUAAAACCUAUGUUGCACGGAAACCGUUUCCGGUACGAUCCGAUACGUGGAAACGUCAAAAUCAAAUAUAGUCUGAUACGAAACGUGAAGGAAACGGCAAAAUUAAAAUAAAUAUAAUAUUUAUUAUAAUAAAUAUAAUUGAAAAAAUAACAUCAAAAAAAUAGUUUCUUAAUAAAAAACAUCAAUCUAAAUGACUAAAUCCAAACAAACAUGCAUAAUCAAAUUACAAUACAAAUAACAAAGAUUCUUCAUCACAUAGUCAAUCCAAAUCCAAACCAAACAAAUGUUUGAGAAAAGAUCCAUAUUCAAAUACUCAAAUUAAAAUACAAAUAAGUCAAAUUAAGCUUCAACAACAUCAUCCUCUUCAAUAUUUUCCUCUUCAAACUCAUCAUCUUCAAACAAGACCGACUCCAAAAAUAGGCUCAUCAAGUGAAAGGUUGGCAAUCUCAAGCCUUCCAACAUUAGAGUCUUCCAAUGAAUCAAAGUCAAUCACCUCCAAUAUCCCACAUAUGAGUUGCACCUUUGUUGUAAGUUGGGCAUUGCCUAGCUAAAAGGCGAAGAUUGGUAUGCACAAAUACCAAAUCUUCCGCUCUAAAAGGUUACUAUUCGGGGUUAUGAGUUACCGCAGACUUUUCUUUAUUCGCGUUCAGAGAUUUAAAUAGCGAUUACUUGAGUUUGUUUUUGAGUUUUUCUGAAAACGGUAAAUAGUAGAUUUAAAACUCCGAAGUCGUAGUACAUGUUUAUACGAGCUCACCGGUAUGCCCGGAUUAUUUUCCGGAGCGACGAGCUAGGUUCUUUGAAUUAUAAAGUUUCCAGGAAAUUUUCAAUUAUUGUUUCUUGUAACCGUUUUACCAUAAAAGACCCAAAAACUUGACUUUUCGUUAAGUCGAUAAUUUGGGAAAACUUCCUGCAUGGAAGUCGUAGAGGACGUUAAUACGAGAUCGUGGACACGUGGCACGCUUAAAUCGGAGUUUGUAUGAGAAAGUUAUGGUCUAAAAACGGGAAGUUACUAUCUCGGUAAAUGAUAUAUAUAUAAAACAGGAAGAGGGAGGUUCUAGAAGGGUCGGUUAAACCGACCUAAGCAACAGAUUAAAAGGAAAAAAGGAAGGUUCGGGAAAGGAGGGAGAAAAUCAGUUCAGACCCAGACCGGGUCAUCCCCGACCCGAACAGAGUCAGCGGGUCAACCCGACUGGUUCUCCGUUUUCCGGCGACGACGAGCAGAAAGAAUGGUAGCGACAGCUUCCUCUCAUUCUCGUGGUCAUGUCCAUGCCAUUGAUUUUCAAAUAAGAAGUCUAGAGUGAGAGAUUCGAAGUGGAGAAGGAGAGGCUGUGUUUGCCGGCGAAUCUCCGAUUCCGGCAGCGGCGACGCCUCUCACUGGUAUGGAUAGCUUCAUCUCGAUCUCAGGAACCUUUCCAUGUUCUUGGUUUUCGAAGAGAAGCUNNNNNNNNNNNNNNNNNNNNNNNNNNNNNNNNNNNNNNNNNNNNNNNNNNNNNNNNNNNNNNNNNNNNNNNNNNNNNNNNNNNNNNNNNNNNNNNNNNNNAUACUAAAUUUCGUCGGCUAUAGUUAUUUUUUAAUUAUUUAUUACACACUUUAGCUGACGAAUAUCUUAAUUGUUUCGUCAGCUAAAGUCUGGGAAAAAAACCGACGACAUGUUUUUCGUCGGCUAACUGUGAGACUAUAGCCGACGAAAAAAAAAUUUCGUCGGCUAAAGUCAUCGCCGACGACUUUUUCCUGACGAAAUCUUAGCCGACGAAUUAAGCUAACAGGCCGACGAAACUUUUUCGUCGGCUAAAGUGCUUGUCCUGGUAGUGUUAUGUUAAUAAGACAACAUUUAUGUGUUGACUGAUAUUGAAUUUUAUUGAAUUGACAACUUUUGUGAAAAUUUUACUUAAUUAUGUUAAUCCGACAACAUUUAUGUGUUGUCUGAUAUUGAAUUUUUAUGAAUUGACAACUUGUGUGAAAAUUUUACUUAAUUAUGUUAAUAAGACAACAUAUAUGUGUUGGCUGAUACUGAAAUUUAGUAAUUUCUGACUUUGAAGGUAAACCCUAGCCUUUUAACUUAGGUGGAUUCCCUCCAAACCAUUUGAUUUUGCAGACAAAUUUUUUUGUUAAUAAGACAACAUUAUGUGUUGGCUGAUACUGAAAAGUGUAAUUUCUUACUUUGGAGGUAAACGAAACCCUAACCUUAAUUUUAACUUAUUAGAUGGAUUCAUUCGAAACCAUUUCAUUUUGCAGACAAAUUUUUAAACCCUAACCUUAAAAUCACCACUUUUUUAAUCUCAGCCGUUGAUCUGUAUCGUAACCCAACUAUCAAUCUGGGCCGUUUGCCUGGAGUAUAAGAUGGAAAAACCCUAUCUCUUCCCUCAUUUUGUCGAGAGAGAAGAGAAAGUAACACGACCCACCCCGAAUUUCACCUUGAAACCCAGAGUAAGUCGUGCGGGGACCACCUCCAAGGAAAAUUUACUGAAAAGAUUAAGAAAAUCUCCCUUGCAGAUGGACAACCCUAACUCGAAAAUUUCAUAUUACACUCUUAAUUUAACGCUUCUGAAUAUCACAUAAUUCUAAAGUAUUCAGAGCUACUAAACACAAGCGGAAGCAAGAAAACACAAGUAGAUUGAACAGGUAACCUACUGAUGAAAACUGGCCGAAAAGCGGGUGACUAUGCCUCGUCUCCUACUAGAUCCAACCCGAACUCUGCAGACUGGGCAAUUUAAAACGAAGGGCCCAGGGGAAAACAUUUAAUAACGUUAGAGUGAGUGGACAAAAAUAAAUUAAUAAAUAAAAUAUUUAUGUUUCCCCAAAUUAAUUUCUAAGGAAAAAUCGAAUGCAUGCUGCAAGCGAUAAAACCUUUAUCCCAUAAAAUAUCGAGCCUCUCAGACUCUAUAAUAUAUGUAUGUAUUUACACUCGUCCAUACUCCCUAUAUAAAUUCAUGGGUCUAUAUAGGGCUACUACGCUCGCGUCCAACGCUCACGUCACGCCUUAAUGCGGUGCUACACUACGCCAUCAAGGUGGACAGACGGGUGUAUAAAUAUGUGUCCAUACCCCCUAUAUGAAUUAAACACUCAUAUAGGGCUACUACGCUUACGUCCAACGCUCACGUCACACCAUAAUGCGGCUAUAUGCUACGCCAUUAAGGUGGNNNNNNNNNNNNNNNNNNNNNNNNNNNNNNNNNNNNNNNNNNNNNNNNNNNNNNNNNNNNNNNNNNNNNNNNNNNNNNNNNNNNNNNNNNNNNNNNNNNNNNNNNNNNNNNNNNNNNNNNNNNNNNNNNNNNNNNNNNNNNNNNNNNNNNNNNNNNNNNNNNNNNNNNNNNNNNNNNNNNNNNNNNNNNNNNNNNNNNNNNNNNNNNNNNNNNNNNNNNNNNNNNNNNNNNNNNNNNNNNNNNNNNNNNNNNNNNNNNNNNNNNNNNNNNNNNNNNNNNNNNNNNNNNNNNNNNNNNNNNNNNNNNNNNNNNNNNNNNNNNNNNNNNNNNNNNNNNNNNNNNNNNNNNNNNNNNNNNNNNNNNNNNNNNNNNNNNNNNNNNNNNNNNNNNNNNNNNNNNNNNNNNNNNNNNNNNNNNNNNNNNNNNNNNNNNNNNNNNNNNNNNNNNNNNNNNNNNNNNNNNNNNNNNNNNNNNNNNNNNNNNNNNNNNNNNNNNNNNNNNNNNNNNNNNNNNNNNNNNNNNNNNNNNNNNNNNNNNNNNNNNNNNNNNNNNNNNNNNNNNNNNNNNNNNNNNNNNNNNNNNNNNNNNNNNNNNNNNNNNNNNNNNNNNNNNNNNNNNNNNNNNNNNNNNNNNNNNNNNNNNNNNNNNNNNNNNNNNNNNNNNNNNNNNNNNNNNNNNNNNNNNNNNNNNNNNNNNNNNNNNNNNNNNNNNNNNNNNNNNNNNNNNNNNNNNNNNNNNNNNNNNNNNNNNNNNNNNNNNNNNNNNNNNNNNNNNNNNNNNNNNNNNNNNNNNNNNNNNNNNNNNNNNNNNNNNNNNNNNNNNNNNNNNNNNNNNNNNNNNNNNNNNNNNNNNNNNNNNNNNNNNNNNNNNNNNNNNNNNNNNNNNNNNNNNNNNNNNNNNNNNNNNNNNNNNNNNNNNNNNNNNNNNNNNNNNNNNNNNNNNNNNNNNNNNNNNNNNNNNNNNNNNNNNNNNNNNNNNNNNNNNNNNNNNNNNNNNNNNNNNNNNNNNNNNNNNNNNNNNNNNNNNNNNNNNNNNNNNNNNNNNNNNNNNNNNNNNNNNNNNNNNNNNNNNNNNNNNNNNNNNNNNNNNNNNNNNNNNNNNNNNNNNNNNNNNNNNNNNNNNNNNNNNNNNNNNNNNNNNNNNNNNNNNNNNNNNNNNNNNNNNNNNNNNNNNNNNNNNNNNNNNNNNNNNNNNNNNNNNNNNNNNNNNNNNNNNNNNNNNNNNNNNNNNNNNNNNNNNNNNNNNNNNNNNNNNNNNNNNNNNNNNNNNNNNNNNNNNNNNNNNNNNNUUUCUCUCUUCCCUCAUUUUGUCGAGAGAGAAGAGAAAGCGCCUGAGAUUGAGCAGCAGAUCCGCCCAGCUGCCACCAUGGAGCGGUCGUCGACAACCACCAGCCGAAUCCCCUCUCUUCGCUCUUCCUCCUCCUACCUUCUAUUUCAGCAUACAUCCACCCAUUUGGCAAAUCGGAAUCCAAACCCUAAAUCCCCAAUUCCAAAUCCGGCUCGAUUCAUCCCUCUCUGGCGAAGUCUUUGCUUCUCUAAGGUAAUCUAUUCUCUCUUUCUUCAAUAUCGAGCUCCUUUGAGCUUCAGUUUGCGUUUUGGAGAUUGAUUGGUUACUGUUUUGGCUAGAGCUGAUGACAGAGAAGGUCUGGUGGUUUGAUGCGUCGUGGCAGAGUAGUUAAACCUACGGUUUGGUUCUGCCUUGGUCAAAUUUGGUAAAGGUUAGGAGGUUUUUGUCCUAGAGCCUUUAAAUUCGUAAUUUUGGUGAUGUUGUAGAUGUUUGAUAGGGUUAUUGGUUUAUUUGAGGAGAAAGGAAGUGCUUGCUGCAUAUGUAUUUCUCUUUGGACAUACAGAAACAAAAUCAGUUAUUGAUUAAAAUGUGUUUGAAUUAUAUAUAGUAAAGUCUUUUAUGUUGUUUGCAUCAGUGGGAGCUUGAAUUUAUCUAAGUGCUUAGUUUUAAAGACGAUUUUUGUAUUUUUGGUUCAUAUGGACGAUGUCAAAUUUAGUGUAGUUACAGUUCAAGAUUUGUGGUUGUUUAUAUUACUGUAGUAAAUGAGAUAUAUCCGGACCCGACAUAUAUGCCAAUAUGCCAAUAUAUGCCUGUGUUCUGGAAUUUGAAAUUUAUGCAGGAUAAGAAGAGUAGGUGCUUCUGCAGUAUUUAUAUAUCUAAUGAUUUGUAUAUGUUUGAGCUAUUAAUUUGUACUAUAAACCUGAUAUUUUUUUUUUUGUAUACUUGCAGGAGCAGUGUAUGGAUCACUGAAGUAUUGCGGUUGUAGGUAGAAGAACAUAAGCGACUUUAUCAUGAACAACUUAAGGUAUGUAUUUUGAAGCUGUGCACCAUUUUUAUGUCUGUAUACGAGUGCAUGUGAACUGUUUAUAUGUUUAAAUCUGUAUUUUGUAUCUCUGUUCAAUAGUUCAAGUACUCUGAAUUAUCUCUGGGGUGGAAUCAAAUAUAAAAUCUGGACUAGAAAGUAGUGUUGUGAUUGAUGAUAGAGUCUGGCACUGCCACUUGAACAAUAGUUUAAUUAGCUCUAUAUAUAGGAUCAUUAGGGCUCCUGUGUGUGUGAUUGACAGAUCAAUGGGGCGGCUAUGAAGUCUGAUCAGAUGCCACUCUUAGCUUUCCCUUGGUUUCUUUUUCACACAAGACGAAGAAUUGGAAACGUUUACUUUGUCUUUCCUAGAUACAUGUCUCACAUAUACAUAUUUUCACAAGGCAACACUUAUGGGUGACCAACACACUGUCUCUCAUUUCAUCCAUCUUCAAUUCUCUAUAGCUAGCACAUGUCAUUCAAAACAUAUACUACUCAUGCUAGGACUAGGAGUACUUGCACUACUAUAUAUUCGAAAUUAAAGCAUUGAGUUCACCCUUCAUAUAUUAGCAUAUCAACCAUGAAUUAUUGAACAAAGUUUUUGUCUACAUUACUGUUUGUUCAUUUUAGUUUGCAGCUACUAUAGAUCAUCUCUUUUACUUACUAAACAUUCUCUUACUUGGUUUAAUUUCUUCUUUAUUUGUUGUUUGCUUAUUACUAAAAAAAAUGUGACUUGGUCAUUUCUUUAGCAGCUUUGGUACCUAAUUCUUCUUUUUCUCGUUUCUAGGUUGCGAGUACUGCUCUGGCAUGGCCUGCAAAUCAAGAUGCUAGAUGAUGUACGUGUAAGUACCUCUCCCUUGUCUUUCUGAAUUGGUAGCUUAGAGCCUUAGCGAUGUUUAUUGCUCAAUGAUAUGUUAAUAAACCCAGGUUGUAUUUCAUUGUAAUGAGUAUACAUCCAUUUGAUUGAACCAAUUAUAUUUUGGGAUUUUUUAGUUUAACUUCUUCCUUUGAGAUAUCUUUGAAUUGGAAAUACUAACUAAGAGAGGAUAUGAACAUUGAUGGAUAUUCUUACUAUGCUCCACACUGCAUAGAUUUACCAAGCAAAGUGAUACAAAUUUUGAUUAUAUAUGUUUGUUCUCUGGUUACAAAAAUGGAUAUGCAGGCAUUACAACAAUGCAUUUUAUGCCAAGGUUGGGGGAGUAAGAAAUGCCGAAUUGAACAGACUAGAAGUGGAAUUCCUUUUCUUGCUGGAUUUUGGAGUCACCAGAGUCUUUGAGAGCUAUUGCUUUCACUUGGAAAAAGAAAUGAUGUUGAAUGGGGCAUGCCAAACAAUUGAAAGGGCUUUAGUACUCCUCAUUACAGAUGUGGCUGAUGUGCCUGAAAUUUCUAAAAACACGCAGAGUUCCUCAUCAGAAUCUAAGAAUCAUGGUUAACUCUAAUUUUCUCCUUCAUAUAUAGCUAGUCAUAUCCUUUAUGCAACAGUAAACUUCUAAUAUGUGUGAUUUCAGCUACAGAGGAUGGUGUUUUUUUAAACCUAAAUUAUCAUGAUGUUUCAAUAUAGCAAUUGUGUAGUUUCAAACAAGCCAUGACUACUAAUAUGUGUGAUUUCAGCUACAGAGGAUACAGAAGAUGGAUACAAACAUAACAAUAUCUGUUGUUUUUACUAAGUUAAGAUACCAUAAAUGUGUGGCUUAAAUUAUCAGGAUAUUUCAAUAUAGCAAUUGUGUAGUUUCAAACAAGCCAUGACUACUAAUGUGUGAUUUCAGCUACAGAGGAUACAAACAUAACAAUAUCUGUUGUCUUUACUAAUUUAAGAUACCAUAAAUGUGUGACCAUAAAACAACAACCGGCAACACAAACAUAACAAUAUCUAUUGUCUUUAUUAAGUUAAGAUACCAGAAAUGUGAGGUCAUAAAGAACAACCAGUAACGUAAGUGGAGAGUUUAAAUCAAAAGAAGGCAUCACUUACAUGUAGCUCAAGCUCAUUCAUACGAUAGACAAAUGUCGCCUGAAAAUGUCGAAAGCUUAAGAGAUGGGUUUCACUUGUGUGCCUUAAGGUAUGGAUACCCAACCAAUUUUGACUUGCUAUAGCAGGUUAAAGCAAACUAACACCGUUAACUCUCCGUUAAGUCUCUCUAUAUCUAUAGUUUUCAUUAGAAAUAUUUACCAUUCAGAUGAGUAAAAUCACACAAAAGUAGACUUUCUGGAAAUCAAAAUGAUUCUUGAGACUGUCUACAACUAUCAUAAGAAACACCUACUAUUGUCAUGAAAAAUAUCACAUAAAAUGUUGCAAGUCGAAAGACACAUUUAACAUAAGACACAUCUACUGUUUUCAUUAGAAAAGUAGACUUUCUACAAAUCAAAAUUAUUCAUGAGAUUGAAUCAAGUAAAAUUUGCAACUCUACAUUUAACAUAAGACACAACUACAUUUUUCAUAAGAAAUGGCUACCAUUAACAUAAGAGAAAUCAAAGAAAACUAGACUUUUUAGAAAUCAAAAUUGUGAUUGAGAUUGAACACACCGAAGGUAAAAGAUGCAAAAUCUACAUUUAACAUAAGACAGAACUACUUUUUUCAUAAGAAAUGUGUACCAUUAACAUAAGAGAAAUCAAAGAAAAGUAGACUUUCUGGAAAUCUAAAUUGAUUGUUCUUGAGAUUGAAGAAAAACCAAGGUAAAAGCUGUAAAAUCUACAUUUAACAUAAGACACCUCUACUAUUUUCAUAAGAAAUGUCUAGCAUUAACAUAAAAGAAAUCAAAGAAAAGUAGAAUUUCUGGAAAUCUAAAUUGUUCUUGAGAUUGAAGCAACCUAAAGUAAAAGUUGCAAAGUCUACAUUUAACAUAAGACACCUCUACUAUUUUCAUAAGAAAUGUUUACCAUUAACAUAAGAGGAAUCAAAGAAAAGUAGACUUUCUGGAAAUAUAAAUUGUUCUUGAAAUUGAAGCAACCCAUGGUAAAAGAUGCAAAGUCUACAUUUAACAUAAGACACCUCUACUAUUUUCAUAAGAAAUGUCUAUCAUUAACAUAAGAGAAAAUAAAAAAAAGUAGACUUUUUGGAAAUCUAAAUUGUUCUUGAGAUUGAAGAAAAACCAAGGUAAAAGAUGCAAAGUCUACAUUUAACAUAAGACACCUCGACUAUUUUCAUAAGAAAUGUCUACCAUUAACAUAAGAGAAAUAAAAGAAAAAUAGACUUUCUGGAAGUCUAAAUUGUUCUUGAGAUUGAAGCAAACCAAGGUAAAAGAUGCAAAGUCUACAUUUAACAUAAGACACCUCUAAUAUUUUCAUAAGAAAUGUCUAUCAUUAACAUAAGAGAAAUCAAAGAAAACUAAUUCAAAGCGGUCAACCCUAAUUCAUAUUCACUUAUCACAUGAAAACUAUCUUACUUAUCACUUUGUGACCUGGUUUGGUGGAUUCUUCAACACAAUAAAGUCUCACAUAGAUAAGAUAUAACCACCCAUGUAAAACUUUGGGGACGUUUACCACCCGAGGAUAGGGCUCUUCUUAGUGAAGCAUAAACGUAAAUAGGGUUGACCGCUUCGAUCGGGGCCCAAACAUUGGUAAAUUAAAGUGAUUUUUCUACCGUAGCCAUAUUUUACUAUACCGAUCACAUCCUAUUUCACAAGAUUUUUGAAAAUUUUGCUUCCUCUAUAUAGUUGGUUCACAAAGUUGUACACUAGCAUAUAACCUACCAAACAAGUUAUACCACAUUAGUAGGUACGUUGUGAUUCCAAUGACUAAAAUUCAGACGCAGUUGUGAAGUGGGUCCCGCCUGUGGUCCGUGACAUUUUUCGGUGAAUUUUUCCGACACUAGAGCUAUUUUCUAUGCAUUUUUAAAGUUUUGAAAUGGUGGAAAAAAAGUAAAACUUUAAUGACAUUGACAGAUUAGUGACUUAGGACGAUGAGGUCGCAACAUGUGGCAAUUAGUGUUGAAUUUUCAGAAAAGGAAUCCCCCGAAAUGGAAACUUACCCUUCCUUUNNNNNNNNNNNNNNNNNNNNNNNNNNNNNNNNNNNNNNNNNNNNNNNNNNNNNNNNNNNNNNNNNNNNNNNNNNNNNNNNNNNNNNNNNNNNNNNNNNNNNNNNNNNNNNNNNNNNNNNNNNNNNNNNNNNNNNNNNNNNNNNNNNNNNNNNNNNNNNNNNNNNNNNNNNNNNNNNNNNNNNNNNNNNNNNNNNNNNNNNNNNNNNNNNNNNNNNNNNNNNNNNNNNNNNNNNNNNNNNNNNNNNNNNNNNNNNNNNNNNNNNNNNNNNNNNNNNNNNNNNNNNNNNNNNNNNNNNNNNNNNNNNNNNNNNNNNNNNNNNNNNNNNNNNNNNNNNNNNNNNNNNNNNNNNNNNNNNNNNNNNNNNNNNNNNNNNNNNNNNNNNNNNNNNNNNNNNNNNNNNNNNNNNNNNNNNNNNNNNNNNNNNNNNNNNNNNNNNNNNNNNNNNNNNNNNNNNNNNNNNNNNNNNNNNNNNNNNNNNNNNNNNNNNNNNNNNNNNNNNNNNNNNNNNNNNNNNNNNNNNNNNNNNNNNNNNNNNNNNNNNNNNNNNNNNNNNNNNNNNNNNNNNNNNNNNNNNNNNNNNNNNNNNNNNNNNNNNNNNNNNNNNNNNNNNNNNNNNNNNNNNNNNNNNNNNNNNNNNNNNNNNNNNNNNNNNNNNNNNNNNNNNNNNNNNNNNNNNNNNNNNNNNNNNNNNNNNNNNNNNNNNNNNNNNNNNNNNNNNNNNNNNNNNNNNNNNNNNNNNNNNNNNNNNNNNNNNNNNNNNNNNNNNNNNNNNNNNNNNNNNNNNNNNNNNNNNNNNNNNNNNNNNNNNNNNNNNNNNNNNNNNNNNNNNNNNNNNNNNNNNNNNNNNNNNNNNNNNNNNNNNNNNNNNNNNNNNNNNNNNNNNNNNNNNNNNNNNNNNNNNNNNNNNNNNNNNNNNNNNNNNNNNNNNNNNNNNNNNNNNNNNNNNNNNNNNNNNNNNNNNNNNNNNNNNNNNNNNNNNNNNNNNNNNNNNNNNNNNNNNNNNNNNNNNNNNNNNNNNNNNNNNNNNNNNNNNNNNNNNNNNNNNNNNNNNNNNNNNNNNNNNNNNNNNNNNNNNNNNNNNNNNNNNNNNNNNNNNNNNNNNNNNNNNNNNNNNNNNNNNNNNGAGAGAGAGAGAGAAACUAACCCCGUUAGUGAGAGAGUGAGAGUUAGUUUGAGAUUUAAAUUGGAUGACUAGUCAAGCAGGUAGCAAGUCAUCAUUAAUCUAGUUGGACCAAUCAUAAGCAACCAUGUGGUUAAGGUAUCCAUACCUUAAGGCACACAAGUAUUUGCCUUAAAAGAUAUCACGUAGUAAAAGCUUAAAACAUAUCGGACGAUAGAUAUCUAUUGUUUUAAAGAGACUAAAUGAAAAAUGAAAAAAUAUACGUUGCCUGAAGAUCAUUCACCUAAUGCAUAUGUGUCGUCGUAUUACGUCUAGACCAGAAACAACAUCAAUAGUAUGUCGUGUGGGUUCAUCCAGCGAUACAUAAAUGUAGCGUGGAAAAGUUUAAAUUCUAAUUGAUCAAGUAUAUGUCGUCUGUAACAAUUUCACAUGAUGUUUAAAUGUCGUCUUUAAACAAAUUAACCUACAUUUAUAUGUUGUUGUAAGGCGUAUUUCUCUCUCACUCGUAGUUAUAAGGCGACACAAUGGCAAAAAAAAGAUACGUCGCCUUCUAACAUGUCGUUGUUUAAACUAUCAGGCGACAUAUAUACCAUGUCGCCUUAUCUCAAUUCAGGCAACACAAAAUGAAAAAAGUUUUCUGUCGCCUGAGGUUUUUAUAGGCAACACAACAUUUGUGUCAUCGAAGAACCUCAUCAACGACAUGCUAGAAAGCGACAUUACGAUUUUUAUCAGGCGACACAACUAUAGUGUCGCCUGAUGCAGGAAAUGACAUAGUGCAAACUUUGUCAAUGUGAAAAACAUGGACUAAGAGUAAUGGCUCCAAAAUGAAAAACAAAAAAAGGAAAUAGCAGAAGGAAAAUUUAGGAGCUUGCUUAGUUAUUAGUAAACAGAAAGCGACCUGGCAAAUGGGUGGGUUAGGCGGUUAGCGGGCGGGUCAUGACGGGUUAGCGGGGUUCAACGGGUUCAACCCGCUAUACCCCGUUAGUUUAACGGGUUAUAGCAGGUUCAACCCUGUUGGGUUCGCGGGUUACCUGUUGGAAUCCGCCGCUAAGGUGUUUUUAUUUUAUUUUUUUUGCUUUUUAUUUUUAUUUUUUAGUUUUAAUAUUUCUUUUUCUAAUCAAAACCCAAUGUUUUUUUUUCUCUUUUCUUAAAAUUUGUUUCUUAACCUCUUAAAAUACGAUUGAAUAUUUUUGCUAAUUUUUUUAAUUUUUAUAUAUUUCUUAGCGGUCUUGGCGGGUUAGAUGAGUUCCAACGUGCAACCCCUUUUCGCCCGCUAACUGGCGCGUUGUUAACGGGUUGAUAGCCCAUUAACACGUUAUGUAAUUGGGCGGUUAGCAGACCGCUAGUGGUUGGCGGGCGGUUAGCGGGUAGCAGGCUGAAUUACCAGGUUUAAGCGGAAUACACAGGUUGUAUACUUGUAUUGUACAACAACGUGGGCCCGGUGCGCGUGUCUGAUUUUCAUUGGGUAAUAAGGAAUUUGUGUAUACAUUACCAAGACAAGCACUUUAGCCGAUGAAAAGUUUUCGUCGGCCUGUUAGCUUAAUUCGUCGGCUAAGAUCUUAGCCGACGAGAUUUCGUCGGCUAUAGUUUCGUCGGGAAAGGGUUGUCAUCAAUGACUUUAGCCGACGAAACUAUACACCGUCGUCGGCUAUUUUCCCAUACCUAGCCGACGACAGAAGACGUCGUCGGCUAGUCCCUCAGGCUUUAGCCGGCGAAACAACUCGUCAACUAGUCUCUUAACUUUAGCCGACGAAACAACUCGUCGGUUAGUCCCUCAGACUUUAGCCGACGAGUUGUCCGACGAAACAACUCGUCGGCUAGUCUCUUAACUUUAGCCGACGAAACAACUCGUCGGCUAGUCUCUUAUCUAUAGCCGACGAAACAACUCGUUGGCUAUAGUAUGUAAUAAAAAAAUAAAAAAAUAACUAAAGCCGACGAAACAGACCAUAAUUCGUCGGCUAAACCCUAUUAAAAAAUAAUUAAAAAUACUAUAGCCGACGAGUUAUAGCGUAUUUCGUCGGCUAUAAGUCCAUUCCAGUAUAAAAAAAAACCUGAAAUUUUAAAUUACCAUUCCAAGCAAGCUGCAAAAAACACCAAAACAAUUCCAUAUAACCAACAACAAGCACAUAAAACUAUAUAAUUCAGUUACACAAAAUCUAGAUCGUCUAAAUUAAUAUCCGCGUCUGGGGGCUGCUGCGGAGCUUGCGGCGGCUGGGGUAGUGGUAUGGGCGGAGGCGGAAGUCUCUGGAGCUGGGCAGAUGUAAAGUCCUGCAUGUACUGGAACAUCUGCCGCUGCUGGGCCUGCUGGAUGGCAUGUACCUCGGCAUUAUGGGCUGCAUGCGCAGCAUUAUAGGUUGCUUGCGCGGCAUUAUAGGCAACAUGAGCAGCUUGCUGUUCCCGUAGUCUCUGAAGUUCCGACUGUAGCAGCUGAGUCAUCCUGGUGGUCGUGGUCCUGCUGCUGGUCGAGGCUGCCUUUCGUUGAAAUCUUGGAGUUGUCUUCAGGACCCCCUCGCCCUUCUUUCUUAGACCCCGGCAGUAGAAGUUGUUUGCUCGCGGUGGGAAAGCUGUGCCCAUGAUCCUCGCCCCAACUGUCGGAUCCGAAAUGUCGAUCCGGGACAUGGCUUCGGACAUCUCUUCCUCCUGCGUGUCCGGCCAUGUCUCCCUCACUAUAGCACUUAUCACCUCGUUGGAUGCCUCCCUCACCUUCGCCUAAUUGGAUAGGAAAAAAUUAUUAAUUAACAUUUUGACAUACAUAUAAGUAAAAUUAAAAAUUUAAAAACGUAAGAUGACUUACAAUAUCCUCUUGGGCGUCAGGAUAUGCCUUCUCGUACGUAUAAACGUACUAGUUGACCUUUGGAUGUUCCCUGGCCGCCUCGUCCAUGAAGACAGCGAACGGUCUAGAACCGGCAUGAUGGCUCCUUGUGUUGCGUUGCCGGUUCUGAGCGUUCGCUCGGGAAACCGUCUUCAAAGAAAAAACUAAACUAUUAGUAAAAUAUUUAAAAACGCACGUACUUAAUGACAAAUUAACUAAUUAAUUUAUUUAAAUACCUGUUUACGAGGGUUGUUGAAUUCUGAUGUCAGAAGCCAACGCCACUCGUACUCUCUGUACUGGAACUCAGCAGGGGUACCAGAACGUGCGUUCCCGUGCAUAGUCCAAUGGGUCUGCAACUCGUUCUUCCACUCCUUGUACCUACAGAUACAACAAAAAUAUUAGAAAUAUUAUUAAUAUUACAUACAAUUUUGUUUUUUCAUUAACUUCCCAACGUACCUUCCCCCAUGCACAAAGUCCGCCUAGCUGCUCUUCAAGGGCUCGGGAACCUCAAACCAUACAUGCAUUUAGCCAUUUAUUAGUUUAGUUUUUCGAGAAAUCUACAAUGUAAUACAUAAUAUUAUUAAGGCAUUUUGUAAACUCACCGACAUCGCGUUGUGGACCAUGUCCUUAACCUCCUGCGGGACCUCGCCCCAGUCUGACCACAACAUAGGGACUAUCCCUAAUGAGCGCUCCCACGCGGCCGGAGUACGUCCUCGACUUCCCGCCCGAUACUAUGUCGCCAUCCCCGUUAGUACCGAUGACAAUCCUCCCUAAGGUACUGACGAUCUUCUCGAGAGCCUUUCCUGUGACGGGGCCUCUCUUUUUUUUACCGGCUUCGCUCCGACGGUGCCUAUCACAUGAUAAACCAAAUUGAUUAUUAAAAUUGGAGAAUUAUAAGAAAACAAAUCAUUCAUCUUUCAUUACCUAAGGGCGAUGCGGCGGACGCGAUGGAUUCCAUCUCCGAUGAUGAUACCCUCACGGAAAUAAGAGGCGUAUCAAAAAGCACGAACCGGUACGCUGCUGAUGGAGCCACUGGCGGGGGCAGUGGAUAAAUCGGCGUCCCUGAGCCAUCGACUGCAGGUAUGGCCGGUAUCAUCCGCGGAAGGAAUAGGUGAGGCGGCGGCAUCUGUACCCCAUAUGACCCACUAUCCGAAGAAGUAGGACAUGGAGUGGGCACCCGGUGUAUCUUAGGCAUACGGGGUGCAGACACCUCCGUCUGGGUCGGAGGCCACAACUGCCUUGAAGAAUGAGGGACACCCCGCUGCCUCGAUGAAGGGGGCACCUCCGGCUGCCUCUGCGCAGUCUGCAGAAGGCUCGUAUGUCUAGCUGUCAUAAGGCCCUGAAAUGACGUCUGAGGGUUGCUAGAGGCUCCCUCAGACGAUUCGGACCUUUGGCCCUUCGAACUCUUCGUCGAUCUAAUAUUACCGCUCAUCCUGUUUAAAAUAUUAAUUUGAAUCAAGGCCACAAAAUAAAAAAAUGUAUACACUUCCUAAAUACAAAUUUACACUUCCUAAAUACAAAUUUACACUUCCUAAAUACAAAUAUACACUUCCUAAAUAAAAAUAUACACUUCCUAACAACACCACAACAUUGCAAUUGACCGGAAAAUCAAAGCAAACACAAAAUAAUAAAUACAAAUAUACACUUCCUAAAUACUAAAUACAAAUAUACACUUCCCAACAACACCACAACAUUGCAAUUGACCGGAAAACAAAAGCAAACACAAAAUUAAAUGUGAAACAGAAAUGUACUCGAGGAGGAGGAGGGAGGACCGGAGCAGCUUAUACUUGGAGGAGGGAGGGCUGGAGCAGCAGGAGGAGGAGGGAGGGCCGGAGCAGGCGAGCAGCAGGAGGAGGAGGGAGGCCGGAGCAGCAGGAGGAGGAGGGAGGGCCGGAGCAGGGAGAGGGCUGGGCGGCGACCAGGAGAGAGAGCGGAGGUGGAGACCGGGAGAGGGAGAGGAGGCGGCGACCGGGAGAGGGAGAGGGAGAGGGCGGCGACCGGGAGAGGGAGAGGGAGAGGGAGAGGGCGGCGACCGGGAGAGGGAGCGGAGGCGGAGACCGAGAGAGGGAGAGGAGGCGGAGGAGGAGGGGAAAGAGGAGGCUAGGGCUUUUCUGCUGUCGAGCGCUGGGUUAUACCCGACAACUUUAGCCGACGAAAUUAUUGCAAUGACUGUUGCUCCCCUCAUGGCUAAGGCACUCUGAACAAGCCUUGUAUCCCCUAACAACGUUGCCGGACAACAUCCCAUGGGCAGGAAAAUCACUGAUGGUACCAACAACCAUGACAUGCAUCUGGAACAUCUCGUGCAUGUACUUGUCAUAAGUGGGAUGACCAACGUCCUACAAAAACUGAAGCUCUUCAAUCAAAGGUCUCAAAUACACAUCGAGACACUUCCCUGGAUAACCGGGCCCCGGAAUCAACAAACUCAACAUAUUGUAUUCCUUCUUCAUGCACAUCCAUGGAGGAAGGUUGUAUGGUACCAAAAUCACCGGCCAUACACUGUAUUGAAGACUCAUGUUGCCAAAAGGGUUGAACUCGUCAGAUGAGAGCCCGAGCCUCACAUUUCGGACCUCUGACGCAAAAUGAGGAAACUCCUUGUCUAUAUGCUUCCAAGGCUCCCCGUCAACAGGGUGUAUAAGGGUAUCUUCGUCAUGCAAUUCCCUAUCAGCGUGCCAUCUCAUAGCUUUGGCCGUGUGUGAAGACAUGUACAACCGCUCCAGCCUAUCUCUCAACGGGAAAUACCGAAGUACCUUCACAAGUUUCUUAUUGCCUGCAGGAGUCAGCUUAUACAUGUCAGUGUGACAUACCGGACAUGCGUCAAGCCCACCAAGGUCAUUCCCUUAUGGAUCUUUACCCCAAAAGAGAACGCAGUCAUAUCUGCAUGCAUGGAUCUUGAUGUAGAAAAGCCCAAGAUCUUUCAGGAUACAUCGGACCUUACGAUGAGUGGUAGGAAGACGAUGACCGUGGGGCAGCAUCGAAGCAGUGUACUGUAGAUAAUUAUCAACAGCCUUCACGGUCAAUUUUUUCUCAACUUUAAUCUUCAUUAUGUCCAUCACACUUUCAAGAACGGUCUUCUGACAACCGGGGUACACAUGGGUCUGUUGGAAAGCAAGCAGUUUGUUGUACUUUUCAAUACCAGCAGUGUUGACAGCUCUAGGGAAGGGCUGCAUCGAGUCAGGCAUAUACUGUCCUUGAGCGCAUACACCGCUCUCAUAAGGAAACAUGUCGUUGAUGAAAGCCGUUGUUGGAUNNNNNNNNNNNNNNNNNNNNNNNNNNNNNNNNNNNNNNNNNNNNNNNNNNNNNNNNNNNNNNNNNNNNNNNNNNNNNNNNNNNNNNNNNNNNNNNNNNNNNNNNNNNNNNNNNNNNNNNNNNNNNNNNNNNNNNNNNNNNNNNNNNNNNNNNNNNNNNNNNNNNNNNNNNNNNNNNNNNNNNNNNNNNNNNNNNNNNNNNNNNNNNNNNNNNNNNNNNNNNNNNNNNNNNNNNNNNNNNNNNNNNNNNNNNNNNNNNNNNNNNNNNNNNNNNNNNNNNNNNNNNNNNNNNNNNNNNNNNNNNNNNNNNNNCAAUACGAUACAACAUAUAUAUAUAUAUAUAUAUAUAUAUAUACAUCCAACGUACUGAAAAUCAAUCAACUCAAUCACACUCAAAAUCAAUCAACUCAAAUAAAACUCAAUUAAUCAACAUAUAUAUACAUAUACGUACCUAUAUAUAGCUCCACAAACUAAUUAUGAACAGAUUUCGACAACACCCAAACUUUUUCUCCCAUUUUUUCUUCUCCCGUUUUUUUUCCCAGAUGAGCUGCUGCUGUCCAGAUUAGCCGACGACAUAUUAAUUUCGUCGGCUAAACUUUUAAAUAUUUCGUUGGCCAUAGUCUGUGAACUUUAGCCGACGAAAUAAAUUCUUUAGCCGACGACAUUUUAAUUUCGUCGGCUAAAGUUUAUCAUAGCCGACAAAAAUUUAAAUUAGCCGACGAAGGAAAUUCGUCGGCUAAAGUCCACUUUAGCCGACGAAAAAAUGGUUCAUCGGCCUGGUUUUUUUUUUUCGUCGGCUAAAGUCUUUCUUCUAGUAGUGAUAGAUUAGAUUGGUGUGCAAAUCAAUUUUGAAGGCUAUUUACCGUGAGAUUAAUAUGGGAUACAACAGUGAAAACCUAUUCAGCAUGUGCCCUAUCACACUGACCACAUGCAUGUGUGUUCAAUGGAGGCAUGGCAAGCCCAACCGAGAUCGUUUUAAUAAAUUUCUUAACGCGUGCACGUAAGCAUGAAAAAAGCCUUUGCAUGCUUGGUUUGGUGUAAGUACUUCUACCAACCCAACCUGGGUUCGAUCCCUAAAUUCAGACUCAAAUUUAAGAAUGGGCCUCAUAUCAUUCUUUUGGCCGGUAUUAGUUUAGCAUUCUUUAGGUAAGAUCAGAUCUAUUUUAGUAUUAGUUUUGAUUGAAUUCUUUUCUUAACCUCUCUUUUGUUUUAUUUAAUGUAAACUAGUUUUCCAGCACGCGCUAUGUGCGUGCGAAAUAGCCCCGCUCGCACGUGCGUAGCGCUCGCACGUGCGUAGCACUUUCUCAUCUACUAUAUCACUUUCUCGUUUGAGUGACAUCCUUUGAGUUGAUCUGAAAGCCAAAGCAGAAGGCAUGGUUGAAGAACAUCAAUACAGUCAGAAAUGCGUGUGUUGUAUAUCUAUUUAGCUUCAAUAGCAUAAAACAUGUAUACGUUCAUCGCUUGAACUUCACAUGUAUAUAUACAUUCUAUCAAUGGAAUUGCAAUUUUACUUAACACAUCUAUUCAAACUCGAAUAAGUUGGUUGCUCUUCCAAAUUAAUUUUAUGUUCAUAAGAAUGUGUCUGUGUAUAUAUGUUUCGUUGUAAAUUAAUUAGGGUUAUAUGAAAGGAAAAUGAUUUUUGACCUUAAUAAGACCUAAGAUUUAUGGCUUCAAUCUUAGGUGAUAUGUUAUGUCAUCUAGACACAUCACCAAUUAAAAAGAUUAUGUUAUGUCUUUCUUAAGCAAAAAUACAAUAUUAUCCUUUUAAAUCUAAUCGCUCUAGAUUAUUUUAUUAAGAGAAAAAAAAUAUUUUGUCAUUCUUUUAUAAUUAAUAUCACGAUCUCCCCUAUUUUGUUUUGUCAACUUCCGUUUCCGUUUCACAAAAGAAAGAUUGAUCAAGGUAUAUGUACGUAGCACCACAUAAUCAGUGAAGUAUCACACUCAUUAUGUAUAUAUCCCAAACAGCCAAACCUGAGAAUGAUUGAAAGUAAAUCCAUUUGUCAGUUGAAAGCAUCAGAGCGGAUAAUCAUAGCUCAAAAAUAUGAAAUUGGUUUACCUAAUUAUGAGCAAUAAUGCUUGCUUUGGUUGUUAUCGAGAUCGAUGAGAAUAUGGCGUAACUGCAAGCAGGCUAAACAUAAAAGGAAAAAUCGAAGGAAUGUCAAUAGUGUGCCAAUUGAGAGAAUGACAGUAGUGUCCCAAUUAUAAACCCAAGUGUUAAUACAUAGCCAAAACACUUGGCCAUGCCGAGAAUGUAGCGUCAUUACCCGGUCGCCGGAGAUCAUUCCGGCCAAAACUCCGCUAGCAAGGCCUCCGUAGACACCCAAAGAGUGGAGGCAUAACAACAAUACACAUGCCAGGCACACUCUGCAGCUGCUAAACUCCCCCGAAAGGAGGGAAACUGAACAAUACCAUAAAACAGUCCCACAUCGGGAACUAAUGACAAAACCCUCAAUAUUAGCCUAUAAAACAGGCAUAAAUCCCCAAAUAAGGUAAGUUCAUUACUCCUCCCAUACUCUUGUACUAUACAAUACCAUAAAACAGUCCCACAUCGGGAACUAAUGACAAAACCCUCAAUAUUAGCCUAUAAAACAGGCAUAAAUCCUCAAAUAAGGUAAGUUCAUUACUCCUCCCAUACUCUUGUACUAUACAAGUAGCAACUCAACGCUAACUUAAGCAUCGGAGAGUCGAAGACUGGGCCACCCCAGUCCCGACUCCUGACGUAUUGUUACUUGUGCAGUUAUAGGACCCGGAGCCAAGGAUUCGACCUCCCGUCCCGUGAUCUCGGAGAGGUAGAAACAAUUGGCACUAGAAUGAGGGCCCCUUCUUGUGGAACUCCCAUUUUAACUUGAAAUGAUGGUGGAAAUUAUGGAUGACCCAAACGAACCUGAGACCCACAUAGAAAAGGAACUUUUCUAAUCUGGAGACGCCUCCCUUAACCAAGCUACCGCAUCUACGGGCCAUGUUAACCACCCUGAUGCUGCUACAGCCCUCGAAAUUUUAAAAAAAGACUUCCAUUCAUUCCGAGAGCAAGCGGCUAAGGAUAAAGCAGAGGCCGAAGCGUACCGAGUACGCAUCGCUGAGCUAGAAAAGGAAUAAUUUCUGCUCUGCGCUACUCUGGAUCACCGUAACAACUACAAUGAAACCUUAGAGCGGGCAGCGAGGGUCACUCCCACCUUGGAUCCCACCCUGACAUCUCUUUUUCCUAACCAAGGACAGAACGGUUCCGUGCUCCCGGGAGGCCCGAACCAGAUCAUUUACGUCACUCAUCCACUCAGCCACCUAUCCUUUCCACACCCAGCCCCUCAACCAUUUGCACUCAAUAACGAGUCCAUUCCCCCGAUAAACCGACCCGAGCCAUCCGAUCCUCCAAACUCUAAUCCUAACUCUGCCAACCCACCUCUCGACAUGCAAACCUGACUUCAACUCCAGCUCAGCAAUUCGGUCACCCAGUUGGCCUCCCGAAUUGAGAACGUCGAGAGUCGCGGGAGCUAGCGACCUCUAUUCUUGGGGUAUGGACACCGCCCAAGUCCCUUCACGCCAUGAGUUCAGCUGGAUAAGAGACCUCCCGAGGCCAAACCUUUCAAGAUAGACAAAUAUAAGGGUACCGAAGACCCCCACCUCCACCUUGAAACAUUCCUCUCGUUGUGCAGCUCCACCCGGUACACGGAUGCCAUGGCCUGUCAUGCCUUCCAAGAAACCCUCUCAGAUGAAACACUUAGUUGGUUCCUCAACUUACCCCCCAACUCCAUUGACAAUUUUGACCAACUCUCGGAGCGCUUCCUCAAUCGUUUCAUACUCCAUGCUAGCAUUUACCGAAGUGUAGAUGCUUUGUUUAACAUCAAGCAAAAGGAAGGUGAAGGACUCCAUGCAUUGCUAUCCAGGUGGCAAUCAGCCACGACACGUUGCCACAACUUGGAACCCCGAGUGGCUGAACAAACUUUUCGCCAAGCCUUGCUUCCCGACAGUUUCCUAAUGGAGAUUAAUAGGAACCCUCUGGGGUCAUACGAUGCCUUGAUGGACCUUGCUGUCCGAUGGGCACGUGCCGAGUUUGCUACAUUUGGGCACUCCAAUCAAACCACCACAUUAGCUCUUCCAGCCCCACCCCCCAAACAACAAUCCCAACAGAAAUAUGACCAUUAUGAUAGAAGCAAGUAGCAUAGCAACUCCUGAGAUAGCAACCAGGGGCGUGGUUCAGACCGCCGCCAUAAUGGGCAGCAUGGACGGGGACCAUCCUUAUCGGUCCCAAGAGCAGAGCCCCCAGCAGCAGCGUCGUUCUUCCCCGCCACCCCGUUACGAAGUCCACACUACCCUGACCACUACAUACGAGGACAUCUGGGCAAACACAAAGACCUCAUUCCCCCGCCACCCAAAAGUAAAUACCCCAAGAAACCCCGGCGGGCCACAGGGAAUAAGUAUUGUGCUUAUCAUGAUGACAAUGGCCACACCACUGAGAUGUGUCAUGGCCUCCGUAAUGCCAUAGAGCACUUGAUUCGUAACGGGCAACUCCACCAGUAUUGCACUCCCGCAACGGGAGCUAACACCAUUGAGGUUUAUGGCCAGAUCCUAACCCUGCAUGGCGGCGCCCCGCGACUUCCCCCUCGUCAACCCUCUGCCAAAAGGCAAUGUCCAACUCCCUUAGAAAUUCUCAAGUUGCAAAGAGGUGUCACCGCUACCCCAUCAGCAUGGGACCAGGUGUCAUUUCACAAAAGGGAAGACACGAUAAAUUGCCAUCACAAUGAGCCAUUCAUAAUCAAUGUCCAAGUGGAUCAUUACAGGUGUCACAGGGCCCUUGUGGACACAAGAGCUGCAGUCAGUGUAAUGUUUUCUGAUUGCUAUAGAAGGCUCCGGCGUGACCAAACUAAACUAUAUAACAACCACGAUCCUCUUGUCAGCUUCUCGGGAGAGAUUGUACAGCCCUUAGGCUCAGACCGCUUAACAGUCUCAGUGGGGACCAACCCCCGUCGUGUUUCUAUCAUGGCACGUUUUCUCAUAGUUGAUUGUCGCUCAUCCUACAACAUAAUCUUGGGUCGCGACAUCAUUUGGGGACUAUAAUGCUUCAUUGCAGGUCACAUGCUACUCAUGAAAGUGCCUACCCCGGGAGGCAUACUUAAAAUCCAAGGAGACAGGGCAGCCAUUGAACACUGCCACCUUAAUGCCAUUCAACAAGGGAGUGGUGCCUAUGAGAUGUUGCCACUCAGCCCCUCUGAGCCCAUUGAUGACCCCAAAGAUGACCCUGACGGGAAAGGAAAGAAGAAGCAGAUCCCAAGACCCAACCCGGCAGAAGAGACAGAGUGGGUCUCCCUAUCGCCUAGUGCUCUCGAGAGGAAAGUCCGCAUAGGCACAAGCCUUAACCCGGAACUCCGCCAGAAACUCGUAGCCUUUCUCCAGGAUAAACAAGCAAUCUUUGCUUGGUCCUAUGCUGACAUGCCAGGCAUCUCCCCUGAUGUCAUCACACACAAACUCAACAUCCUCAAAGACUAUCCCCCUGUCAAGCAGAAAAGGCGUGCCUUUUACCCGGAAAAGUACCGGGCUAUACAAGCCGAGGUUCAAAGAUUGAAAGAGAUCAAGUUCAUCCGAGAGGUCUCCUACCCAAUCUGGGUUUCCAAUGUUGUCAUGGUUCCUAAACCCAAUGGGAAAUGGCGAAUGUGUGUUGAUUACACUAACCUCAACAAAGCAUGUCCCAUGGACAGCUUCCCCUUGCCACGGAUUGACCAGUUGGUUGACUCCACAGCUGGUUAUAAGAUGCUCAGCUUUUUGGAUGCCUACUCGGGAUACAACCAGAUUAAGAUGCACCAGGCGGAUCAGGAGCACACCACUUUUGUUACAGACAAGGGACUGUACUGUUACGGGGUCAUGCCCUUUGGCCUAAAAAAUGCAGGGGCAAUCUACCAAAGGUUAGUCAAUGUCAUGUUUGAAGAAGAAAUUAGGGAGGUCAUGGAAGUAUAUGUGGAUGACAUGUUGGUCAAAAGCAAGACAGAGGAUGACCACAUUGCCAAUCUAGACAAAGUCUUCAUUAAGCUCCUGGCUCACGGGAUGCGCCUCAACCCACAGAAGUGUAUUUUGGCUGUGGGCGGAGGAAAAUUUCUAGGGUUCAUGGUCAGUGAACGAGGCAUUGAAGCCAACCUAGAAAAGGUACAAGCCAUACUUGAUAUGACUUUUCCGAGUACCCAGAACGAGGUCCAGUGUCUCAUGGGACGCUUGGUAGCUCUGGCCCAGUUCAUCUCCCGCCUCACAGACAAAUGCAACCUAUUCUUUCAAUUGCUCAAAACCCAAUAUAAAGGGAAUGUGGCAUGGGGCCCGAAACAUGACGAUGCCUUCAACAAUAUCAAAGCCUACCUGGCGGCAGUCCCCCUUCUCUCCAAGCCUGUCCCCGGAGAGGUACUUUACCUAUACUUGGUUGUGUCUGCCACAGCCAUUAGCGCUGCUCUCACACGCCAUGAGCAUGACAAUGAGCUCCCAGUAUAUUACUGUGAAAGAGGUUUUGCAGACCCCGAGACCCGCUACCCUGAUAUCGAGAAACUUGCCCUCGCUCUUAUCACUGCAGCACGAAAGCUCAGGCAAUAUUUCCAACCUCAUACAAUUCAUGUUCUAACUAACCAUCCCUUGCUCCAAAUACUCCAAAAGCCUGAAACUUCAGGACGCAUGGUAAAAUGGGCAAUUGAAUUGGGCGAGUUUGACCUCCAUUUCAAACCAAGAACAACCAUAAAAGGGCAGGCAGCUGCAUAUUUUAUUGCUGAGUUCAUCCCUCUGGACCAUAGCAACUCAGACCCAGACGCCCCCUCCCGGGACGCCAUCUGGGAACUCCACGUUGAUGGAUCCUCGAACAACAGGCUCAGUGGAGCAAACAUUAUAAUCACAGACCCAGAGGGAAAUCUCUAUGAGUAUGCUCUCCGGUUUGAAUUCAAAACAUCCAACAACAUAGCUGAGUAUGAAGCCUUGAUAGCUGGCAUUCAACUCUGUCGGGAACUUAGAGCCUUGCAUCUCCACAUAUUCAGUGAUUCCCAGCUUGUUGUCAAUCAAGUGGCAGGCGACUUUAAGGCUAACUAGAACAACCUGGGGUCCUACAAAAGCCUAGCUGGUGCCCUCUUGCAACACUUUACAUCUUACAAGCUAACACAAAUUCCAAGGGCCAAGAACUCCAAAGCUGAUGCCCUUGCGAGACUCGCCACAGCCCCUCCCGAGUCCACGCCACCAGAUGUGCACAUCGAAAUCCUGGACAAGCCUAGUAUCUCGAAGGCCUACUUAGAAAUAUUUUCUCUCGAGACACCUGGCCAGCCCUCGUGGAUGGACCCAUAUGUGGCCUUCCUUUCUAAUGGCACCUUGCCCUUGGACAAAAAAGAAGCACAGCGGUUGCGCCACAAGGCUUCACUUUACCUGCUUAGGGGCGGUAAGCUGUAUCGUCGCGGCCAGUCAUGUCCCUUCCUGAAAUGCUUACCUACAGAAGAAGGACACAAGGUAUUAAGGUCACUCCACAGUGGGGUUUGUGGAAACCAUGCAGGGCCCGGAAUCUCAUGUUCAAAGCACUCCGAGCUGGGUAUUACUGGCCCACACUAGAACAAGAUGCAAAAGCAAUUGUCCGAGCAUGCCUCCAAUGCCACAAAUUUGCUAAUUUUGCCCAUCACCCCCCAGUGCCACUAUCUAUCAUUAUCUCCCCAGUCCCUUUCAGUCAGUGGGGACUCGACUUCGUGGGACGGUUGCCAACAGCCACGGGACUUCAACGUCACGCAACCCCGGCUGCCUUUCUUCGCGCAGUACGCCAUAUGCCAACAGGCGUUGAACUCCUCAAAAUUUGGGAACUAGCUCUUGCCCCAAUAAACGAAACAAUACCCCCGUCCCCAAAAUUUGUCUUAGCAUAUUCAGGGUGACUUGCCCCGGGGCGACAUGCAGACACGCCAAGGUGUACUGCACAAACGGCGGUAGCGGGAACAUCAGCCCACACUUUAACUGGUUCUCGUACUCUAGGGUAAAAUUGUCCGGAGGGUCCCAAAAUUUAACUCCCUUGCCAAGAGGCCGUAACAAGACCUCCUUGGGGAUACUCCAAUUUUGCCUAAGAGAUUUUGGCUCUGCCGACAUCAUACUCUCGCCAGGAGGAUCCCAGAAUGAAUCGUCAUCCUCCCGAGAUCUCGCCAUGCUAAACUCUUCUACCUCCUGCAAUAGAGGGUCAGACGAGGACACGUGAGACCCUUCAUCCGUAACGGGAAUGCCCUCCCCUAAGUCAAGGGCAACCUCUGCCAUAAGGUAAUUCAUUUCUUCUUCCCACCGGUGCCAGGUGUCCGAAUCAGGAUCAGUCGAGCUAGAGACAACCACGAUCUGCUUGCUGGACACCCACAUCGGAUCUGUCAUACCCUACAUCCCCACAUGGUUAGACUCUCGCUACCUUAACCCUAGCAAACCAUUCAAUCCCUUACUCUAAACUCCCCUAGCAAAGUCAUAGCUGCGGCGAAAUCCACAACCACUAUCCUAUCGAUUCGAAAUAAAGCAAAAACAAAACCCAAAACAAGAAUUGACAAGUUCAUACCUUGGAAAAUUGGAUUUGUGUAGUGGCAGUGAAGCUGGUUGCAAACAGCCAAGCGCUCGCACCCAAUUGAUCGAGGGUGAAAUUGGACGUUCCCUAGUUUUCGAUUCACAGUUCGUCACAAGCCCCUCUUCAAAAACCGAACCCACUCUUCAGCUCUAAUCUCUCUGUUUUCAAAACGCAAACUCCCUCCUCUAUUUCCACAAGCCUAUUUAUAGAGCAUUCAAGUGGACCUCGACCGCUCAGAUGCCUAAUAAUCCCAACGGUCAGGGAACAGCCACGUCAACCACAAUCGAACAAACCAUUUAAGACUCCCCACGGUCCAACCCACGCGUGUCAGUUAUGCGCCAAUCAAAUCAAAAAAAAAAACCUCAAACAAACCGAACCGUUAUGUCCUUAAAAAACCGAUAUACAUGACCACGUGCCCCUCAUAAACUGGCCAUUUAUGACACACGUGAGAUAUAACGCAAAGGAUCGUACCGAGUUCUCAGAACUCAACCACAGCCACCUCGCGACACUCGUGUGGGGACUUGGGGACUCGGCACCAUGCCUCCAACUCCCGGGUAAAACACAUUCUCGGCACAACUUGGGAAUAACUCCCCACCCAAGAGCUCUCUCGGAUUGGGGACUUGAGGACUUGUUAAUACAUAGCCAAAACACUUGGCCAUGCCGAGAAUGUAGCGUCAUUACCCGGUCGCCGGAGAUCAUUCCGGCCAAAACUCCGCCAGCAAGGCCUCCGUAGACACCCAAAGAGUGGAGGCAUAACAACAAUACACAUGCCAAGCACACUCUGCAGCUGCUAAACUCCCCCGAAAGGAGGGAAACUGAACAAUACCAUAAAACAGUCCCACAUCGGGAACUAAUGACAAAACCCUCAAUACUAGCCUAUAAAACAGGCACAGAUCCCCAAAUAAGGUUAGUUCAUUACUCCUCCCAUACUCCCGCACUAUACAAGUAGCAACUCAACGCUAACUUAAGCAUCGGAGAGUCGAAGACUGGGCCACCCCAGUCCUGACUCCUGACGUAUUGUUACUUGUGCAAUUAUAGGAUUCGGAGCCAAAGAUUCGACCUCCCGUCCCGUGAUUUCGGAGAGGUAGAAACACCAAGAAUUGUAACUCAAAUGUUUGAAACUUCAAAGCAGACAUGAGUGACAUGAUCAAACAUCAAAACCACAACAAUCAUGAGAAUACAAUUCGGUUCAACUUGCAUAAAUAGAAAAGGAAACUGUAUAUAAACAACUGUAUAUAAACUGUAUAGAAACACUCAUUCGCUUCAUUCUGUACCCAAAUAGAAACUAAAUGAGCAUAAAUUAAACCUUAUUUGGUCCCAUGUCUUUAUUCCAAAGUAUUAAUCACAUAUCUUUCCACAGAGGUAACAGGAACUUUAUGAUAAAAAACAUAAACAUCUCUAUCUCCAACAAAACUAAGCUUUUUCAGUCUUUAAAAUCCAUUAAACAGUCUUCCUUCACAUAAUCAAACACGCAAAGGGUGUAGAGUGCUUUGAGCACCGAACCUUGAACUUCAAGGCAUUGUUCUUCAAUUUAACGUACAGAAUGAAAGAACAACCAAACUCUAAACAAAAUUGUUUCACUAACUCUCUCUGAAUGAUUGUUAUUAUUCAAUUGAAAUAAGCUCGGCUUUAUAAAGCCUUUACAAAUAACAGAAAGGCACAAACGCAACCCACAUCUCUUAACAACCCUAAGAUUGUGGUAAUUAGCUAAGGAAAUAGUCAAGUACUAACUGAAACAAAACAAGCUCCUAAACAACAGGAGUUAUCGACUAACUUGAAUAGCAGAAACCUAACAAACUACAAACUCCAACAAACAGACAUUUGAAACAUUCAAAACGUCUCCAACAUUUCCUCCCCUAAACUGGAAUUGCCAAAGGCAAUCAGUUUAUCUCAGUCAAGCACUUCAGUCCUAGCAGCUCUCGAAGUUUCACAAAACUCUCCAACUUCAAAGGUUUAGUCAUGAAGUCUGCAAGCUGCUCACUUGUACCACAAUACUUUAAUUCAACCUCACCAUCCCUUGUGAGAUCACGUAGAAUAUGAAACCUCAUAUCUAUAAUCUAUAUGUUUGCUUCUCCCAUGUAAAACUGGAUUAUUUGACAACUUAAUAGUAGAUGAGUUAUCACAGAACACAGUAAUAGACUUACUUUGAGAAGGGUUGAACUGACUAAGCACUCUCUUCAUCCAAAUACUCUGACAAGCACACGUUGCUGCUGCAACAUACUCCGCUUCUGUUGUAGAAAUAGUUACAAUAGGCUGCUUCUUUGAAGACCAAGCCACAACACCUCCACUUAGCUUAAACACAUAGCCUAAGGUGCUUUUCCUGUCAUCACAGUUACUAGCAUAAUCGCCAUCUGUAUAUGCAACCAAGUCUACUGCACCUUUUCUUUCAUAAAACACAAAAUACUCCAAAGUUCCCUUGAGGUACCUAAGCACCCUUUUUGCACAAAUGCCCUUCAGUUGGAUUGGUCAUAUAUCUGCUGAUGAGACAAACACUAUACAUAAGGUCAGGUCUGGUAGCCGUCAAAUACAUGAGGCUACCAACCAUUUAUUUGAACUAAGUUGCAUUGACUUUCUUCCCUUUACCUUCUUUUGUCAACUUUGAACCAGGCACUAUGGGAUUCUCUAUUGAAUUGCACUUUCCCAUACCAAAUCUAUCAAGUAUUUCUUGAACAUACUUUUUCUGACACAGAUGAAUGCCUUUCGAACCUUGCUGAACUUCGACACCUAGGAAAUAUCUCAUCUUUCCUAGAUCUGUCAUCUCGAACUCAGACUUCAUUAAGCUCCUCAAUCAAACAAGCAUCAUUACCAGUAAAUAUUAAGUCAUCUACAUAAAGACUUACAAUUAAGAUCUUCCCUCCAGCUUCUGCUUUGACAAACAAGGUAGGCUCAUCAUGACUGCAUCUUUCAAAACCCUCUCUGAGAAAAUAACCCUCAAUCUUGUUGUACCAGGCCCGUGGAGCCUGCUUUAGGCCAUACAGAGCCUUCCUGAGUUGAUAAACCUUCUCUUCUUCACCUUUUCGCUCAUAACCUUGUGGUUUUCGAUGAACACGGCCUCCCUUAAUUCUCCGUGCAGAAAUGCACUUUUUACAUCCAGCUGAAACACCAACCAACCCUUCUAAGCAGCCACAGCCAAAACCAUGCGGAUCGUAUCCCAUUGUGCCACUGGAGCAAACACCUCAUUAUAGUCUAUUCCAUGUUUCUAAGCAUAACCUUUUGCCACCAAGCGAGCUUUGCAUUUAUCAAUCUCCCCACUUUCAUUUAGCUUCGUUUUGUAUUGACACCAAUCUUCUUUGCCCCAAUUGGCAGAUUCACCAACUCCCAAGUAUCCUUCUUCACAAUAGCUUCUAUUUCAAAUCCAUUGCGUUCCUCCACUUCUCACUUUUUGCAGCCUCUUCAUGGCAGGUUGGAUCUUCAUGUGAAAUAAACAAGGCAAGGUUCUAAGAUUCUCCUCCUCCUCAUAGGCCCUCCCCGCUUACAUAAUCUUGCAUCCAAUCAGGUGCUCUUCCAACUCUUUUUCCAAGUCAGCUCGAGGUACUAUCUUCAAAUGAGCUUUGUCCACUACCUCCAUUCAAGUCAGCUUGAGCAGGUGAUUCAUUUUGACCUUCUUCGUCUACACCUCCUUCACUCUCAUCAGAGUCACUGUAAUCAUGAUCACCAUCUUCGUAGUCACCAUAUCCCGAAUCAAGUACAUCGAGCUUCACCUCUUCUUCACUCCUCUCCCAGUUCCAGCUCUCAUCACCACAUCUCUAUUGGUUACAAUUUUCUUGGCAAUGGGAUCGAACAACCUGUAAGCCUUGGACUCUUCACUGUAUCCGAGAAACACACAUUUGUAACUUUUGUUGUCCAACUUUGAUCUCUUGUUGUCCGGUAUGCGAACAUGACCAAUGCAACCAAAAACUCAGAAGUAAUCUACAGUUGGGUUGAUUCCACUCCAACAUUCUUCUGGAGUCUUGUCUUUUACCACCACAGUAGGGCUUCUAUUUAACACAUGUACUGUCCACCACAGCUUCUAGCUAGAACACCUUAGGCAUUUGCUUCUCUGUAAGUAAGCAUCGAACCAUAUUUAUGAUAGUUCGAUCCUUACGUUUUGCAACCCCAUUCUGUUGAGAAGUGUACGCUUCUGUAACCUGCCUCUUUAGACCAUGAGCCUUACAAAAAUUGUUAAACUCAUACGAGGUGAAUUCACCACCUCGGUCAAUUCUUAAACAACCUAUACCACUUUCUACUUCCUUCUCGACAAGACUUUUAAAAUUCUUGAAAGAUGUAAAUGCUUCACUCUUUUCAGACAGAUAGUAAACCCAAUUCUUCCUACUAUAGUCAUCGAUAAAGCUCAAAAAGUACCUUUUGUUGCUAUUCAACAUUGGUGUAAUGGGGCCACAAAUAUCAGUAUGUAUCAAUUGCAACCUUUCCGAAGCUCGCCACUGACUUUUCUUUGGCAUAGCCUCUUGAUGUUGCUUUCCAAUGUUACAAACAGUGUACAUCUUCUUCACAGCUUUCAGUUGUGGCAGCCCUUUUACAAGUUGUUUGUAUUGCAAAGUUCUAAGGCUCUUGCUGUUCAGACGACCAUAUAUACCUUCGAUGCCAGAGAUCAGUAGUGUCUUCAGCUAUGACUUGAAGACAUUUUUGUGCUUGUGGUUUUACAGAGGCAAGCAAUACGAACAUUCUAUUCGCCGUUAUCUGAGUAUGAAUUAUGAGACCUCUUCUGGGAUGAAAAAUUCUGGAUGCUCCCUCUUGAAUCAGAAUAGCUAGCCCCUUCUCUUGUAGUUGACCAAGGCUUAACAAAUUAUUUGUAAGCUCAGGAAUGUAGUACACAUCAGUCACUACCUGAGUUACUCCUCCGCUUGAUGUUUCCCUUUCCCAUAUAUUACCACCAUCCUUAAAUUGUUCCCUAGCUUUACUGCAUGCCGGAAUUGCUCAUCAAAAUCCACAAACCAUUCCUUGUUCCAUGACAUAUGAUUCGAGCACCCUGAGUCAAGAAACCAAACUUCUUCUCUUUUUCCACCAUUAAGCUCAACAUAAGCCAUCAGGAAAAGCUCUUCUUCAUCUAUCUCUGCAUAGUUUGUAGGUUUCUCCCAACUAGGGCAUUCAUAUUGAAAAUGCCCUAGCUUGUGGCAUUUAAAGCACUCUACCACUGCAGCUUUGUUGAAGCCAUGCCUCCGACGGCCUUGUCCUCUUCCGCUGAAAGUUCCACGUCCUCUUCCUCUACCACUAGCUCUUUCUUCAUAGGUAACCUUCAGUGCUUGCUCAUCUCCACCACUUUUCCGAAACUUCUGCUCAUGAACAAGCAACGAGCUCUGCAAUUCAUCCAUUGAAAGACUAUCAAUGUCUUUCAACUCCUCAAUUGAACAAACAAUGUAGUUAAACUUUUCUGUGAGGGUGCGCAAGAUCUUCUCAACAAUCUUGACAUCUGGCAUGUCUUCACCAAUGUUUCUCAUGUCGUUGGACACCAGCAUCACUCUUGAAAAAUAAUAUGUGUCCGACUCUCCAAGCUUCAUCUCUAGAACCUCAAAAUCUCUACGAAGAGUUUGAAGUUGAGCACGCUUCACCCUAGCGUUCCCUUGAUACUUAAUCUUCAUCGAAUCCCACAGCUGUUUGGAAGUCUCCUUCUGAGUGAUGGUUUUUAGAAUAGACUUGUCAAUAGAUUGGAAGAGGUAGUUCUUAACCUUCAAAUCCUUCAACUUCAUCUCAUCCAAGCUUUUCUUCUGUGGGUUUGCCAACACCUCUCCAACAGCCGGCUCUCUGUAGCCUGUUUCAACAAGACUCCAGUACUUCUUUGAUCUCAAGAGAUUCUCCAUGAUCAUACUCCAAUGAUCAUAAUCUCUGUCAAACUUGGGAAUACAAGGCUGCACAAAAUUGCUUGUUUCUGCUGCCAUCUUCACACUCACUUUCUUUCACUCGUAGUAUUUCACUCUUCUCACAACGGAGCUCUGAUACCAGAAUGAAAGAACAACCAGACUCUAAACAAAAGUGUUUCACUAACUCUCUCUGAAUGAUUGUUAUUAUUCAAUUGAAAUAAGCUCGGCUUUAUAAAGCCAUUACAAAUAACAUAAAGGCACAAACACAGCCCACAUCUCUUAACAACCCUAAGAUUGUGGUAAUUAGCUAAGGAAAUAGUCAAGUACUAACUGAAACAAAACAAACUCCUAAACAACAGGAGUUAUCGACUAACUUGAAUAGCAGAAACCUAACAAACUACAAACUCCAACAAACAGACAUUUGAAACAUUCAAAACGUCUCCAACACAAAACGUGAGUGCUUCCUUCUUGCAGUAAGAAGGAAAUUGUUGAUCUCAUGAAUUUGCUUUGCGCAUUGUGCUUCUUGCUUUGGCAUCCCCGUCUGUGGAAACUCCGGACGUUGAAAGCUUUAUGAUCAACAGGUUAAUGAUAGAGAAGCAACUACAAAUAAAUCAAAAACCAAGUCAUGUUGACAAAUCCAAUAUCAAAUAACUAAAAUGGAAACAAAAAAACUCAUGAUUGACAAAUCUGAAGAAACUCGAAAGAUGACAAAUCUGAAGAAACCCGAAAGAAAAAAAUAAAUUGAAAUCAAAUACCUUGAUAUAUGAUUUUCUUCCUAAGAUCCAACCCAAUAAAACUGGCUGUGUUGGAGAACUGACCAAUAACGGGAAAAAAUGUAAAGCAAAAAUUAAUUAGAUAUAGGAAUAUAGGAUCGGGAUCGAUGUCAAAAUUAAUGGAAAAACCAAACUCUAGGAACAGUGGCGGAUCCAAGAUGAAAAAGGUACCCAGGCUAAUUGUAACAACAAAUUUUUUAAUGAAUAUAGACGGUGUGAGACACUUUUGUUCAUCAGACAUUCAUAAAUGAUAUGCACUUGAGCCCACGACAAAUUUACAAUCAACAAAUUAAUUCAAAGAUUCAACUUACUAAACUACUUACGAAUAUACAAGCGUUCAAAAACAAAAGGUAAGGAGACGAAAUUGGGCAGCGAGAUGAAUAUUUCUUCUCUCUUCUCCACCAAAACCGAUAACAUCUAGAGAGUUAGCUUCGGACAAAGACUCAUUGAUGACGAUCCUUGAUCACAAAGAAGUUGUGGACGACCAGCUAGCAAAUGAAGUCAAUGAGAGUCGCGAUUAUGAAUUUAGGGCUGAGGAAGUGGGAAGACGAACAUAGGGCUAUAUUGAUAUUAGGAAUUGAGAAGAUGCUGGUUGCUGCUCUCCAACAUCUUAAUCUAGGGUGUGGUGAAGUAGGGUAACCCUUCAAGCCUUAAUCAAUUAAGAUUAGAUGUGAAGUAGCUUAAUUAAGAAGUAGGUAAGAACCCUAAAAGGAACAGCAUCUAAAAAAGUAUGAUAGAUCGAGCCUUCGCAUCUACACUUACAAAUUAGGAAGAACCUUCACAUCACAUCUGAAAAAAAUAAGGGUAAACUAGGCUUGAUUAAGAUUAAGUUGUGCGCAUUAGAAGUAGAGUAAUCCUUCAAGCCUUAAUUAAAAUUAGAUGUGAAGCAGGGUAUUUUUUUUUUUUAACUUGUGAAAUGACGGAAAGCUCACCUAGGCUUAAGCCCAGGUGAGCUCGGGGCUGCAUCCGCCAGUGGCCUAGGAACUACAUACCUGAAUUCAAUUUUCUGUAGUUUCUCUUUCUAUCAUUGCCUUCUGAUAGGAUAAAUAGGGGUGAAUCCACUCUACUCCAAAACUCCCACGAACGUUCGACUUCUGGAUUAGGAUCCUCUCUUUGGCUAAAGUCCAUCCUUGUUUGUCCUCAGCUUUUAAUUACAGUCAUUCACACGAUAGCUAAAGGAAGGAAAUCACAUGUGCCAAAUUGCCCUAUGCCCAAUAUGUGCCAUUAAUAAAAUUCUGACACGUGGAAUCCCAGUCAUCACAAUUAACAGAAGUCUAACUCUGUCGAAUUUAAUUAAAAUUAACUUUUUCUUUUUUUUUUUCAUAAAUGAAAGACUAAAUAAAAUCUCAACCAGAGCCCUUCUCUCAAUCUGCUUCUUCCCUCUUUCUUCUUCUUCAUUGUGUGUCAGGGUAUUGAGGAGAAGAUGACUCCGACGGACCGACCCCAAACAUAGGCCAACACGAUGGCGACCUUUGAUUGUUUCAAAAUCUAAGUUUCUGGUCUUGCGGAUUUAUAUUUUUUGCUGGGCAAGGCCAACCUUCCUGAAAUCGUCGGCGAGGCUAGCCAAGAUUUGAUUGAAUUGGUCCCGGCAACUAGGGAAGUGAUUGGGCAUGCAAGGAGAGAAUUAAGGGUUGAGAAGUUUCUGUAAAACUAUUGCAACCACAAACUAUAUCUCUGUAAAACUAUUGCAACCAAUAGUUUGAUUGCUGCUGUUUGAUUGUGGUAGUGGUGGUGAAGGAAGCCCAGAUCUGUAUACAUAUGAUAAGGAAGAAGCUAGGAAAGGACUUUGGGUUGUGGAGUUUCUAAAAGAAACUGUUUCUUUUAUUUUCUUACUAAAAGAAUUAAAUAUUUACCGUAAUAAAUUUGACAGAGUUAAGUUUCUGUUAAGUGGUGAUGACUGGAAUCCACGUAUCAAAAUUUUAUUAAUAGCACAUAUUGGGCACAGGGCAAUUCUGAUACAGGUGAUUUCCUUCCAUAGCUAAAGGCCAGAGUUAUGACACCUCAACAAUUAAACUUAAUGACUCAACAUUUGGGGUUUUUGGACAUUUUGCAAGGCUAACGUCGUUGUUCUCUUUUAUUUCCGGCAUGAUUCAUCGUUCUUUUUUUGGUCUGGUCAUGAUUCAUCGUUCAUCCAACCUUUUUCAUCUCCCAUUCUCAGAUCUUUUGUUCUUUGAACUUCUUUCUUUGAAAAAAAUUCAAAUAUCUCCACGAUUAUGAAAAGAAAAGGAAUAUAGCUAAUCUUUUUUAAAGUCUAUAUCUCAACAGAUGGCUUGUAGAUCUGAAGAAAAAUUGAUGAAUUGAACACAACAAAGCAUUUAUCUGGUGAUCCAAUUCUGAAAUCCAUAUUUGUAUCAGUUUCCUUUCAAAAUGGACAAAGACAGGAUUGAAUAGGAGUAUAGGACUGCAUUUUACUUUUAGUUUCAAGCAAAAUUAUGCCGCCGAUAAUGUAGGGCACAAAGGGAUUUAAGUUGUUUGUUGUCGGUAAGCAGCUCUUUUACUUGAUUAAAUGGUAAGCAGCUUUUUUACUCGAUUAAAUGGCCGUGACGUGACAGGAUAAAAUUAAGUUUUAUCGGGUAUACUUUUUGACGACAACAUAAUUAGACAUUAGAAUAUGUAAUCAUAUAAACAUAAAACCAUUAUAUCACUACUGUGACAAACAAAUAAAGUAGACAUUAGACCAUUACUCUUUCUCAAUUGGUGUUUGUAGACCAUUACUCUUUGUAGAGAUUCUUGAUAUUCUUUGGAAACUUAGAUACCUAUUGUAAUCAGGGGGUUUAGACUUCAUGCCUAUUUAGCCGCACCAAACAGCCUAAAUACAAUUUCAAGUCACCUACUGAUAAAAUGCUGCACUGAUAUUUAUACGACAAUGGCUCAUUUAAAUUGGAAAAGAAGCUGAUUGUAUUUACAAUAUCCGAGAUACACCCUCCGAAACUCAGUCAACUGUCACCCACCAUUAACCCUGAGCCAGGCUCAAUCCUGGAACCACUCGAUCAAUUUUGCUCCCAAACCCCUAAAAAAUAAAAAGGAUUUGGGAGGAUCAAAGAAAAAGGGAUGGCCUAAAGUUACAAUGUCAAAAUUUUAGGUCCUGACUUGCUCCAUAUACACUGUACAGCGGAAAGCUGGGCUUCAGCCAUCAAGCUUUGCUAAGAACUGGCUGAGGUUGUAUUCUUCAGUGUAUUGUGACUGAUCCCACAACUCUUCCAGCCCGCCAAGAAUCGCUUUCAACCCCUUUCCAGCACCCGUUAAUUUCACAUCUCCAUCGAAUUUUCCGUCUGGAUGCUUGGAUACAGAAGUUACCUUGAAAACACAAACGUAUAAAAAUUGUCAUUUUCCUUCAGUCAUUCGUAUUGAAAAGAACUAAGAAAAAACAAGAAUUCAGAAUACAACAGAUGCCAAGUUUACAAUUAUUAAUGGAAGAUAUACUAGAAAUAACAACAGACUAUAAUUAAAUAACAAACUCAUAUAUACCGUUAGCAUACAUAGUCAACCAUAAUAAAGACAAUAGACACAAACUCAAGUCUGACAACAACAAAAAAAAAAGACAAACUCAUGGAUAUCAUCACAAAUAUGCACAAGAGACCAGCCAGCAAUACCUUCUUAGAUGUUUCUGCUGUUGCAAAGAGAUCAAGCAAUUGGUCGGUAUUCAUUGUUUUCAUACUAGCAUUCUCAGCAUUAAUGACUGCAUUAGCAACAGAGAGCUUAAACUUUUGCAGGCUCAUAACUUUCUCUUCAAGAGUGCCACGCAUAAUCAGACGAUGGACAUUGACAACCUUUUUCUGACCUAAUCUGUGUGCUCUGUCCAUUGCCUGCAAGUUAAGUCGAAAACACCAAUGAAAAAGGUGGUACUGGGAAAUAUACUUUUAUCCACUACUUUGAGAGACCAAAGAAGAGAAUAUUUGUGAGAUAAGAUAUUAGGCCAUCAUCUUAGAGAUCUGAUGCUGAAUACUAGAUAUGGGGAUACUAGACAGCACGAGACAGGUACCUGAUGAUCUCGCAUUGGGUUCCAGUCAUGCUCCAUGAAGACGAGAGUGUCAGCAGAUGUUAGGUUCAAGCCCAGCCCACCAACUGCAUAAAGUGAGUAAACUUCAAUAACAUUCCAACUGAAAAUCAACUUUUUAGGUAUUAAGAAGUGAGCCCACCAUGAGUUGUGAGAAGCAGGACAUCAAUUGUAGGAUCUGAAUUGAAAGCUUUAACAAUAUCAAAACGUUUCUCAGGUUCAACUGACCCAUCCAGCCGCAAGUAGGUAACACUGCUUUCAAGAACCAUUAUACUGAUUAAUGUCAAAUAACCACUAUGCAACCUUUUAUUAACUGUUGGUACGUAUGAGAAGCCAAUUGCUUAGGUUCACAAAACUACAGUGAUCCUUACUCUUAUGCCCAUAGAACAUAAGAAUUUGUCACAUCUAUUCCUCCACUCUAUUAAUUUUUGGUAACCUAAGCUACAAGUUUCAUAUUAAAAUUCUCUAAUUAAAUUCUCAAUGCUAAGCAAGCAGAACUAUAAUUGCACCAGUUAAAUUUUAGCAGGCUACCCAUCAACAAAAUCAUUGAUUAUAAUUGUGAUAGCAAACAGCUCCCAAAUUCCCUUCCACCCAAAAACAGACUAAUUUUAGCAGUAAAGGUUACAUUACAUAGAUAUACAACCUAGCAACUUAUUUGCAUCCAGUGUGAAAUAGAGGCAUUAGGAAACUAACCUCUUCAUAUGAGUAUGAAACAAGUCUCUUUCAAUUAAGUCCAGAAAUGCCUGCAUGAGUGGCCAACCAAACAUUAUAGGCCAUGAAAGCAAGGUGUGCAUAAGUUUCCUAAAAUGAACUAAGCAACAUAAAAUGAACAUUACUUUAUGUUGAGCGAAAAUCAAGACUCUGUGCUGCCCAACACCUACGGCACCUUCAGAACCAGAAGCAUCGACGCCUAUUCCACACUCUUCCAGGAUCUCCUGAAGUGCUACCAGCUUGGGAGAGUGAUAUGGCUUAUGCAAUUCCGCAAUGAUGUCAGAGACUCCAGGCAAUGUCUCUGACAAAAGGAAAUCAGUGGAGUCUGGAAGCUUGUCACCAAGAACAAGCAAUGGAUGGCUACAAAGUUUAAGCAAGUACUGAAGCGCCUGAAACAAAGAUCAUAACAUACAUUAAAUUACAGGAACAGACAGAAUUACAAUGACAACUCAAUAAACAAUUAAACGGAGAGAAUUACUUGAAAAACAUGAGUUGAUGCUCGGGGUGAAUCAGUAUGCCCUCCUGUAUCUGCUGACUCGUUUUGUUUUACCAUACUUGAUAUCUCUUGUCUUACAUGUGAACCAGAAAACUGUUCAUACAAUUUUAAUUGUACAGGGCUCAAAUCACAAAAUCUAUCCUGAAUGAUUUUCUCAGGAAGAUCAGACAAGACUUCAUCUUUUGUUCGUCGAAGAAGGAAAGGCAUGACCUAUUUGAUAGAACGGAAUUAGUCAGAUAUGUACAUCAAUCUCUACAUAAACUCGGUUGAUUAUUUGGUAUUCAUUUUUCACAGAAAAGAAUGUGAAAGAACACUAAUUUGCUCUUGUUAUAUUCCCGGAAUCAAUAGGAAUCCCUAUUGAUAUAAAAAUAUAAUAACAUAUAAUUAUAGUUUUCUCUCUUUGCAAUGCACAAUCAGCUUUCUAGUGAAAAAAUGAAUGCUUAUGUAAUACAAUAACAUGCAAGACGGUGCAAGUGGUAUCAGUCAGAGACGGUGGGGAGGCUAUCUGUCCACUUCAGAAAAGUAGCUGAUCUAGGAUGGUUGGGGUGGUGAAUGGCCAAUUUUUUGCUCCAAAAGGCAAUUUCCACCUCUUGAUGGAUUACAUUACAUAAAAACAAUGUUCUAGGAAACACGCUAGACGGCAAGGAACCAAUCGGAUUUUCACUUAGGUGUUUGCCUUUGGCGCUGAAAAACUAGGUGGGCUUGCCGGUGCUGGGUGCAGAGCUGAUUUUUUAUUUUAUUUCUCAUCGAAAAUCAAAACUACGAAGAAAAGUUUGAAACUGAAACUCGUUCUCUGAAGUCUCAACAAAAACCAUGAAAGUCUGAAAGUCCUCUCAGUCCCCUUGAUUCAAAGUCUCCAAUGCCCUGUUAGCAAACUCUAUUACUCCUCGAUGCUCGAUGGCAGCGGCACAGUUUGCGACUGAAAAUCAUUGACGACUGAGAUGCAGUUCAUCCCCAAAGCCAACUAAUAGGUCAUUGACUACCUCCGGAGACAGAUGGAUAGCCCAUGGAGAGAGAUAAAAUAAAUCAGAGAUACUGAAUUUCUGAUCGGAGCCGGCAGAGUAGUCCAGAAGAUCUUUGGCCAUUAGCAUGUCAGUGAAUCGUCCAUGUCCUUGCAAAUCUUUGCUAAUAGUCGGACUUGAAUCUAUGAUUUGUGUAUUUUGAAUAUCUUAUUUUACAUAUAUUAAUCAUGAUAUUUUGACUAAUCAUAAUAAUAUGUUGAAUAUCAUAUAUUAAUCAUAUAAUAAUCAUAAUAAUAUUUUGAAUAUCUUAUUUUACAUAUAUGAUAUUUUUCAUAUAUUAAUCAUAAUAAUAUGUUGAACAUUAAAAUUAAAAUUCCGAUAAAUUUGAAUAAACCCCCACCCCCGCGGCUGACAAAAAUUUGAAUUACAGUCUGAGAAUUUUUCUAUUUAUUUAAUAAACCACCCAGCUUGUGCCUAUCGUAUUUAGAACAUUGCAUACAAAAAUAUGUUCAAAAUAUCUCCCAUGUCAAAGCAAACACCAGAGCAUGCAGUUUUUUUUUCCAAGAUGAUUAUGAAGCAGAAAAGAGAAAUUAAGAAACACAGAAAUAGGAAACCUGCUUGUGCAAUGCUUCCAUAGCAAGUGCUCCUGCUUCAGCAUCCUUGGCUGAGCAUUUAGGAUCCCUGGCUGCCACCAGUGGUUUUCCAUAAGUGGCUUGGAACUGCCAAAGUGACGCAAAAUCAAGAGUUACUAGGUAAUGAACAGUAAUACACUUUUUUGCCUACUAGUUCCAUGGUAUUCUCUCUUCAAUGUUAGUUGUCCUUUAACUCAUUCUUUUCGUCUUAAUUGGUGGUGGUUACCAAAAUGCAAAAAAAAAAAUGAAAUUAAAAUAUUCUGUAGACAAAUCAGGUGUGUUGGGCUUAGUUUAAACUAUGACAAACACUCCAAUUAGUCCUUAGCCAUUAGUUAAUGUAGUAGCUCCUGACUGUCAUACACACUUGCCAAAACUUAAUUUUUUGGAGGGGAAGAGUAGCCAAAACUAAGAUGAGAUACAGAUACAUCAAAGUAGGAAUAACACCAGACUACCAUUGCGGAUAUUGUUUUGUUUAGACGUUGGGUUUCGGGUUUCAGGUUUCAGGUUUCAGCAGAAGCAAUUUCUUACCAAAGAUUUUGGAUUUUUUUUUCAGGUAGUUUUUUCUUGUUGUAUACUAUACUGCAUUUGCUCUUUUUGUGGGUCUACACCAUUAAUAAGGAAGAGUCUCUAUUGAGGACUUUAAUAUAAGGACUUAUAAAUCAACAUUUGGAUGAGUGGUCCAAACUUUAUGUAAAUUAUUUCUUCAACUUACAAGCCAUCCAAAUAUUGAAUUAAAUGUUCUCCUGGCUAAAGUUUAAAGGUCCACAUUUGAGCCGCACCCCUAUUAAUAAUUUAACUCCGGCCAAAGCUCAAGCCCAGACUUGGUCCUUUUGGCAUUUUCGGUUUUCUUCUACACUUUACACUAUAUGUAAAAAAGUCUGCCAGAAUUUUCCUAACCAGAUGUAAAUAAUUAUGAAAGGAAAAAGAAAAAGAUUAAAAGAACACACACCUGUCUCUCUGUUCCAAGAAACCCGGGCAUUAGAAAAUCAAAAAGGGACCACAAAUCCAUGAUGUUAUUCUGCAAACACAAGGUGACUUGUCAAGAAAAUUUGAAAAUAGUCAAUUUUCUGUUAAAGUUCAAUUACCUUGACAAACCUGAAUUGGUGUUCCACUCAGUAUCAACCGAUUUUGGGCUUUCAAUUGCUUCACGGAAAUUGUUAUUUUUGACUUCGCAUUCUUGAUGACAUGUCCUUCAUCUAAAAUACAAUAAUUCCAGAGAAGCUUUCCAAGAUAAUCAAUAUCUUUCCGAACCACAUCAUAUGAUGUUAUUAUCACAUUAUGCUUAUCAAACUUUUCUCGAAGACUGGAGCGAUCUUGAACAGAACCAACAUAUUGGAGAGUGGAUAAAACGGAACCAUCAAUGUACUUCUCUAUUUCAAAGGCCCAGUGUGCAACAAGUGUUGAUGGGCAAAUAAUUAAGGAUGGUGGGAUAUUGCUAUCAUUUGAAGAGCAGUGUUCAACUACGUCAGAAGCCACAAUAGCCGAUGCUUGAAGUGUCUUACCAAGACCCAUGUCAUCACACAAGAUCCCAUGAAGCUUAAAACGUUUUAAGAAAGCCAACCAGUUUAUACCUUCCUGUUGAUACCUGAAUCCAAUAAUGAGAGGUGAGAACUAGAAUGUUUAUUUCAUAAUCUGAUAAUCAGGACAAUCUAUUCCGAUUAAAGAGAAUCUCAGAAAAGAGUUGACAAGUCGUACUUAAAGGAGUAUAAGAAGGCAAUCAUAAGACAACAAACACAAGACAAGUCAAUAAAAAAUUUAAAUGAAAGAAGACCCCCUUAAUCCACAUGUCAAUGUUCUCAAAAUUUUAUCACCAUGUUAAAGCCAUACCUCCUCAGGGUCACUUUGAGUUCAGUACAAAGCUCGUAAUCAUCAAUAUGAGAGUUGUCAAGUAGUUGCUCUAGAAACUUUGCAUCUUCUGCACUUCUCGAGAGAUCUUCACUUAGCCCAACAGGUGGAGGGAGGCCACGAGCCAGGGGAAGAAGAGGUACAAGGGCAGCGAAACUGUGUGUCACACUUUGUCUGACAGACUGAUCACAAUCACUCAUACAUCUUAGAAGAGGAACAACCAACAAAGGAGCAUAAGGUACCAGCUCUACACCCAGUCCCUGAACAAUCAAACUAAUAAGCAUGCCUGCACCUUGUCUAGCAUUAACAGAUGUCACAUCCCCCAACAUUGGGAUGGCAUUUUCAAUUACAGCUCCCAUCACAGGUAUAGUCAUGGACUUGGCCAUAGAAGUGAUGCAUCUAGACGAAGCUAAUCGAACAGCAACAUGGGAAUGCCGAACACACUUGAAGAUGCAUGGAAGCAGAGUGAGCAAUUUUGGUUUUAAAUCCUCACUUACCAUCGGAGCUAUAGAACGUACCACCUGCAAUUCAAAAUUUAAAUAAUGAGAUUAAAACAAGGAAUUGAGUUUGCAGGUCCACAAAUUUUGACCCUCUACUAUAUGGUAAUCUAAUUUCCUGUAUAGUAGACAUGGAGGGGGAGGAAAAAGAAAGAAUAGAAAACCGACUGAAAUAUCAAAAGUGAACAGAAAGAUAUGAAGUCCUUUACUCAGUCUGCCUUAAAACAAGCUUUAUUGUGAAUUACUUGUCGACCAAAUGUAGUUCAAUGAACAUAAACCUUAUCAUGUAAGCAUUUCAAAAAAGAAAAAAAGGAAAAAAAAGAAAAAAGAAAAAAAAAAAGAAGCAUCCUAUAUCCAGGGAAGUAUGACAAAAACAGCAAGCCUAGCAAGCUACCUCAAAUACAGUUUAUAGAUAUUGUUUAACCAAUAAGAGCAGCCUAGUUAGCAUAACAAACAAAAUCAGUUUAUCGAACCUUCUAGCGAUUGAAAAAGCAAACAAAACAAAGCAAAAAAUAUAUUAGAAUUUUGACACCCGAGGGAAGCAUCUCUUGCCAAGUUCUCACAUCGAGGAUAUGAAGGUGAUGGCAUUACCUCUUUUACCUUCUUUUAGUGAUCAAUAACUAGAAUUAAACACGGGAAUAUCAACACAUCCGGGAAAAAAGAAAAAAAAACAAUUGAUCAUGUGUCGUGAAAAGGGAGGCAGAAAAAUUUGUAUAGAAAAAUAACCACCAAACUCUUCCUAAACACAGCCAAGAGACUUUAGCUCCAUUGGGCAGCCUAACUGAAUGAUCACAAUGAGGACACUUUUAGCUAACACUAGUGUGACAUUAUCAUAUGCAGAAGCGUUAGACCGUAAAGCAAGAUUAUAAAAAAUAACUUUUGAAAUGACGAUGACUGAUUUUGUGGAAAUAGUAACCAGCAAAGUCAAGGAUGAUCAUAACCUGGAUAUUGUUUAUCAAUAGCUGGGGAUCCCUGACAGAUUCCAUAGCUUGUGUAAUUAUAACUUCAUCUGCAGGAUUAAGGCACUCAAUAACACUAGGCUUUAGAACUUCCGUGAGGCACUCCCAUAGUUUAGGAAGCUUAUCAAACAAUGAAUUGCCAAACUUCAAACAAAGAUGCCUCAAUGCAAGCUCAGAACCUCGUCUGCUAAUAAAGCCUUCAACCUUUGAACGGUCUUCACUACCAGCUACCAUAUGAACCUUUGUUUUCUGCUUACUACUAUUGGUCCCCAGAGAAAGAAGUUCUUGAUCAUCAACAAUAUCUAUAGAACAGAGGACUGCAGCUUGUGGUGUCUCACUAGGAUCCAUACAUGUUAAAUUACAAAUAUUCUUUAUUAACUUGUCAUUUGGGCUAGGCCUGCGAGAAAUACAAUCAGAAAUAAGCUCUGCAAGUGCCUCAGCUGCCUUUUGUUGCAGAACUUCCUCCUUCAAUAGAAAUCUUAAGUAUGUUAGAUUCAAUAAGCAUGCAUCUGUAUACUUGAGAAAAAAAAAUUAUCAGGGACAUUACCUGUUCUCUUUUGAUGGAAGCCAUUAAAGGCAAGAUAAUAGGAUUUAGUCGUGUAGGAAGCUCUGACAUCCAAACAACUGAAGCCGCCACAAGGGAGGAGACACCAACAUGCAGAUUGCUCUGUAUAUUGUUCAACCAAGAAUCAAUUAACUAAUAGAGAGAUCAUCAGCAUACAAAUGAUAAUAAAGAUUCUCAAAUAAGAUGAAUAAGGUCGGUUAUUUUUCGGGAUUCUAGAUUAAAAAUCAUUUCGCGAAAUUACAUUAAGAAUCUAUUGUUUGCAUCUCAGACAUACCUGAACACAUUUUAGAUAUCCUGAUGUUGUCAAAAGUUGUUGCUUUGCUGACUCUAUACCAUCAACAAGAUGCCUUUCCAAAGAAUCGUUCGCCACAUUAUCAUUAGACAACAUUGGAAGUUUUGAUGCGAAAUUAAUUGCAUCGUCCACACUCAAACUCUCCAAAUGAAUUUUAUUAGUGGACAAGAAGCUCUCGAACAUACCCGAUGACUCAACAGUAUGUAGCAACUGACUAGCCUGAUCACGCAUCUUACUAUAUGUUUUUGAAAGCUCAGUGUAAGGAAGAAGUGAACCUUUUGUAGGAAAAGCAGGGUCAGAAGAAGCUAACAGAUCCAACAACCAACUUUUGAUAUGGUUCAGUAAACCUGGCAUAACUCCAGCAAUAUCAAAUAGACCUUUACUUUUAAUCUCUUUGAACCAAGAAAUAAGAACCAUAGACGCUACCUGGAUAUAUACGAAUGAUUAGAUUUAUACCAAGAAAGAGAGAAAACAAAUGAUAGCAAACUUUUUGGAGUUAAGAACCUAAAAUCAAACAGUACCUGUCGCUGGACGCCAGAAAAAGACGUAAGAGCGUUUGUCAGUGGGUCAAUUACAUACUGUAUUGAGCCUUCCUGCAAUCUAGAAGCAAAAACUCCCAAUGCUGCUGCUGUAACCACUCUGGUAUGAGUUACAGACAAUUCAACAUCUGCACCAACAAUUAUCUGGACAUUAUUGGUUAAAGCAUCUCCAGCUUUUUCCUGUGAAAUGGAGCCCUUUGCAGAAUCCAAGCCAAUGUUUCCACAAGACUCAUUUUCAAGCUUCACAGCUCUCAUUUUAGCUGCUGCUUUAAAAUGGCUCUUUCGAGGAAGAGUAACAGGCCAAAACAUUUGUGUCGAAUCUAAUGCUGAACCAUAUGAAGUAGUUGCAAGUUCUAUCCAAGAAGACAUAUAUGACCUUGCAACAAUUUCCAGAUCUCCUACUGGACACUGGUAAGAAGAGAUAGAAAGGGGAGGGAAAAGUUAAACAGAAUACUGAUAAAUAAGCAGCAUUAAAAGUUUAAUAAAGUGAAUCUUUAUGCGCCCAUAAGCAAGAAACCAGCAUGAACAAAGACCAAGGAGCAGGUAAACUAGCGGUACUCAAUAAAAGUUGCACAAUCAGCAAUAACAUCUAGAGUUUAAGAUACAUAAACAGUUCAUAUUAUAACAUGGGCAAAGGUAUACAUAAUUUCUGUUAUUUAGGGUUAUAAGCAUUCCUUCUUUUCUAUUUUCUGUAAACAAACAAACUUUAUUGAAGAGGAAGAUACAAAAAAAAGAGUAGACAAGAAGUCCUCAAAGGAACCAUUCUUACACAGCAAGACUCCUAACCAACAAACAAAAACAAUCCAACUAGGAAACACAUUCCACAGGGUCAUAAUCAAUAUUGUCUCUCUUUAGAAGAAAGUUUGACGCUUUGGAGUUUAUUUCAAAAUAAUCUAACUUUCCAAACCAUGGGAACAAAAAGAAAGAUGUUGAAACAAAUGGGAGAGGUGCGUUGAUGGAUUUAAGAGAGAAGAACAGAAGGAGAGAGGAGACGAACAGAGCUACGUUGCUGUAAACAGUCCAAAUAAAAUCUUCUGAUUCUCAUUAACAACACAGUACAUAUACAAUUAUAUGUCCUGAGGAAUACCUAAACUGCCCCAAGCUAUAUUACAUUAUUCUUUUUUUUUUUAAAAGAAACAGCUUUUUUUAAUUGAAACAAAAAGCAAAGAACAAGAACAAGAAGGCGAACAAGGAGUCUGCUUAAAACGAAAAGAGGGCAGCUAGGACUAAAAGCCCAUGCUAUAUUACAUUAUUUCUCUAACACCCUCCCUCGAACUUAAGUUGCAUACAACUGAGUUUCCAAGGACAGAAGAGCAAACAUAAGUAAAACAUAACUAAACCAACAAGGUAACAAGCAACAGAAUAGUACUGUAUACUAAGAUCGAAAAAUAUAAAAGCUCAUGUCGACUACCGGCUGCUGACUGAUGCUGAAAGGAGGAGAGGGUACUAACUAUGCUGCCAAAAGUGAUGGCUGUGGACUAUAUUGAACCGACAUUCAGAGAAACUGGUGCCAAUAAAUGGCUGCGGGCUGAUUGAUGCAAAAGCUCAGCCUGCUGACUGACUGAUUGCUGAAAACAGCAAUCAGAAGUUCAGAACAAAGAGGAGGAGGAAGCGAUCUGAAAGAAGAAGCAACUGACGAAGAAAGAUAUUUAGUGGAAGCAAAGGAAGCAAUCAGAAGAAUAAAGUGACUGACAAGCAAGGCUGCUGAAGAGGAAGAAGCGAUCUGGGAACGAUGAAAAGAAAAGAAACAUAUACUGAGAUUGAUCAGAUCAUAACAAAGUAACUAGCGGAAGUGAAAGUGAUCAGUUCCAAGACGACCCACGGGUGUACAGAGAAGGGAUUCUCCACACCUACAAGGGGAUGUCAAUUUCUGAUGGAUCAAGAUAGCUCUGAUACCGUGAUAGAUUUAAGAGAGAAGAACAGCAAAAAAGAGAGGAUACGAACAGAGGAACGCGAAUGUAAACUGAGUAAGGAAACUUUUAACAACAAGGUAUAAAGGUACAUGGACAACCCUAAAUUCUAUAGCAUACCUAAACUAAGCUAACAACCAUUGACCCCAAACAAAAAGGACCAUUUGUAACUAUUUCCCCUGUGAACACUCCAAAUUUUAGUGAAAUUUGGUGUAUAAGCAAAACAGUAAGAGGGCAGAGAGAAUACAAUGCAGUCCUUACAACCCUGAAUGCCUACGACUGAAUUUCAGCUCAUCAUUGUUAUAGACAACAAAAAAAAAAUAGGAUAUCAUACAUAAAUACAAUGAUUGGAAUGCAUGUCUUUGUCAAAGCCAAAACUCCACAAAUGAAUAGUUCUUAAGAACUUUCCGAAAGUUUUUGUGAACCUGAACAAGAUACUUUAACUUUAUUGUCGGGGGAAAAUACUCUACUUGCAGCAGUUAAAAAGGAUACGAAAGGCAGGAAUACAUCAAUGCAGAAAUGUGGAAUGACAGUUAUUGUGUAAACCACCAAACAAAAGAACAAACAAACAAACGUCCCAAAUCAGUCGCACAAUCCAAACCACAUCAACUCCUCUAAUCUUUCAGGGAAAAUAAAAGAAGCAGAUAAUACAGAACCUCUGAAAAAAUAAAAAUAAAAAAUAAAUCCGCUCAUCAUGAAGAGAUAAAAUAUAGAAAAAACCUGAACAAGGAGCCUCCAAACCCUCUCUGAAUGUUUCAAAAUUUCAUCAUUCGAUUCAAGUAGCAAAUUCUGAAAAACAAUUCUGAGAGUGUCACCCAGGAUAAAGGAAGGCCAAAAUGAAGUAUUCGAAUGCUCAGAAAUGUUCCUUCUAUAUCCUGCUUCAAGCAGUCUCUCCUGAAAAUGAAAAUAACCGACUGUAAAUGGACAUAUAAUUGCCACACAAACACACCAAAAAUAUUUACUAACAUACUUCAGAAUAUCUGAAACCCUACGCUGACUUACACACUUCAUGCAUGUCACGCAUAAUACUUUUAUAAAAAGAAAAAAAAACGAAAUUUUAAAUAGAAGAAGAAAUGAAAUAUAAACAUUAGCAACACUAAAAAAUUAAAUUAACAACAAAAAACCGGGCAAUAACCCUAGGUAGAAUACUAAGACCCAUACUUGUGGAUCACACCACUGUGAUACACUCAUUUUUUUUAGUGNNNNNNNNNNNNNNNNNNNNUUUUUUUUUUUUUUAAGGAACAAAAUCAAAGUAUUCAAAAAAAGCAAUGGUUGAACAGACUUUAUACAACACAGAUACUAGCAAUUGUUCAAACACAGCAAUAAUGGAGCCAAAAUAAUUUUACCAAAGUGCGGAUAGCUGAAUAACGGACUGAUGUUAUACUAUGCCUCAUAAAAGGCCACAAGCGUGGUGCCAGUGUAGAUAGCAUGAAAGGAUUAUCCUGUGAAAUUAUUCCUUCUUUAGCAUCAUCAAUGCGACCCAGUUCAUUCAAGUCAAACUCCAGGUUUUCUUUCAAAGAUAAUGGCUCAAAAAUCUUAGGGAUCAUCUCUUCUUGGGAGUAGAUUUCUGCCAGUAGAUUCAUUACACUGCAUAGAAAAAAAAUUGUUAACAGAACUAAAAUCUCCAAAAUACAAAUUUCUGUCUGUUUAGCUGUUGAUAAAACUAUUUUGCUUCAAAAAAUAUGAUAUAUAUCUCUACUACUAUAAAGCCAGGGGUUCAGAAAAUACACCAAGUUAUGUUUUGCCUAAAUUACCCUUAAUGAGUUGAUUGAAAGAACUAAAUUAAAAGGUUAUUAUAGUAAAAUACAGAAUAAAUAAACAAACAAAAAAAUAGAGAUAUUUGUGUAGAAAAACGUGGGUAGUGGAAAGUUGAGAUUAAUAAUGGUUUGCCACAUCAAAAACCAUACAACUAAAAUUAACAAUCUAUGAUUUUGUGAGUCCCGUGCAAAUGCACGGGGAAAAGGCUAGUAUAUAUAACUGGAGGAACCUUAAAAGCGAUACUAAUGGAAUCAAUCAAUCAAUUAAUGCGGUGGAGACAUCUUUAUUUAUUUAUCAGUGUAUACACUUGUCAUGAGAACCAGCCAGUCUUUAGAGAAGAUAUCAGUUCAAUCUUUCAUAUGUUAAUAACCUUUCAAAUAUCUUCCAGCAUUCCCCAUCCACUAGAAAUUGAAAAGUCAACUUUAUGAUUUAAUUUCUCAUGCAAUCCAAUUAUGACCCACACCCACCUGCUGAGAACAUCAUCUUCAUGUAAAAUAAUGAAAAGGGAUUUGAUUCUCUUUCCUAAAACCUUUUUACCCUUACACCUUGUCCUACCCUGUGGAAACUAGAGACUAAAUAACGACCUAUAAGAGCGUAAUAAAAAAAUAAUAAUAAAUAAAUAANNNNNNNNNNNNNNNNNNNNNNNNNNNNNNNNNNNNNNNNNNNNNNNNNNNCUGCAAAGAACGGUAGGAAAAGAUACUAUGGACAACAGAAAAGUACCUGCUAGUGGAUGGACUUAAAUCAUCCAAAUCAAGUAAUAUGUCCCAAAGAAGCAUCACCACAGAAUGCAAUGUUUGACCCUUUAAUGCAACAAUAGCAGAUGCGGUAGGUAUUAGAGCAUCUGCAGCUACUGCUCGAACAUCAUCAUCAGGGUCCUCUAGGCCAGCUUUACAUGCAGGCAGAACCCUAUCGAGUAAGUUAUGUAGCAUUUCCUGGUAUCAUGAAAAUAAAAAAACAGUGGAGCAUUAGGUAGUAACCAUGUACUUCAAGAAAUAUAUGCACCUGAAGAGCAAGUGUAAAAUUAUAUAAUGUGUGCAUGUAAUAUCUCAGUAAUGCAAGCACCAACCACCAAAACAAAAAAAGAAACAAAUUUGUUGCAUAGUUGAUUAGUGGUUAUGUGUUUACUAAUGUUCUUCAACUGCAGUUCAUUAGUCAAACCUAAUAUAUACCUUCCGCACGGCCACCAAAUACUUAAUACUCAAAAGGCUCCCGUGACGAAUUUCCCAUUCUGGUCUACACUGAACAAAUAGGAAUAUCAGAAGCACAAAAAAAUACAACACAUAGAUUCCAACCAAGUACAACUAAUAUAACAGACCAAAAACAUGGCAACUACCUGCAUCUUCAACAAGAUAUUCAAUGUUUCAUGAACUAAUGUUGGAUGCAUAUAUUUGAACACAACACCCAAUGCUUGUGCACAGGUUUCACGUACGGGAGCAACUACCUGAUCAGAGACAUAAUCUCCAAAACUGCAAUCAUUUUAAACAUAAUGUUAUUAAGAUAAGGAAGCUCCCAUUUUCAUACUAGAAAUCAAAGUACAAUAUUUAGAAAAAUAAUAUACGAGAUCAGGCCCAGAGUUAAGGAAAAACACAGCAACCUUGAAAAAAAACAUACCGGUCUAGUGACAAUACACACAGGAAACGAAUCGCACAAUCUUGAAGAAAUUCACAAUUUUUAAGCCAUGAAUGCCUAACCAGUUUAACCAAGUUCAACAGCUCGUUAUUUUCGGUAAGACUUCUCAGCAGAUCCAGUUUCUGAGAGGAUGCCUCACUCUUCAACUCAGUUGUACAGACCGGUUGCUCACCUGGAUACAACUCAGGCUCCACCUUUAGAGAGCUGAAGCAUAGUUGACCAUUAACCUGCUCAGAAGGCAAAUUACACCCACCAUCUUGAACCUGCAUACUGAUAUCUACAUUCUCAUCCUUGCUAGCAGAGAUCAUUGUUUCCAAAAAUGGACAUGAAACAUCUUCAAACUUCGGCUUCUUCACCAUUGUUCCAAAUUCAUCAAUUGGAACUUGCACAUUCAAAUCAAUCUCUCUGUUUCUCUUCAUUGUCUGUGAUGUCCAUUUACUUUCUAAAUCAGCAAACAGUGCAUCAUCCAGGCUCAAGUCAGGCAUAAAUACUCCGGCAGAAGCACCCUGAUGGGUUAAAAUUUCCCUCAAUGCCAUCACACCACCAUGGCGUACUUCCCAAACUAAGAAAGAUCAGAACAGUAAAAUGAAGAAAAAAAAAUGUAUGAGAGACUACAACUGAAGUGCAACUUAAGCAUAUAAAAGAAUAUAUAAAAAAAACUUAUAGAUUAAAUCAAUCAGGUAGUUUAUGGACCCAGUAUUUUCCAGAAGAGAAUAAUAACAUAACUACAGUAGCCAACCUGGAUCAAACAUGUCUAGGAUGAGUUGCUCAACAAAACUAUGAAAAGGCCACCGCCCAUCUCCAUCUUCAAAGUUUUCUUCAUCAUGAUCAAAGUCCAUAGAUUCCUGUGUAAUUAAUCAACAUUAUAAUGCAGAAACUUAUGUCCGGGCACAGAAUAAGCAAAAGAGAAGAAAGAAACCAAAGUAAAUCAGAAACUGAUCAUUGUAUCCAUAUGUAGCUGAAUAAAUUUUUGUAGCAUGUAGAAAUCAACCUGUAGAAGUCUAUAGAACAUUAGUGUAAAACGCAAAACAUCCAGUGCAAAUAAAUGCUAGCUAUUAGAAAAUGAAUGUAAAAUUUUGAAUUAUGAGAACCGAAACACUGCAAUAUUCACACUGCAAAUAUGCAUAGGGUUUAGCGUUAAGAAUUGAUUAUGCAAAUACACAAUGCAAUUUAUAAGUACAUAAUAUUCUCUCCCCCAUCUGUUUUGUUCUUUAAUUUAAAAUUUACUCAUAUUCUUCAUAACCCUAAUUUCCCUGAACAAGAAAGGUUAGUACUUUCUAUUAGUAUAAAAUGCAGAACAUCCGGAGCAAAUACAUGCUAGCAAUUAGAACAUGAAUGUAAAAUUUUGAAUUACGAGAACCAAAACACUGCAAAUAUACAUAGGGUUUAGUGUUUAGAAUUUUGAAUUAUGCAAAUACACACUGCAGUUCAUAAGUAUGUAAUUAUCUCUCCCCCCUAUAUUUUAUUUUCUUUCUUUAAAUUAACCAUUUAAUCAUAUUCUUCAUACCCUUAUUUUCCCUGAACAAGAAAGGUUGAUACUUUCUAAUAAAAAGAUUAAAUGAUAGUUGAAGCUCAUGUCCAAUUUAUAUACUCUCCAAUCAUUUUAAAUUCAUUACAGUAGGAUUUUACUUCCAAAUCAUGUGAAAAAGAAAAAGGAAAAGAUAUAGCACUUUUAAGCUUCAGUAGGAGUGAUCUCCUCCUUUAACACUGCAUGCAAAACUAAAACUGGUUGUUCCCUAAAAAUAAUUAUCAAGGAACAAAGCAAUAUACAAGAAAUAAAUCAAUAGCUUCAAAGCAUUUCAUCACUACCAACAAGAAGCCUCCAUGUGAAAUAGCAUUUUAAUUUCUAACAAAAAAAUAGCUAUACCUUAUAAGUUUAGGAAACAUUUAAAUCAGCUAGCACCAAAACAUUGAUAACAUCGAAAGUCCAUACCUUAUUAGUACCAAAUGAAUCAGGAUAUGAGCCCUUUGGUAUGGUAAUACUUUGAGCACAGGCCACCUCCAUAUCCCCAUCCUCAGACCACCCCUUGGAUUGGUCUUUUGAAUUGAUUUUUGCUUUUCGUUUUAGAAGAUUCAAUUCCCUUGGACUAGGCCUUUUAGAUAAAACACUAGGAACCAUAUUUGCAACCAACUGCUGGAUAUUACGUGAGGUAUAAACUCUCGGGUUAAUCCCAUUCCCAUGGGAGUUGUGCAAAAUUAGGUCUUCGUCUUUUAUCAUAUCAUUCAUAUCCAUGAACUGCUCACAUAUAUCCAAACCUGAAUAAUGAACAGUGAGAUUACUGAAGAACCAGGAGAAUGUACUACACGCUAUUGGGACAUGAUUAUUUCUUACAAUUACCAUGCUUGCUUCACCUGAUACUAAUAUUUUCAUCUUAUCUAUUAGUUUUGGGAAAAUUUUAACAAUAGUAUAUGAACUUUACGCCACUGAAUGUUACGGUUAUUCAACUAUAAAAAAUAACAAAUUAGUACAUGAACUAACAAAUCUGAACCAACUGUUAUACGUACCGUUACUAACCCCAUUAGUUGGCAUGUCAAUUGACAUAUUUUCAGGGGUAUACUUGUCUCUUCCGUUUUUNNNNNNNNNNNNNNNNNNNNUCUCUCUCUCUCUCUCUCUCUCUCUCUCUCUCUCUCUCUCUCUCUCUCUCUCUCUCUCUCUCUCUCUCUCUCUCUCUCUCUCUCUCUCUCUCUCUCCUUCAUUUGUUCUCUUCUUUAUUUCUUCCAGAAUUUUUUUUCCUUUUUCCUCCAUUUGCAUCUCUCAUCUUCGUUGUUUUUUACUUAGAGUAAACUUAGGUUACUCAGCUUGCUACCCAAUACCCAUAGAUCAUGAUUAGCUGGCUUUCAGCCUUUAAUACAAAGUCAUCCCAUAUCCAAUAAGUCAAGAAUCCAUACAAUAUUCUGAACCAAUUGAUCUUUCGCAUGGCCUUGUCAAUUUCACCAUAUAUUCAGAUAAACUCGUUGUUGAUCCUGAUUGGCUGUGAGUUUGUGUUUAUGUAUUGGUUUGUAUUAUUAAGAUAUUCAGAGUUAAUGUUUGGGGUUGGGGAAUCAGUAUCUGAAAUGGAGAGUUGUAACCAUCGGAGCUUGCUGAGAGAAUUGAGAUGAGAAGAGGAAGAAAAUGGAAGCUUGAUUGUUCAUGUGAUCCACUUGAAAAAAGUUUGCUGCUUAAUAUUAAUCGGAAGACUUAUUAACUUUAAGUUUUGGUUCAUUAGAAGACUGGAUAUAUUAACACCAUUUCAGAGGGAAGAAGAAGAGACUGAAAUUUUGUCUCAUUUCUGAUCAAACAGAAGAGUAAUCCGGCCCAAGCCCAUUCGACGACCUCUGAUCACAUCACCUCCUAGACUUCAAGAUGAAGACCCAGAUCAGAUGUUGGCGGAGAUUUUGAUUCACAGACAUCUAGACCGACGAUAGGAUACUACGUGCCAAUUUCUGUAUUGAAAUGUUGGAGGGCUUUAAUUUUGUUUUUUUGGAUUUUCUGAUAUUGGUUACGGAAAAUACCCGAUUGCCCUUUGAAAAAUGAAAAAUGACAUAAGACUAACGGUGUUAUUAACGGCAUGUGCUAAAAGUGUGUUGGGUUUGAUAAUUGGGGUAUCGAUUUGCUAUUUCUGGAAGUUGAUAACUUUUAUUAUUAGUGACAAAAAGUUGAUGUACUGUUUCUAAAAUUUUCCCAUUAGUUUUAUACGAAAAUAAUAAUUAGAAAGAAAAAAAAAACAACAACAAGAAGACAAACAACCAGCAGUCCGGCCUUUGUGCCCCUCUUAGUAACCAAAAAACAAGAAAACAAAAAAAAAACCAGCAGUCCAUCGAAAGACACUUCCUUCUAUAUACAAAACUACAAAAGGGAAUCAUCUACUCAUGCUUUCUGAUUAUUUUUAUCAGUCUUCAGGAAACUAGCUACUCACGUGCAGUUUUGAGCAUAGGUGUUGAUCCAUAUCGGGCAUUGACGCAGAUGACAAAAAAAAUGCUAUGCUUGUUAAUCUUUAUAUUGGUGUAUUGGCAUGCCAAUCUGGGUGAGGCAUUUGCAAUCUUGGCCAAGAAAUUUUUUUUCUUUAUUGAUGUUACACCUAGGAUGAAGCCACUACUCUUUCAAAUGUGGAGUCAGCUUUUUAAAAGAAACAGAGUAAUUGGUGGGGAAGGAUUCACUUACAGAUCAACAUAAGUCCUAGAGUACAAUAUCAAUUAGCGCCAACCAAUCAUAUUAUUUAUGAAAGAAACAAAAUUUACAUACCUAAACGGCGUCGAAGUGUUUGUUUCUGACGAGCCAAUCUCUCUCUUGGGUUCUUUGUAUUAUCAUUUGCGAUAUCAUACUCCUGAAUCAAAAUAAAUGAAAUGAGAAUCCCUAAACCGAAUUCAUCCAUUAUAAGAAACACAAUGAAUAAUCAAAACAAGUAUACUGAAUAGCCACAAAAGCAGCUAUACCGAAAUGGGCAACCUUUGGCAUAAACAAAACUUCAAAGAAUUCUAUCUCCUCCCCUUUUUCUUCUUCUGUUUUUGGGAGGAGGAGGGUGUGGAGGACCUAACUGUUUAAGAUAUAACCGGCAUCUUCAAGGUAUAGGUCCACCAAAAGGGAACAUAUAUGCAAUCCAAACUGAGGAAAGUGAGACAGAUAAUAUACAGCAUUCUCCCAAUUUAGUAUUGUAAAUUGAGUGGUCAGACCACUAAUUUUUAUCAAAAAGGGGGAAAACACAUAAUUUUUUUGAUAAAUUCAUAAAUGGAUGAAUUAACCUAGAAAGCCUUCUUUUAUAAAACUUUCAAAUCAAUGUGUUAAAGACUACUACCUUCUUUAAAAACUACUACCUUCUUUCAAGAAAAGAUUUUUCUUACAAUGUGGCAGAUAACAAAUUUAGUUGGUUCAACAUGUUUAUUAAUGGAUCGGACUAGUUUACUGUUGCCCGAUCUACUCUUUUUGUAAAUCUAGAAAUUUGAAGCGAUACUAACAAAACAACGAAGCAAUAUUGCCUAUUUGGAGAGAAAAGAAAACUACCUUUCACAUAAGUUGCAAUUUUCUCAACAAAAAAUAGAAUAGACAUUACAUUACCUGUCCUCGAGAUGCCAAAAGCGCACCAAACUCCAAAACCUUGCUGAGAUCAAAGCUGUUGUAGUUGGAAAACACAGAAUAUGAUAAAUUAAUGCCUACAACAUGUAUUCAGAAUCAAAAAUCAACAGUCAUCUCUAAUACUUAGAAUAGAAGGAAAAAUAAUACUCACCUCCUGAAAGAGGUGCCUGCAAUGUUAGAAUCGAACAUAGGUAGAACAACCAUGUCUUCAACAGCCGCAGAAAUCCCAGCAUCACACAUUUUCGAUUGAAUGCAAGCAAAGAGUUCAUUUACAGAGGUAUGCUUAACAUUCUCAGCAAUUGCCCCAAUUGCAUGAGCAGCAGCAACCCUUGUGUCCCAGUUCCUGCUACGAAGAUAUUGUGAUACCUGAUCUCACAUGGAACUAAAAUUAACACCAAAUCUUUUUCCAAAAAUAAAUGUGUAUAUGUAUAUGUAUGUGUGUGUGUGUGUGUACAGUAAAACAGGAACAGCAAGGAAAAAGAGAUUUAAACUCACAACCGAAAAUGACAAUAAAAUGAUAUAUCAAAAUCUUUCAUGCAAUUAGGUAUUAGGAUGGUGACUGCACAUAGUUUGCCUUAGAUAGUCAACAAUUACCUUCUGUAAUGGUGUAGCUACUAAAAUAACAACAGGGCAUUUAGUUUCAUUGAAAAGUGUUUUCCGUAAUAACGUAAUAGGGGGAGAAUCUGUGGAUCCUGUCUUUCUUCAUGUCCAAGUGCUAUAAGCCUGUGGUUAAAUAAUUUAGAGAGUUCAAUGGUAGCAAGUGUGUUCAAGCCAGAAGCAUAACAGUUCGGAAGAUAAGGUUGGACUGGUCAAGAGAGUUUUUGGGAUAGUAAAGCUUUAGACUUCCCACUAGUCACUUCAGAGUAUUCACGGAGUAGACAGCUGCAGCCCACGAAUGUGUCUAGAAACUAAAAUUUGUUAUGUACUAGUUAGAUUUCCUGAUUUUCUUUGUUUCGUUUUGUCAGGUGGAGCUUCAGAUCCCGGAGGUAUCUUUUUGUGUCACUUAUCUUCUGUAAUCCCAGAGGUAUCUUUUUGUGUCACUUAUCUUCUGUCUUUACAGAAGAUAAGUGACACAAAAUUGGUUACAAUGCAAUGCUUUCUUACAGGCAUACAAUUUCUAUCAGCUGACUUUCAAGUAUUAAAACAAAAUUGGUUCAGAAAGCGACCCUAAGUAUAAGGAUUAAAAGACAAGAGCAGCCUAUAGGUAAUAUGAUCAGAUAUUAGCACAAGUAAAACAUAAAUUGAAGGCACCAAAUAACAAACCAAACUUCUACUAGUAGGCCUAUCUAUGAAAAGAGGAUAGAAAAAUAAUUAAGAAAAGGUUCCGAAAAAAACCCAAAAAACGGAAAAAGGACAUUAUCAUUCAUGGAACAUAUGAUGGUCACACUUCAUGAGUCAUUAAAGUAGAGGCUUGCAUCUGGUAUUUAUCACGUCUUCAGCGUGUGGAGUAAAAUGGCUUUCUUGCAUUUUUGAGAAAAAAAACUUUUGGAGAUGCCUUGCAAGUUUUCCGAGAUUGUGUGGGAAUGAUAUAGUAGAAAGGGAGUAGAAAAAUAUUUGGAUAAAAUUCAGGGUGACGUUAUUAUUACGUUAAUUAAUAAGUUUUAGGAAAAGAAAUUUACCUAUGUAGAGAGAAACAAACAAAGUAAACCAUUAUUUCAUAAGGUCAGUCACAACUCUUGGGUCCUAAAUAAGAAAGUUACAUCUUGUUGGGGUUGUAUAGCUCAAUACAAGCAAGGAUGUGAGGAGGGAAAUUCCGACAUUGGAACAAGUGGUUGGAUAAUGUCUGAUAGUACCGAGGCCACACAAAUACUAAAUGAAGCCAUUACAAGGGUGGAAUAUGAAAGAAGUCACAUACAUACUUUACUUUGAAAGACUGGAGAGGCCACAUCAAUAUCAAUAUCAUGUUCAAGGCCAGCAGAGAUGGUGGAUGAGAAUAAUGCGAAGUACAGGAAAACGAUUGUUAUACCUUUUUUAACAGAGAGGUCAAGUCCUGAGGAUGUGAUUUGGCAAUAUCCCCUAUCUGCCGAGCAGCUGUAAAUCUUGUUGCUUGGGUCGACCCAGCUAUUAGAAUUGGGUUAAAGGAAAUUUCAAUUCAAUCUGAGGAGGCAUUUUUCAUUAAAAUAAAAUAAAAUAAUUGAUAGAGUGAGAGUAUGAAUAAAGUUGAAGGAUACUGUCCAAGAGAGUGAGUAAGCGGUGGAGACGCGAAGAUUGCUGCUGGGCCAUAAUUGAUCAUCCCACCUCUUUCUCUUGGUUUUCCUUUCUUCCAAGUACCACGACCACCGUGUCCAGGAUUCAAAUAUCUUCUGCAAAAAUUCACACAAAACCGAUAAGAUUUCCCACAAAAUUAUUGAAAUUAAGUAGGGUAAGUGCCAAAAGCGUAGAUCAAUAGAAAGCACCACCUGCCUGAAUAUUAUUCAGGUGCAAGAGAACAGUGUCUCCUUCCUGCUUUCUGGCUUCCUUCUUUCUUCUUUUCUUGGCCUCCCCCGUUGCGAGUUGCGACUGCUAUAUAAUAAACACGACUCCCUUUUCUGUGUCUGGGCUUUAUCUUCGAUAUACUGGGCCACCUUACAUUUUCCUUUCGUUCAAGGUUUGGAUAGAUAUGGGCCACCUUACCAUUCUUAUUGGUUUCUUACCAAGUGUAGGUCGGCUUUGGAUGGAACCAAGCGUCUAUAGUGGGUGAUCUUAUGUAUCAAUUUCUUGGAUCGUAUGCACCAAUUUUCGAUGUGAUCAUUAGAUUGAAUGAUUUUCACCAUCAAAGUGUAUGUAGUGCAACUUGGAUCUUAUAUACCAAUUUCUUACCAAUGUCUACAGCGGGCCUUGAAUCGUAUGUAUCAAAUUUUUGAUGUGGGCAUUGAAUUAAAUAAAUUUCACACAGACCUAAAGAAAAAUAGGUUGCACAUCAGAGGGCAUAUUGGAAAGAAAUCCGACAUAUAUACCCUAAACCCCAUACACUGCAAAUUCAACCCUUCACAAAAAGCCUAAAAGGUUUGUUCAUCCAGCUCAAUAUAUAUCUUCGUAAAUUUAUCCCUAGCUAGCUUGAGCAAGAGAAAUGAUCAAACAUGGCAGCAACUCCAACAAUCCCACCAAGUUUAGCCAUAUCAAAUCUUGAAAUACUUCACGACUAUCACAAAUUCUAAAGAGAAGGUGUAAGAGUUCCUCUCAAAACUGCUUUCUUGCAAGUGUUUUUUUGGUGAAAAUGAAGAGCAUUGCAAAAGAUAUCUUACUUGUUUUGCAUAUGGGAAUUAAUACCCGCAUGCAAAGAAAUAAGUCAUCAAGAGCUCCCACAGUUGGGAGUAAAAUGCUCUUAAUGUUAGCGAUGAUUAAAACCUGAACAAAUUUUUAUGAACUUUCAAAACUAAUCGACAUGUCAAAGAAACUCGGGUGGUAGUUCUAUGAAUACUCUUUAGGUCCCCAGUAUUCAAUGUUUCAACAGUUCCAUCCAAUUGUGAAGAUGGAUGAUCUAGACCUUGACAAGGUAGAGCUUGUGCUUCAUUUACAGCCUGAAAGAUGAAUAUUAAAAUAGUCUUGUUAAUACCAUUUCGGCAACAGUUGAUAUGAAUUCGCCAUUCUCAUAUUAAAGCCAAACAACACUCCUAUAAAAAGUUGGUCAUACUUAACCAUCAAUUAGAGGAAAUAAAUUGUUAUUGCACUUCAUCAAGACUUCAAUCAUGCAGGAAUUUCAAGAACCUAAUUUCAGGGAGUGGGUAUGUGUUCUAAGGCUUUGUUUUCGUCCUUUGAUAUGCUGUAGUGUUCUACAUUAUGGUCCUUUAGCACAGGUAUGAACACUAUUCUUCCAAAAUUCCAUUACUUUAUGUCGUCUUAUACUUUCAAAAACUUAUUGGUUUCCUAACAAAAGGGGAAAUAGAAUAACUUUACCUUAUCGUAACGCUGUACCUCACUGUCGCUUAUAGCAUGCAAGUAAUCUGGAAAUCACAGGCAGGACCUGCUCAGAUGUUCUGUAGGAAAAGAGAAGUAUAAUGACUCGAAAUAGAGUGGUUAGUUCAAGAAAAAGGAUACCAACCUGAGUAUGCUUUAUCUUUGAAUAUAAGCAAACUGCAUGGCAUCAAUAAGACAGAAAAUGGUUGGUGUUCAUGCAACGAUUUAUUUGCAUCAGUCUGGGAAAGUCUCCCAUCAGAAUUUGAAUACAUAGAGUUGUGUGAACAUGUGCCUGCACCCAAUGUCAAUCUUGAAUGGGGAGUGAAAUUCAUAACUACUGGUGACCCAAGAGACAGAAUUGCUACGACUGGAUAGUAAGCUGGCCCAUCUUGGUGUGCCUACAUGCAGACAACCUCUAUGAUAAGGCGCGCACAUCCACUUUGCAGCAAAAUAAUGUGGAUAAAGUAUAGCAGGCUCGAAAACUGGAAACGAGUAACCCCAACAUGUGGACAAUAGAAACGUACUAAGAUAUUGGAUAUCAAGGACAAGCUAUGGUGAAGCAAAACAUGGAAAACUUGUGGUAACUUGAGACUAAAAUAAGAGUGAGAAACUCCAGUUUAGAAAACCAAAAUUUGAGAUCCUUGUUGAAUCUGCAACCAAUGUCAGAAUAUAUAUACACACACACACACACAUAUACACAUAUCUGUGUGUGUGUGUGUGUGUCAUACAGCAGUCUGCAAGGUUUAUCCAUUUAAAGGAAAACAAAUAAAAUAAAAUAAAGGUGUUAUUAUUAACAGCCCCUGUUUCAUUGUAUUUCAUUUAGUCCAAAUUUAUUAUGCAAAUUAUCCACGGCACCCUCCUGGAAGGGAUGCUGAAUGAGGACAACUUUCAUAUUAAAAAUUAGAGUACAACCGUGACAUGAAGAGUCCGUGUAGAAUUGACAUGUAGGGUAUGCUGAUAACACAUAAAGAAAAAUAACCAACAAAUUAAAGCAAUGACCAAUUGUUUUAGAUGGCUUUAGAACAAACCAUUAUCCCUUGGUUAGGAAGAUAUUCAUUGACAAGGACAUGGUUAAUUGGUGAUGGGAAUAGCCCAGAUUCUUCAAAAAUCCUGCAUGUGAUCUUUGUUAACCAUGAGGGCACUGCAAGGAGAGAAACAUAUGGAAUUUAUUGUUUCAAACAAAUUAAGUAAUAAACAAAAGAAUUGAUGAAUACUAAUAUAUCAUGAAACCAAUUGCCUAAUCACCUAGAACUACAAAAGUCAUGGCUCUAUCACCAAUUUUUCUGGACUUCCAACUAGAAGAGGCCCAUAAUAUAUCAUCCAAAUUAUCUUCAAACAUGAAGGCAAAGUAUUAAAGUGCGUUCAAAGAAAAUAUACAUCUUGCAGGUGCAAUAACUUCGUGACUUCUGUGGAAUAUGAUCCAAUGUGGAUUAUGGAGACUAAGUCAAGUUCCCUGCAGGCUUUGAAUUGGAAAUCAGUAACUCUUGUCUCUAAAGAUGCCACUAAUGUAAUUCCUUAUCAGGCAAGGAUUUGCUUUACUUUUUUUUUNNNNNNNNNNNNNNNNNNNNUAUUAACCUCUUUAUGGGAUUCUAUUUUAACUUUAAUUGAGGCCUAAUGUCUACUUACAGUGGUAAUUGCAUAUAUGUCUUAAUGUCUACUUACAGUAUUUUCACUUUUAGUUAGGCCACCCAAAUUUAAACUCUUGGUUCCGCUCUUGCUAACUUAAGAUAGAAUUAUAUAAACAGACUCUUGUCAGUUUAUUCACGUUGGUACUUGGUAGAUACGGUUUUUUCUUUUUUCCUUUCUUUGUCCCAUAUGGAGAGAGGGUGUUGUCAUGUUUCCUAUAUAAGUUUAUACUCUUGUUGGUUGUUUGGUUUUCGGCUUUUUCUUUAGAUUCCUUAAUGACUGCUCCAUACAUUCUUUUUCAUUCUACGUAAAAGAAAGGGGAACGUUGCACUGUAUAAAUCAGGAACCUCCAAUUUCAUACCCUUUUCCACCUUGAAUAAUCUAGGCUCCUGCAUACUGGCUGGAGGAAGACAAGGGAUGUUUUAGCUCUGAUACUAAAGGACAACCAUAUAAUCAACUAUAAAGAGCAUAUCUUUAGUAAUCACAAGACCUCUUAGAGAAAGAAGUAAUACAUUAAAUGCUAACGUCAUCUCUUAGAGAGAGAGAGAGAGAGGUUGCAAAUAAUCAUCUAUAAUAGAACGUAGAGAGCAUAUGUUUAGUAAUUACAAGAACUGCUAGAGACAGAAAUAAAGGCUAAUAGAAUUGCAGAGAAAGAUGAAACAUAGGAAAUUACUGAUGGGAAGAGAAACUAGAUGCAGAGAAAACGAGGGGGACUUCACACACAUAAAAAUUGAUACCGAUAUCCAAUCGCAGUGCUGUAUGGUGUACAGUGCAAUGUGAGUUAAACCUGAUUCGCAAGAGAGUUCCAAAUGUUCUGAAGUUCAUAGCAAGUGAUUCCUCAUCUAUGCAUUUCCCAGAAAUAGGCAGUUUAUCAGAAGUCAGAACACUAAAUCCCUAAUCCCUAAUACAUUAUUUGAGAUUCGAGUAAUAACAUUAUGUCAAUCUUGUAUUUACUUUUCCUAUUGACUUAAAUAGUUGUGUCUUUCUUUGACAGCAUUUGCCUUCUAGGCUUUAGAAUUUAGAAUAAUCGUAAGAUAUGAAAGUGGCUGUACGGCCUGUACCUACAGUUUUAUUCUCUUUUAAUACAAGAAGUUGCAAAGCAGUAACUUGGAUGGAACAUUUAAACACACAAUGAGCACUAUCGAUAUAUGAUGUAUAGCAACCAUCACAAUAUUAAUUAUUUAUCCACUUACAAUCCUGUGAUAUCAGACCCUUUUCAUGGACUACACCACCUGUUAGUCAGAAAACAGUGGGAAAAAGAAUUCAAUAAGCAAGAGUAUACUUUGUUACUUUCCAGGUCAAACACACUAUUGAAAACAACUGUACAUAUACUUAGAUAGAGAAAAACCAUACCCCAGUUUUGUAGCCUCCUAUUUUUUAAAGAUUUCCACUUCGAUACAGGGGCAUCAUAAAUCUAUGGAGCAAGAUGAAGUCAGCAUAAUGAGAAUGUAAGGGAAGAUAUGUGUGUGUGUGUGUGUGUGUGUGGAGAGAGAGAGAGAGAGAGAUUAUUACAUUUUUUAGAAGUAGAGUUUCUUCAUUCUUCGUAAUGAAGUCAGGAAUGUAUAUUACAGUGGGCAGAGAUCCAACUUUGAAAUUAUUUAGCGCCUGGUUUCCUUCCAUUUCUCGGCUAACAACAAGACGUCAUUAUACAAUAAAGCAAGACACAGAAUAUUUCUCCAAAAUUAUCUUGGGUUAUAACUCAAGUCUUCCUUCCAUUCCGAUAUCUUUUUUUAUAUCAGUAAUUCAUAAAGAGAGAAUAACAUUCAAUAUGAUUAACAAAAAGAGAGAAACCAGAGGGAUCUGAAGGUAUUUUAUAAGAUACAUAUUCAAAUCUUCCCAAUAUAAACUGCAAACGUAGUAGCCAAGAACUCAACUUCAAACACAGCAUUGAAGAUAAACACAAUUAUGCCCCUCAAACAGUGAAUAGUCGAUAAUUCAUUAUUUCCAACAACAACAACAACAACAAAAAACACUGUAUUCUUCCCAGAUAAAAGAAGAUGUGCAUCCAGAAUGUUAGAAGAAACUGGUUCCCUAUAAUGACAUCCAAAUCGCGCAAGCGCUUGGCAUAGGUUCCCAAAAUACAAGGAAAACUGCAACGUCACACAUAUAGUAACCCCAAGCCAGUAAAAGGAAACUUAAACACUCCUGAGCACAUCCAACCUAUACAAGUCAAGUUGACAAACCAACUUGGAAGAAAAACGAAGUCCUAUGUAAAACAUAAAUUAGUUCUAGUUAAGACUCCAUCCAAUAGAAGAAGGCAUAAUUUUGUUGACCAAUCUAACAAGAACAAUGCCCCUUAUUAUUUAUUUUAAUUCAAAGAUUAAAAGUACCCGACGCACUCACUAUUUUCAUGGACAAGUUCAAUGCACACAAGAAAGAAUAAACGAAAUUCGCAUCAGUUAAAACGUUUAUGGAUCCACCCAAUAUCCAAAAAUAAACUGGAAGUAGUCUAUUGUGAAGUUUGCAACGGAUCAAAAAGCUGCUGACCUGCUGAUCCGAAGUCCAGCCGACCCUCACAAACUGCCAAAUGAUGGAGGGGCAGAGCCUUUUGUGUUCUCGCUUCUGAGUUCACGGUUCGGGUCAGUCGAGCGAUUGGGUUACCCUUCGAUAAUAUAAACCCCGUUCACCCGGUCACUAGCUGAUCGUGAGAGAAUCUUUAUUGGUAAGACAGAUGGGAGAUUGGGAAAUUUGCACACGAUAUACAUCACGUCCAAAGAAAAAUAUCACUCGAUUAAAAUCCAAUGACAUAUAACAAGUUUUUAUAUGGCCCAAAAAUACAGUUAGGAAGCCCAAUUCACUCUUCAAGCCUAAUAAAUACUACUCAUGCAUUUGAUGCUUUCAAGAACGGGUGUUGCAUGCUAACGGAAUUGUAUGAGGGUCCACUAUUUUUUUUUUCUUGUGUGAGGUCCACUAUCAGUUGUAUGAUCGUUAAUAAUCUCAGACUUGUGGUACAAAAUUCAUGUCCAACAACCUAACUCAUAAUAUGGACAAACGAAGAAGAGAUGCCCAAUAACCAAGACCAUAUCCUUUAAAAUCCAAACGAGUAAACUUUAACAUAGGGUCCUUAAUUUUAGCCGCACAAUAACACCAGAACAUGUUCCCAGCAACACAAUAGAUAACAAUCCCAUCAACAGAUUUCACGACAGCAAAUCUUGUCAAAAUUACGACUGAAAAUAUACCAAAGCCUGUUCCACAAUCACACUUUUCAAAGUUUAUUCCACAAUCACAUUUUUUAAAUAUUAUUCUACAAUCACUUUAGGCACUACCUAACAAACCAAAAUGUAUAACAAGAUCCAAUAUAAACUUUUAACCAAACUAUUUCUUUACCCAGCAAUACAACCCUUAAACUGAGAGUUCUUUAGCUACUAGAAUUACAUAUAAAUAAGCUACUUCUAUUAACCAAAACAAGCAGAGAUUGGAGUGUGCCAGCAAGCUCUCUAGCACUCAUCUUCUCCCACGCUUCCUGUCUCCCUAUCCAUCUUCAGUUUGCCAUCUUUCCAACUCAAUCUCCUUCUGUCCAAACCAUUUCUCUCAUAUAUCUCAACUCAUAUAAAAUGUUGUCGGGAUCUCUUCUUUGGCUCCCACGCCACAUGCAUCUUACCAAGCCCUUUAUUGGAAGUGACACAUAACCAGUUUACUGUCCUGAAUGAAGAAAGCGUCGCUAAAAGGGACAUAAUAGUGAGCUUCCCAGAUUCUUUGUCGUUCGAAAUAAACUGGGCCUAGUCUUUGCUAACUCAGACAUAGGGAACGACAUUUUUGGAUUCGACCAUGUUAAUCUCAUUGUCGUAUAUGAUGGCUAAAAGUGCCCCCAACACAAGUCAACACCAGCCUAAUACUGUGAUUUAAGUCUAAUCAAUCUCGGUAGGAUUCAAACUAAUUAUAGGGCCUACUACAUGGGCUCUUACCAACUCGACCACAUAUGGUGGUACUAUCUCUUAUUUUCUCUAUAGUUUAUAACAACAACAAAAAUUAUUUUAAAAGAUUAAUCACAAUAAUUUCAAAACCACGAGGUCAUUUUUGUUCAAGAAAAGCCUUCAUUUGAUUAAAGUAUGUAACUACAUAAACACGAUUCCCCCUCACAUUGUACGCAAAAACCCUGAAAUAGUAAGUAAGCCCGAAGUUAUAUAGAUGCUAAAAAUUCUAAGAUUAUGAUCGUAUGAUAAUCUGAGCCAUGCUUAAUCAUGCUUAUGGUUCCUCUAUUAGUCAUGCUUAUAGGGAGGUUAAUGUUUUUUUUUUUAAUAAUCAGUUACGAUUUUCAUAAAUUUUUCUGAAGCGAAGGCCUGAAGUAGCCAUUACAUACUCUACCGCUAUCAUCUACCGAUCGACAAGUUGUAAGGCAUAACUCACUUAGUACAUAGGAUAAACUACCCAUUAGAAAUCGUACUCAUAAAACACCCUAGGCCUAGUAUCCUAAAAGGUGAACCCACAAGAACUAGAACGUAUUCCCUAAAACAUAGAGGCAUAAUGCGAUAAUGUCCUACAGGAUAAACUAGUAUGAAAUAGAAAAAAAAACUAGAGACUAUAAAAACACGGAAAAAAAUUGCAAAUAGCUAACAUAGAGGGCCAUGAGGCAGCCCACUAGGAAGGAACAUGUCAGGCCCAGUCGGCUCUUCGGUCUAGUCCACUAUCAAACUUUCAACCCUACUGCACACUCAGACGUCAAAACCUUCAGCCGCCUCCACCAGCUUCAGCCAGGAGCAACGCCGCUUGCCGCGACUACGACUACGCCCAUCUCUGUCCCUACCACCACAAAACGCCACCAUACCCAUACCAACUGAACCCCAUGCGUAGCUGUUGCACCAAACAUCACUGUCGAUUAGAUCACUAGCUCCAUCGUCCAAGAUUCAUCCUUAGGGAAUUGACGCCUCAUACGCACAGUCCGCCAUCACCUUGCAUCACCCAGCCAAAGCAAACUUGUCCAAGCCUACCAUCUCAUCCAUUAGACGAACCCCACGAGCAAUAGCAAUUAAUUUCUCAUCCGGCGAGCAACCUCUCAACGGUGGCAAGGCAAGAAGCCUGCCGAGGCUUCAGGCUACCGCUGAAUAGACUAGAUUUGGAGGAUGGCCGCCCUAGGCUAGGGUUUUUUGGAUAUGUGGAAUAGAAGAAAUCUUGAAAGAACAGUGAUUGAGAAGAAGGAGAACUAAAUUUUAUGGGAUUUCUUAGUGAGCUUAUAGGCAGGUUAAUGUAUUGACUCAUCAUCUUGCAAAUAAAUGUUUCGUUGACAGACCUUUAAGUCUCUUAGAAUGAGAGUAUCCCUCUAGAGAUUAAAGAUAUCUUUUGUAAUGUGUAAUUGAUGUUAUGAAUAUGCCAUCUUCUCCUUUCAAAAAAAGAAAAAAAAUAUAUCAUAGUACCAUGACAAUGUUCGAGUGAAAGUAGAAUCUACCCUAAUCUAUUCAAAAUGAUCUAGGACCACCAUACGCAUAGGGGCAUCCACAAAGGUCGAAACUAACUAAUAUGUGUCACUAGGCUCAAGGACCAAGCCCAAAUCACCAACACUAACACCAAAGUAUAUCCAAGGCCCAAGACCCAAAGUCCUCACUCCUCAAAUUUAGUCCGCCGCCACCAGUCACCGCCACACCAUAGAUGUGGAACACUAUGCCGCUUGCAUACAGACCUCCAUAAAGCAGACCUUGAAGCCACCGAGACCAACAUAGAUACCGCCUUCAUCAAUGGUACCACCAGCUGGAGCAACGUCAAGAAUAGAAAAAGUCAUAAAUCUAGCACUUGCCAAUUCAUAGCCCCCACUGCUUGAACUCCACCUCACCGCAGAGUUCAUGCAGUCUGGCGCCCUAAUGACGCAACGUGACCUAAAUUGUUAUUCCCAGCAAAAAGGUUGGCGUUUGAAUCAUCCACCGUUGAGCCUCUAUCUUUCAACCGAAUUGGCAACACAACUCCCACCGCUAGCCUGGGCUCUAACACUCUGCCCUAUGAUCAACCCAGUCUCUUACGUCAAAAUCUCAUUAGAGCAAACCAUAAAACGGAGGCCGAAUGUCAACCCAUGAUCUUGACGCCAAUAGAUCUCUCCAUUGUUGUCGAACUCAUUAGAUUGGCUAAGGAGAUUGGAACAUCCAAUUCCUUCAACCAACAAUGUCAGAGUAUCGUCAAGGAAAAACCAUUGCAGAGCUCUCAUAUUCUCUAUUAAUACAACGUCAUCUCUUGAUUUCUUUACUUUCAUACCUCAUUAUUGUAUGUUAACGGUUUCAUAAAUUAGUAAAUAUAUUUUUUUUUUAAAUUUCAUUUCUUAUAUUUUCAUGUUUAUUCUUAUUAUUGAGCUAACAAACUUUGACGUUGUAUUUAGAUUAAGUAAUUGCAAUUUUCACGGAAAUUUUAAAGUCAUGGGAAUUACAAUUCUAUGAAUUUAAUUAAUAAAUUCCAUUGUUUGGAUUUCAUGAUGUAGAAUUUUAAAAUGACAAAACUUAGUAUCUAGAUUAAUUUCAGUUGAGGGAAUUAAUAAAUGACGCAUAUUUUGUGAGGAAUUCAAAUCGGGAAUUUAAGCUUCCAAAUUCCACGAUUAUUUUCCCGUGAAAAUUGCAAAUUCCAUGGGAUAAGAAUCCAAACGGUGGAAAGAGUCCAAAGAAAUUGGGAAUUCCUCAUUUUUGAUUAAAUUCCCGAGAAUUCACUUGCAUCCAAAUACACGGUGAUGGCGUCAAUAGAAAACAAAAAAUGGAGAGGAGAGCGUUGCUAGGGCUUCUUAGCGCCGCUCUUGCAAUUUUGUUGGAGAGAUUGUUCUUCAUGAUCUAUUUGAUCAAUCAGAUGAGAAAUAGGGCGGGGGAACAGUCUCUCUUUGUCAACAUUGGGAUCUGGUUGAACCAGAUUUGACAGCCGAUGUGGAGGUUGGUGGAGAUGACGACUUUGGCAUACCAAAAUCGGUUGAUUGUUGUUGGCAAUUGUUGAUGACAAUGGACCCAGGCUGUGAUUCGAGUCGAACAGAGGCUAGAUGUAUCUGUCUAGUGGCGGUAGGUUGAAGGUUGGGGGGUAGAGACUAGAGGUUGCGACCCUUUUGGUCAUGCUUUGAAAAAUGGCAGCUUAAUUUGGUUAGGCAGUGGUCAUGCUUAUGAUGGCGUAUAGGCUUGGAGUGGUGGCACUAAGGUGGUGAUUACCUAGGACAACCUUUCAGAUAAGAGCUUUGUUGGCAACGACGAUGGAGCGGCUAGUGAAGGGGUGGUCGUUAAGCGUGCGAGGGUUGAAGGUGGUGGUUGCCCUAGUUUGGGUCCAUUUUAGGACUUUGGGCCGCGUCUGAUGGCUUGGGGCCUUGGCUCUUUCUUGGGUCUUGGGUUGAAGAUUUGGGCCUUAUGAUUUGGUUUAAGUCAUCAAGGUUACAAAAUGGGAUGUGGACUGUUGGCUUCAUUUUUUGGGCAUCUCUUGCUCUGUUGAACCCUAAGGGGGGGUCAUCAUUUGGCCCUGUGAGCCUAAAAGCUCAUGGGCAGCUCUCGGCCCGGUCCAUAGGGCAUGAGGACGGGCUAGGGCGGAGGGUUCAAAGCCUUAGCCCGGCCUGUGGCCUGGCCCUAUAAAGCCUUCCCCAAAGCUCUAUCAAUUGUUUUAUAAAUAUUUUCUAUAGAGUUAUUAGUUAAAUAUGUGAAUUAUUAAUGCAUUAAGUCAUAUUUUAUUUUGAUUUUUUAUUACAUUUAGUUCAAUCAUUAUACAAAUCUCAACUUUUUUAUAGUUUUUUGUUUUAUUUGAUAAAAUUCUAUUAGAUAUAUGUAUAUAAUAGGCCCGGUUAGACUCAUCUAAAAAACUCGGCCCGGCCCUAAAAAGCUCUUAAGGCCCGGGCCCGUGGGUUUUGAUUUUUGUACAUAACCUGGCCCGAGCCCAUAGGGCUUGGGUAAGGCCGGACCAGGUGGGUUUUUUGACGAUCCCUAACCCUAAGGAUGCUUCCUCAAGGUAGACUGGUCCUAGGUGCUCUCAAAUAAGUUGAAUGAUUCUGACAGCUACUAUUUAUUGAUCAAUGUACCUAUUUCAGGGUUAGCAACAUUAAGAUGGCUUGAGUUGCUUGAGUGUCAUAGGUUGUUUUAGCAUGAUUCAUUUUUUAUGUAUUCAUUUUAUAUGUAGCCUACGAGGAUGAAUUAUGUAUGUGUUGUUCUCCUACAUUUUAUUUGAUCAAUAAAAUGACUUCACGUCAUUCUUACAAAAAAAAAAAAAAAAAAUCUUUGAGGGAUUCUAUUUGUGUCUCUAUAAUUGUUAUUUCGCUAGACCUCCUCUCGUUUUUUGGUUUACCAAAUUUCCUAAUGUACCCUUCUCUAUUUUGGUUGUUUUCCUUCGCUCCACCAGUCUCCAUAUACCAUCAUCUUCCAAUGCUCCAAUACCUCUGUAGUCACUUGAAUUUUGGGGAAAGGAUCAUGUGGAUAACUAAUAUCAUCAUGUCGCUCGAUCUUCAUGUUCACCUUCUUAUAUAUGAUAUAUCCACCAGCUCUGUUGUUUUUUUCUUUCCUCGUUCUAGAAGUUUGGUUUGUUCACUUGUUGUAAACCAAAUAACUAGAUGCAUGGCAACUAGGGGUUUAAUGGAUGAUGAUCAAUUGCGGUUAAUCUUCUAUGAUGACAACUAGAUAUAUAUGGUUGUUGUGCUUAUGAUGGCAUAUUAGGGUUAAUUUUCCAUCUUAACCAUAAUUCAUGCCUCUUUACCCCCUCCAUAUUCAUUUGUUUUGCAGUCAAUACAAAAGCAUUAAAUUUAAUUUUACGUGGAAUGAGUACACGAUGUUCAUGUGAUUGUAUUCCAAUUCUACGUGGUAUAUAUGAGUUUAAUGCUUUAAAGCAUCUUUAGCAAUGUUAGCUAUUUUGUAGUCAAAUUUUAGGGAAAAUUCCCAUUAGCCUUAAAUCUAGACAUUUUUUUUUCCACUAACAAAAAGAGAUUCUAAAAUUCUCAUCAACCCAAUAGACUCUUAGAGACUAUUCCAACUAACAAAAUUUUUGACUUUUCGUAUUUUUUUCGUGACCAAAUUACCCUCCUCUNNNNNNNNNNNNNNNNNNNNUCUCUCUCUCUCUCUCUCCUCCAUGCUCGAUUCCUUCCACUCUUCCUCACCACCCUAACCUCCCCCCGAUGGCUCAACUUUGCUCCCCUUCUACCGCUACUCAUUUCUCUCUCCAACUCUGUUUUCAUCGAAUCCAAGCUCCACCCUCUCCCCAUUUCCACACUCCCUCUGCCGCCACGGUUCGCUUACUUCGUCUCAGGGUCUAACGGCGAUGGCAACAUGCUGAAACGGACGUUACAGGCGUUAUACCACCCGCAUAAUCAGUACGUGGUGCAGUUGGACGCCGAGUCACCGCCGGAGGAGCGGUUGGAUCUGCAGAAUUACGUUUCUAACCAUGAGGUUUUUAUGAAAUUCAGGAAUGUUAGGAUGAUCACCAAGGCGGAUUUGGUCACUCACAAAGGACCGACUAUGGUGGCCAACAAGCUCCACGCAGCAGCGAUUUUGCUCAAUGUAAUACCCCGUACCUAAAAGGUUACUAUUCGGGGUUAUGAGUUACCGCAGACUUUUCUUUAUUCGCGUUCAGAGAUUUAAAUAGCGAUUACUUGAGUUUGUUUUUUAGUUUUUUUGAAAACGGUAAAUAGUAGAUUUAAAACUCCGAAGUCGUGGUACAUGUUUAUACGAGCUCACCGGUAUGCCCGGAUUAUUUUCCGGAGCGACGAGCUAGGUUCUUUGAAUUAUAAAGUUUCCAGGAAAUUUUCAAUUAUUGUUUCUUGUAACCGUUUUACCGUAAAAGACCCAAAAAGUUGACUUUUCGUUAAGUCGAUAAUUUGGGAAAACUUCCUGCAUGGAAGUCGUAGAGGACGUUAAUACGAGAUCGUGAACACGUAGCACGCUUAAAUCGGAGUUUGUAUGAGAAAGUUAUGGUCUAAAAACGGGAAGUUACUAUCUCGGUAAAUGAUAUAUAUAUAAAAUAGAAAGAGGGAGGUUCUAGAAGGGUCGGUUAAACCGACCUAAGCAACAGAUUAAAAGGAAAAAAGGAAGGCUCGGGAAAGGGGGGAGAAAACCAGUUCAGACCCAGACCGGGUCAUCCCCGACCCGAACAGAGUCAGCGGGUCAACCCGACUGGUUCUCCGUUUUCCGGCGACGACGAGCAAAAAGAAUGGUAGCGACAGCUUCCUCUCAUUCUCGUGGUCAUGUCCAUGCCCUUGAUUUUCAAAUAAGAAGUCUGGAGUGAGAGAUUCGAAGUGGAGAAGGAGAGGCUGUGUUUGCCGGCGAAUCUCCGAUUCCGGCAGCGGCGACGCCUCUCACUGGUAUGGAUAGUUUCAUCUCGAUCUCAGGAACCUUUCCAUGUUCCUGGUUUUCGAAGAGAAGCUCGGAGGAGGGAGAAUCGAAGAGAAGAAGUUUUAGGAUUUUCCGGCGACGGUUUGAUGCUUUCCGGCCACCGGUGAAGGCAAGUGAGGUAUGAAACUUGAUCUUCUCGUCGAGCUCUACCUAUUUAUAUAUUUGGAAUUCAGAUUUGGUUAAGUUUGGAAGAAGAUGGAUUUUGGGCAGUCGACCACCGUGCGUGGCUGCUGUGCACGGCGGCGCUGGUAAUGUUUUGGGUUUCAGAUUUCUAGUUUGUAAUUGUUAGAAGCCUUGGAAGAUAAUUUAGUUGAUGUUCUUGUGCUUGAAUUCCAUUUUGGAUGAUAGAUGACAAAUCUGGGUUUUAGGCUGUGUUGACCACGUCCACCGCCGAUAGCUUCUGCUUGUUUGGUUCUGAAAUUGGUUGAGAGUUGCAGGAUUUGGUACUUGAGGUUCUACUGCUCUACUGUGCNNNNNNNNNNNNNNNNNNNNNNNNNNNNNNNNNNNNNNNNNNNNNNNNNNNNNNNNNNNNNNNNNNNNNNNNNNNNNNNNNNNNNNNNNNNNNNNNNNNNNNNNNNNNNNNNNNNNNNNNNNNNNNNNNNNNNNNNNNNNNNNNNNNNNNNNNNUAACACUUGGGUCAGGGUGUUACACUCAAGGAAGGCGGCGAUUGGGAUUGGUUUAUCAAUCUCAGUGCUUCUGAUUAUCCACUUGUGACUCAAGGUGGUGAGUCAACUGGGGCAUUGACUUUUUUGGUGUCCAUGUUGAUUUGCUCUAUUUUUUGGAUUGGUUUUGUUUUAAUUUAUUGCUCGAUUUGUUUGUGAUUUGGUUAGAUCUGCUUCACACAUUUUCGUACCUGCCUCAGGAUCUUAAUUUUAUUGACCAUACUAGCAACAUUGGAUGGAAAAGGGGCAACAAUGGUAGGAACAACCAUGGUGAGGGAUUUGUCAGGGGAGAAGGUUUGGUUGUUGUUGGUAAGGGGUUUGGCAGUAGAGAAAACACAGGUCGUCUGCUUCUACUGCCCCCAAUAGACCCCCCCCCCCUAUUGCCCCUCAGUAGACCCUUUACUGCCCCUAGUAGACCCCCUUACUGCCUCCAGUAGACCACCGGGUAGACUUCCUACUACCCCUAGUAGAUCCCCGAACAGAUUCCCUACUACCCCUAAUAGACCCCUACUACCCCUAAUACACCCUUACUACCCUCAAUAGAUCCCUUAGCUUUUGUCGAAGUUGGGUCAACAAUCGCCAGAGCCCGGUCAACGGUCGCAGAGUCCGUUCAACAGUCACCGGAGUCCGGUCAACGUCAUUGGUCAUGGGAAUCCGAUCAUAGAAACUUUAUUUUAUAAUAAACUCUAAUAAUGGUCUAUUGUAGUUUAUUUAAUUUAUUAAAGGUAUAAUUAUCUUUCUGUUGUUUAAGUUGACUCUUGGAAAUUUUAAAAUAUAAUUUUGUUAAUAGGAAUAAAAUUCUUAAAAUUAGGGCUAUUAGACACUGUUCCCAAAUUUUAGCCAAAAAAAAAUCAUUUUGGCAAGUGACUUUAGAUAUACAUUUGUAUUAAUGCUCUAUACUUUAGCUAAUAUUAAAUUAAUAUUAUUUUUUAAAUAGAAAUUAAAUAGUUUAUAUGUAUUUAUAUAUCACAUAAAAUAUCUUAAAAAGAAUGCAUUAAAUUAUGAAUUGAAAUUUGUUUAGUCUUUGUGGUUUGAAGUCGACAUCUGUUUAGUCAUUAUGGUUUUAUUUUAAUCUAAAUAGUCUUUAAAGUCACAAUUUUUCAUCUAAAUAAUUCUUAUAGUUUUAUUUUAAUCUGAAUAGUCUUUAAAGUCAUGAUUUUUCAUCCAAAUAGUCAUUUUGACAAUUUUCUCAGUUAAAUGUCAUAAGGACUAUUUGGAAUUUGGAUGAAAAAUCCUGACUUUAAGGAUUAUUCAGAUUAAAAUAAAACCAUUAGGACUAUAUGGAUGAAAAAUUAUGACUUUAAGGACUAUUCAAAUAAAAAUAAAACCAUAAGGACUAUACAAUAUUUUACCCUUAAAUUAUAAAGAGCUUCAUCUUACUUUUUCUAUAUUUAGCUAGCGAGAUAGCUAAAAGUCAUAAUAGCUAAACUUUGGCCAGUCUGCUAAAACUAUUAAAAUACGUAAAAAGCUAAACACGCUCUCUAAAAUAGCUAAAAAACCAAAAUAAAGAGUAUGAUAAAGAUGUUCUUAGAAAUACCUCUACAACAGUACUCUUUAUUUCAACUUAGGUUUGAUUUAUAUUAUUGAUUAAAUUAAGAAAAAUCUAUUUAAAUGUGUUUUAAUAUUACAUAAAACGACUUAAAAGGAAUACUUUAAAUUUAUAUAAAUUAUAGUGAGUUUCAUCUCGCUAGCUAUAUUUAGAGAGCGGGAUAGCUAAAAGUUAAAAUAGCUAGCCACUAUUCUGUUGAAGCUGGUAAAAUUGAUAAAAAACUAAGCUCUUCCUCUAAAAUGGCGAAGAAGUCAAUACAGAGAGUCUACUAAAGAUGUUCUUAGUUCCAAUUCUAAAGCUACGUAUGGAUAAAAUAGCCCAAACUUGCACAUUUUUUUUAGAGGUUCCGUUCAUUACGACAUCGUUAAAUCAAAAUAGGUAAUGUGUACCCCAUAAUACAAUACAAGACUCGAAAAGCUGCUAAAGCAGAGAAAAGCUGCAAAUGCAUGCAAACCUAUUCCAACUAAUAAUUGUCAAAUGCAAUCGCAUUAUUAACUAGAAAACAAGAUAAAAAAACCAAAUCCACUCAUUAACACUAGCCGAAUGCACAUAAAAAAAGUGAAAAAAUAAAUAUAACUUAUAAGUGGGUGAAUCAUAUUCAAUUCUAUCAAGAUAUUUUAUGAUUAAAACUCAACACUUUAAUGUUAAGUUGAGACAAUAUUGGUACAAUGAUGAUCCACUAGUCAUGCAAUUCGUAUUUAACAUAUACAGUAUUAGAGCGGGUUCCUCUCCAGUUGUGUCCUCAAUCUGUCAUGAGCCCAAAUCUGGGUUCCUUAUGUUGUCAACAGAAAGUUCUGAUAGGAUUGUCACCAUCUGAUAUGGAACGGCCUUUUGUUUGUUCUGUAUCAAUUGCCAAUGUGUGACUUGGCCUGUUAAUUUGUUUCAUAUGCAAACCUACAAUUUAGGUUGCACAUGAGGGGACGUACAUUAGAAAAUAGACAAAUACAAUAUAACUUAUAAGUAGGUUUAUCAGAUCUAAUUACAUUGAGGUCUUCUGUGAUUAAAACUCAACAGUUUAUUGGUAAGUUGGGACAAUAUCGGUAUAAUGGUAGACCACAAACCACGCUUGAUGACCUUGUUUAACGAUGUAUGGCGAUUUCGAGGUAGGGCUUUGAUGACAUAGGAGAUCCAGUGUGUCGUUGUGAAUGGAGAAACUAUCCCAAACCUGGCUCAAUUUUGGUAGGGCGCAGGUUGCGCUAGUGGAGCGACCUAGUCAAGGGUGUGAUGGCAACAGAGUAGCUGUCUUGAACCAGCCCUCACAACAUGGCCCCGCAUUAGAGGUGACGGGUAGAAGGUGGGAGCACAACAUGGUUUUGGUUGGAUCCAGUUUGGCCGCUUUAACUCUGCCAUUUAGGACGAUGGUGGGUUUUGUGCUCAUUACUUUAUCCCUGAUUGUAUAUUGAUUUUGUGCUCAUUACUUUGGCCCUAAGUCCAUACGCCGAUCAUGUAGGGCUCGGGCUAUGUGUGUGUGUGUGCACUCAAAGUGCCUUUGUCAGCUAUAUGUAGGCGACAAGUUUCUUAUUUCAUCUAAUGAUUGUUGCCGCCAAGUGGUAGGACGAAGAUAAUUAUGUGUGGUUUGAUUUUUCUUUUGAUGACAACAUAGUUGAAAAACUGAUUUAUUUGACAUUAGAAUAUAUAAUCGUGAUACUUAUCUAGUGAUGUUUCCAUUAUGUCACCGUUAUAUCAAAGCAAAUGGAGUAGCCAUGUCACACCUCGAACCCGGUGUCGGUGGUUUCCAAGCACCAAACAACGAAUCUGAGGUGUGAGGGGAAAAGUAAAAGAAAAUAAUACAAAUUCAAAUACUUUUUCAAAAAUUGUUAAAAAAAAAACAAAUUUUAAUAACAAAACAAUUACAGAGAUAAAACUAGCUAGUCUUAAGGUCUAGCUCACUUCUAAUCUUCCGUACUUCUUGACUUUUGUACACGUAAGCUAAACGUCACAGUUAGUUUUCUAGAAAUACGUGACGUACCUCGUACCUGAGCAAGGGUUUAUAGGGGUAAGGUUGCUCUCAGUAGGGCCAAACAUUUUUAAGUUAUUCUUAAUUAUGUCACAUAAUCAAGUUAUCAAAUAUCAAACAAUACAUUAAAUAUAUAACGACAAAUCGAUACAUAAAUGUUAAUGCACUCCCUCUACUUUAUUACUGACUAAUUAGUACAUACACCUAAGACAUAUGUACCUACAUGUCCCAUACCGUACAGAUGUCUCGAAUAUACGACCUAACAAAUCAGUAGUAUAUAAAAUCCAGUACCUCUUUUGUUAGUCUUUUGUUCACCUCAAGGUCCCCAGUCCCGAAACCUGAAAGAUCGUGUGAUCGACUCAUACGUCGAAAGGGCAUACAUUCCCUACUCAUUUGCGUAGGUGGACUGAUCAUAGCUACUGAAAGUCCCCAUGAGAAAACUCAACUACACAAAAUGUAUUUGUUCUAAUAAUCUCAUUCUCCUCUCUAGAAUCAUCAUUCUCACUAUUCUCACGUUUCCUCACAAUGCAUUAUGUAUGCAAUCAAAUAUCGAUGCGCGUAAUAUAAUAUUAAACAACAUGCUUUUUAAGGAAAGCAGUAACAUCAAUCACAACGAUAUCACAUAUUUUAUCAAAAACGAUAACAAUCAAGAAUUAAUCAAUCAAUGUCACACAAAACACUCAUUCCAAUUAUAUACUAAUUAUCGUUUUAAAGAAAGAUUCGUCGAUAGAGACCUUAUCUGAAAUCCAAGUGUUAGUUCUGGAACUGCAACGUGCCUCCAAUCCUCGUACCGAAUCCUCAUUCCAAGAAUGUUGACAGGUCACUUCAAAUUGAUACAACCAUAUCCUCAAAACUACGAAGGACACCCGAUCCUUGAUCCACAAUUCCUCUCACCUUCUCCAAUGAUCUUUGAAUCAAUGUACGCAUAUCCUUUCAUCUCCAUAUCCAUAUUAUGCUCUAAGCAUCUGAAUUCACUGUUGGCACCCAUAAUACUUUACGCCUAUAAAUUAUCCUUCGAUCCAUGCCUGCAGCUCUCGAACACCUUCGAAUCACCAAAUGAACUAUAAGACCACUAUGCUCACUAAAGUGAAGUUCUCUACCAAAACCAUAAUCACCGUUCACCAACUGCCCUUAACAUUAAACUAAAUCCAAUUUCAAAGUAUAAUCAUGACCACCACCGUUGGGAACGCUGAACACAUUAACCUUCACAACCACAAUAAACUUUAAAUUUCCCAGCUCUUCCAUUUCUAGACUUCAAGCAUAUACAACACCAACAUCAUGUCCUACAAUUUCAUCCAAUUUGAAAUUACCAAACAAACACCAAAAUACUACCACCGCCGCCGUCAUGCACAAUGGCCACAGACGGUGGCCAACACUGCCCAAAAUCCCAAAUCCCUAAAAACACCCUAAAAUCGAAACCAAGCAUCUUAAAUCACUCCAUCAAUUCUAUAUACUAAUUCAAAAGCUAGAAGCUGCAAAAACAACCGCCACCGUCGCCGUGUAUAGUGGCACACACGACAGUCCUCCACUGCUUAAAACCAACUUCAUCAUCUCUCAACAAAUUUCAAAUUUAAUUAUACACAGAGAGAGCUCGAUGAGUAGAUGAAGAUUGAUGCUUGAGUCGAACCAAAACUCACUGGAAAACAAAAAACACCGUCAGAAAACCCUAAAAGCUUCUGAGGUUCGAUUCUCCCUUUUGACUUCUCCCUUGGACAAACGAAUAUCAUGGAAGGGUUCCUGACAUCGAGACAAAACUAUCCAUACCAGUGAGAUACCUCGACUUGGCCGGAAUCGAAAACUUGCUGGCGAACCCAAUCUCUCCUUCUUCUGCUUGAUUCUCUUUCACCGGAGCUCCUUUGUUGAAAGCAAGAUAACAGGGAGGAUGGGGAGGACGAGAUGAAGCUUCGGCUACCGGUGAGAGGUGUCAACGUUGCCGGAAUCAGGAUUUGGCUGGCGAACCCAGCCUUUCUUUCACCCCAUCGAUUAUCGGAAGACCACGAGGACAAGAGGAAGCCGCCACUACCCGCCUUGCUCCUCGCCAUUGCCAAAGGACGAAGAGAUGGCCGGGUCGACCACCGCUACUACACGGGUUGAGGCUGACCCGGUCUGGGUCUGAAGUGAUCCGUUCCCAUCUCUCUCCCAUUAUAUAUAAGACAUCCAACAGUUGAGAUUAAGAGGUUUAAUAGAUCUGACGGCCCAGAUCAAACCGUCAUAAAAAUCAUUAAAAAUAGCUCUGAAAUUCGAAAAAGCUUUUGUAAAAUCUUACGAACUCAUAACGACCUCUAGUUUAAUCCUAUGGGCUCGAAAGAUAAAUUUUGACAAACCAAAAAUUGAUUUGAAAUGAUUUUCGAAAGCCACAAAGAGAAUAAAGAAUAAUAGAAAUUGAAAUAAAAAUAGCUUGAAAUUAAUUUUCCUUUUAAAAAAUAGAAAAUCGAAUUUUUGAUAUGUUACAAGCUAGUUACAACCAAGUCGCUCCGUCUUCUCCGGGAGCUGAGCAAUUUGAUCAUGAAACCCUAGGGUUUAUUGGCUGAGGGAUCAAAGGCGGCGACCUUGGUCUUCCGCUUACGAGUGGUGGUAUCUGACACCUUUUUCGUUGAUUAGAGGUGGGAUAAGGUUGUUCUGUGUGGAGGCGUGACAUCGGCGUUUGGUUAGGCUGAGGUGUGGUCCAUCGAAGACGAGAGAAGGAGGCUUUUGAUGAGUGACGAUGCCGAUCUUAGGUGACGAUGUGCAUCAUGAGCCCAGAUCGGUGGUGUGGAAUCAGCGACGGUGGCGAAGCGAGGAAGCAGUGUGCUCGACAAGGAAAGGGCUGAGCCUUGGAUAGUGUCAACGGUGUCUGUACAAGUUACCUGCGGUGGUAACGAAUCUUGCUCUUAGUCAGAAGAGGAGGUAGUCAGAUCUUGUCCUUGUCUACCGCUUCUGUAUAACGGUGUCAUGGCCUUCCAGUCGGGACGUCUGCCGGACUGAACGCCAAUCAAGACCUUCGACGAAAGUCUUUGCAGGUCCAGUUGACUGGGCUUGAGGUGGGGAAGGCUGGGCUUUGGGCUUCAGCUUAAUGGAUUGCUGCAAUCUUGUAGGCCAGUGAGUGGCUUUGGGCUUGGCUUCCCACCUUUUCUCAUGUAGACUUGACUUGUGACUGGGCUUUUGUAUGAGUGACAUCUCUAACCUAUAUAAUUGCUAGUUCGAAACUAUUCUCUGCUCUGUGGGGUGGAAAUGUACACCAAUGGAGGUCUUAGGCGUCAUACUUCUUCAGAACAGAUGGUUUGAACUACAGUUGUAUAGGCGUAGCGGUUUUUUUGUUUUCAGUUAUAGUAUUGGAUUGUCUGCCUUUUUGGACAUUAGUUUCAUUGUAGUUUUGAAUUGUUUGCGUUUUUGGACUUUAGCUUUCGUAUUAGGUUAGUCAAAUAAGGCUUUCUACGCUUCAGUUAUAGUAUUGGAUUGUCUGUCUUUUUGGACAUUAGUUUCAUUAUAGUUUUGAAUUGUCCGGGUUUUUGAACUUUAGCUUUCAUAUUAGGUUAGUCGAAUAAGGGAUUUCUAAGCCUGUAUAGGAGUUUUAUCUCCUGCUUGACCAGGCACUACUGGUCGUAUUGGCUAUGCCAACUGAAACUAUCUCAAAAAAAAAAAAUGUUGUAGCUAGUGUAGUAAAGUCAUACUGUUUGGUAGUUGGUGUUUAUUAGAAUACAUGUGUUAUGUACGUAGAGAGUGCUGAUAUUAUUUCAAGAAUUAGUCUAGAUGCUUAUUGUAAUUUGGGGUUUAAAUUCAAUGUUUCUCUCUUAUAUUCGAUAGUUUCAUUAAUAAAAUUAAAGAACAGUCAUAUCAGCCUUUUAUUUAAAAUAAAAAUAAUAAUAAUAUAAAUAUAUAUAUCGGUAAGUAAUUUAAUAUUUGUUCACCGAUUUUAAAAAAUAAUAUAGAGAGAGAGAGAGAGAGAGAGAAUCUAAAGAAGACCUCCUUACUUAAGAAUUUGAGAAUUUCUACUAUUUUACAUUACUAGAUAACUUCAUUUAACGAUCUCAACUGUUGAUCCUUUAGAUUCAUAUAAUUCCAUAAUCAUUUGGUCAUUUAAAUUGACGUAAACAAUUGUAGGCCGUUAUAUAAAAUUAAAACGAAUAUUGUGCUAAUCAAAUAGUUAAACGUUUUUUAUUUUGGCUAACUUUUUAUAGGAUUCAUAUGUGGGUAAAUAACUAGGCAAUGUGUAGCUUUGAUUGUCAAAAUACAUGCUAGAACUAAAAACAUCCUCACUUUAAGAGUUUAAGGAGGUCCUCUAUAAAUCCAGACUCUAUACACACACACACAUAUAUACAUAUAUAUAUAUAUAUGGAAAAUUCUAUAAUGUGUUAAUGCAUGUGAAUGAUGUGAUGCAUCAACUUUGUAAAUUGAGUCCUCAAACUAGUAAUAUUAGUCCUCGAAGUUGUAAUAUGAGUCUUUAAAGUUGUAAAUUUUUUUUAAUUACAACAUUAGUAAUCAUGUGUCUUUAAAGUGGUAAGAUGUGUGCUUAAAGUGGUAAUUGAGUCCUCAAAGUGAUUAAAAAAAAAGUUGUUACAACUUUUAGGACUCAUAUUACAACUUUGAGGAUUCAAUUACCACGUUAAGGACAAAUGAGGACUAAUGUUAUAACUAUUUUUUCUUUUACAACUUUGAGGACCAAUAUUACUACUUUGAUGACUUAUUUUACAACUUAAGGACAAAGUUGAUGCAUCAACACACCCUAGCCUGACCCUGCGUAACUGCCUCCUCAAUCUGUGUUCCAUACAUUCCAUUUGAAUCUUGCACUUAAAUUAUAGAGUGGGGUUGUAGCGAGAGGACUUAUAUAUACGUGUAAUAGUAAGUGUUUAUGUUUUCAUUUAUGUCAAUGAAGAAAGAUCUUGCACUCAGUUGUAUCAUUAUUCCCAGUACUGUUUGGUCUAAUGGUAUAAUUAGUCUCGAUCCCCUUGUAAGUGAGAGGUCGUGAGUUCGACUCACAAUGUUGUAACAUAUUAAUUGUGUAACGUUUAUUUAAUAAAAAAAAAAAGCAUCAUCAUACGUUCUGUACUUAAUUAUGUCGUCUUUGUUAAUAAAAAUGUCUACCUAAUGUUUAAAUAGCAUUUCAUGAUCGUCAUGAUAGAUAUGAACGCGGCAAAAAAAUUGAAGAUCGAUCGAGGAACUUGAAAGUAUGACGAAAUUAUGUUGCUUGGGCGUAGAGUUUUAGUUUUUUUUUUUUAUUGGGAUUGGGUAAGAGUUGAAAGAGAUGGAAAAAAGAGAGUACGUAACAUAUAAGAGAAAUUUUAAAUACACACCCCUAAUAUCUUAAUACACACCCCUUACUUAAUACACCACAUAUCAAGUUUUUCAUUUCAGUAUUAUAUUUAAUACACAUCCCAAACUGCCUAAAAUACCCUUAAUUUAUGAAAUAUUUCAUUAUUUAAUAUAAUUAAUCUAUAUUUACUAUUUGGUACCUCUUUUUACAUAUUAUUUCGUCUAAUUUUUGUUAGAAAUUUUUGAUUAUCAUUGUUCAAUUUAUAAUCAAAUGAUUAUUGUUAUAUCCCAACUCCAAAUCAUCAAUACAAGUUUUCAAAAUUCAUAAGAUAGUAGAAGUGUAGAAGUACAAUAGUUAUUAAACAUAGAUAUCUAGUUAUUCGAUAAAGCAUGUCAUGAUAAAGAUGCAGUACUUGAGAAUAUGAUAUGCAAGAUCAAACUAAAGCUGAUACAGAUAAAAAAUAAAUAAAAAUAAAAAAUAAAAAAUAAAAAGACAACCCAAAUGAAUUGUGGAGAAUAGUUGGGNNNNNNNNNNNNNNNNNNNNCUACUAUAGUAGGUAGUAUAUAUAUAUAUAUAUAUAUAUAUAUAUAUAUAUAUGUUGCUAGUAAAUUGCUACUUACGCGACAGCGAAGACGGCGUAUCCCGAGACGUGCCAUGUCUGCAGGCUCUUCUCGUGGUUCUCAAAGAUGAUCUCCACAAAAUCUCUGUGGGUUUGAUCCACAACGUUGGGUAGUAUGACGGCCUUGGUGUCCACGUCAGCUGGGGGGUCAUCCUUGAUGCUGCCGGUCUUGAACACCUUGUCACCCACUCCGAAGUAUUCAGCAAGCUUGAGUGGGGUUUCAGGGUCCACAUGGGAGACUCCGUUUAUAGAGUAGCGUAGCUUGCCGUCCACCUGGGUGGCGGCGUUGACGAGUUUCAUGGUGCGGGUGAUGUUAAUCCUACCGUAAUGGUAGGAGCCCUGAGGAUUAGGUCUAGCAGCACUAGAGGAGAGAUUCCAACGGAAGGAACGGAAUUGGUUGAGAGACCAUGCCCAUCCUUCUGGGGCCUCAGGGAGCUCGGAGUCAGCAGGGCCCUUACCAUUUUCAUACCGUAAGAUGCCCUUACCGGUGAGCACGGUUUUGGUGAAUCUUGUGGAUGCUACCAUGUAAUAGUCUUUCGGGGUUUGGUCGGCUGUGACUAGCACGGCCAUGCAUUGACCGAGAUGCACGUCAAGUGACUGGUACGUGUUUUGGACGGUGUGGGAGCCCUCCAUUUCCACCAACAUCAUCCAGUGCUCUUGGAUCCUAAAGUUAAGGCUGCUCUUGACACCUAUAUUGCAGAUCCUAAACUUGUAUGUCUUGCCGGCCUUCAUGGUGAAGAGGGGCUCGUCUUUACCAUCUCCCUUUGCAUCCUUACCGUUGAUGAGGACGCCGUCAGGCCUGGCCAGAGUGCGGCCGCUGUCCAGUUGUUGCUUGAGAGCAAUGUGGCUUUUUUUGUACCAGUCCCCGAUGAGGACAGUGUAGUCCUCCUCCGGUGUAUCAUAGGGAACUGGGAUCAGUGGACGACUAUUCACGCGGAGACCGCCAAAUGCACCCCCCGCCCUGUGCAUAGCAGUUGUUGGAUAGUAUAUAAAGCUGCCAAUCUGAUCCUUCACUUGGAAGUGAUAGGUGAAGUUCGUACCAGCGGGUAUGGGGCACAUAGUUCCAAGUGUUCCGUCUUGCCAUGAAUUCUUCCUCUGCUGGAUGCCACUCCUGCAACCAAUGAUCAUUAAUAUUAGUUACCUGCUGGCUUAUAUAUUGUAGAAAAAAAAAAAAAAAAUCCCAGAUCCCAUGUACGUACCAUGUCAAAAGGAAUGGCUCGUCCAGGUUAUUGAACACGUUCACCACUACGUUGUUGUUUGUGGUGGAAUUGAUGUUCGGCCCAGGAAACUGGCCAUUGAUGAGAAUGACUUGCUGUGGGGAUCCCAGUGGAGAGAGGGUUCCGUGAGAGACAUUCCAUUCGAAGAAUAUGGUAGGGUCUCCGCAGUGCACGACUGAAAUUGUCCCCAGUGAGAGACAUAGAAGCAGCAGAUGCAUCAUUCCCGACAUCUUUCUCUCCCGGCGGUUUCACCUUUUAUGUAUCCAAACCUCAACUGUAUAUGUAUUCCUAAACUGAAAGAAGAAGUUGUUCGUGUGACUGUGUGUGUGUAUAUAUAUAGCUUUAAUGCGCUACGAUCUGUUGUCCGAGAUAGCUUCAUUGUCGUACCUAUUAUAUACAUGCCCUUGACAAUUUCUCAACCAUUAAAGUUCUCCCGCAAUGGUUGCCCUUCUGUCUUGCCCCUUGCAAUGCGCGCUUCCUCUCAUUUUACCCCCACAUCCCUUCUGACCCCGUCUCCCUAGCUAACUGUUGGAUCUGCAUACUGUGCUCUUUCCUCGUAUCAAAUGAAAUAUAUAUACUAAUAUUAUUACUUUAACGACAUAUUUUAUAACUUUAGGACCAAGUUAAUGUAUGACAUACAACACAUUAUAAAAUUUUUCAGCUACGCAUAUCAAGUAAACUGCAACCAAACGAUCAUGUAGAUUAAAAUUUCACAAUUCUAUCGGCUACAAUAUUACAUUAUUGAUAUAAAUGUCUCUCUCUUCUUUUUUUUUAAGAAAGUUAUUGAUAUAUAUAUAUAUGUAUAAAACAAACAAAAAAGAAAAGAAGAUGUUAGCUUCCAUAUAUCCUCAAUCAAAGAUGUGGGCCUCCAAGGCACCUCCACUCCAUGAAGAGCACAAUUGAUGAGAAACUUAGUCUCCUACAAUCAGAAUUUUGAUGAAAAUUGUAGUACUAAUUAAGCAGUGUGUAAAGCAUCCCUAGCUAAGAGAUGUAACUUCAGCUACAAGAACUGAUGCAAGAUCAGGAUUCUUAGCAUUAGUAAAGACAUGAUUACCCUAUGAGUUUUUGAAAUUUAAAGUCUAUAGAAGCUACAUUUUGCUUGACAUAACCAUUAAAUUUCAUUCUAAUUUGUUUGUGAUCUGGAAGAUUCUAUUUGAACUGAAAAUACGUAGAAACUUUGGAAUGAGAAAACUUCAAGUUGGCCUCUUGCAGUAAUAACCUCCCAAAGUAGUAGCCCAAAAAAGGUUUUGAGCAAGUAAUUGUUGAAAGACCCUAAAUGUAAUUAAUAUGUCAAAUAGACCAAGUAAGCUAGCAGUACAAUUUGAGCAAUAGAAUUUGCAAGUAUUGUGGACAUAUUUGAAAGGAACGGAUCUCAAAUAAAAAAAAUGAUAAAUAAAAUAUAACUUAUAAAUUGAUAUGUAUCAUUCCCAAUUAUAGUAUCGAAGUCUUUUAUGAUUACAACCCAACACAUACGGGUAGUUAGGUUGAGACAAUAUCGGUACAAUGAUUUUUCAUGGACCACGCUUGUCGCGCUUUAACAUGGUAUAAGAGCAUGACGUCCCUCUCUAUCUAAUUACUUCUCCAAUUUUCAUGGGCUCGAUUUGGAUUCCUUCUCUACCCCGGACCUAGAUUUAGGUUACACGUGAGUAUUGGAGACGAAUAGAACCCACAUUAGAAAAUUGAUAAAUAAAAUAUAACUUCUACUUAUUGACCUUUGACCGACAUUAGGUACGAAACUAUAUAAUCGUGACAUUUUAGGUUGUAACCAUUUCAUGCUUAACUCCCUAACUUCUAGAGCUUUUCGCCUUUGGUUCAUGUUUUAAUGAAAAAUUAUACAAUGUGUUAAUGCAUGUCAUGCAUCAACUUAGUCCUAAAGUUGUAAAAUUGGUCGUUAAAGUAAUAAUAUUAGUCCAUAAAGUUGUAACUGAGUCUUUAAAGUUAUAAAAACUCAUAUUUACAACAUUAGUCCUCUAAGUGGUAAAAUGUGUCGUUAAAGUGGUAAUUGAGUUCUCAAAGUGAUAAAAAAAGAGUUGAUGCAACUUUGAGGACUCAAUUACCACUUUAAAGACACAUUUUACCACUUAGAGGACUAAUGUUGUAAAUAUGAGUUUUUACAACUUUAAGGACUCAAUUACAACUUUGAAGACCAAUAUUACUACUUUGAUGACUCAUUUUACAACUUUAGGUUCAAGUUGAUACAUGACAUGCAUUAACACAUCAUAGCCUUACCUUGUUUUAGUAGCCUUGAUAAGGUGUUAGUUCAUGAAGUAGAGAGAGUUCAUGUUUGUCUUAAUUAGAAAUGUGACUACCCCUUGAGGAAGUUUGGCUUAGUGGUCUUGACCAGCAUUAAGUAUGGAAUUUGGUACUCAUGAAGAUAUAUUUCUUUACUUGAAAUAUUUUUCGUUGGAUUGAAAUUGCUAGAACGAUCUUUAGUACCCAAAUCUCUCUCUUUUAAUUUUCUUCAUUUUUUGAUCAAUUACAUUUUUUAUAUUUUCACUUAAAAAUUGAAAUCACAAUUUCAAAAAUUUCGACUAAUUGUAAAUAGUCAUCACUAACCUUGGUGCGGGCCGAGGCCCUUCUAAGUGUAAAUUGAGACAAUAUCAAGCUAGAAUGACGAGCCACAUUUUUUGCUGUUUAACAGAUACAUUGAGAUUGUUAAACAAAAGCCUCAUAGGUUGAUGUUGAGUCUCCAAAACAAAACAAAAAGCUCAGGAGGAAUAAAAUUUGCUUACUCCUCAAAAGACUAAAACCAUUCAUGGUUCAAAAUCAAAAGGUCAUUGACCAUUCGACAGAAUUUAUACAUCUACAUUGUUCAAAUGGUCACAUGAUUCUCUUCAGAAAAAAGAAUGGUCAAAUGAUUUAUGGUAAACAACUGUUUGCAGAGAUAAACUUUGAUCUGGGAUCUAAUGUUGAAUGAAUGCCUUGUAAAACCAGUACUAAGAAUCUUAACAAUCCACCAGCACCAUGACCCUCAAAAUGCUACGUUCAAGACAUAAUUAACUUCUUCACAGGUUAGGAAUCUAGAAAUUAAGAAGCUAGAUAUGAAGUGGAUUAAGUUGUGCAAUAACAAAAUUAAACACACCUGAAAUGAUCAUUAUUCAGUAGAAAGGUUGACACACUAUCAAACUCAAGUUACAACUUGCAAGUUUCUGGCCUGUUUUUCUAUUAUUGCCUAUGUAAAUUAAGCUCCCAGUCACCUCCGAAUUCUAAAGUUGAUCAAUCAGAAAUCGGAUUAUUUCAGAUUUGAAUGAGAGAAAGGAGGAAGAUAAGAAAAUAACAAGGGCCAUCCCACCUCUAACCAAACACCUACUUGUACUUCUACCGCAAUCUUGAUUAAUUAUUUGUUUAAUCACCAAACCAUGGUAAAAUUUAUCUCUGAGGAGGAUCGACUGUCCGAACAUUUGCACCUGUCAUUCCUUCAAUUCGGUCUUUGGUUAUCUCCACAAAAUGACCCACUAUUUCAUGGAACUGUUUGAGCCCUGACAGUGGGAGAAUUAUGGAUGACCUAUCAGAGCCUGCAACCUGCAACAAUUCAAAUAAAUUUUGAGUAAAAAAAUAUGAUUUGGUAUCAGGAACCUUCAAUAAAGAUCAGAAAGGAAAAGCAAAUCCUUUUGGGGCCUAAUGCGUAACAGUUAUUGAAGCUUACCUCUGAUAUUCUUAGGAAAUGUCCCCUGUUAUUGUUUCCAAGAUCAAAGAAGAAUCUCUUUUGAUCAGCUCUAAUCACUUUAGAAACCCCCAUGUUACCGAUUUCAUCUUGAGCCGGCAACUCUGUGGACCGGUCAACAUUCAGUUCAGAAGUUGGCACAGUUUGGCUACUGUGGCCAGAUAUGAAGCCGGCGCCUACAUCAUCUGAAAGCCCAACAAGUCGCUCUGAAGAUUCAGAACUUUGCUGCUGUGGCAUUGCACACAGCAAGGUGGAAAUUAGACACAUAUGAGAUGCUCCAAGAAGAAAAACUGGAAUCAACUAAACAGUUGAAGCACUAAAUGCAUUAAACACUAAGGCACCUGAUUAGGCAGUAUAAAAAGCCUUGAUGCUUCAUUGAUCUCAGCCAAAAUGUUCCUAAAUGCUGCCCACCCUUCAUCCCGGGUGCUCCCUGCAGGAACAAUGAUAGUACUUCGAUUUCUACUAACAGAAGCUUCAGAUACCUGCAUCAACAAAUGUAUAAGAGUGGCGACAAUUCAAGAACAAGACGCUGGAGUUUCACCCUAGCAUCAUUUCCCAAAGAAAACAUUCAGUGCCAAAAAAGAAAAGGAGAUAAUUAUCCAAUCAACACAGAUAGCUUCAAAAAUUUGUUGCUCAACAGAUAUAAGUUAAGGGAUAACACCCUGGUCUUUGCCAAGAGCUCAUGUGAAUGGGAAGUUUUGGCACCUUGAUCUCAGUUAUGCACUAUUAUUAACCUUGAAGAAAAAGAUUGGAAGAAGGAUCAGAGUUCCGUGCCCAAAUUUGGAAGCUAACUUAAGACAAUCAUUAUUCAAAAUUUCUACCCACUUCAAUUCUCAAUGGCAGCAAUUUCUUUUAAGAAUCACACUGCAGCCACUGCAUAAGGGUUGCGAUGAUUGAUGUUUAGACCAGUGCCUAUUCUCAGGUGCUUAGGUUGACUAAUAUUGCUUAAUACUCCAUGUGAACAAUAAAUAAGCAGGCUUGGAUAAAAAGCUCGAGAUAAGGAAAAAUGUGAGGUUUAAAUUAUUCAACAGUAGAAAAUUCAUAAUUAGAUACAUAGCACAUUUAGCUGAAUUAUUAAGGCUUCAUCUCUACCGAGCAUGCACUCAUGAAACAAGGCAGCGAUCAAUUGCAAGCAAAAACACUUGUUUCUUUCUCCAAUUUUCCCUUUAUUAGUUGCACAUGCAGAGAUGAGAAUUGAAAAUGAAGUUGCAGAAAGUGACCAUGUUCUUGAUUAUAAGUCUAAAACUAAAAAUAAACCCUCCCAAUGCAGAAUAUGUGGCAGUGUAGGAACUUAUGAUGCAGGACACACGAAGGGGUUGUGAAUCUAACGUACUUGGCUUUACAUGCACCCUGCAUAAGAUCGUAUUUGUUUUGGAUACAUGUUUCUGUAACUGAAAAGAAUAUGCAUUUACCCUAAAAACAGGAAAGAAAAAAGCAGAAAAGGAUAAAACCUAAACCAGAUCGUUUUUCUACUCUUAUCGAUCCUCCUCCUCGAUUCUUAUCUGCGUUCUCCUCCUUACAGAAAAGUCUAAAGCCUUUUAAUGUUUAAUCUUCUUAUUUUCUAAUUUUAAAUAAAUGAUAAUUAAUAUAUUUAAUUGUGGUAUCCUUUCCCUACACGUAUCCUAAAACAUUUAAGAUUUUUCUACUGUACCAUAUAUGAUCAAAUUUUCAUCCGACAUUAUGGCAAAAAAAAAAAUGAAAGAGGAAAAGCGAGAGAAGACAAUCCAAGAAGGAUUUUGUUUUUCUGAGUAGUUUAGGUAUUCAUGUGGGUUCAAAUCUUGAUGAAAUUUGGGCUACAUGGGGAUCAAAUUUGUUAUUUGAAAAUACUUUAAAUCCUUGUACAAAGGAGCUGACUUAUGUCUCAUAUGAAAUACAAACAAAGAAUGUAAACCUAGAUAUACAAAAGAGAUCCAAACAUCAACUAAACACAAUGAAGGGAACAUAAAUAACAUAAAAUGAUUGCAUGUGGGAUCAUAGUUGAAUGAUACCAUCAACUGUGCCCUAAACAUACACUCAUCUCCAAUAUUGUUACAUAAUUUUAUGUUUUUCCUUCAAAUCUGCCCCAAGUUUAUAGAGGAUUUUACAUACACUAAAUACACAACUACUGUUCACACUCAGAAAGCCAAUCUAAUCCCACAGCAGUCUGUCGGACACUACACUUAAAUUUCUAUUCAUUUCUAAAAGUCCUAAUUGCAUACCCCUAGACUUUAGUGGAUUUUGUAAAGACUUUUUAAAAUCCUAAUUGAAUACACCUAGACUUUUAUGGACUAUUAUAAGUCUGUAUUGAAUACACCUGGACUUUCAGAUUCCAUGGACUUCUUUAGAAUUGCCACUAAAUUAAUAGCCUUGAGAUUAGCAAAAAGUGUUGUUUAAUCGAGAUUAUUAAAUUAUCGAGAUGUUAGCUGUGUAUUUAUCAAAACUUAUGCAAAAAAAAAAAUCUGGGCAAAAGAAAAAACUUCAAAGAAAAAUUAAAAUAAAAGAGUAGCUCCCAUGAGAGGAGGCGAAGGAGCAGAGGUGUUGCAAAAUGAUCUCUUUGGACACCAGUUAUAUGAGGAUUAUGAGCUAACUUCCCAAAACAAGAAGAUAAAAAAGGGGAUCAACUUCUGAGAAAUUUCAGUAACUCAUGCUCUUGAGCUUGCACACUAACGAAAGAGAAUAGAACUCAAAACAGGGCAGUAUGAAAUCAAGCUUAUCAUUUUCUCGUUGUUAACAACCUUUGUGCCCUCAUUGCUCAGCAAAAUAUCAUAUGCUAGACCCACAUCCAAUUUCAAUAAAUGUCAUUUCUCGUUGUUAACAAUCUUUGUGCUCUCAUUGCUAUUUGCUACAUCAAAAUAUCAUAUGCUAGACCCACAAUCCAUUUCCAUGCCUCUGAUAUAUGGUAAGAAGAUGGAAGGAACAACAAUGUCAAGGUCAAGUACUCCAGCAUGCAAUACAAAGUACAUGGAAUGAACAGCAAAAGAAUCAACUCAACACAGAUAAAAUACACAUAUAUGGGAAUGUAAUUGUUUAUGUACAAGAUUUUCCUUUCUUUUCUUUUCUUGUUUUAGUAAAUACCAGAAGCUUAGAAUUUAUCAACAGGUACACAUAUCUGAUUGUAAAGGAUGAUUGGCUUAGGGUCAGGUUAGAAAAUCCCCGCACGCAAACAAACUGAGUAGUGCUCGGUUACAGUCCUUAGCAUUGUAAAUGUUCCUAUAUGUAAUUAAAAGGUAUUGAAUUGACCCGGAGAUGCUAGGGACUGAAGUACUGGCAAUUCAUUCUAGACAUGUCAGUAAUUCUACAAUGUACAGUACAGUAUAAAGGAAUUACUGUAUUGGCAGGAAUUUAUAGCAUCGUGCAGUAAGAAAAUACAGAUAUAGGAAUUAACGGGAGAAAGAACCUUCAAGAAGCGGCCCCUGCGGUUCUCGCCGAUAUCAAAGUAGAAGACCUGAAGACAAAGGCGAGAAAAAAAGAUCAUGAUCAGAGAGAGAGAGAGGGCAGAGAGAGAGAGAGAGAGAGAGAGAGAGAGAGAGAGAGAGAGAGUCGUCGUNNNNNNNNNNNNNNNNNNNNCCUAUCCCCUGUGUGCCUUGGUGUCGAGCUGCAAUUCCUUGCUGAAGACAUCCUGAUCCUCCGAAUUGACAUAGUAAUUGAAGAGAUCGAGGAACCAUGAGAUGCCGGAGAAGGGAACGAUGAUGGUGGACCUGGUGGCUGAAGUCUUUUCAGAGAUUUUGAGAUAACGACCGCGAGGGUUCUCUUUGAGAUCGAAGUAGAAUAGCUUGUGCUCAACCUGAAGCGUCUUACAGAGCAGCUCCACGUCAUUUCCUCCACCGCCGCCGCCACUGCCACCUCCUCCUCCCGAAUUCCCUUCCAUUUCAAAUUGGAGCGGGACUCUCUCCAAGUCAAAGCACCUCAGCUUCCUCUCCUUCCCACGCCUCAACUAAACUAUGGGUGAUAGCCUGGUGAGGGUGCUCUGCUCAGAUCUCAAAGCACCUCAGCUUCAAUUCCUCGAUUGCUCUUACCUGUACUAGUAGUAGUAGUGAAUUUUGCAAACUAGGGUUUUGGGAUGUGAGGGGGAAAUUGACCCACCCAGUCUCUACUCCACUGUCGAUCCCUUUCCCUAUUUUUAAUAAAUAUCAAGUAUUCACCCUUUUACUUUAUCAUUAUUAUUAGAGAAAACUUUACAAAGGUACCCCAAGUAUAGAUCAUUCAUCAUUUUAGGAUAUCAAUUUCAAAAAUUAUCAUAUUGGCACACCAACAUUACUAAUGUGAGUAAUGUCACAUCUUCAUUUUUCAAGUGUGCUUGGCCGACUUCAGGUUGAUCUUUCAAUGAUCUUUUAUCUCUUCACAUUUGUAUGUCCUUAUGAGGUGAAGGAUGCCUGCCCAUGUCAAGUGGACGAAUACCGAGACGUCAGUUGAAGAAAGUCUAAGACGAGAUUAAAAAUUUCACCCAGCAGGGGAGUUGGACGCCUACCAUCAAGUGAAGGAAGCCCAAAGGAGUUGGACGCCUACCAUCAAGUGAAGGAAGCCCAAAAGCAAUAUAUCAAUUUCAUCAAACAAAUGAACGUGAAGGCCGAACAUCAACCGAAGGAAGUUCGAGGCGAGAUGAUCAGUUUCACCCAACAAGAGAGAGAGAGAGAGAGAGAGAGAGAGAGAGAGAGUUACCAUUUGUAGGCUGGAGGUGCUUGAGACCUUUCCUCUUCUUUGAUGUGGGAGUGUGGGACUGAUGUCCCAACUUCUACCUCCGCUGGGCGGUAUUGGCGGCGUGCGUGAGGGCGCGUCGUGACGCCAAUUAUGGAGCGGCUAACGGCGUUCUGGAGCUGUUGCUGUUGUCUUGCCAUUAGUGGUCUUAAUUCGUGCGAGUUUGGCAGUUAUGCCUAGUCUAAGUGUGGGUAAAGUAUGUUGAUUAGGCAUACGUGCCUACAAAGCUGGUCUGCUUCAACUAAUUUAUCAAGACACAUUGGCAGGUAUUUGAUCCCGUUAAGUGCAAGACAUAGUUUGGGUCUUUUAUACAUGGACGAGAAGCCAAGGGCGGUGUGACACAUAGAUCAACACAUUUUGGUAGCUAAUCUCAUGUUUCUAUCUAUCUAUUACAAUUAAACCUCAAUAAAUUAAUAGACUUGAGAUUGGCAAAAAAUAUUAGUCAAGGUUAUUAAAUUAUCGAGGUUAAUUUUGCACUGAUUUUGUAUUUCGGGACAGGCAAAACAUAUUAUUAAUAGCUAUUAUUUUUAACAUUAUUUUUGACAAAAAUUUUGACACUCUUUAAUAACUAUUAGAAUUUAAAAAAUCAAUGGUCUAAAUUAAUUGGGAGGCCAUUAAUUGUGAUUAUAAUUUUAUCGUAUAAUUAAGUGAUAACAAAAGAAACAUAGAGCAUGGAUUACAAUUCGUGUAGAUUUCACUCCCCUUGUAUGUCGAGGGUACGCACUGCUGACUUUAGCAACGGAAUGGAGGUGAUGUCCUUCCUGGUGAGGGGGUGCUACAGCUUGAAACACAUCCAGCAAGCUCAUGGGCUGAUGGUAACCCUAGGCCUUGAGGAGGCUCGAUUCAUCGAGGCCUGCUCUUCUCUUGGCUUCUCGAGCUACGCCUGCUCCGUCUUCACCCGCAAUCCGCAGCCAAACAUUAAUCUCUACAACACCAUGAUCAAGGCUCUACCUCCCUCCGAUGCCAUUUCCGUCUAUACCAGUAUUCAAGCAGCCGGGUUGCGCCCCGAUACCUACUCGGUCCCCUUGGUGCUCAAGGCCGUGGUUCGCCUGGGCGCAGUUGGAAUAGGUAGACAGGUGCACUGCCAUAGCAUCGUCACUGGGUUGGACACCCAUGUCAGCGUGGUCACUGCCCUCAUUCACAUGUACUCCUCUUGUGGCUCCGUUUUCGACGCUCGCAGAUUGUUCGACGGAGCUGCCUUCAGGGAUGUCGCUCUCUGGAACGCAAUGAUCGCCGGAUAUGCGAAACUGGGUCAUGUAGAUAGUGCCCGCCAUGUGUUCGAAACAAUGCCCCUUAAUAAUAGCAAUGUCAUUUCUUGGACUGCUCUCAUUGCCGGAUAUGCUCAGGUCAACCGUCCCACCGAAGCCAUCAUGGUCUUCCGGAGAAUGCAGCUUCACAAUGUUCAGCCUGAUGAGAUAGCGAUGCUGGCCGCGCUCUCUGCUUGUGCCCAGUUAGGUGCCCUCCGUCUCGGGGAGUGGAUCCAUAACUACAUUCAGAAACAUGGAUUUCGUGAGCUGUCUUCUCUCAACAAUGCUCUCAUAGACAUGUACGCCAAGUCGGGUAACAUAAGAAAAGCCCUUCAAGUUUUCCAUAGCACCAAUCAUAAAACUGUGAUAACUUGGACGACCAUGAUAGCUGGACUUGCCCUGCAUGGUCUUGGAACACAAGCCCUUGACAUGUUUUCUCAAAUGGAAAGGGCUCAAAUCGCACCCAACCACAUUACUUUCAUUGCCAUCCUUUCUGCUUGUAGCCAUGCCCACUUGGUUCAAACGGGCCUUCGCUAUUUUGACAUCAUGGUUUCAAGGUAUCGGAUUCAACCCAAAAUCAUGCACUAUGGCUGCAUGGUUGAUCUACUUGGGCGUGCCGGUUAUCUUCAAGAGGCACAACAACUUGUUAGGCAGAUGCCAUUUGAAGCAAAUGCGGCUAUAUGGGGAUCUCUUCUUGCUGCUUCAAACAUUCAUGGAAAUGAUGAGCUUGGGGAGCAUGCUUUACAGAAUCUAAUAAAGUUAGAGCCCCAGAAUAGUGGAAAUUAUUCACUUUUGUCUAAUACAUAUACUGCUCUGGGUAGGUGGAAUGAUUCUAGGAUGCUAAGGAAAGUGAUGAGGGACAAUGGUGUGAAGAAGAUGCCAGGCAGGAGUUCCAUAGAAGUGAAUAGCAGAGUUCAUGGAUUCAUUGCAGGAGACAAAUCACAUUCCGAGAGAGAAAAGAUUUAUGAAGUCCUUUACAAGCUUCUCUCACAGUCUACGUUGGCUUGCCAUCCGCAACAAGACUGUGGGGAGCUGCUUGAAUUCGAUGCAUAGGCCACUGGACACUAUGUCAUAUGUCAUUCCUACUCAAUUAAUCUGUGCAACAUUUAGGUUCUUAACACUUUCAGAAUCUGAUCUUACUUGGGAUGUUGGUUGUCAGUGGAGGAGGUUUGCUGCAUCAGGAUAUCUGUACCAGCCUUUUCAUCGCCAAGAAGGUAUUGUAUUUCCAAGUUUCUGACUUCUGUAUUUUGAGCUGCUGAUAGAAUAGAUAGUAGUACCACAAUAUGCAAGCAUGCAUAUGCACACUCACUCACUCACUCUACACAAGCAUUAUAUGAAGGAAUUUUGCUAGCCAUUAACAAAUUGUAGCAUAAAUAAGGGGAUCUUAAACUGGACCAACUAUGCUGGGUUAUGAGAAGAGGGUUAUGAUGGCAGGUUGACGUGGACGUUCAAGUGCUAAGUUCAUUGGUUUUCUGUGUAUAUACAUGUAUGCCCACCCGCCCGCCCGCCCCCCCCCCCCCCCCCCCCCCCCCCCCAAACCACACGCGCACACACACUCAACGUUUCUUACCAUCUCUCGAUUUCACCUCUCUUCAUUCUCUACUAAUAGAACCCUAAAAAUGAUAUGAGAGAAAUAACCAAAGCAGUCCAGAACAACCUGAACACACUGAAAGCUUCAGAGGCAAUUAAGAUUUUUAUUUAUCAUCAAAGGAACAACCUGGUAUUUAAUCAAACUUAAAGGAAUGUCACUUUAUUUCAUUAAAUUUUUUACACCUUGGCUGGACAGGUCCUCAUAAUUUUGAUUAUAUUCCCCUACUGUACCUUCUUCAGAGCAUUAAACCAAGGAAGAAUUCCUGCUCAAAUCCCAAGUCAUGAAAUCCUAAUCCUAGAAGAGCACUGGCCCAUAAUAUCUGAAUUUUCUGUUGAAGAAGCCGGCACGUUCCUGAUAAAAACAGAGCAACAGAGAAUUGUGAAGACAAGCACUAUUGCGUAAUUAUUAGGAGAUGAAUUAUUUGCAAAAAGAGAAAGUAUUUUUCAGAAAGAUAGAGCAAGAUUGGUAAAUUUUCUACAUAUCUCUUACCUAAGUGCACAUCAUUUUCUUGUGAUUUUGUCCGCUGUUGUGGCUUGACUGGUUCCUCAGGGAUUUCAAUUUUCAUUAGCAAAGCUUUUUGAUACCUCACUUUUUGUUGGCCAGGCAUUGUACCUUCUCCAGACCUCUGAGAUAAUUUUUCUAGGUCUUCCUUUUCACUAUUGUCCACACCUGUUGCGGUAGGCAACUGUUGGCAGCCUGACUUUUGUUCAAUUCUUGAAAUUGAGAUAUUAGAAUCUUGUGUCGAGUCCAAAAUACUAGAAGCUAAAUCAACGUUAGAAAUUUGACACCAAUUGCUGUUGUUAGAUAAGGAACUGUCUGAGCAUUCUGCUUCACCAAAUACUGCCUGCAUUGUGGAUAAACAGUCGACUCCAUUAUCAUCUUGAUUCGAAUUGAGAUUGCUGCACCAAAUAUCAGGUGAAUAGAUACUGCUGAGUAUGUGUUUCUCUAUCAGCACAUCAUCUAGUUUGUCUUUUAUAUUUUUCCUUGUCUCCUUAAAUAUUCCAUCCAAUGAAAAAUCAGAGUUACAUUUUGUGUCCAUAUUGUCAUUGACAAUCAUAUUUGCAGGAGGCUUGCUAAUAAUCAUUUCGUGCAUGAACAUUUGAGAACAAUCCACAUGCACAUGUUUCUCCGAUUUGUUGUGGUUGACAAUCUGCUCCGCCGCAAACUUGUAAUUAUUAACUUUCUCAUCCUGGAAAUUUUCUGUUUCUUUGUGUCCUUUACACAUUAGUUUCUUCUCUGGGGUAGGAAUAUCUAGAACUCUUUUGUUCCUAUGAACAUGACUCCUGAUAGCUGAUGCAUUCUUCUGGCAUAACCACUUAUCAACCUCCAAAUGUUUUGAAGAGCAAGCAUUGUUUUUAUCUCCCUUUUCACUUCCCUCACCAUCAAAGAGGUGAUAUUUGUGCUCAUUCAAGCAUUUUGGUGAUGGUACCUGGUCUGAGGAAACAAACUCUUUAAUAUCAUAUUCUGAUAUAUCUUGACUGUAAUUUGUCUCAACAUCUGCACUGUUGUUCACAGUCAAAGGCAAUGAACAGCUAUUUCUGGAAAUACUGCCUUCUGAAUUGUUUCCCGCAAUACUCUUUACAGGAAAAUUCACAGAUUUAGCAUAGGAAUUGAAUGGUCUUCUCCUUCUUGCAGGGAAUCUCAGUUUCUCAUCAGUACUUAGGAGCUGGUCUGAUCCGGAUUUUCUUCUGCUGCAAACAGUAGGUCUCAUAAACCUUGGUACCUGGGACAAGGGAGGUGCUGAGAUAUAUCCAGUGUUUUUCCUGUUUGUUUCAAGAUUAGACUGGGGCACUUCGUUCACUAACUGGUAUGCAUCCACUGAAUUAUCCAGUUGCUCAGUGGAACAGGCAGCUGUCUUCCUUAGAUUUUGAAGCUCCUGAGUUGACUGCUUGAUACUCAUCCUAACAUCCUGGCUCUCAACUUCAAUCUUGUUCAUCAUUUCUUGCAGAUUCAACAUUGCAACUUCCUUCUCCCUUUGUUCCUGAUUUCAGUUUUCCAGUCAUAAAGGCAUUGGAUUUCACAAAUUAACAUAAACAGAAGCUGAGAUGAGGUUCUGAAUUAGUUACUCGUAUUCUCAUGGCAAGCUAAACAGGUAAUGCAGUUGCAUUAAGAUUUUUCCAUUCUCUUUCAAAGUACCGUUACUUAAAUUGGUGCUUUUUCACACCAAUAUUUCUUACUUGUGAAGUUGUGAUACUAUUACAUGACUUUUAGCACAUGUAUCAUUUCAGGUCUAUCCACUCAUAGCAUAUUAGAUUUUACAUAAAUAAAACAAGAAUUAAAUUCAGUUUACCCCCAUGAAGUUUGAAAGCAACUUCACGUUAAUCCCUAUACUUUCAAUUUCAUCAGUUUACCCCUCAAACUUUUGAAUUUUCCUCAAGCGUGACCAAAUGUCCUAUAUUCUGUCCAAAUCAGACGUUAACUGUUGAUAAUUUUAACCUUAACUGUGAGGCCAAUAUCUAGAAUUUGGACAAAUCGGACCUUAUAUGUCCAAAUCGAACCUUAACUGCUGAUAAUUAAAGGUCAAUUCAAACGGAAUAUGAGAAUUUAGACACGGCAGACAGAAAUUGAAGAGUUCAAGGGGUAAACUGAUGAAAAUAAAAGUGUAGGGACUAACAUGAAGUCACCCCCAAACCACAAGGGGGUAAACUGAAUUUAAUUCAUAAAACAAUUAAAGAAACAAACAAGUUGAAUGAACAGACCUCAAUCUUUAAUUUACCCAAAUUUAUUUAGGGUAUUGCUAUUAACACACCCCUUUUUGCUAUUAGUAAUAAAACUUGUAUUUCUUAUUAAAUUACAAUAAUUCCAUCUAAACGGGCUAUAACCUUGCAUAAUCCAUAAAAGUAAAUUUAGAUAUGAAAAACUUCACCGGCAAAUGUAAGGGUAGGGUGGGUUAAGGGAUUUAAAAAUAAAAAAUAUAUAUAUAGAUCUGAAAAACAAUCUGAUCAUGAAAAGUUUCUCAGUAGUUUGUCAAAUCUACAGUAUGUUGGUAGGUCAAUAAACAGGCAAAAGAAACAUCUGUUAAAGAUCCUAAUUCUACAGAAGAAGAAAUGUAAAGAACAGAUUGGCGCAGGUACUUACAGUUGAGUCUGUAUUCCCUAGAUGAAUACUUCUCGCUCUUGUUGCAAAGUUCAAAGAACAUACUGUUUCACAGAGAUCUUCUUCUUUAGGACUUACAUGGACAAGCAUCAGAGUUUUUGAGUCCCUUCCUGAAGAUUACAAAAAAUAAAAAAUCAAGGGAAUGAUUGAUAUUUGAGCCAGAAUGAUAAAUAGAAAAAGUGAAGAAUAAACUAUAAAAGAGCAGACAAAAGAAAGAUUGGUAUAUUGAUAAUAUAAGUUUUGUCAUCCCCUACGCAGGCAGUUAUUGGAAUAAUAUCCAUUUUGCAUAGUACAUAUAGCCAUUUACUGCAUGCCUGGUUUCUUUUUUUAGCCAAAAACUUAUUUAGUGGCAGAUCUUGUAAAGUAACAACUGAACAGCCCUCGUGUAUAUAGUAGAGAUUUUGACUAGGGAAUGUUGUUACUUGGUAGUCACUACAAAUAAGGAUGUUACUGGAGUCCACUGAAGUAAAGUGAUUACCAAGAGAGUCCUUCAGAACUUGUGUCAGCUUGCUGUUCCUGUCAUUAGUAGAGAAAAAAAUAUAUUCAGGUAUUAGUUCAUAUUGCUGCAGCCUCCUUUUCGUAGAUUACCUAAGUAUACAAAGAAAGUAAACCAUAGCUGAUCGAAGCAUACAUGCUAAGAAGCUAUUAGGAUUGAGAAGUCGUUUUACUUAAAGCAAGUUGGUUUCUUUUAUAGCAUUCUUAUGGAUUUGAUUAAUAAAACAGGAGAUAUGCUGCUGCUCACCAAUGGUAGGAUUAAUGAACAAUAACCCAUUUAGAAUUUGAGUUACCUAUAAGGUACAUGACCCUUUCUGAGUUGAAGGGCAUUGAUGACAUCUCCCAGAGAGGAAAGUGACAAGUUAAUGGCUUUUCCUUCUUCUAGUCUUCUCCCGGAUGCCUUUGUCUUCAGCAAACGCUCACUUCCCCCAAGAUCGACAAACCAAAUUUUAUUUGUUUCCCUUCGCCUCUCAGGCGUUCCGCUACAUGUGAUUGAUAUGCGAAUCAAGCUGUUAAAACAGAAAUAAGAAUGAUCAUCUGAGGACACAAUUUUCUGUUCUGGAUAUCCAAACUUAGUAACCAAAGCUAAAGAUUUGAUUACCAGUGGGAUCUGCUAGAGGUAAUGUUACAAUUUGUCAAUGCUGUUGACCUGAACCGGCACCCUAAUCGGUAUAGCUUUAGAGCUUGGGUCAAGUCACUCACUCGAAUAGCCACAAGAUUUUCAAUUUCAAUCUCACCCUUUGGAUCUGUGUGGAUCAAGAGGCUGUUCAAAUAAAAGUAUGAUUAUUUCAGAAGGCAAAGCUUGGCUUGAGACAUAACAACUAACAAAGAAAGCAAGGGAGUUGCUAAGCCAAUAACAUUUCAUGUGUGUAAGUAGAGAAUGAGAGGAUUCAUACAUGUAAUUUACUGGGUUUUUCAAGUUUCAGCCAUAUAAGUAUACUCUUACCAUGGCAUUGGAUCCAUUGGCUUUCUUGGUUGAGGGAUUAGCAGGUCUCUUAGAUUCCCCAUGUAAAUCUCUAGCAUACUGAAGCUAAAGAGAUGCACAUGGUUGCUAUCCAUUGCUUGCUUAAACAGUGCUUCAAUUGCACGGGGCACCACUCCAGGAGAUUCUGGAAUUCCUUCCUACAAAAUUCAGACCAUAACCAGUACAUUUAGAAGUUCAGAACUACCAUAAAUGUCAUCUUAAGUCACUCUAAUUCCGAAUAUUUUCAGAAAGCAUGCAUGCAAUUGAGACUGUCCUGAGUAGUAAUCCCUCACCAUGGUAAAGGUUUUCCCUGUCCCUGUCUGUCCGUAUGCAAAGAUGCAAGCGUUAUAGCCAUCCAGUGCUGAUUUGAUUACUGGUUCAACUUCUGAAAAGACUUCAUCUGAAAAUUUUCAACUGUCAUAUUUAGUCACAGACAGAGAGCUAGUUGUGUAGGUUAGCACAUAACUAAUUGCAUGAAGGCUAGGAUAGCCAAAUUUUGCAACCAGUAAGCCUUGAUGUACCUUGUGAUGAGCCGUGGUGGAAAACCUUAUCGAAUGUAUAAUUUUUGUUCUUAUUAUCAGAAAAUCUUAGAAGAACAUUACUUGAAUCCAAAGCUACAACAGGCCUAAAACGGCCGAAGUUCUCCCCCAUUUCAAUGGGUCUUAUACGACAUAACACUCGAAUAUUACCUGCACUGACAAACAUGCUGAGCAUAAUUUGCAAUUUUAGUUGUCACGGUAAAUUCUGCACCAAAUACAAUUGUUCUCUUGUCAAAUUUAGUAAGCAGAAUUGGUUCUUUGACAGGAGAGUAGUUGUACGUGGUGCAGCAUCAUGCUUCCAGAUUACAUUUUAAUAGAUGUCCAUCGAAUAUGACAAACCUUUCAAAUCCAGAAAUUCAUUUAGAAGCUGCUUUCGCUGUCUGUUCAAUUCAUUUAUCCGGGCAGUCAAAACAGCAAGUUCAUCUGCGGCGAAGAGUAGAUGAUGGAGCAUGUGACAGUAUAACAUGCAUCUCAUUUGUUAUUGGUGCAACAGUAUACAAAAAGAAACGCAUGCAGGUAUUUAUACCAAGAAUGUACCUGUAAUCUUUGAGGUACGAUUGCCUAAAUCGUUAUCAGGAUCCUCAGAAGUACUCACUGUGUCUAAAUCUGUGGUUCUUAAGUCGAUUGAUUGCUCUUCAGAAGGCAGGUUUAUUAUUAUAUGACAAACAGAUUUAACCCAACUGGAAGUAAGAUGUGACUUUUGUCCUAGCAGGGAAUGAACUGUUUCAGCAAGGUUGUGCAGAGGCUUUCUUUUUAUUAAUGCCAUAGUUUCCCACUUUCCCCUUCUUCUGGAACUGGAAAUGUAAUGGAAGCCCCUUCGUAUGUGCAAGUGAACUCCGUAUAGUGAACAAUUGAAUAAGUUUCCAACUUCUGCAGCCAUAUAAGGAAUUGGAAGGUGAGAUAGUGCAACCAAAACAAACACAGAAAGAUAAUACGAACAAGUUACUUACCUGAACGCAGGAGCUCACAUCUUCAAAACUCCAGCCAUAUGUGAAAAUGAAUUUCAGAAGUUUUUCUGGACUGCUAAGCCUCAAAGGCCAGAGGAGGUCAAAUGUUGCCUUCCAUCCAGUCAAAAGCUGUGAAUAAGAGGAAAUAUAUUCCCAUUUGAGACCAACAACGUAUUGGCUACUAAGAAAAGAAGGAAGUCCAUAUAUGGAUCUUUUUUAAUGAAAAUUAUAAGUAAAAAAAUCAGAAGAAUGCUGGUUCAAUGCUGAAGGAAGCAUUUACUUUCCUGUUGCACAGAGGACCCAAAGGCUGUUGAAGUUAUCAACACGUAACGGGGAACUGGUGUUUUGUAUUGAGCUAGCUCUGGAAACUAGCUCAUCCUCCUCAUGAGAAAGAAGGCAUCAAACAAGAUUGCAUUUUGUUUCAUUUGUUAAACAGGUCCAGGUAACCAGUGUUGGAUUUUUGCUUCUUGACAAAACCACUUGAAUUGCAUCAGAGCAUCAAAAGCUGGUUGUUGGCGAGGGGCCCAUUUUCAAGUUUGCAUAUGAUUGAUGCAUUUUUCACUCUUUUAUUGUGGAUGGUUGCUCAGGAAUGUAACAGAGCUGUCAUUACUCAUCAGUCAUUACCUUAUAACUUGCCAUUUGAUGGAGCUCAUAAAUCAAGCAAGUGUUCUAUCUGUGUUUGCAAACUACGCCAGCAAAUACCAAUCAAUAGGCUAAACAACAAACUAAACCAAAUUAGACCAAACAACUUCCUUUAAAACUUGACCCCAAAGAACUGUUAGGAAAUUAAUACUUCGGCCAUGCAAGCAGACGCGGAUCUACAACAAGGGUGGGUAGUGCUCAAGCCCAACCAACCGAGCUUUUUUGGGGGAAAAAAAAUAAGUAAAAACUGGCUAUAUUAUGUUUUUUUUUGUAUAAGCAUUUUUGUGCUCAGCCCAAGAACUCCCCAACAUGCUAUGCAUAUAGGCCUCUAUUGAGUCUAUUCUAUGGUUCCUCACUUUCUCUCCCACUUUUCCUUCUAGUUUUCUAGUAUUUUACCUCUUAAAUCUUAAAUUUUUGUCACGUACAACUCUUUUAAUCUACUUCUUUCUCUAUUGAAUAUGAAAUUAUAAGUAUGAAUUAUUGAAGACUCAUUGACGUCUACUUAAAUUUUAAAAAAUGUUUUUUUGGCACCCUUGAAUAUGAAGCCCACCCUAUGAUCGGAUCCUAGAUCCGCCACUGCAUGCAAGUACUAGUAGUAGUCAUGGAAAGAAGAAAUAAAACAACCAAGCCAAGAAGACAAUAAGAUUUUAACGAGGUUCGGUCAAUUUCUUCGCCUACGUCCUUGGAGAGCUUUCAUCUUCACUAUGAGAGAAUUACACAAGUAUAAGAUACAUCACUCAAGUUUCAAGUUUUUACCCAACCCGAGCCCUUGCAUUCAAAAGGAUACCCCAUUGUACACACUCUCUGAACCUAGAAGAUCACUCUACCCAAGAGCUAUACGCACCCUUAAACUCCGGCCAAAACUUCCUUUAAAACUUGACCCCAAAGAACUGUUAGUAAAUUAAUACUCUGGACAUGCAAAGUACUAGUAGUACGUAGGCAUGGAAAGAAGAAAUAAAACAACCAAGCCAAGAAGACAAUAAGAUUUUAACGAGGUUCCGCCAAUUUCUUUGCCUACGUCCUCGGAAAGCUUUCAUCUUCACUAUAAGAGAAUUACGCAAGUACAAGAUAUACCACACAAGUACAAGAUAUACCACUCAAGUACAAGAUAUACCCAACCUGAGCUUUUGCAUCCAAAAGGAUACCCCAUUGUACACCCUCUUUGAACCUAGAAGAUCACUCUACCCCAAGAGCUAUUCACACCUUUAUACUCAACUCCCAAGAGCUAUACACGCUCUUGAACACAACUCCCUCGAUCUUCUACAUCUUAAAGACCCUUGGAGUUCUCUCUCUCUUGUUGUGUUGUUGUUGUUAUGGAUUAGCAAAUGACCUCUCUAUAUAUAGGCCAAGGACUUACUGUCAUUCAAGAACCAACCAUUCAUCUUCCUCAUUAACUCCCUAGGAAGACCAUUCAUAAACCAACCGUCAAUCUCCCUCCUUAACUCCUUAGGAAGGCUAAGAGACAUAUCAUGAAUUUAACCAUGCAUUUAGUCCCAAUGCAUCAACUCCGGCCACCAUAUAUUUAAUUAUGUCAAAUACAUGCACUUAACUACGCAUCAAUUUACCAUGCAUAAAUUACCUUCAUGAAUGCACCAAUCAUUUGUACCAUGCAUUCAUGUCAUGCAUCAUACAUAAUAUCUCCACCACGGAGGGAUAGGCACCAAACCCAACAAGAACCAUACAUGGUACCUUUAAGUGUUUGUUUACUUUAAUGAUUUAUUGACUCGCUCAACUUAGAAAUAUGUUCUGAUGUUGACAGAGUAAUGUGUGAGACUUGAAAUAUUCAUUUAUAUAGUUCAUGUAUACGUAGUAAUUAAACAUGUAACUUCACCUUAUCACCUAACACUUGAUAAAAUUUUGGUUUUUGACAAAUGGUAUUGUAGUCGAAUUCUGUCAAAACAACAUAGUAAGAUAUUGUUCUCUCGUGGUCGUGCCUACACAAUUUGGGAGUCUACGCAUCAAAUAAAACGGUGUGAGCUGGGCAGGAAUAUAGCGGACAAUAAUUUGCUAUGCGGACCGACAAGUUUGGUCCAUUCUCUUUGUGGGAGUUAGGGCAGCAGUGAUUAUGAUGACAACUUUCUAUAGACGUGGGAAAGGGUGUCAUUCUAGCUAUUUGCGUUAUAGCCUUCGGGACAAAGGUGCUUUCAGGAUACAAAUUUGCCGACCAUCUUUAUUUGCCCACCAAAGUGUCCACCCUCUUAGUCUAUUGACACAUAUCCAUUUUAUUAUCAAGAAUAAAGUUAAACAAUCUGAAGAGACAUGUGUUCAAAUUAGUUCUACUUGGAAUAGUGAAAUACGGCUAUGGUAGAAAAAUCACUUUAAUUCAGCAAUGUUAAAGCCCCGAUCAAAGCGGUCAACCUUAAUUACCCUAAAUGUUCCCUAUGGGGAACCCUAUCAUCGGAAGGUAAACAUCUCCUAAUUUUUACAUGGGUGGUUACAUCUCAUCUAUGUGAGAGUGUUAUGUGUGGAAGAAUCAAUCAAACUAGGUCAUAAAGGGGUAGGUAAGAGCGUUUUCGUGUGGUAAGUGACAUUGAAUUAGAGUUGACCGCUUCGAUGAAGCCCCGAACGUUGCCAAAUACAUUUGAAUUUUCUAUCAUAACCGUAUUUUACUAUACCGUUCACAUCAGACGGUUAAAAUUUUAUUUUGUGAAAUUUAGCCGUUAGAAUCACAACGUGCCUACUAAUGUGGUAUAACUUGUUUAGUGAGUUUUAUGUUAAUGUAAAUAUGUGUGAACCAACUAUACAGAGGAAGCAAAAUUUUGAAAAACCUAGUGAAAUAGGAUGUGAUCGUUAUGUGAAAUACGGCUAUGGUUAAAAAAUCACAUAAUUCCGGUAAUGUUUGAUCCCCGAUAGAAACGGUCAACCUUAUUUACGCUUAUUCUUUCUUAUGGGGAGCCCUAUCGUCGGGAGGUGAGCGUUCCUAAAUUUUUACAUGGGUGGUUAUAUCUCAUCUAUGUGAGAGUUUUAUGUGUGGAAGAAUCAAUCAAACUAGGUCAUAUAGGGGUAGGUAAGAGUGUUUUCGUGUGGUAAGUGACGUUGAAUUAGAGUUGACCGCUUCGAUGAAGCCCCGAGUGUUGCCGAAUACAUUUGAAUUUUCUAUAAUAGCCGUAUUUCACUAUACCAAUCAUAUCAGACGGUCAAAAUUUCAUUUUGUGAAAUUUAGUCGUUAGAAUCACAACGUGCGCUACUAAUGUGAUAUAACUUGUUUAGUGGGUUUUAUGCAAGUGUAAAUAUAUGUGAACCAACUAUACAGAGGAAGCAAAAUUUUGAAAAAUCUCGUGAAAUAAGAUGCGAUCAUUAUGGUGAAAUACGGCUAUGGUUGAAAAAUCACAUAUAUUGGUUAACGUCUGGGUCCCAAGAAAAACCGGUCAACCCUUUUUACGCUUAAUCUUCUUUAUGAGGAGUCAUAUCGUCGAGAGGCAACGUCUUUAAAUUUUUACAUGGGUUGCUCCGACUCAUAUAUGUGAGGGUUUAAUGUGUGGAAGACGUGACCAAACUAGGUCACGGAGAGGUAUGUAUGAGCAUUUCCAUGUGAUAAGUGACGUUGUAUUAGAGUUGACCGCUUCGAUCGAGCCCCAAAUAUUGCCGAAUCCAGUUGAAUUUUAUACCAUAGCCAUGGUUCACUAUGAUGAUCAUAUCAGACGGUCGAAUUUUCAAUUUGUGAAUUUUAGUCAUCGGAAUCACAGCGUACCUACUAAUGUGGUAUGACGGUUAUAUAUAAGUGUACAUAUUUGUGAACCACCUCUACAGUGGAAGCAAAAUUUUCAAAAUUCACGUGAAAUAGGAUGUGAUCGAAAUGGUGAAAUACAGUUAUGGUUGAAAAAUCACGUAUUUCGAGUACAUUCCGGGUCCGGAUAUAAGCGGUCAACUUUUUUUACGUUUAUGCUUCCUUAUUGGGAGCCUUAUUGUCAGGAGGUAAACGUCUCUAAAUUUUUACAUGGGUGGUUACGUCUCAUCUAUGUGAAAGUUUAAUGUGUGGAAGAAUCGGCCAAACUAGGUCACGGAGAGGUAGGUGUGAGCAUUUCCAUGUGAUAGGUGACCAUAGAUUAGGGUUGACCGCUUCGAUCAAGCCCCAAACAUUGCCAAAUCCAGUUAAAUUUUAUACCAUAGCCAUAGUUCAUUAUGAUGAUCAUAUCAGACGGUUGAAUUUUCAUUUCAUUUUAUGAAUUUUAGUCAUCAGAAUCACAACGUGCCUACUAGGCUAAAUAGGGGUACAAUCCACAUUCCCAGAACCACAAGCCCAGUCCAAGGCAUUCUGCAAGUCCGUUACAAAAGCUUUACUCGAAGCAAUGCACCAAGUUGUUGUUCCAUUUGAACUGGUAACAUUAGAAUAUGUGGUCGGUCAUAUCAACAACAUUUUUUCCAGUGAAAUGCAGGUUGUAGACGCUUGAACUACUUAUACGACAUAAUUUUUUUUCCCGGUACAUUUUGAGGUAACACAGAAAACCCAUGAAUGAAGAAAGCCAAUUCAAAGCUUACCUACACGAUAAUCCUGAACUACUUACCACAUAUGUUUAUGGAAGUAAACACAACUAUCAUAAAUCUGACAAGUACCUAGUAUAGAGCCUCAAAAUUAAUAGAAAUCCCCUAAGAAACACAUAUACGCAAUUCAUCUUCCAGUUUGGGACUCAUGCAGAUUUGGUAUACAAUGCCAACAAAAUCACAGAAUAUAACUUGCUGCGAAAUUGAACUUCUUAUGCAAAAAACUCCCAACUAUAUCAAGAAAGUUAAAGAAUUUUGGAUCAAAGAAAUAACUUUGUUAACAAAACAUACAGCUGCCCAGUUGACUUCCUAUAACCUAAACACGAGGUUACCAUGUUGAGAAUCCAAAUCUUUUACAUUCUUCAAGUGCAUUAAUACAACAUAUCAGGCAUAUAUGCAGGGUGGUUUCAAAAGAUCAAUAUAGAAAAGGUCCAGAAGUCUAAUAAUAAGAUUGCACGCAAUAUUAUUAUUAUGAUGAAAGACAUUUAAUUGUUCUCUUUUAAUAAUGGGCUGACAUAACAAGUACAACCCCAAAGAAGAGAAGUCAACAAAAUCAAAAUCAAAACAUUGCAGCAGAACUACUCAUCAAAAUAGGCAGAUGAAAAACUAAGUUCAACAGUUAGAUAUGGUCAAAAACUCCUAUGCUGCUUCUUACUUUACAUUCAAUCAUGACUAAGCAUUGCCAUUGCCUUGUUCAAUACCUGAAAUUACACAAACAAAGGGUAAUGAGUUAUGUUGUGGUAAUAGACACAGCAAGCAGUUCAAAAAGCAACUAACAUAAAGAACAAAACAACAAAACACCAUUUUCUAACUCACACACAGCCCAUAUUAUUAACAAACUGAUUUCAGUCCUGUUCAAAACACAAGCUGACAUGAUCAUCACACGUUACAUUUUGUAUCACAUCAAUCUUGCCAUAUCAUAUCACAAUCUCAGCACAUUUGCUUCUACCUUUUUACAACUAAAAAGGGAAAGAUAAAUUCACAAAGGGUUUAUCGGAACAAUCACAUUAUUCCCCUGUGCCCAGACUAGCCUAUGUGCAAAGAGAGCUCACAACAGAAACAAACACAUAGAUACUCAGCAAUUCAAAUAAGAUUUCAAAUAUAAGCACUUAGAUGUGUGGGAUUCUGCAUUACCACAUUCUCCACAAUUACCAAAUAAUGUUCACGCUUAAACAUCAGACUCAAUGAUCAUUAUCAAACACGCUCCCAAUCAGUGACCAUAAUUAUAUUUAUCACAUCACAAUCAUGCAAAUCAAAUCACAGUAUAUAUACACAAUUUCAAUUAUAGUUUCAUACUAAUAACAAACUAACCUUGUACGAAUCAGGUACGACGAUGGUAAAUGAGGGCAGAUGCUUCACCAAAUGCUUCAGUUGCUUUUUGAACAGAUAUCAUGAUGGAGCAACUGUGGAACAGAUAUCAUGAUGGAGCAGCCAAUAUCAGUUGCAUCUAGCUAUCGUAUACAACUCUUAAUGAUGUUUGAAAGAUUUAUGGUGAAAUUUCCAUUUUGUUCAAUGGACUUCAUGUUAGUAGAUAUUAGUUUUAUUUCAAUGCAAACAUGUUUGCAACAUAUCCUAAACAAGAUCAAAAUUUUCCUCUAACCAUAAUCAAACUUAGUUUCAAGAUUAAAAGCCAGUUUAAGGAUGCAUAACAACUUCUAUAUUCAACACACUACUGUUUUGACAUGCAAGCACAAUAUCACCGAAACACUGCUAUAGAAAUUCCUAAACUCUAGCUCUUCAAAACACCAAAAUUGCUGCAGGCCUGCAGCUGAAUCAUGUACAGUGGAUUAUUGUUUUACACUUGCACUGGAAAGCUGAAUCCAAAAAGAACUCAUCCAUAUGAAAUUAAGUAGACGACAUUGCUGAAAAGAAAAUAAGUAACUUACCCAAGGUCUAUAAGUACAGAACUGUACUAAUGCUAAUAUCAAAAUCCAGUCAGUUAUCUUCUCCGUUGUGAACACAACUGGUGGUAAUAAUUCUCCUCGCUGAAUCGGAGACCACCAUCAUCAAGUUCCGGAUCCUCUAAUACAACAAGGAUUAAAUUUCUUGCUCCCUAUACUAUAACCCACUCACCACUGUAAUUAGAAUUGGGUAAAUUUCAUAAUAAGCAAACACUAACCUGUACGAAUCACACACAUCUAGCACUACAAGUUAAUCUCUAACACACACUAGCAAUCUAUUUCACCGUAACUUCAAUAAAACAAUGUCAGCUACUAUGGAUUCACACACAUCUUUAUCAACAAUUUGAAAAAUGAAAUUAGAAAAAUCGGAUUUGCACCAAACAGAGAAAUUCUUAUUGUUUCGUUUUCAGUUCUAACAUUAUGAUCAGAAAUCUCAAUAUCCAAUUGUGAAUAGAGAACUUACAGCUGAAUUUGGAUGUGAGUUGUGCUCCUGAAUUCUGUGUUGUGCUCCAGAUUUGGCUGAGACUACAUAUUCAAAUUGUACAUCUAUUUCAGGCGUGAAGGCUCUGGAUUUCGAUUUCGAUGAGUUCGCCGGCCCUGACUGAAACUUUGGGUUCGACCCGGAAACACCAGCACAAUACAUAAAGCAUUUCAGUGUUCAAUAUAGAGUUGUUCAUGUUAAUCAAAAUUGCAAACCUUAUCAUAUUCAAUUCAACUGAUCGUAAAAGAGAGAUCUCAGACGCAUUUCAUCAAACAGGGUGAGCAAGAUUACAAUAAUAGAAAGGGGAUCGAAAGAGUGUAUAGAAUGAAGAAGGUUACGUACCGAUGAAGGGAAUGAUGGCGGCAACGGCGACGGCGGCAGAGAGGGACAGAGAGAGAGGCAGAGGAGAUGAGUCGAAAUUGGAUGGAGGCCUCGUAGAUAAGCAAUUGACGCCUCUCACAGCCACGAUGGGCGAAGGCGAGUGGGAACUUCUGCCGAACCCAAAUCUCGACCACAGAGAAAACCCUAAAUUUGAUUUCAUAUGAGGUCGAUUCGGCCGAUCCCACGAUAACAAGGCAUGCAAGAGGCGUGCUGCACAGUAGACGGUAAGAACAUCAAUUAGGGGUUGUAGAUCUGAAAACCCCUCCACUGUUUUGGCUUCGGAACCGCGAUUCGUGAUCGUCGCCGCGCUUCAUAGAUAACCAAUGUAAACAUUCGACCAGAACCCACUAACCACCACCUCCCAAUUGGGUUCUAGAUCCCAAACCAAGGGCUGUUGGGCAACAAUUAAGGAUAACCCAAUUGAAUUUCUGUCGCUCGGACGAACGGCUCAAACUACAAACUUUGUUGGACGCAGGCAAACCCUAGAUUUCAAUUCAGAAGAGGAAUCACAACAUAGAGGAAGUCGUCGUGCAACACGCGUGCUGCACAGUACAGACGGUAACAACAUCUUAAACGUAUCGAUACUUGACUUCCCCACUCACGGUACACAACGGAACCGUAUACAAAACGUAUAAAACACCCCGGGUAGACUCACCCCCCGGGUAGACACCAGAACUCGCCCUCUUGUGAUAGCAAAUUAGGAGUUGGAAAGUUUAGGUAUUAAACUAACUUUGACAUAAAAGGAGGGGGGGGGGGGACUAAACUUUUUCUCUAAAUUAAAAUGAUGACAAAGGUACGAUUUGCAUUUUGCAACAAAGGGUGACAUUGAAUCUCACAGUAUUCACAGUAACUUCCACAUGUUCAAUUAGCAGGAGAUGUGUCUCUGGCUAGCUUGGUAAUGAAUAAACACGUCUUAGCCGUCAAGAAAAAGACUUUACCUCCUACGUACAGAUCGACGUACUUUUCUUCCCAUCAUCCUAUUUCUGAUAUUUCUCUUGCUUGCAGACGACUCCAAAAUAUUUUUCGUUAUUAACAUUCAACACGUAAUUGAUGGACUCAUCAUACCCAGAAAAUCAUCCGACGACUCAUCGAUUCUUGCAUGUUACUCCAAACCAUUUGCUAUAUAUAAAGCGAUCUAGUCUGACCGAUCAAUAUCUCGAUCUCUCAUUACAAUUAUUUCAGUAUCACUGAUCUCUUGCUACGUACAUAUAUAUCUGAUCUGAGUGAUCUUGCUGAGUGCCUGAUCUACACAUUUGGAAAGAAAAUGACGUCUGAAGCAACUGUAUCAUCUGCAGAGGAAGUGCAGGCAUAUGGAUGGGCUGCUAGAGAUUCCUCAGGAAUUCUCUCUCCCUUCUACUUCACCAGGAGGUACAUUUGAUCUCGAUCUUCUUCUUAUUUCUUCAAUAUCUCCAUUUAUAUCUAAUUAGGCUUCUUCGAUGCUCGUAUUGUUGUUUGGAUUUUUAUGUUACGUAAAUAAUUUUGCAGGACUAUUGGUAUCAAUGAUAUCAGCAUGAAGAUACUCUACUGUGGUAUUUGCCACUCAGAUCUUCACCUUGCUAAGGACGAAGUCGGAAUGACCAUCUAUCCCAUCGUCCCAGGGUACGUACCCUAGCUAGUAGUUAUUCCGGACUUAAUAUAUUAUUUCUAACAUAUACUUAGGAACACAUAAAAUUUAUGUACUUUUGAUUUUCAUAGACAUGAGAUUGUCGGAGAAGUGACCGGAGUUGGGAGCAACGUGACGAAAUUCAAAGUAGGAGACAUAGCCGGAGUUGGGUGCAUGGUGGGUUCGUGUGGUUCGUGUACUAACUGCACACGAGACUUGGAAAAUUACUGCCCCAAAAUGAUAUGGACCUAUAACAAACACUACCCCGAUGGAUCCAGAACGUUUGGGGGAUACUCCGACAAGCUAGUAGUCGAGGAGCAUUUCGUAGUCCGAAUUCCAGAUAACCUGUCACUGGAAGGUGUUGCACCUUUGCUAUGUGCUGGGAUUACGGUGUACAGCCCUAUGAAACACUUCGGACUUUUUGAGCAUGGUAAGCACUUGGGUGUGGUAGGGCUUGGUGGCUUAGGUCAUUUGGCUGUUAAGUUUGCCAAGGCCGUGGGAAUGAAAGUCACUGUGAUAAGUACCUCCCCUAAUAAGAAGAAGGAAGCAAUGGAACAACUCGGUGUUGACGAUUUUCUUAUCAGUCGCGACCAAGAGCAAUUUCAGGUAAAUGAAACAUUGCAUUGCAAUGUUGCAUUAUAUGAGCUAUUUGUUUGAUUUGUAGAAGCUUUGAUUUGCUUAUGUGCUUACAUAUAUAAAUACAUAAAAUGCAUGUAAUUAAAUAGGCUGCUAUGGAUACAAUGGAUGGUAUCAUCGACACAGUUUCAGCCCCUCAUUCUCUAUUGCCAUUGAUGGACUUGUUGAAGACGGAUGGAAAGCUAAUUGUGGUGGGUGCUCCUCUGCAACCUCCUGAACUACCAGUGUUUCCUUUAAUCAUGGGUAAGAUAAUUUAGUUCUUUUUCUGUUUAGAUGAAAUUAACUAUCAACCUAAUUAAGUUGCAAAAACUUAAUUUGAUGUAACUGUGACUGUUGAAUAGGGAGGAAGUUGAUUGCUGGUAGUGCAAUUGGGGGAAUGAAAGAGACUCAAGAGAUGAUAGACUUUGCAGCAAAGCACAACAUCACGGCCGAUGUCGAAGUCAUUCCAAUGGACUAUGUGAACACUGCUCUUGAACGAGUUGGCAAGGUUGAUGUGAAGUACCGCUUUGUUAUUGAUGUUGCAAACACCCUAAAUUCUCCAUAUUGAUCAAAUUUAGAUGAACAGUUCGGUUUUGGCCUUCUCCGGCCAAUUACUAACUCUUGUAGGUCUUAUUUUGUAAUGUCGAUCAAUCAAGUGUUUUGUUUUUAAAGACUUCUUUUGGGUUUAUAUAAUGGUUUAAAUUCUAAAAUCACUUGCCUCUCGAUCAUAUAUGAUCUGAUCAUAUUUGGAAUGUGUUUCCUGAGUUUUAUUAGUGAGUUCUCUUUAAUUUGCUCGUUCAUCUUUUAAAUUUCAAUGCUGUAACUGUUGCGUGAUUUCAUCAAGUUGCAAUAAAAAUUUACAUAUGAGUUGGACAAAUGGCAUGGGUUCUUUUCAACUGGAGCACAAAAUGGAGCUAAAAGAAAAAUACUUUACUAGUUAUAAGUGCGUAUUUACGAAGAUAUUCAAUAUAUGACCACGUUCACAUUGUAAAUGGAUAUCCAAACUCAAGUUCUAAAGUUUAAAGUAACUACUCUUAAGCACUGGAGUCACAUAAACGUUCUGGAAAAAAAAAUUCGAUCUAUUUUUUAUAAACAAAUAACUGUCACAACAAUUUUUCGGUUGUAGAUCAUGCAAUACUUUUUUGUAGAAUUCGUUUCGAUUUUUGCUUUUGUUAUGUUGAUUCAAUUUCAGGUGCCCAAUCAUCAAUCAGUAAUAGGUUAGAGGUAGGUAAUCAAAUGAUCGAAUACGUAGGUAAUGAUCAAUCAGAGAAAUUUUAAUCGAUCAUAAGCCUUCAGGAAAUUCCCCCAUGUGAUUGAGUGUAGUGUACGUGAAAUAAUUUAUCACUUAGAUUCUUUUCUUUCCCUCAGAAAAUGAUCACUGCAAGAGCUAAGCGGGGAAGCAGCUUAACUGGCGUUGUGGCACUAUCAGUGCAGCAGUAGUAAAAGUGAAUGGAAGAAAGAGAUGGAGGUCAAACCUUCGAAAGUCGUGACCGAGUGUAUACAUGCAUUUUCAGAUACGAACCUCUGUAUUUAUUUAAAAUGUAUGGAUUUUCUUAAUUGACCCAUUUUUAGAUCAUAUUUUCUCAUCUUAACCAUUCACAUUGUAGGUAUAUAUGAGUAAAUCAUCUCUAUAAAAUUUUAGCCAAAUUGAUAAUCAUUAAAGUAUUCAAAAUUGUGAAUUACACGAACGGUUCAUGUUGAAUAGAUUUGGUUCGGUCAUUGUAGUCAUAUAACGAUUAUUAAUUUGGCUGAAAAUUUGUAGAGAUGAUCUACUCAUAUAUACCUAAAAUGUGAACGGUUAAGAUAAGAAAAUAUGAUCUAAAAAUGGGUCAAUUAAGAAAAUCCGUACAUUUUGAAUAAAUACAGAUAUUUAGAUCUGAUAAUAUAUAUAUAUAUAAAUAUAUAGAGCUUCAAAAACAUUCAUGUGGGCAUUAUGAAUCGCAUUGAUGGAUCAGAGCUAGCUAGAUUGGAGGAAUAUAUAGAUCAUAGAUGGAGCAAAGAGGAUAUAUGGUUUGGUGUUGGGGCAUGGAAGUAUCUUCAUCAAUACAGAGGGGUGAGGAUAAGGUUCCAUCUUUGCCUUUCCCUCAACUUAUGAGACAGUUGCAAAGGAAAUGAUGAGGCGAUGGAUGAUUAAACUUCAAAUAAAGAAAAUAAAACCAACUUUCAUCACUAGGAGCAUUGUUGGAAAGACAAAGCCGUCAGAGAGAAGUACUGGCCGAAAGUUUUACUGUAAAUUUACAUUGGUUGGGGUAAUGGAGUUGUGUCAGAGGACCCUGUUUAGGCCUAAUUUUAUAUUGGUUAUCUCACAGCGAGUUAGCUCAUGAACCGAUACCAGCGGUCCAAUUAUCUUUAUUUUUUUUCUUGUUACAUUGGGUAAUUACUGGCAGAAAAUUUACAUGAUAUCUUGAAGAUAUAUUGUCAGAGGGCUCGGUUAGGAAAAUAUUUUCCUGAUUCAAUUAGAGAUUCGAUUGCUUUGAAGACAAGUCAUUCGCAAACCCUAGCCGCUCAGUUCCAUAUAUAAGGAGGUCGAGGUGAACGAGAAAAAACCCCCCCCCCCCCCCCCCCCCCCCCCCGACCCCCAACUUCAACAAAACUCUGCAUCACUGCAAAUUGGACGCCUACCCAGGAGCACCAAAUCUACCAAACAAACCUCUGCAGGGAGCACCACCAAAGCUUCAUCGUGAGCAAAUCCCGCUUCACUCACCAAGCCUCAUCGUAAGCAAAAAGUCCACCCCCAGUCCAUAAAGCCUCAUCGCGAGCAUAAGUCCAUCUCAUUGUUAAGGAGAGAUCCUUAGCAAAUAUCCUUUAUUUUAUUUGUAUUUGUCACUUGAGUAAAUCCUCAGGAUCCGUCAUAGGUCGUUAUGAAGAGCCCCAGCAGCAAGAUUGACCGUUCCUGCUCACAGUUGUUUGAGAAUAAGUCAAGAGAAGUGCGCGAAAGAACAAGAUCAAGACAUGCACACCUCCUCAAGGUGUUGGCACGCUCGCACCAGACGGUUGUUCGAAGGACCUAAAAAUCUGACCCGAACAUUUUGGCACGCCUAUCAACGGGACACAUCAGUGGCAAAAUUGCGACUGAAAACAUCUAUAGUAAAGAAUAUCCUAAGUGUUCCUUGUUAGAACAUUCGCACUGCAAACCUCACAAUCCUUUGAGGUGCAAAAGGUUGACUAUCAAGCUAGUUAACCAGCGUUUCGGUAUAGAAACGAUGACCGAAGGGUCUGGAGUUGAGAAGUUCGUUUCUCAGGAACAGCUUGUGGACACAUUGGAAAAGAUGUCUACAAGCAUAUCACAAGCGUGUUCGCAGGCAUGAAGGCAUUACGGGACUCAAUGGAGGCUACUUUUGCCAAAGUUGAUGGCUGAAUUAACCAGUUGUGGGAAAAAACAAGCGACCAAGCCGAGCACAUUGCACGCAUCGCAGAGACUAAUCAGAAGUUGGACACAUUCUUUGUGGACAAAUUCUUGCACAAGAAAGACGUUGAUUAUGACGGUGCUAACCCACAACCAGAGGGAACUUCGAAUACUAAAGUUCCUACUAUGAAACCAAGAGGAACGAUACUCAUCAAGGUGGUUCCACCAAAUAACGAAGGAGAUGGUGGAAACCAGUUCGAGCAAGUUAAUAAGCCAGUUGAUAAGACGUAUUUGCACACGCAUCAAUUAACCUUGUCAACAAAUCAGUUGUAGUAUAAAGCAAGCAGGGAUCGUUCUAAACCGGGGAUUCAACUACAGGGUAGAUCCAUCUAAUCUAAUGUAAAUGUCAAAAUAAGCACAUAGGUUUAAGGGUUUUAUGAUUUCGGAAAAGACAAUGAAAAUAAAUCCUAAAUUACUUCUAUACAUAUAUACAUGUGAUCAACCAACAAUCAUGCAAACUCAACCAAACAACCAUGUAAGAAUAAAGAAGAAGAUUUCUAAUCUCAUUUAAGUCUACACCGUGAGCAAAUAUACAACCUAAAUUUGAUAUGCACAUAAAUUCCUACGUGGUUCCUAUGACAUAGACCAACUUAGAAUUAGACUAUGGGUUUCAUUCAACAUCGCGACACAACAAGCUCGGCUACGUGCUCUACUUAUCGGUCACACACAUAAACUAAUCAUGCAAUUACGUAUCACAUAAAGAAUCGAUGUGUUUAAGCACAAGUCCAAAUCAAACAUAGGUAUAAAAUCAGUGAAAAACAAAGACAAUGCAACUUAUCAACUACGUGUAUCAAAGUCGAACUUUGGAUGAUUAACACAUGCAAUAUCAACUACUUGUAUCAACUACACAUGAUAAUGGAAAAAUGCACCGAAAAUCUUAAAGUAUUUAGACAUAAAACUCACGGCAUAAACCUAAAAUCAUUGAUUAAAAAUCGAAAACUUUAAUUCAAAACAUGGUUCAAAAGUACUUCUAACUCAUAGACAAGAAUCGAAAUAUACUUAAGCAAAAACCUAAAACAAACAAAAACAAGAACAAACACAUAGCAAUCCGAAAAUAGAAGAUGAAAUACACUCUCAGAAUAUCCCUACUUGUUCUAUUCUUCGAGUGAGCGGAAUCCUAGGCUACGUGCUUUGGACAAAUGCUGAAGGUGGGAUCGGAUUGUGGUGUUUGGAGGUUAAUGGAGUUUCGGCAAAGGCUUUGGUGUUAUUUGCACGGGUUGAUGAUGAUCUCUUACUGCCAUGCCGUGCCCUAUUUAUAGAGUAACAAGUCUUGAUCUCCAAGAAUUCUUCUAGCACAAGGAAUCCUAUUGAAUUGGCAAAACCAAGUCCAAGUUGGAUUUAAUUUCUUCUCUUGUUCUUCAAGGAAUCCUCAUGCAUUAAGGAAUGACAAAACCAUCUUUGAACUUGGAAAAUCUUCUCUUGGGCCGCACGGCUUCUUUCUCCUUGUAUAUUUCGGCUUGUACUUCUCCUAGCUUAAUCAGGACUCCUAGCUGCCGGCCACCUUUCCCUCAUGAGUCAGGAAAACAUUUCCUAGUCAACACGGGUUUAGACUUUCCUGAAAUAAAAAUAAGAAAAUUAGAAACUAGGAAAGAGGAAAGAUGGAAUCUUAAUCAAGACAGGAAUCCUGAGUAAACAAGGAUUUCCAACACUUAGCACAAUUUCAACACCAAAUUCUUCAAUUCCGAAAUUACUAUGCAUUUUAACACUAAACCUACAUAAUUCUACUUUAAGCAAUUAUUCUACACUAAACACAAAUAUAAAGCUAAAACAACUAAAUAGGAGUUAACAAAGGGUAAAUAAAGGGUAUAAACAUAUUAAGAACGUCACACUUUGUGCUCCUAUCACCAGUCGUUCAAGCAGGAGCACAGCCAUUGGCCGCAAAUGUUGUCGUACAGCCUGCAGCCGUGAAUGGUAUAACACGGCCAGAAGACAUUCAGGGCAUGCUCGACCGUGCGCUGCAACAGCUUAGAACUGAGUUCAGGACUGAGUUGAGGGAUCUUGGGGUAGACCUCACUUACCAGAAUCCAUUCUCGGAUUACGUGGCAGAUGCUGAUUAGCUGCAAAAUUAUAGGAAUAUUCACUUCACUCCCUUUUCAGGGGAGGGGUCUGAAGACGCCACAACACAUAUUUCGAGGUUCCAAAGUGAGUGUGGUCCCUAUGGGAACAAUCCUUUGCUGAAACUAAGGGUGUUCGGUUCAUCUUUGGCAGGUUCAGCUCUCACAUGCUAUACUAAAUUGGUACAUGGGUCCAUUCGAACAGAGGAAAGGGUAUCUCCUGUUGAAGACCAAGCUGGCGAGCGAAGUGGUUUGGAGCAUAUAGUUCAAAGCCAACAUCAUCAAGGAGUCUCAAAUCAGCAAUGGAGAUAGCUUGUUCAAACAGAUGCAUAGCUUCAAGGGAAUGAGUUGUUCCCACAUAAACUUAUUUGUCAAUGCUUCUGGAUACAUUCGGUUGAGCAUCAGGUCGCUGGCAUCUAGUAUAGAAGCAUCCAAGGUGUAUAGAUGUUGGAAGCAAUCGGAGUAAUCGAGAGGGUUGUGGGCUUUGACUCCGGCGAAUGCCAUCCCUAGUACUUGAUUAUCUGGAAAAUCUGUGACUUGGGGAUGCCUGAAUUGAACAAAGUAAAUCUGCAGCCAAAGGUCCAAUAUCCAAAAUGGCCCUGAUAUAGUGCUAUAGUUGAAUGGAUGAAGGGACAGGUCAUAAAGAGCACGGUAUAGCAUAGCUGAGGUCAUCUGGGCUAAUCCUAAUCUAUAACCGUUGAACAGAAGUGAAGCCACACGAAACCAAGCAUCAUUUAUUUUCUGAGUGCUAGUGCAGACUAUGAAUUUAGUAAGCCAUAAUUCUAGAAAUGCAAGAUGAUGGAAUUCCUGCAAGUAUACAGGGUGUAUGUAGUAUAGCGAAUGGAAGAAAAUGGGUUGUCGUUCCCACGAGGAUAUUAAUACAAUUCAAAUUAUGAGAUACCUAAACUAACUACACUAAAACACAAGAUCAUGAUAACAAUUUAAAGAAACAAACAAACAAACAAGAAAAUUAGUAAACAAACAAUGAUGAAUGAAUCUAGGAUGUCAGAAUCAACCACUAACAAUCUUAUUCAUGCUUUGAUGCAACUAACAAACUUUUUUGUUUCUCUAGAUGACAAUUCCCGUAUCUAAGUCCAGAUACGACACUUAGACCAUAGUUUCCCUUAAGUGUAUGAUUCUCUCUAGGUACGGCAUAUGUCGUAUAUCCUAGCAGUUUAUUCAGUUACGGCAUAAAUUUAACAUGUAAAACUCAUUACGUUCUAGAAAACAAGAGAAUCAUGCAAACCAUUAUUUCAGUUACGACAAUAAUGUAAUUCACAACUUUUAAUCACAAGAAACUAAUUUGAAUUAUAUUGCAGUUACGCCUCAAAUUCAUCUUCUAAUUACUAGAUGCAAAGCCCUAAGGUGAUCAAUCAAAGAACUCAAACAUAUAGCAUCGAUUAAAAUAGUGACUAAGAAUUCAUCAUAAAGAAACUAUAAAUCUAUUAAUCAAUCAUCAAAAACAUAAACAAUCAUGCUAGGGCAUCAUCUUAACCCUAGAAAAGGUUUAACUAAACAUGACUAAAGAAAACAUAACAAGAAUGGAAAGGUGAAGGGUGGAUGGAUCUCUGCUCCUUUAGGCGUCUACAACAUGCUUUCGAGACCUCCCUUAAUGUGAAAUUCGUGCUCCUUUAAAUAGAGAAGUUUCAUGCUCAUCUUUGGCUUUAAAUUUCCUUGUAAGACUUGGAUUCAAACUUCUUUCUUGAUAUGGAAUGAGAAAAUCUUGAGAAUAUCUCUUGUAGAACUAGGAAUACAUGUACUCCUUAAAUCCUCAUCUGCAUUAUUGUCCUUGAAGAUUUAGGGUUGACUAUCUUGUGAUACGGAACUUGAGUUAUCCAUAAAUGUUUGCGAAUCCGAGCAGAUUUUCUAAUCUGACCUUUCUUCAUUCAAACGAUCAUAACUCGGUCUAGAAGUAUCGAAAUCAAGAUCCAUAAAAUUCUACAGAAAAUAGACUUUCGUAACUUUCCAAUGGUAUAAGGCUCAUGGUCUGAUUCGAUCUGAGUAAUUCCUAGUAAUUCGGCAAAGUUAGCUAUUCUGCAUAGGCAGAUUCUGACACUUAAGAUUGCAAUCGCCUUUCAAUCCUUAUUUGCGCAUUUUAGCUCCUUUUCUUCUCUCUAUGACAGAAACCUACAAAAGCACUAAAUUAACGUAAAUAAGUCAUAAAGAAGAGAACUAAACACAAAUCUCAAGCAUAAGAGGCUUAGAAAUAUAGGAUAAUAUGAGCACAUCAAAUACCCCCACACUUAGACUUUGCUAGUCCUCGAGCAAAACUAUGAAUAACUAAAACACAAACACAUAAAACAAACACACUAAUCACACUAUGCACAUUAAACACACUAAGCCUUUCAACGAUAGUCUUCAAAAAUCUUUUAUUUUCAUGUACAAAAGAAUAGCAUGUCGCCAUGUCGCCAAGACUUAGUCACAAAUCAUUCGAGAGUUAAAUAAAGCACAUAUGUCUAACACAUCACAUGUAGGACUUGGGGGCAACAAUGGUGAUUGGGUGGAGCUUAGCAUGUUUCGGACAAGUAAUGAAUCAACCUCACAAUGGAUGCACUCUUUUUCCUUUUUUUUCUCUCGGAAUCAAGGCUCAUGCUUAAAAGCUUAUUCACUCAUAUGCAUAUGUGAUAUGUGAGAGAGAAUAUAUAAAGGCAAACAAAUAGCUCACAUAUUAAGAAAAGAAAGCACUUUGUGGAAAUAAAGAUCUCAUGAAGAAUAUCAAUUACUCGCACAAAUGGACCCAAAACCAUAUGCUCACUCUUGUAACACAUCUCCACAGAUCAAAGGCUGCUCAUCUUAAGGAUCAUAAAAGGACUUUAUCAAGGUUAUAAUUGGGUCAUGGCUAGGGUUCAAAGAACAAAAGGAUAUGGAGAUAACAAAGCACCCUAGAAAAGAGCCAUAAGAUUACCUUAGAAACCUCAUGAAAGAGAACAAAGACCAUAUAUAAUUUUAUUGGGUCUUCAAUUCAAAACAAACUCCUCAAUCACAACGGGGGGACUUAAUCCAAUACUUCUAUUUUUCUCUUUCUUUCUUUUUCUUUGCCUUCACUUUUGUAUAUAUUUUUUUCUCUUCUUCUUUUUUCUUUUCACGGCAACAACACUUUUUUUUUCCUUCAAGGACAAGUCUAUCCCACCCCCACACUUGCUUUUGACCAUCACCUCCUCUUUUGAAUAAGUACAAAUCACCAAAGUAUAGCUCUACUAGAUCUUAGAACAAAGGGUAAAGAUGUAACUAUACUAGGGCUUCAUACGUAAAGGAUAAUAUGGGUGAUGAAACAAAGGCUAAACUUGUAAGCGCAAAGAGGUUAUCUAAGGGGUGUACAAUUAGGGACACAUGGCAAUUUGGCAAUGGUGGAAAUCCUAAGUCUUUUUAAUCCCUUCCGAAAUCAAAGCAUGUAUUGACUAAAAGUUUCGAAUAACACAAAAGUGAGUUCUAGUAUAACUCUCUAGUCCAUUAAAAUCUAUGGCGAGUAAUCAAUUGAAAUGAAGAAUAAAUCCCUCUUUUUACGUGCAAACCCUAGGAGAGCCUCCCUCUCGCCUCUAGCCUCAAAACCCUAGGAGAGCCUCCCUAUCGCCUCUAGCCUCAAAAUCCUAGCGAUCAACCUCUUCUCUGAUCUCCUACUUGUGAUCUUCUUGAUCUCCCACUCCAUCUCCUCCAUCCCAGCCUUUCCUCCCAAAACCCUAGCGCCGCGACCUCCGUUUCGCGUCAAUUCUCCACAUAUCUCAAUCUUCCAACCCGCCUACUUAUCUCGCAACCUCCAUGGUUUCUAUCGAUGCUGCUACGGCAAGUUUCGCUGGCUUUGGCUACCGGAGAGACUGCUCCUCCCGUCCAAUGGGGCAGAUUAGUCAUGUUGGCUAUAAGGCAGCGACUAUGCGGCUCCGGUUGGGUUUGAUGGCACCGUUUGGACCAAUUGAGGACUGGAAAUCGUGGCUGCCAGAGAUUCGAAGAAGGUGGCCGGCAAAGACAGCGCUGCUAGCUUGGAAGAGGAAAGGGAUAUGGGCUUGGAUCUGGGCUUUUGGGCCUGGUUUUGAGCUUAUCCAUUUAUGCAGGCCUUUUGGUGGACUUGAGUCAAUGCUUGCCCAGAAAUUAUCUACUUCGUCUCACAUGACAUCCUCAAGGUCUGAUCAGGGAGAGACUAGCCCUACUACUAAGGGUAAGGAUGUAGCUUAAUUUCCUUGUUUCUUACCUAGACAUCUGAUGGAAGACUAUUUCUUGUUUAGAUUUCGGUAUUACUUUGUUGUACACCAAUCGAGGUCCAUAGGCGACUGAUAUUACCGUUACAUAGAAUUUAGAUAGGUUUUAGUUGGAAAUUAGAUGUGUUAGGCUUAACUGAGCGCAUUUGUAAUGAGGGCUACCUGUCUCUUUGUUAGUGCUUGGUGUCAAUAUGACUGAUUGGUCCCAAGUAAGCAAAUUGAUGUAAACGCCAUCUGGCCGUUAACAAAUUAAUGAAAUUGUCUUUUUCCUCAAAAAAUUGAAAUGAAGAAUAAUGAGAUCAAAAUUCAAGCCAAGAAAAUAAGAAUAUAUUUUAACACUUAGAAAUAAAGGCACAUACAAGGCACAAAUUCUCACAAGGGUAAUUUUUGAAACAAAACUCAUCCUAGCAUGCUCAUAUUAUGUACCAUGUUAGCAAGGUCAUAUCCACUACAUAUUAUAUGCAACAUAUAUAUCAUAUUUAACCAAAGAAUAAUAUCAAACAAGUCUCAAUAGCAUGAUCAUCUUUAAACACGAUUUCAGAGAUAUAGAACAAUAAUUGUUGAAAGGCAUCCUAAGACUCAAGAAAACAAAAACACACAAUAUUAUCACAAAAAGAACAAUAUUUUUUUAAUAUAUUUUUAUUGAAGUUUCAUAAUGAACACACAAAACUAAUAACCUAAAUGAAAGAAAAAUCCACUAGCUUCGCUGCUCUGAGUAAGCUCAAGAUUCGUAAGACUUACAGAAAUUGCGGCGGUUAGGAUCGGCUUCAAAGGCUAUUUCUUCUCCUUCGAAAUCACUUUCCUGGUAAGGCCUGUCGGAGACGAGAAGGCAUGUGAUUGCAUACAGGUCCAACAGCGUGAUUCCCAUUUGCCCAAAUUUGAAAUUGAAGGUGUUGCUGGAAGUGUCCCAGAAACAAGUUGUUGCCAUCUUCGGAGCCUUGUUCGCCCCUGUGCUUUGAAGUUGGAAGCUUAAAUCAAUCGCAUCUACAAUAUCCACUUGCUUCCACCUUUCUAAAUCCAAGGCUCUGCGAUUCUGGUACCAAAGGAGCAUGCGCGCAAAGGGAUAGGGCCACACUCCUAUUCUUACAGCUUGGUGGCUUAUUUGUCAUUUCUGGAAAUUUGCUACAGAAUUCCUAAAAGCCAGGAGAGGGAUUCGGGUUGCAUGUUGAUAAUCUUCACGAAUCAAAGGUGGUACUGGGUUCAUCCAUGGCUCUAUGCCUGCUGUAGCAUAUGUAAAGAGUUUAAGGCUGGAUUUGGUUGCAUAAUCAUAAGGUUUUAGGCCAAGUAUUUUUCUUUGAACUCUUAAGCGUUCUCAGCGGUCAAGUGUGUCUGAACAGUGAAGUGUUUAGGGUUUUAUAAAGAACUGAAAGGGUUCUUUUUUUUUUUGAAAGGAUUCUUUGAAACAUUGUGUUUUAGUUCAGAAUGAAAUAUUCAUGUUUCUUCGCGAGACGAGGUUUCGUUUAGCAUCUUUUACGAAUAUACCUUUUUGGGGUUUGAAAGGUACCUUUCGUGAGAAAUGAAGCGUUAGCCCUCUUCGAUCAUGUUUGGCAAACUAGGACUAGAUCUCAAGGCCUGGGGGGCAAUGUUUGGGCCCAAUUUCAUAUUGGUUAUCUCACAGCGAGUUAGCCCAUGGACCGAUACCAACGGUCUAUUUAUCUUUAUUUCUUUCCUUGUUACAUUGAGUAAUUACUGGCAGAAGAUUUGAAGAAUAUCUUGAAGAUAUAUUGUUAGAGGGCUCGGUUAGGAAAGCAUUUUUCCUAAUUCAAUUAGAGAUUCGAUUGCUUUGGAGACAAGUCAUUUGCAAACCCUAGCCGCUCAGUUCCAUAUAUAAGGAGGUCGAGGCGAACGAGAAACCCCCCCCCCCCCUCCGCGACAAUUCAACAAAACUCUGUAUCACUGCAAAUUAGACGUCUCCCCAAGAGCACCCAAUCUACCAAAAAGGCCUCUGUAGGGAGCACCACCAAAGUCUCAUGGCGAGCAAAUCCUGCUUCAAUCACCAAGCCUCAUCGCGAGCAAAAAGUCCACCCCCAGUCCAUAAAGCCUCAUCGCAAGCAUAAGUCCAUCCUAUUGUUAAGGAGCGAUCCUUAGCAAAUAUCCUUUAUUUUAUUUGUAUUUGUCACUCAAGUAAAUCCUCAAGAUCUGUCCUAGGUCGUUGUGAAGAGCCCCAGCAGCAGGAUUGACCGUUCCUGCUCACAGUUGUUUGAGAAGAAGUCAAGAGAAGUGCACGAAAGAACAAGAUCAAGACAGGCACACCUCCUUAAGGUGUUGACAUGCUCGCACCAGACGGUUGUUCAAAGGACCUAAAAAUCCGACCCAAACAAGUCGGGGUUGGUUUAUCCAGGUCUGUUUCCAGGGAGACCCCCUGUGCAUUGGUGGUUCUGAAUAUUAAUUAGUUAUGUUUUCUACUAACAUGUUUUCGUUACAUCUUUGAGGUUAUUAUCAUGGUUGACAACAUAGAAAUUGCCUAAGAUAACUUAUGUUUUUUUAGAUAUAUUUGCAUGAUUCAAUUAUACUUAUACCAUGAGAGCAGAUCAUAUUCAUAUUGUUUCCCUACUUUCAAACUUUCAGUGAUUAAUAUAUGACAGUGAUGUUCCUUAACAAAAAAAAAAAAAAAACAUUUUCAGUUAAUAACAUUAACUAUUUGGUCAUUUUUAAUAAUAUUAACCCUAAAGAAUAGUAAACAUACCAAAAGACAAACCUCUAUAGACUAAUUUACAAUACUUUAUUUUCAGGUGAGGAAUUUUACUGUUUUUACACUGUUCAUCCAGAAAUUACAAUUUUACCCCUGCUUCUUUUUUUUUUGCUGAUUUACACCUGCUAUCUAAUUAAUAAUUGCCAUUUUAUCCUCAGUUUUUGGUAAUUUACACCGCAGAGCGGGUAAGCUAUCUAGUAAAAAUACUAAAAGUGACAAUAUACAUUAUUGGCCCUACUCACAAUCCUUUAAACGAUGCACAUCCUCUUGGUCAGAUCUUGAACAAGUGCAACGGAAUGGGGGUUGGGGUACAAAUCAUGAUUAGCUCUUGCACAAGAGGCAAUGGUAUAUUAUUCUGUUUUUCUUCCCUAUCAUAAUAAAUGAUAAAAAAAACUCAGUAGUUAUUCAAUUACAUAGGCAAGUCAAAACCAUUACCAUGAAGACACAUGCUUCUACAAACUAACCUAAAUGGGACAUGCAUUAUUACCAACAUAAUAGAAUAACCCUGAACAAAAUUACAAGGCAACAACCACCCCCUGCAACUAUAUAUAACAUGCAACUGCUUUGAGUGAUGCUCAAACCAGUGAGACCCAACAUUAACCAGCACCACAUCAGAUAAGAGAAAUCAUGCACAUGCAAUCAGUUAAGACUCUUGGGGUGCCUCAAAUCUCGUUGGAGUGUCAAUGCCCAUCAUACAGCAGAUGCCUGAUAUUAAUAUUAUAAGCAGAACAAUUGCCUGAUCCAUAGCAAAAAGAAACAAUGUCAGAACUCCACAUCAGUAAUACUGUGCACUGUAAAGAAACGGAAAGAAAAGCGGAUGAUUUUUAAGUUCACCGCAGGGAGUUAACCCCUUCACACACUUGUACUUAGUGUAGUCUCAAUUUAGCCUCAUAAUCCAACCCUUUCAUGUUUAAAAACAUAUUAUAAAGAUUCUUUCUGCAAAAGACCAAUCAAAUUGGAGAUGUUUUAGUCAUCCAUGUGUCAAAAAUGGACGGUUCAUCAUAAUGAUCUUAAUUGUCGCCAAAACCAUCCAUUGUUUAAACAUAAUUGGAUGGUGAAGCGAUCUUUGAUUUUAUGAUAUUUGACAGAAAUGACCCUUAAAGAGUAGAACUAUUAAGACUAAAGAGUUCAGAGAUUAAGGUGAAUAUUGUUUAAUGACAAGGGGGUGAACAAGGUGAACCUAGGAGGUGUCCCCAGAAAAAGCAUAGGACCGUGCAUGGUUGCCAUAUAAAGUUUACAUAUUAUGGUCCGUUCACAUACAUGUGCAAGUGUAUUUGCAUUUACGGCGCAAAGGAGAAAGGAAUGAAUUCCAAGGACAAGAACAGUUCAAAUUUUAUGCAUAUGGAUUAAACAUUUAGUAGAGGGCAAGCAAAUUUUUUAGCAUAAAGAUCCACCAAUUUAAACUAGAUGCCUGAGAAAAUGCCAGGGUACGGUUUGGUCUAUAAAUAACAAAGAUGGAUCAGACCAAAAAAUAUGUGUAUAUAUGUCAUGCAGCAGUGGAACAACAGCAACAGUUUGGUCCAUCAGUUUCCCUAGGAGCAUUAUCUACAAACACUUAACAUAAGAAUAACAAAAGACAAACUUACAACUAGAAGUCCCUCCAGAAGUGAUGAUUUGAUCUGACAAACUUCAUCACAGGCUGUCGAAUUGGCUGAUGCAUUUCCAGAACUUUCAGCAAGAAACCUUUCUAACUCUCGAUGAGAAGGAUACUGGAUUGAUUUAAUGGGGUCUGAAACAUAAAGAACUGCAUACUUUGCACCAGACUGAUCCACGGAACUAAUAAUCUCAGAGAAAAUUUUACCUGCACAGCCACCAAUUAUGUGUUAUGGCUUUGUCCUAGACCAAUCUUAUAGUAAAUGUCCUAGACCAGUGUGAUUUUCAGUAAAAAUUAAACAACUUAGACUAAACACAUAAAUCAACAGUACAGUUCAACUUAACCUACUCUCUGGAUGUGGGUGUUCUAGUUCGUUUGAAGAAUCAGAUCCUCUGUGGCAGAACACCACCAAAUCUGCUUCACCAUUUGAUCUCUUCUCCAUCCUCGAAACAAGAUAAUUCUGUCCAAUUUUUUGACGAGAAAAAUACAUCAGAUCUUUGUGAUAAAAGGUAUACUUUAAUAUACAAUUGUCAAGUUGACUUACACGGACUGAUUGCAGGUCUGAAAGCUUUUGAACAUUAUCACCCUCCAUAGAGCAUGACUCUGAGAAACGAACAUUACUGAGUCCAAAAUUCUGCCCACAAAUAUCUGACAUCCCUGACAAUAGAGAACUUUCCAUGGUAUCCUUCUCUGAUGUAGAAAUAUAGGGGAAUGCCAUAGAGAAAUUUGAUCGUGUGAAAGAGACCUGUGCAGGACCAUAAUAUUAUAGCUAUUAAGGCAGAAAUUUUGAAUAAUAAAGCAGUUUUGUGAUCUGACACCUGGAUCAUAAGUUCCAACCAAAAGACUAAAUGCAAUGUGGCAAUUCUACUUACUUUGAGCAAGUCCACAAGAGCUGGAUCAGCAUGUUUGCUUGCAGAAAUAUCCGAAGAUUGCAACUAAGAAACAAUGGAAAUUAUUUCAGUAUCCCUAAACAUAAACAAUAGCAAAAAGGUUUUCACUGUAUUGCAAUGUCAACAACAAAUCCACAUCCAAAAAGUGAGGCAGUCUCAACCAUAACCAUUACGGCCUUAUAUGGUUCUUAGACAGUCUAAUGGUUAUACUCAAUCUAAAAUGACAAAGAAUGUAGAUUAUGUUCACUUCCUUCCCCGGGUCUCAUACUUAAUGCAAAACAAGCAUACUGGCGAUUUGCUAUGCAUUAAUUCGCCAAAUAUAAAAGCAUAAAGUACUUUGAAAAGUAAAAAUAGCCGGAUUAUGUUCAAACUUACAAACAAUCCAAGAUAGUUCAUGUUAGCACAGGUAAGUCAUAAAUCCUAUGAAACUAUUCACUCAAUAUUGCAUAUUUAUCAAGCUCUAGCAACAGGUAGCAAAUAUAAUAAGGAUUUCAUCAGAAUUUGGAACACAUAAAGAAGGUUACAUGACAACAAGAGGGUAUCCAGUGUUGUUACCUCUGUACCAACAAAGACAAGAGCAAGAUCCAAAGGCUGAUGAACUUCGUUGCUAGGACACUACAAAAUAAAGAAAGAUAUAUAAGAUGGAAUCAAGAGUACAAGAGGAAAUUAUAAACAUACAGCGAAAAGGCAAAAUAAAAUAAAAUUAUAUAAACACAGAGUGAGUUUGUUCUUCUAGCAGUUCAUUGAAAAGAGAGACAAUAAAGUCUAAGGCAUCACAAGAAGUGCAAAAACUGCCACUGAAACGAAAGAAAUACAUACCAGCAAGUUCGACCAGCCCCCUUCUGAAAGCACAGACUUUGCCAAAUCCUUUGGAGAGAUAGUCUGGUAAUUGACGGCUGCCUUGACACUGUUAUUUGGAAGCAUAUAAUCAGCAGAUUAAGAACAAAAUGUUGCAUUAUUAGACCAAAUUUCCAAGGAGAAUGACUACCAUUGUCAUUACUUGAAACAGAAAGUGAAGGGGAUCCUAAUACAAAUUACAUACUGAUGGUAAUGUGGUGACCAGAGGAAAGCUGGCGCUGUGUUGUAAGACAGUCCUGAAGGGAUCCCAGAGGCAACCACCAAAAAGGCCACCAAAUAAGCUAACAGACCCUUCAUCUCUGCUCCUGCACUCAAUCCAAUCCACGUCACAGAUCAGAUUGACCCAACCCAAUCGUACCUCCUUCCUUUAAAUCCAAAUCAUAUGCGAACAGAGAUCGAUUCAAGUAUAAACUAUAUAAGGAUGAAACUAUCUAUAAUCAUUAGAUCGUUACCUGGGGGCUGCGUCUCAACAACUUGAUCGUCUUAUCAGAAAGAAUUUCACAGAACUAUCACAAGGAAAUUCAGAUUCCGCAAAACCAAAUAAUACUGGAGAUUUGUGGAAGCAGAGACUACCUACAAGACGCCAAGCCAGCACCACACGGACAAAGGCCGGCCUUCUAUUCUGAUUGAAUGGGUUGGGUUUAUCAGACUUUGGGCCCAAUGAUCCUGCUUUUAUUUCCUAUUCUGAUCCAAUGGGUUGCUUAACCUUGGGCUUGAACACAAAAACCACACACAUCUAAUUGUGUCACUUCUUCUUCCACUUCCAGACUUCAGGCCCUGCACUGUCUGAUCAUGCCUCGUCAACAUCUGGAAUCUUAAAAUUAAGGUAGGCACAAGAAUUCCACCGGCAAUUAAGAGGUCAUGCAUGCACCGCUCAAGCUACAAUUAAUCCUGUUGGUGCUGGACUCUGGCGGGCAUUUGAUGCAUUGAGCUAUAUCAUCCUUUUCAUUUACCGGCCUUCUUUAAUUGACAGGAUAGCAGAGAGAGUGAAUAUUGAUCAUGCACCUCAACCGAUAUAAGAGAAAUUAAACCAUAUUUAAUAUGUAAAUGGAUCUAUCUUACAUGAUUUCUCUAUGGUCGAGAUCGACAGUAAUAACUAUUAGCUAUAAUACUAGUGGAAUAUUGAUUGAUGGAAAGGGGCUUUGCAGAGUGCAGGGGGGAAAUCUUGUGAAGGCUGGCUAGCUCUCUUUUGUCAUGUGAAUGCUAUUAAUAUCAAAGGCCAGCUAGCUAAAUAGCCUGAUCGAGCUAUAGUUGAUUGUAUGCGACUCACCGCUCCCAUUCAGCUAGUUUGUAUGUGCUAGCUAGCUUACACCGUCCUCUUGGAUAUCUGUCUUCGGUUCAUCCGCAUCCAUCUCCAAAUUAACUAGCUAGAGCGGUGGUGCAUGCAAUCAAUGAGAGACGUGUCCUUGUUUCUCUUGAAAAACUCUCUGGGAUCGAAGAUGAAGAAAGGCUUGAGAAACUUCUGCAACGACGAUGGCUCAACCUCUACCCUCAACCAACAUACCUCCCCAGUAGGUCCUCUCAAUGUCGAGUCUGCAGGCUCUAAUAAGCAUUGGCCAAAUGCUGCUGCUCAUACUGAUCAUCAAUAUCGUCUUCAGGAAAUGGAAAGGCAGCCAACGUUGGAGGAGAUGAUAUUGAAGUUGGAUUUGGAAGAAGAGAUUGCAAGAAAAUCAAAGGCGCUGCAGCUCAUGAAAGAGGGACAUGAAGACGACAAUGAUCACUACAAUGUUGAUAUGAAUGGACUAAUAAUGCGAGGACCGGGUAGGAUGUCUUGCGUAAAUAACUCCGAUAUUUUGCGGUCUGCAAGGAAUGCAUUGAAUCAGUACCCUCGUUUCUCUCUUGAUGGCAGGGAUGCCAUGUACCGCUCUUCCUUCAGAAACAACUUACAUUUGCAGAAAGAUGAUAUUGCUAUUGUAGGAAAGGAAAAGCCGAGGCCAGCUCAUCAUCGUGAUCACAGAAGAAGCUCAGAUGUAUGCAAGUCAAUGAGUGAAUAUUUUGAUGCAAGUAGCAGUACCACGAGGUCUUUGUAUCGUCGUCGUUUGCCAGCAACUUUAGCAGGGGAGAGUGUGGUAUGGUGCAAACCAGGUGUAGUAGCCAAACUGAUGGGGCUAGACGCCAUGCCAGUACCAGUAAGUGUUGGUGCUAAAUUCAAAGGUAAUAGUAAUGAAAAGUUGCGUUACAUCUUGAAGCAGAGUCAACGGAACAUGAUCACUAUGAGGAGCACGGGUGAUCAGAGACGUGAAAUGGAGAAAAGAUCAACAAUGCAUGCUAUAGAUCAUAAUAUUCCUACAGCCGGUAAUUGUAGCAGAUUUAUUAAUUGUAAGAUCAAAGGCAAGGCUGCUGCUACUUCUACCACUGGUUCCUGCAGUACCGCAUCCAAAACUACUCCAGCUGGCAAUUACGGUGUCAUGAAGCCAGUAGUCACCAUACAGCAUUCAGAUUAUAGCUAGGAGUAGAUACGUACAGAGAGAGUAGUAAUAAGCAUUAUAUUGAAUGAAAACCAGUUUUAUGAUGGGCAAUGUAUACGUGGUCAGAAUUGCUAACUGGUACCAAUGGAUUUCACUUGUUUGAAAUCAGAAGAGUACUAUUACCAAUGGAUUAAGAGAAGUAUUGUCUGUAUAGCUCAUAUAUCCUUAUGAUUCUAUGUGCGAGAAAAUCCAAUGUUUCUGUCUGUUGGCAGAGCCACAUAUUCUUUCUCCAUAUAUUUAGGGGAACUGCAAAAUUGACCUCAAUGGUUUUAAUUUUCUUUCAAGGGAGAAGAUCAGCAAUGUGUUUCAGUGUUUCUUGGGUCACUUAAAUCGAUUGAAUUUCAGGAUAUCAACAAACAGUCAUCAGCAUUUGAUGAGUUUGAUGAUCAGCAAGAGUUGUGUUCCACCAUUAACCAUGUAGGUGUGACUGCUCAUGAUGCAAGUAUAAGACUUCUAUAGCAUGCACUUGGCCAAACUGAAAACUAUAGGUGCCAUUAGUAAUUAUGGUAGCGUGCAACUGGGGACUUUAGCUUUUCGAUUAUAUUACAUGGAUGCUAGGCCAACCCAAAAAGUGAAUAAUAAGCUUUAAGAUAUAUAAGCUCCUCCAGUCCUUCCUAACUAGUAGUACAGAAGUUAUGUGCAUUAGUGCUGUAAGGCAUAACAGGCUUUGUUAAUCUGUAAAGUUUGGAUCACUCAAAGGCGGUCUGAGCUGCAUCAUCAUGUUACACAAAAAAGAUUAUACGUAUGUAGUAGAUGGUUACAGUUAAGAACUUAAGAUAUUGCUCAAUAAAGUGCAGAUAAAGGUUCUUAUUUUGUACCAGAAAGGGAGUAUAGCGUGGGAAGAUUGUGAUUCUCAUUCAUGAUAAAUAUAUAGUUAUUUGAGCUUGACGGACGGUUUGCCACAUGCUAAGUACUUUUGAUGAAUUCAUAAUCUUUAACUUAUCUCUUUAAUUGAAAGUCUAAAUAAAUUUGAUCUGAGAUUCGCUUUCUGAGUACUAGUAGUAGCAGCUGGUGUCAAAAGUCAGACAACAGGCAUAGCAAUUGGCAUAUAAGUUAUAACUAAUAUAUCACAAAUUCUGUAUAAAGUCAAAAUGAAAUGCUUUCCCCCAUCAUCCAUUGCUUCCAUUUCCAUGUGCCUAGUUGGGCACCAGAUUUAAUUUAAGUAAAUACCAGGGUGUUAGAAUAGGUGAAUUAUUCUGCUACAUAUUCCAUCUAUAAAAUCAUAUCAGAUAUAAAAAAAUAUAUAUAUAUAAAUAAAAAAAAAAAAAAGGGGGUUUAGGUGCCCUUUAAAUUUGAUUAUUCGCAAUGCAGCAAUGGAUAACAAAUAAGGUCAAGUCGAGGAUGCAGGUAGCUGAUUGUAGCUAACUUCUGAAACAGUUCAGAUACUUGUUAGUAGCUCGAUCCAGGGUUAGGAGCGGAAGGCAGCAUCAUAUCGGUUUGAUUUCAGAAAGAUGAUCAUAAAGUACAAGACUACAAGUGAGUUGAGAAGUAUAUAAUAUAAAACGUACAGAAGAGAUUCGCACCGGCCAAGUAAAGAUAAAGAGGAAAAGGAGAUAAUUAAAGGUUGGAAGUUGGCCUCAGGCUCUUGAAUAGAAUCUAUGUAUGACCAAGAAAGAGAAGCUCAUGUUCUUGGAAUGCUGAUAUGCGGCUUUCAUUCAGCAGACCAAAAGGACUCAAGUCCAGGGUCAGGUAUCAUUAUCAUGUAUGUAUGACAUCGAUCGUCUGUUACCGUUUUCCAUUUCUCUUUAACUAAUAACUGUAAACUGUCAUCCAUUUUGAAAACAAAAAACUGUAAACUGUCAUCUGAGUUUGACUAUGGAAGACUUGCUGUCAUCGAUCCGAAGUUGAUCACUUGCCGACUUGCAUAUGCAUUUCCACUAUCAAACAAGUUCAUUUAAUUAAUUCUUUUAAGCCAGGAAAACCCGCUGGGCACAUUCAUCCAUUAUGACCACCAUACUACUGUAAUUGAAAACUAAACUAGAUGAGAAUUAGAUAAUAGAAGAGUAUGUCAUACAUUAUAUUUCCCCAUUUUAUCCUACAGUUAAUAAUCCACAGCUUGUACUUCUAGUGGUGCAUGGUAUAAACUUAUCCAUCUUUUUUUAUUUUUAUUAUCAUUAUCCAUCGAUGUAUACAGUCGGUCAUUUUCUAAAUAUACAGCUUUAAUAAACCUGCUGGUACCCUAGCUAACAGAUAUUGAAGGUGCAGUUGCAGAAUACAAAUGUCAGCCCCAGCUCUUUGUCGAUCUUAAUUUUCAGCUUCUGAGACCAGUGUUGUAUACAGCACUCGUCGAUCAGCAACGCAUGACUAUCUUACUAUGUGUAUAUAUAUAGUUACAGUAGUACACUAUCAAAUUAACUCUCCGGUGAUGAACGUCCACUAGUUCCAUUGAUCACACUGUUUUUCAAGCAUUAUCCAAGGAAUCUUGGUUUAUGGAAGGAAGGUCAAAGGUCCACUUGACUGCACUAAUAGCCAGGCUGGGCGCAAAACUGCCACUUUAUAUAGUUAUAUGGUAGAGUCUUACUUCAGCAAGCUUGGUAUUUGAUUUUUUUGUGUGUGUGUAGAUAUAAAUAUUCGAUCAGUUACUCGAUCAUAAGGUUAGUUAAUUGCUCAGUAUUCUGUUCUGUCCAUGUUUGUUUAUUCCAAAUUUUGGCCAUUAAUUAAUUUAGACAUAAUUAACUAUUCCUUGAUCAUAUUCCAUCUCUCCUAAUCCCUGCCCCCUGCAUUCACUUCUAUAUAAAACCAAACAAUCCCAUCAGCCUUUUUAUUCAUCAUCACAAACCACUCGAUCAACUCUUUUCUCCCAUCAAAUAUACAGCCAUCUAGCUACUUUCCAGUUUCCACGCUGCAGGCCGGUUUUAAUCAUGGAUCAAUAUCGUACGUGCAUCAUAUUUGUUGUAGUCCUUCUUGCCAUUUCAAGGACUGUGAAGGGUUCUGGUAAUGGGUGGACAAAUGCUCACGCCACUUUCUAUGGAGGCAGUGAUGCUUCAGGGACAAUGGGUAAGUUUAUUAAUAAUAAUCUCAUCGAUCGAUCAUUAUAUAUAUAGCUAUAAGUAUUGGUAGUUUUAACUUUGUAACUUUGUUUGGCAUUACUUCAUCAAUCGCAGGUGGGGCUUGUGGUUAUGGAAAUCUUUAUAGCCAGGGGUAUGGAACAAACACAGCUGCACUGAGUACUGCUUUGUUCAAUAAUGGAUUGAGUUGUGGAGGUUGCUAUGAGAUUAAAUGUGUGAAUGACAAACAAUGGUGCUUACCAGGAUCCAUAGUAGUAACUGCAACUAAUUUCUGCCCACCGAAUAGCGCUCUUCCUAAUAACGCUGGAGGCUGGUGUAAUCCUCCAUUGCGCCAUUUCGAUCUAUCUCAGCCUAUUUUCCAACACAUUGCUCAAUCCAAAGCCGGAAUUAUCCCUGUGCAAUACAGAAGGUAUAUAUAUUUUUAAAACUCGGUCACUAAUUUCAGUAAUUUGUAGACAUCUUCUUAGGCAUAUAUAUGUACAUAUAUUUGAUAUCUAUAUGUCAACAUUAUUCCGUGAUUGUUGCAGGGUUGGUUGUAGCAAGAAGGAUGGAAUCAGAUUUACAAUCAAUGGGCACUCCUACUUUAAUCUUGUGCUCAUAACCAAUGUGGGUGGAGCUGGUGAUGUGGUGAGUGUGUCGAUUAAGGGCUCGAAAAGCAGCAACGGUUGGAUGGCCAUGUCCCGGAACUGGGGUCAGAACUGGCAAAGCAACUCGUAUCUUAAUGGCCAAGCCCUUUCAUUCAAGGUCACAACCAGUGAUGGACGCUCUCUCAUCUCCAACAAUGUGGCUCCUCCCAACUGGUCUUUUGGCCAAACCUACACUGGAGGCCAGUUCUAAGCUUCUAGCUAGCUUGCUUGCUACGUGGUCAACUUCUCUGAUUGAUUAACCAAUUGCAGAAAUCCUACUAAUUAAUCCAAAACUAACUUGAUCCUUUGUUAUUGUUGAUCAAUUUGUACUGGUGCUCCAUAAUACACAAGGCACGCGACUGGAUCUGAGCAGCCUAGCAUCGGUUCUUUUUUUAUCAUGGAUAUUGGCUGCGGUGAACAACCCGGCCGUUCGAUGAGUAGUUUCUGUUAGUCAUGCAAGUGAUGAUGCGACUUGCUUUCUUAAGGAGAUGACAGUUCUGCUCGAUGCAAUGAUCGAUGUAAUAUGUUAACUGAAGAUUGCUCAUCAGUUAUUAGUUAUUGGAACUCGGACUGUUAUCUCAUAUAGUCGUCGACGCAUACGUGUUAAUGGAACUCUGCUAUAUAUGUGUUUAGCAGAGUUCAUCAAAAAGUUCAAUAAUACAUGUGUUUAGCAGUUUUAUGUGUUCACAGAUUUUUUUUUUCUUUCUUGUGCUUCUUUCAAUGUGUGUGUUUUUUUUCUUCACACUAGCCUUUUGCCAAUCCGAACCCGACCCGUGACCCGCCGGAUCAUAAAUAACUCAAUCUAAAUCCGUAUCCAGCGGGUUAACAGAUACCCGACCCGUUUGUCCGAUCUGUUUAUAAUAACAAAUUUCUUAAAUUUUAAAUAAUAAUUUUAGUAUUUUAUCAUAAUACCUCAUCAAACACUAAUGAAAUAUUAUUAAAAGUUGAAUUAUAUGACCAAAGUAUUCCUUAAAACGAUAAACUAAUAUAACCAAAAUAUUAAACAUCCAAUGUUUUAAUUGAAGGGAUAAUGACCAUUUGUACAAAAAAAAAAAAAAAAAAAAAAAAACCAAACCCUAUUCCAAUGACAAUGCAACAAGGCCUAAUAGUUAGUACCAAAUGGACAUUAUUCCAUGUUUUAAUAUAUAAGUUCUCAAACGAGAAUUAUUAUAUCAUAUUUAAUAUUUUAUAAGUAAUAUAUAUUUCAUAAAAAUACUAUUUAAUUAUUUUUAGACGGACUGGGUCAUUAACUGAUUGGAUCAACUCCGUUUAAUAUACGAGUUAACGGAUCCGGAUCAUUAAUUAACGGAUCAACGUGUCAAAAUUUUGAUCCAAACACGUUUAAAAACCAAGGAUCUGGAGUGGGUCUUGGUCAACAUUUGUUCCGUUUACAAGUCUAGUAGUGGGUGUUUUGCAACAAUGCUUUCUUCGGCGCAAUGUCGUCUCGUCGCUGAGGAGAAGCAGUAUGGGACUAAAUUUCAUAAGCGACGUUGUGGUGUGAUGACAGGGAUGACACAGCGGGGAAGAUGGUCCUGGUCAAUUUGUCGAUUGGGAUUGCGUCUCUCUGCUGUGUUUUGUAGCGAAUAUUGGAGGGUGCUGCGCUAAGUCCAGAUGGUGGAGCUCUCUGGUGGCGGCCGACAAUGGUGGUGGUGCAGAUCUCCGGUGGCUAGCAGAUCUGCCUCAGAUGCAUUUCCAAUCUUGUGGGUCGGGCUCUCUAUAGUAGGCACUAGACACAAUCACUCAUGCAUUUUAUGCACGGGAUAAAACCAGUAGAGAGAGUGGGGUUUGACUUUUCUGGUGGUAAUUUGUAAUUAACAGAAAAUGUACGUUAGUACAGAAAAGUAACUUUAAACAGACUAAUGACAGUAUUGUAAUUGCACAUAAACUGAUUACAUAAUUACAUCUAUUUUGCACUAGUAGAGCCGUAAAUAAGAAGAAAAUAAGGGACAUAACCGUAAUUUUCGGAACAUGAAUAGUGUAGCUACAGUGCAAGCUCCAAUGGGGGUUGGGACUAGGCUCUUUAGGGCCUAGAUUUGGGUUUUUUUUAGUUUUUAAUUUUUAAUUUUUAGGUUUUGUUGUUUGUUUUGAUUGGUUAGUUUUCAUUUUCUUUGAGUGAGGGUUUUGGAUUCCUCUUUGAGCAAGGAUUUAGGGUUUUGGUAGGUUGGUGUCAAGGUCAUGUCGUUGGGUGUGCCAUGGUUAUGGUGUUGUGUCCAUGGAUUAUUUUGACAUGUAAUAAGGGGGUUACAUGUGCAUAUAUGUUGGUAGUUAUGGCAUAUGGUGUUUGAAAUAGUUGUUUCAUCAUGAGAUUAACUGUAAGGAUGUAUCGAGACUUCUAGAAUAAAUUUAGAUUAUGGUUAAACUCUUAUCGGUUCUUGUCCACUGUAAUCGCUGGUGUUUUCAGAUAGGGAGGCGAGUGUAAAUUUAUUUCCACCACUGAUAUCUCCUAUGGUUGUAAUUUUAGAUUUUAUUAUAUAAAAAUUACCUCAAAAAAAAUUUCUAUGUAUUUCACAGCUUAUAUUUGCAAUUAACUACUUAUAUGUAAACGUACACAACUUAAUAACCAUAUGCACAAUUUGUUUAUGCGACGAGGAACUUAGUUAACAUCCACUCUUAUAAUGCGAAGUGUGGGUCUGGUGUCAAAGGCUUCACCAAUUUUUUGAAGUACACAAAUUGCCUUUUUUUUAAUUAUAUUUCAAUAACACUAUAAUUUAAUAUCAAAAAGGUUUUAUAGUACUGGGAAGUUGUGAGUUCGACUAUUAUGGAUCGUUAUUGUUGACUAUCCCUUACUUAUAUCUUGUAAAUGCAAUUAUUUCAUUUAUAAAAAAAAAAAAAGAUAUCUAGUAACCGGAUGCUAUUUAUCGGAAAUUUGGGUGAGUGAAAAACCGGCGGGCAAUAAAAAUACACAAAAAAACUGGAGUUAAAAGUUAAACACUUGUAGCGGUGGGCGGUAGCAAGCGGAGUUUAGGUCUGCGGUCAGUAUUCCCGCCCAAACUCAUCACACUGUAAUUCUAGGGUUUUGCCCAAGAAGAAGAACAAGUAUGACCAAGAAAUUAGUUCAACUUGAAGAAGAAAUUGAAGGAAAUAUCGUAGAGACAAACGACUACUUAUUUGAUAAGAUCGGCGAGGCCGUUCCAAUCACGACUGAUGAUUUCAGCUUCGAUCCCCAAAGCAGUCCCUCCCGGCCACUCGCCUUAUCGGAGAAACACGGCCUCGUCUUCGUCGCUCAUUCUUCCGGUAAGCUUUUACUCGAUUGCCUACCUCCGAUUUGCUUUCUGAUUUCCACAUAACCUAACAAGAAACUUGUUUCUUAGGGUUUUUCGUUGCGAGGACCAGAGAUGUUAUGGCUUCCGCCGCCGAGAUUAAGGAAAAGGGAAGAAGCGCUCCUUCUGCUUCUUCUGUACAGCAACUGAGUGUUGUGGACGUUACCCUUGCCAAUCUUCACAUUCUCGCACUCUCUACCGAUAAUUCUACUCUUGCAGCUACUGCAGAUGCCGAUAUUCGCUUCUUCUCCGUCGGUUCUUUCCUGGAUAAGGUGCUUUUCCGACUCCAAUUUUAGAUGCCUCAUGUUCCAUUUUGAUUAAGAUCCUCAUUAAUUCCUUGAACAUAGCUGCCUUUGAUUAUGCUUCUUCACACUUGACACCAUAAAUUACAUUUAUGAGAUAAAUCACUUGAUUGAUGUCAUUGGCCAAGCUGCUAGAUAUACAAAUUAGCUUCCGAGAAAGAGUACAGUGCUUCUGUACUUGUUAUAUCGAUUGGCUUCCUAGAAUUAUCCCAGCCAUUGGCGUAUCGCAUUGUCAUCAGCUUUUGGUUAUCGCUCUUUUGAACUGUUUAAACCAUGGGCCUUGCCGCAGGCGGUAUCGAGUUAGAAUGCUGCUAGCAAUCAUGUAGUUCUGGAAUUUGUUACUGCAAAAUACAGGUUUUAAGUCUUUGGUUUGUUCCACAUUAUGCAGGAUCUAGAACCAUCUUAUUCUUGCUCACUCAAUGAAUCCAGCUCUGUCAAGGAUAUGCAGUGGACAAAAAAAUCUGAAAAUAUGUAUGUGGUUCUUUCAAACCUUGGAAAGCUACAUCAUGGAACGAUUGGUGGCCCUCUGAAGGAUAUAAUGGACAACGUUGAUGCAGGUAUUUUCUUUUCUUUCAAUACAUCAUAUACGUUUGUAAGAUACAUCAUCUUGAUGAAUGAUGGUACUUGUUUCCUUAUGUGUCUGAUAAUUAAUGAACAUGAUCACCAUGCUAAGAACUUGAAUCUUGGGUUUAUCUGUUUGAACUUGAAACUUGCCACUUCCCGAUUGGUUGAACACAAUAGUUACCUUUGGCAUGUCAAAUCUGUAACUUUUUGCUUAUAUCUUUUUUUCUAAGAGAGGUGAAUUUGUUUUUUGCAUGUUGAUUUCAGUAAUCUACUGUACUAUACUGCAGUAGCAUAUGAUUCAGUUGUGAAGACAGUUUUGACAUCUCUGUCCAGAGGCAACGAACGAUAAGAUACAUUGUACCAUGUUCAGCUAAUGCUUAUCUUGACUUGUGUUUGGUCAUAGUUGAAUGGAGUCCAAAAGGAAAAUUAAUUGCUGUGGCAAGGAAGGAUACUCUCAACAUUUUAUCAUCUAACUUCGUUGAGAAGUCAUCUAUGCUACUUUCGUUCAAGUCCUGGAUCAAUGAUCCUGAUACAAACUGCAUCGUAAAAGGUAUGUCAGAUUUUACGGCUGUAUUUUGAUGCCUGUUUACUUGUUGUAUGCCUUUUGUCUCUACAUGAAAUAGGUUCUUCUCUUGUUCAUUAGAAAUUUGACCAUUAUCAACCUCUGAAACUGAAGUAUUUCUUCAAUCAUCAGUGGAUACUAUCAGGUGGGUUCGCUAUGAUAGCAUCAUUCUAGGAUGCUUUCAACUGAAUGCAGAUGGGAAUGAAGAAAAUUACCUCGUACAAGUAAUACAAAUCAAAGAUGGCAAGUUUUCUAAUGUAAGCAAUCUAUGGUUAAAUUUUUGCUUGUUAAAGGCUUCUUUUGUUCAGAUAUAUAAUCUGUUAUGUAGUUCCACAAUAUAUCAUAGCUUAAAGUCAAUAAAAGAGUAAAUGAGCUAUCACAUAAUUGGUAAACCAAGUUAAGGGUGUAAAACAGGAAUUUUUUUUUUCUCCUUUCAAAAGCCAUGUUAGAUCAGGAACUAAGGCUCAGGCCUAGGAAUGCCUUGCCUCCUUUUCUAUGUGGUUUGGUCUGGCACAACCUGUUGGCAAUGAGCUGUACCUGGCUUGUUUAUGCUGGUCCCGAGACAUCUCAUUGCAGAUGUGAUGAACUAUUGCUUCCUGACAGUGUUAAACACAAACUUUUGCUCUAUGGCCAUUAUACCUAUUCUUUUGGAAGGACAAGAAACCAGUUCACGCAAACAGUUUUUGCUCCAUUCUUGAAUUCGCUUCAGCUAAUUUUCUGUUUUACAUUUAAUGCUUCAUCUUUUAGUGGUGCUUUUACAAAUGUUUUAUGUAUAUUUGCACAUUUGGUUGCCGGUGUUUUAUGGUAUGUGCAAAGCUGUAUUCAUGGUUGUCUUUUGUCUAUUAUGGCUUUUGAAAUUCUCAACAGCAAGAGAGUUUUGCUUAAAAUAGAUAGGUUUAGUUGCAAGAAAAGAACAUAAACUAUAGUACCAAUCAGGUGGGUCCUAUGGCUUUUGAAAUUCUCAACAGCAAGAGAGUUUUGCUUAAGAUAGAUAGGUUUAGUUGCAAGAAAAGAACAUAAACUAUAGUACCAAUCAGGUGGGUCCUAUUGGCCCUUGAAUAUAACUUCUCAUACUCCAAUUUGUAUGGCACACACUUUCAACGUUUGGAUCUAUAUUCAUGAAGGUGAUGAAAUCAGGAAAGAAAAAACAAUAAUACGACUUUUACAUAAGCAUGGUGGUGAAGUGAUAGUUACUAAAUAAACGUGUUUUACAUAAGCGUGGUAAUUGCAUUUUAAGUGUAUUUUAAUGUUUUGAAACCUUUCUUGUAGGAUUCCUGCAAGCCAGUUGUUAUAUCUUUCUAUGAUAUGUUUUCAUGUCUUAUUGAUGAUAUUUUGCCGUCUGGAAGCGGACCAUACUUAUUAUUGAGCUAUCUGGAGGAAUGGUAUGGAUUCUCAUCAAGUCCCCUGUCUUGAGCUUUUAUCAGUUAACUGAAUGGUGGCCAACUUAUUUUGAUAUAAUUGUAAUGAGUAACUCGUUUUGCCAUUUGGUAAUAUCUUUGCAGUGAACUUGCAAUAACUGCUAACAGGAAGAAUGCAGAUCAGCAUGUUGUAUAUCUUAGCUGGUCGCUGGGAGAGGAGAGCAAUGAAGCUGUAAUUGUUGAUAUUGUACGAGAUACUUUGAAACCAAGAAUUGAGCUUCAAGGUUCUCAGUGUUUUGCUCUAGAUUAACUACUAAUGGUUCAAUUAAACUAAGACUAUUAUUGUUCAGUUAGUUGAGCUCCAUCCACAUAUUUUGUAGAUACCACCUGUCAGUUAGUUUCUCCAUUUUGAAGGCACUUGCAGGGCAUUUUUAAAUAACCUAAGUUUUCAUUUGACAAAUUAUAUGAUCACUUUGUGAAAAUAAGCUUUAUUAUUCAUUGAAUAUCAAUAUCCAUUUUUCACCAUAUAAUGGUCUCUUAUGCAUCAGCAGUCCAUUCAUCUCCUCUGUUGCUCUUGCUUUGUUAUGUUGGUUAUAUAUUAAUCAGUCUAAUUUUUUUCUUGUUUCAGAAAAUGGUGAUGAUAAUUUGAUUAUGGGGCUCUGUGUAGACAAAGUUUCAGUAAGCCAGAAAGUUAGUGUCAGACUUGGAAUGGAACAGAGAGAACUCUCACCAUUCUGCAUUCUCAUUUGUCUGACACUAGACGGAAAGCUAGUUAUGUACCAUGUUGCCAGGUAGCUUCUUGGUGCUCUCAAAUUUCUAAUUAUGCCUCAGCAUGUAGUUCUUUAUUUUCUGGAUAGCUGUUUAAGUUUCUCACUUGUUGCGCUGCAGAGUCUUUAAGUAUUAUUACUUUUAUAAACUUUAAUCUGGUUUACCUGUAUUAGCAACUGAUUUUUGCUUUCUUCCUUUCUUUUCUGUAGUGUUAGUGAUGUUACAGUUAAGCCUGCUAGUGUUUCUAGCAUUUCUGAUGAGGAAGAGGAUUCUACUGCAUUGGUACCUGUAGCAUGCGAACCAGCUAAAUUGUCUCCCGAGCUGCGGAAGGAACAAUUUGGAAAUCUUGCUGUGGAUGCUCCUUUGGGUAAUAAGAACAUAAAGGAACUUGACAGAAAAGUAGGUCUUGAUGUCCUUACAAAAGAUGACCAGAAGUCUCUCAUUGUAAACGAGACUUCUACGCUUAAGAAAGAAAGUACCGACAGUAACAAGAAAGUGGAGACUUUAACUAGUUCUCAGUCGUUUAAAGGUCAACAAGAACUUGCUUUCUCGAACCCGUACUUAAACAAAAAUGGCAAACAAGUGCAUCUUCCUCCUGUACAGGAAAACAGAGAUAUACAACGUGCAUCUACUGAUUCUUUUUCCCAAGAUGGACGUAGUCUUGUGUUCAGGGACUUGAGCAAGAUAGGAACUGAAGAAAAUGUUGUAUUUGGAACUAGCAGUGUUGAGAUGGGGGUAAAAUCUCUAGGAAAAAUGGAGUCUGCAGAUUUACAAAGGGUUUCAUCUCAGUCCUCGUCAAGUGGAAAUAUCACAACUUCAGCUGGCACUGAUGUGAAAUCUUCAAUUUUGCCUUCAACUUUUAUUGAAGGUAGCAAAUCUGGAACAUUGACUACAUUAAGCUUUUCUGGUAUGCCGAUUGAGAAUAGGGAAAGGAGACCAUCAGCUGCGGCUGGAAAGAUUGCAUCAGUACCUCCCAUUUCUAGCUUCCAAAUGUCAUCACAGGAUAGUUUUUUGAUUGGCAAGUCUUUCAACCACAAGAUUCAUCCAUUGAAGGAAAAUUACAGUGAACUCUCCCAGUCAAGGCUGAACUCUGAACCGAGUUUAUCCAAAAAAUUUGGCAAUGUAAAGUCCAUGUCUAUGACCUUUCUUUUUAAAGAUUCUACAUCUCUUUUGUUCAUUUCAUUUCUUAGUUUCCGGUCAGAUCUUACAAUUAUCUAAAGGACUUAAAAGGACUUUAUAAACAAAGCAAUUUGAGUGAGGUAAACUUAAUAGCUAUAAGUGAUCAGUCUAUUCAGCGUUCAAAUUUGCUGUGCUAUGCAUACAAUAUUUACAAGUGUUAUGCUGAAGUCCAUUUUGUUCUGUCCUUUGUUAAUGUUAAUGCUAAAUACUAAAUACUAAAUAAAUUUACAUUAACUUUCACCAUUUUCUGCUUACUCUAUUUGUCGUGUUACUUUUCCUUGGGUUUUCCAUGUAAUGUGUUUAGGAGAAAAAAAAAAUAACACUAGAUUAUAUUUAUAAAGACCGGAUUAGAUUCAUUUGCCUCUUUGGGUUUCUUGUCUAAGCAGUUUCAGGAUGCUUUUAUUCUGCUUGUUAUGUGUUUGUAGGAGGCCUUUUCUAAGCUAUUACUUGACCUUCUCCUUCUGUAUUUUUCUUCCUUCAUAAAAUUUAUCGUCUCACUAUGUUUCUACAUCGUUUUUUAUAUGUAUAUUGUAGUUAUUUUUCUCUUCUUCAGUUGGCGGUAAGGAAUGUUUGUGGGACUGAAGUUUCUCAUUUUCAGAGUUAUAUCAUUUUGCUUUUUUCAUCCAGAUGAAAGAGAUGACCAAGGAGUUGGAUAUGUUCCUACAAUCUAUAGUGGAACCAGGUGGUUUCAGGGAUGCCUGCAUUGUUAAUCAGAAAAGUUCUGUUGAAGAAUUGGAGAGAGAGGUUGGGAUUCUGUCUGAGAGAUGCCGAAUGUGGAAGGUGAUGUUUCCCACUUAAUUUCCUAAUUUUUUUUCUUUUAAUUGGAUAAUUUCACUUUCAUAAGUUCUGUGUGUGUUUGUGUUUUUAUUUUUUUUAUUUUUUAUAUUUAAUUUAGUUGCUUUUUAUCUGAGUUUUGGAAACAAAAAGUUGUUCGUGCAUUGCUAAUCAAGGAAUUAUCAAAUAUUUCUAAUGGAAACUUUUCUUUUUCUCUGUUCUGGUCAAUUACAAUUGUUUCGAUCACUAAGUUAGAUUCUUGGUUAUUUUUGUACUUUGCAGAGCACUAUGGAUGAACGACUUAAUGAAGUUGAACAUCUUUUUGACAUGACUGUACAAGGUACUUUUAAUGCUGCAAAUAAAAUUUCCUAAGCAGAAUGUUUUGUAUCUAUACAUGGAAAAACAUAUACAUAACUCUUGAUGGAAGAAAUGAUUGUUCAAUUGGUACAGUACUGGCACGGAAAAUAUACAUGGAGGGGAUUGUGAAACAAGCUUCUGAUAGCCGAUAUUGGGACUUCUGGAGUUGUCAGAAACUGAGUUCAGAACUUGAGCUGAAGAGGCGACAUAUUUCCAAAAUGAAUCAGGUCAGACUUGUUCUAUUAAUGUUUUUGAAACAUUCUUCCCCAUUAUUAUCUAUUUAAUGAUUUCUAUUCUAUCUAUCUUUGUGUACCCAUUUUUGCAAUGUUGAACAUUUGGAAAGCACUAAUAAAGGUUGCUUUCUUUUAUUGAAUGUAUUUCAGGAUUUGACUGAUCAGCUAAUUAAGUUGGAAAGGCAUUUUAAUGGCCUUGAGCUUAACAAAUUUGGUGAAGAUGAUGGAGCUCGUGCUGGUCGAAGCACUUUGCAAAGUCGAUUUGGGCAUUCAAGGUAGAUUAUGUGUUUGGCUGUAAUCAGAGAUCGAGUGAAGUCCACUAUUUUAUGCUACCUUCUUUUAAUUCUUAAUAACAUGAAAGACACAAUCUGAAUAUACAGAAGUUUGGUAGAAGGAAUGCCUUAGAGGAAAAGUACAAAUCUAACAUAUGCCAGGUUAGGGGCCACUGUUAAAGUCUUAGUUUCGGAUCAAAGAUAAAAAAAAAAGGGAGAAAAGAGAGAAGUAUGUGACGGAGAGAGGAGAAGUAUAUGUUUAAUAAGAAAAUCAUAAAAACAUAAAAAAAACUUACAAAACUAUGCUUUGUUUUUUUUCAUUUUUCCCUGGAUCACUUUAACUUCAUAACCACUUUCAUUGCUUAUCUGCCUUUUUCCUUUCAAAAAUAAUGAUAAUUCUCAAAAAUAUAUUAGAUGCGCAUUAAACUAAGCUUGCAACCUGUGGGGAGUUCUUUCCAAGCAGUUCAAUCCAACUCUGCAAUUGAGAUUAUAUAGAUAGCGAUUUUGUAUUAGGUCAUUAGCAUCAGGCCAUUAAGGCCUUCUAACUUCACUGAGGUAUCCUGUUGCAGGCACAUUCAGUCCUUGCAUAGUCUACAUAGCACAAUGACUUCACAAUUAGCUGCGGCUGAUCAACUUGCUGAGUGUCUAUCAAAACAAAUGGUGGCACUAAAGAUUGAGUCGCCUUCUGUAAAACAGAAGAAUGUGAAAAAAGAGUUGUUUGAAACUAUAGGGAUCCCUUAUGAUGCUUCUUUCAGUUCCCCUUCCCCAGAUGUGUCAAAGUUUCGUGGUACUCCAAAAGAUAAACUAUCAUUCUCUUUGGGUUCAUCUGCCGCUAAAGAUCAACCCAGGAGAAAUGCGAGCGCCACAAAGAAUUAUGAACCAGAAACUGCAAGGAGGAGGAGAGAUUCACUGGAUAGGGUAAUGAUUCCUUAAAUUCUGUCUUUUUGCAUCCUUUAUUGAAAAAGCCACUUUCUGCAUGACUCAUGUUUACUUUUGUGUUUUAUGGUCAUGAUCAAAGAGCUGGGCAAAUUAUGAGCCUACAAAAGCCACCGUGAAAAGGUUGCUUUUGCAAGAAAGUGGAAAGGUAAGUGUAAUUAGGUCAUCAUUAUCAGUUGAUAAGCAGCACAUUAGCUCUCGCCUGCUGGAGGGAUCAGCCGUUGCUCGUCCACGGGAUCACACAGUGCCUGCAACAUUCUUUCAUCCACCUGAAAGCAAAGGUGAGCUCUGAAAUUUAAAGGCGGAAAGAUAUCCGAAUUCAUUCUUGUCUUUGAUAGGUAACUCUUGCUCAUUGUUUCUCUUGCAUGUAAUUAUAUUUUAAGCAGGCAUUCAGGAUAUACACCCAAAACAGGCUUUGGAAAACCCAGCACCUCCAUUUGUUUUGCCAAAGGAAUUAGUGAGGCAAAAUCUUAUGAGGGAAACUAACAUGACAGCAGAAAAAUCUGGUGAGGGCAUAUCAUCUGUUAAGAAGUCUGAAUCGGUAUCUGCAAAGGAAAAGUCUGUGCCAUCUGACACUCGUCAGAAACCAUCAACUUUUAUGGAACCUACCCAGACAUCCUCAUUGCUUAAGAAACCCAAUGAUAUGCUAAAUUCAUAUACCAAAGAUGGUGCACGUCCAACUGAAUAUAGUGUGAAGGAUAAGCCUUUGAACACAACAGUUCCAUCUCUGGAAUCUGGGAAAAAACAUAAUUCUCCAUUCUCUCCCUCAUUCCCUGUUUCUGUUGCCCCUUCUGCCACAUUCUCAUUGUCGGUUUCAGCAUCCCCAUCUUCAAUAUUUAGUCCCUCAUCAGCUCCUCUAUCGUCUUUAUCAAGUUCCUCAUCAGCUUCUCCAUCCUUAUCCUCUGUGAUGCCUCCCAACAGACCAUUGGGUAACUCCAACACUACAGCAGAUAUGAAUAAACCUGCCUCAACAUCCCCAGUAUCAGCUUUUCCCUCUCCAGUUGUUGUACAGUCUGGUUCUUUCUCAUUGAAUGUUUCAAAAUCAUCGGUGCCCUCAGACAUUUCACCUGCGACAAAGUCAGCAAUGGAAUCUCAAAAAACAGAGAUUGAACCUUUCUCAAAGACUGCGGUGAAUUCUGAUACUACAGCACCAGCAGUGGAAUCUGGACCUUCCCCUGCUGAAACUAAUUUUAAUCUCAAACCUUUGAUAUUGGCUCCCCUUACAGUUGAAGCUUCAACAGCAAUAGCACCUGGAAAUCUGUCCAGUCUCAGCAAUGCUAGUCCUGCGCCAGUAGUGGCACCUGGAAGCCAACCCAGUGUGAAGAAUACAUUAGGUCCUACACUUAAUUUGACUGUAAAUACUCAGCAGGAAACGACGUCUGCUGGACAAUCUCUAUUCCCAUUAGCCCCCUCCAAUUCAGGGAGUGUUGCUAGUAGGACUGUAGAUGUCCAAAAUGCCCAGGAGGAUGACAUGGAUGAAGAGGCUCCUGACACCAGUAGCCCAGCUGGACUUAAUUUAGGAAGCCUUGGUGCAUUUGGGCUUGGCUCUUCCCCUAACCCAACUGCUGUUAAACCCAAUCCAUUUGGUGGAUCAUUUGGUAAUGCAGCAACAAAUAUGACAACUUCGCCUUUCCCCAGGACUAUUCCUAGCGGAGAGUUGUUUCAGCCUGCAUCUCUUAACUUUCAAUCUCUGCAGCCUUCUCCAUCAUCCCAGCCGGCAAAUCCAGGUGCAUUUGCUUCUGGGUUUGGCACUGGUACUAUUGCCCAAUCUCCCAGUCCGAGUGGGUUUGCCCAGCCAUCCCAGGUUGGACCAGGGCAGCAAGCAUUAGGAUCAGUUCUGGGUGCUUUUGGACAGUCAAGACAGCUUGGUACUGUUCUACCAGGAACUGGUUUUGGAUCACCUGGUGGUUUUGGAGGUGGCGUUGCUAGCAAUAAACCUCCUGGUGGUUUCUCAGGUGCUGCUACCGGAGGAUUUGCUGGUGCUUCUUCUACUGUUGGUGGAUUUGCGGCUGUGGCUUCUGGUGGUGGUGGAUUUGCUGCUUUGGCUUCAGGGGGCGGGGGCUUUGGCGGUGCAGCUUCAGGGGGCGGGGGUUUCGGCGGGGCUGCUUCAGGGGUUGGGGGUUUUGGCGGUGCAGCUUCAGUGGUAGGGGGUUUUGGUGGUGCAGCUUCAGGGGUUGGAGGAUUUGGUGGUGCAGCUGUAGGUGGUUCGGGAUUUGGUGGGGCAGCUCCUGCUGGUGCGGGAUUUGGUGGGGCAGCUCCUGCUGGUAGCGGGUUUGCAGGAACCAAUGCAGCAGGUAGUUUUCUUAUUAAUUUCUUUUUUCCCAUGAGUUGUGUUCUAUGUGUUGAGAUAUUCAGCUGAUCCAUAUCUUGUAAAUACGUUCAGGUGGUGGAUUUGGUACAUUCGGCAGCCAGCAAGGAUCUGGUGGUUUCUCUGCUUUUGGUAGUGGAGGAACCGGAAAGCCUCCAGACUUGUUCCAGAUGAGAAAGUAACGGAUUUGAGUUUACCAAACUUGAUGUAUGCUUACUUGUCAACCCUAUGAAUGUUGUUUGAGAAACUUGUUUGGGUUGAUGGUAUUCCCGGUUCUCAUUGUACAGGUCUCCCUGUAGUCUGCGAUAAUACAAUUUUGAAGUAUAGCUGAGCAAUUUUAUUCCCCCUGCAUCCACCGCCUGUUAAUUUCUAGCACUUUCAAAUUUGCACAUGUCUGGUUAGCACUUUCAAAUUUGCUCAUAAGUUCAAAGAAAGUAACCAAGGAACCUUGGUCCAUAAGUCCAAAGAAAGUGACCAAUGAGCCAUGACACUUAUCAAGGUAAAGGCUGGUAACAUCUCCAAAUCCUUACCUCCGAUUUAUUUCUGAAAAUCAAAAGGACUUGCUUUGCAGAACCCAGAGGGCCCGCAGCCGACAAGCCCACAAGAUCCAGGCCCAACACGAACUAGGCAGCAAACCUAAUCGUAGAUGCCGCCUUCUCCCUCAGUCAAACCUCCAGCACGACUGUACCCACCGCCGCAACUGCUGCAGUACCCAUAAACUCACCAAUCUUCGAUGGGUAUGACCAACGAGCCGUAUCUGGCACCUUUGAACCAUCUUGGUCGAGAAUCCGAGCCACCGUAGACCCGCCACUGAUUGGAACAAAGGGCAAGAACCGCGGCCACAAAAUGGCUCCACAUAACACGUACCAUUUUCACUUUUUAGUUGAGGUGAAUUACUUUCCAAACUGUCAAAAACCUCUUAUAUACCACAAAAACUGGCACGUAAGAUGAGGUGGUUUCCAGAAUGUGAUUGACCUAACAUUAUAACAGUCUCAUCUCAUUCCCUAUUUAUGAACUAGAUAGAUAAAAGCCUAAAAGAUAAAUUGAUAACUACCUAAACAUGCUCUCUAAAAUAGUUAACGAGCCAAUAUUGAGAGUAUACUAAAACUGUUCUUAUACUCUCAUUGCCACCUGCUGUCCUCUUCAACACCACCAAGGAAACUCGGUGAAGAAAAUUUGGUUAUCAUUUACCGUUAUACUAUACUUUAUUACAAAACAGAACCACUUGUUGCAUACCAAACAACAAAAAGAGGAGAUCAGGGAGGGAAAAGUCCCCCGUGUCUGAUAUGAAUGUUCUGGUCUAAAUGGCUUCUCAAUCCCGGCUAGUUGUCACACUGGCAGUCCUAAUUCAGAAAUCUUCAUUAUGUGUUUGUCCAUCACAGCCUUCUGCGUUUUCAGUUCUGAUGUCAUUGCAGCAACCUAAAUCAAACAUAAUCAUAUCCAUUAAAACGAAGGACAUGAUCAGACACAUAUUGUUAGGUGUGUGUUUGGGAUAUGAGACUAUGAAACAACACAAUCUAGUGUAAACAUAGUGUUUAGCUUGCCUGUGAUCUGAGCUUCAAAGCUUCCCCGCUAGGAAUUUCUCGCAACCCAUCCAUCAAAUCUACACAAGAAAAUGUCAUAUAAUGGGGAAUGUAAUGUGAGGUCAGGUUGAGUAAUUUUCUCCAAAUUCAAGUUUGUCACAAGUUAAUUCAGAGUCGUGACAGAUAAAGAAACUCUCAAGACCAAGUUGAAGUCUCUCCCAUUUACACUUAGAUAUAACAAAAGGGAAAGCGAGAAUCAGUAAUGAAUGCAAACCUGCAGCUUGGGAGUCAACCUUGCGCAUAGAUUUGGACAGAGAUUGAAUCCGACUUCCCACAUCCCUGCAUACAUUUGUUUAAAUAAUCAGACACAGAAGGUCAAUAAGAAUUUGUAUAGGUAAAGUUGAUGUAGAAUGGGGGGUGUACAUGAGAUCAGUUUGGCCAACUUUCAUAUGUUUUUCAGCAUAACCUGCUCUCUCAAGAAGUUUCUUGCUCUCCUGCUUCAUCAGAUCAACAGAAAGGUUGAGCUGGUUUACAUUCUUCUCAGCUUUGGCAUAUUUUGCCUGCACAUAAAACAUAUUAAUCAAUUCCAGAAGAAAAGGAAACCUAGGUGUGAAAGUUGUUUUGAGACAGAGAGAGAGAGAGGAUAAACAGAAAACAACCUCCAGGCUCUGAAAUCGACCCAAUGUAUUGCGAAACAAGAACCUUCUUGGUCCUGCAGAAAUGAGGAAUGUAAUAUAUGAGUGCAGAGAGCAAAAUAGGGGCAGAAUAUGAAGGUGUAGGGUUAACUAAUACGAAGUGGAAGACCUCGUAAAAAAAUGAAGGCGGCAGUAAGGCCAAUUCCAAUGGUGGAGGCUGGGUUUUCGGCUGCUCUCUUCACUCCUUCUGCAGCAGUGGCAUUGUGUAGUCAAAUUACAAAUAAUUUCACACAAACAGAAACAAAAUAGUAAUCGAUUUUCAAUUCGAAUCGAGUAAUUGAUCAGGGUGGGUAUUACCUUUGAUUUUGUGGAAGAAAGCAUGUUCGUAGGUCCUGUAUUUGGAGGCGGCUUUGUCGAUGUAUCCCGGCAUAUUAUGUUGGAGAAUCCGAGCAGAACGCAUGGCGGAGUCCCUGGAUUGCAUCACCGAACGCUGCAGAUCCUCCGCCAUCAAAGCCAUAGAAGCCGCCGCUGCUUCUGCUUCUGCUGCCACUCCCUUAUACUUCCCUUCAUCGCCUUCGUUCUUCUUAAUCUCCGGUGACGGCGUCGUCGGCUCCUCCUCCGCCAUUUUGAGUCUCCCUCUCUCGCUUUUUGGGGUUUGCAGUGCCUUUCGUAAAGGAGGUUGGGCCUCUCUCUCUCUGUGAGGCCCAAUUGAAAAAGAGAGGGCCCAAUGUGUCUGUAAAACAAAAGGAACGGUGGUGCCGGAUGGAGGGCACCUAAAGGUCAAUGAAGACUGUCUCUUUACUGGAAUGUGAAUUUAGUUAAGGGGUUGUAAUUAUUAGUUUAGCACCAGCGAUACAGAUACACACGAGAUGAGACACAGUUGUUUGUUGUAGCAGUUGCCCUUGAGCCCUUGCCCAACAAAGAAACAGGAGGAGGUAGAAGAAGAAGAAGAGAGGAAUGAGUUGGCGCCGAGGGGGUUACAGACCCUAAUAAAUAUAUAAAAUUGAGAGAGAUAGAGAGGGAGAGCAGUGGAGAGGAGUCUAUGAUGCUUUGCGAAGCAUUGCGUGAUCGAAUACAGGCAUGGCUUCGUGACUACGACAGGCUUCAAUAUCUCGCCGUCAUCCUCCUCUACAUUCAGGUAUCUUUUCUUGAUUCUUGAUUCUUGGUUCUUGGUUCUUGGUUCUUGAUUGGUACAAGUGACGAGGGUUUCAAUCAAUGAAUCAAUGAUAUGUAUCUUGUUGUGUAUAUGCAUAGAUUGCUUGCGCAUUAUUAGGAUCGCUGGGAGCAUUGUACAACGGAGUGUUGCUGAUCAAUCUGGCCAUUGCCUUGUUCGCUCUGGUCGCCAUCGAAAGCAGCAGUCAGAGCCUCGGCCGCACUUACGCCGUCCUCCUCCUCUGCGCUAUCCUCCUCGAUGUCUUCUGGUUCAUUCUCUUUUGUCACGAAAUCUGGAUUCUUAAACCCGGCGAUUAUACAUCUCUGUAUAUCUUUUCAGUCAAGCUCACUCUCGCUAUGCAAAUCAUCGGCUUCUCUAUCCGGUUUUCCUCCUCAUUCCUGUGGAUUCAGAUCUACAGGUUGGGCCUAUCCUAUGUAGUCGAACCUGCCCCAACUCCUAGAGAUGCCGAUUUUGAUUUACGCAAUAGUUUCUUGAGUCCAACUACUCCCACGCCUGCUGUACUUAGACAAACCUCCGAUUCUAGUGAUGCCUUAGGAGGCUCUAUCUAUGAUCCUACUUAUUACUCCUCACUCUUCGAAGAGGGCCAGGUGUGUUACCUCUCUAUUCAACCUCUUUUUCAUACUCAAUAUCAGUUUUUUUCAUGUGCUCUUUCUGUUUGCAUAAUCAUUGCACAUUUAAGUGAAGUUUACGAUUAACAAUUUAGGGAAUCAUAACUCAAGAGAUUGCUGAUUUUAGAGAACAGAGUUAGAUUCUUCAAUUGUCUAUGAAAAAGUUAGUCUUACUUCUGAUAGUGUAUAUUAGGAAUGUAGUACGCCGCUUAGAAUUCCUAAGGUUGCCAUAUCUGUACCUUUAUUCAUGAGAAGAUGAUAUCCAUGUCAAUGAAGUUGAAUCCAUUGGAAGGUACUCCUAAUCUCCGAGGUUGAGAAAUACUAAAAACACUGUCAUGGAGUAAGCUUUUGAACUUGAAGGCGUUCUCAUUGGGACCCUUGUUUUGGGAGGUGAUAAUAUACCUAUCCUGUCGUCACAGCUUGUUUUUUUGAGUCUUUUUCUUUUUUUUUUUUUUAGGUGGAACAGCAUGGCUGUCACUUCUCGGUGUAGCUUCAGUUUGCUUCUUUCAUAAAAAGUUGACAAUAAAAAUAAAUAGAUUAAGGCUCUAGAGUCAAAUGUCUUUUCGAUCGCCUCUAUUUUACAAGUGAGGAUAUGGCUGUGUGAGCAAAGAGAGAAGAAUGUCAUCGUUCAUUCCAAGGAGGUCACUAAAUUGUGUCGGCGUUCUGAUGGCCUCUGAUAGUGUUCUGCUUUGGGUCAGGAGGGACAGACUCUCAAGUAACACUAGUAUGGUGCCUUAGAAGAUCUCUCUUGUUUUGCUGCUCAAAGCAUGUCAGAGAAAGAUCCAAGGAUUUGGAUUUUUCUGAUAGGUUCAGCACGCAAGAGAUGAGUAUGUAAAAUCCCUUAGGUAGGACAGUACAUCGUCACAUGACAACAAUUAAUAGUUGAGGACUCAUGGACCUUUUGUCUUACAGAUCAGACUGUACAAGUUCCUUGAAGCUGGGUUUAUAAGAAAAACUUUUUAUCUAGCAUCCUUUCUACUUCCUAGCAUGAUGGUUUUGAGUUUUGAUGUUAAUCCAAGUGGGGAAUGAAAUGGACUAGUAUUAUGUUUUGAAGUAUGGAGUUGUCUAUGUUCUGUUUCCUCAUAUUUGAUCCGGAAAUUCUGUAAUAUUCAAACAUACAAUUAUCACUUGUAGGACGUAAUUUCUCAAACAAAAACCUACUUAACUUUAAUGAGGACCUUAUUUACCUUAACGAACACUUUUUUGUAGUUACCACAAGAGUUGUUGAAGUGUAACAUGUGCUCUGAAGUAAUGACAUAGGACUUCUAUGAGGAAUGUUAGCAUACCAUAGUGUUAACCAACAUUGUACUUGUCCAUUAGAAGGUCGCACUGACCUUUCUUAAGGAACAGUUUAGUUUGUUCUAUUUCUUUAGAUCUGUUCAUAAUAUUGUUCUUGUCCAUCUGAAAGUGGCAUUGCACUUUGUUAGCUGUUCCUGAUUUGAAAUCACUGUUGUUAUUAGGGAAAAUGUUACAGUGGCAAUGGAUCUACAUCUGCUGCUGAAGCUUCUAAGGUGAAACCAUCUGUAGUCAGAUCUUUUCAGUCAGAUGUAAGUAUUAUUGAACACCUUUUCACCUUCUUUUUUUUAAUUUUUUUUUAUGAAAUUAGCAAUAUAAUGUGUUACGUUGUGGGGUGUGAUCCCCACUGUCCUCCCAUGGGGUAAACAUUAUGAUUUGAUAGGUUCAAUGAUUUCUCCCCUACUCCAAUAUUAACUUCAUAUGUUUGGUUAAAAUGUUGAAUAUUGGUUGCAUAGAAUUUUGUUGUUAUGUACCUUGUUUUGAACUGAGAUAGAGUUCUUGACUGGAACCUUGUAAAAUACAAUUACUGCUUUCCAAGACUGAUUGGAUAACGGUUUGUCGUUAUGAAUCCCAUGUACUUGCAACUCUUGUCAUGCAAAUUAUAAAAAAAUAUGAAUUAAAAUUUGUUUAGUCCUUGUGGUUUGAAGUCGACAUUUGUUUAGUUCUUGUGGUUUUAUUUUAAUCUGAAUAGUCCUUAAAGUCGUGAUUUUUCAUCCAAAAAUAUGUUAAAAUAAAAACCAUAAGGACUAUUUGGAUGAAAAAUCGUGACUUUAAGGACUAUUCAGAUUAAAAUAAAACCAUAAGGACUAAACAGAUGUCGACUUCAAACCAUAAGGACUAUACAAUAUUUUACCCAAAAAAUAUUGUGCAAAUUGAUGUCGGUCGUCCUGCUUUGAAAUGCUUUCUAUUCUCUUACUUCAAUGUUGCUCUCAUGCAGUUUUUUUUGGGCAUUAAACUUCGCUACCAAUGUAUCAAGUAUUCCUUUGUUUUUAGAGAUAGUAUUAGUAGUUGUUUUCCUGCUUGAGUAUAGUAGGAUAUUAAUUCAUCCAGAAGAGUUUCAAUUUAGCUGCUUCUAACUUGAUUGGGGUCCUUGCAGGAGAAGACAGCAAGCCAGCAUUCAAUUUAAUUUUGAAUAGGGUUUUCUCUGUUUUUUUUUGAUCCACUCCCAUUAUUGUUUAGAGGAUCAUUCACUUAGUCACUGCGGCCGGUUUGAGCAUUGGGGAGUGGGGCUUGUACAGUCAAACACACUAUUAAGCAUUUUUGCCUAGAUGGAAGCUGUCGAUCAAAGUAGAGUACCCAUGUGGUUUGGUAUGUCAAAAGCUUGGAUCAGGAUUCGAUCCCCAUGCUCGUGAUUUGGACGAUGUUUCUUGGAUGUGCAAUUACAUUUGGCAUGUUGUAUUGGCUGAAUGUCCAAUCAGGCAUGAUCCAUGUAAUGUGUGUCAACUUUCGGGAUAUGCAAUUAGGCAUUGAUUGUAAGCAGAUUGUGCAGCGGGGAAGUUGACAAGUGUAUCCUGGUCAAGUAACCCAGGCAAUUGCUUCUUGGCCCCGUAAUAUAAAGGUUUGGUUGAUCAUUCAGUUCAGCCGACCUUUGGUUUUAAAUAGAUCAAACACUCCGUGGCUAUAUCUUCGACUUCGACUAUAUAAUUGCAGAUUUUUUCAAGUGUGUAUGUUUAGUUGUCUAGUUAUAGAAAACCGUGGGUAACUAGACUUUGAUAAAAUAACCUUUUUUAUUUUUAUUUUUUUAUUUUUAUUUUUUAUCAAAAGAGCCAGCCAUUUCAUUAUAAUUCAUCAAGCAAUACAAAAAUGAAACACCCUGAAUAGGGUCGACAGAAAGAAUCGCCACAUAACAUGCCUAAUGUUAUUUUUAAUUUCUGGAAUAAAAGUUUCAUAGUAUUAAGAAGAUAGUCAAGAUACUGGAUAGUCACAAUAUAUACAACCACAUCAUAUUAACUGUAGUGGUUGGUUCUGAUGAAUUCUUUUAAUGAAGACCCUUAAAAUGAGAACCAGUUGAGGAAUCUCUAAUCAAUGGUUUGAGAGAAUUGCAUUUCAAUCACAUUUUGACAUCUCAACCAUUUAUUUUUUAGGUAUACAUGAGUGUAGGAUCACUUUGCAAACUUUCAGCCAAUUGGCGACUAUUAAGGUAUCAAAAUAGAUCAUGUCAAUGGACGAACAAACUGUCAGAUAUAAACCCUUUAAGUUCAUAAUUGAUAAAUUACAAUUAUGAAUACCAACACCUAUGCAGGGGCACCUCUUGGGUGUGGGAUGAAACCCUGUGAAUAGAUCAUCAUGAAGACGAAUGCAACAUGAAGAAAUGAUAGUUGGAAGUGUUGAUUUUACAUUUAGGUUUCGACAUAAUAAAGCUUAGAAUGUCUUUUCAUCGCAUUUGGUGAUUAUUCAAAUUGAUUCCACUACGGUGCCACAUAUUCGUAAACUGAUUCUAAGGAAUCGUACAACAGGCAUAAGCCAGCGUACGGCAGAAGGGCUCAUGUUAGUCCUUAACUUUCAAAAUUUGAUUUGUUUUUAUUUACCUUGGGGCUUGGGAGGGGGGGGGCACAUUUGGAGUGUGGGAUGAAACCCUGUGAAUAGAUUGUCUUGAAGAUGAAUGAGACAGGAAGAAAUGAUAGUGGGAAGUUUUGAUUUUACAUUUAGGUUUCGGCAUAAUAAAGCUUGCAUCGUCUUUUCACAGUCAGGCGCAUAACACAUUUGGUGAUUAUUCAGGUCAAUUCCACUAAGGUGCCACAUAUUCGUAAACCGAUUCUAAGGAAUGGUAUGACAGGCUUAAGCGGGCAAUGUACUAGUUUAAGUAAGCGCUAGUUUACAAAAUUUCCAGUGGCAAAGAUAUGUCGUUUCUUUUAGAAUCUUGCUAAAAUCAUCGUCGCAGACGACCAUUAGCUACUAACUAGAGGUAUUGCUAACCCAUUUUUUAAAAAGAUGGAUUAAAUUUCUCAGUUUUUUUUGAUAGUAGCUACUAACUAGAUCAUCUUUAUAAAAAGAUGGAUUAAAUUUAGUUUACUCCCUCAAACUUUAGCUUUAAAAUCAGUUUGGUCCGUGAACUUGUUUUUUAAUCACUAUGAUCCAUAUACUUUCAAUUUUCAUCAGUCUUCUCCAAUUUUUGAAUUUGACUCUAACCAUGACGUCACAGGCUGAGUUGGCUCCAACAUAAGGACCUAUUUUUCAAACUUUGACCAUCUCAGCAGGGUAUAAUUGACAUUUACACAUANNNNNNNNNNNNNNNNNNNNNNNNNNNNNNNNNNNNNNNNNNNNNNNNNNNNNNNNNNNNNNNNNNNNNNNNNNNNNNNNNNNNNNNNNNNNNNNNNNNNNNNNNNNNNNNNNNNNNNNNNNNNNNNNNNNNNNNNNNNNNNNNNNNNNNNNNNNNNNNNNNNNNNNNNNNNNNNNNNNNNNNNNNNNNNNNNNNNNNNNNNNNNNNNNNNNNNNNNNNNNNNNNNNNNNNNNNNNNNNNNNNNNNNNNNNNNNNNNNNNNNNNNNNNNNNNNNNNNNNNNNNNNNNNNNNNNNNNNNNNNNNNNNNNNNNNNNNNNNNNNNNNNNNNNNNNNNNNNNNNNNNNNNNNNNNNNNNNNNNNNNNNNNNNNNNNNNNNNNNNNNNNNNNNNNNNNNNNNNNNNNNNNNNNNNNNNNNNNNNNNNNNNNNNNNNNNNNNNNNNNNNNNNNNNNNNNNNNNNNNNNNNNNNNNNNNNNNNNNNNNNNNNNNNNNNNNNNNNNNNNNNNNNNNNNNNNNNNNNNNNNNNNNNNNNNNNNNNNNNNNNNNNNNNNNNNNNNNNNNNNNNNNNNNNNNNNNNNNNNNNNNNNNNNNNNNNNNNNNNNNNNNNNNNNNNNNNNNNNNNNNNNNNNNNNNNNNNNNNNNNNNNNNNNNNNNNNNNNNNNNNNNNNNNNNNNNNNNNNNNNNNNNNNNNNNNNNNNNNNNNNNNNNNNNNNNNNNNNNNNNNNNNNNNNNNNNNNNNNNNNNNNNNNNNNNNNNNNNNNNNNNNNNNNNNNNNNNNNNNNNNNNNNNNNNNNNNNNNNNNNNNNNNNNNNNNNNNNNNNNNNNNNNNNNNNNNNNNNNNNNNNNNNNNNNNNNNNNNNNNNNNNNNNNNNNNNNNNNNNNNNNNNNNNNNNNNNNNNNNNNNNNNNNNNNNNNNNNNNNNNNNNNNNNNNNNNNNNNNNNNNNNNNNNNNNNNNNNNNNNNNNNNNNNNNNNNNNNNNNNNNNNNNNNNNNNNNNNNNNNNNNNNNNNNNNNNNNNNNNNNNNNNNNNNNNNNNNNNNNNNNNNNNNNNNNNNNNNNNNNNNNNNNNNNNNNNNNNNNNNNNNNNNNNNNNNNNNNNNNNNNNNNNNNNNNNNNNNNNNNNNNNNNNNNNNNNNNNNNNNNNNNNNNNNNNNNNNNNNNNNNNNNNNNNNNNNNNNNNNNNNNNNNNNNNNNNNNNNNNNNNNNNNNNNNNNNNNNNNNNNNNNNNNNNNNNNNNNNNNNNNNNNNNNNNNNNNNNNNNNNNNNNNNNNNNNNNNNNNNNNNNNNNNNNNNNNNNNNNNNNNNNNNNNNNNNNNNNNNNNNNNNNNNNNNNNNNNNNNNNNNNNNNNNNNNNNNNNNNNNNNNNNNNNNNNNNNNNNNNNNNNNNNNNNNNNNNNNNNNNNNNNNNNNNNNNNNNNNNNNNNNNNNNNNNNNNNNNNNNNNNNNNNNNNNNNNNNNNNNNNNNNNNNNNNNNNNNNNNNNNNNNNNNNNNNNNNNNNNNNNNNNNNNNNNNNNNNNNNNNNNNNNNNNNNNNNNNNNNNNNNNNNNNNNNNNNNNNNNNNNNNNNNNNNNNNNNNNNNNNNNNNNNNNNNNNNNNNNNNNNNNNNNNNNNNNNNNNNNNNNNNNNNNNNNNNNNNNNNNNNNNNNNNNNNNNNNNNNNNNNNNNNNNNNNNNNNNNNNNNNNNNNNNNNNNNNNNNNNNNNNNNNNNNNNNNNNNNNNNNNNNNNNNNNNNNNNNNNNNNNNNNNNNNNNNNNNNNNNNNNNNNNNNNNNNNNNNNNNNNNNNNNNNNNNNNNNNNNCCGCUCACUCACGGCGGCGCUAGGGGGGCUGCUACCGGCCUAGAAUGGAAGCUGGGAGGGAGACCGACCGAACGGGACCGGUCCGGCGGCGAACGGAGGUCGGAUGGCGGCGGGAGGACGGCCGGAAGUCUGCUGGGUGUAGAGAGAAGAAAAUCGGGUGGGAGGAGAGAGAAUCGGGAGAGAGGGAGAAGAGAAAGAAGAAAGAAAUGGGUUGGGCUCGGCCCAGCCGACCCAACACCCCUUUUUAACCCAAACUUCCAAAAUAAAAACACCCCGAAAAAUAAUACCCGAAUAAAAAUUACCUUUUACUAGCUAAAAUUUACUAUUUUUACCGUCGUCGUAUUUUCCUCAUACGAAUAAUCCUCCGCACAUAAUCGUCCCCGAAACCCCUCUAAGGACCAAUUAAACUAUUUACUCAAUGAUCGAGAUGGUAAAAUUUUUAUUAUAAUCACGCUAGUAAAUAAGGUAAAAAUAUAAGGGUCGGGAUGUGACAAAAGGGCUGCCUUGACCCUCUUAGGACCGCCUAGGAGCCACCUUGACCUUCCUAAAACCGCCUAGGGGCCGCCUUGACCUGUCUUGGGCCGCCAUGGGCCGCCUUGACCAGCCAAAGGACUGUCUUGACUCGCCAAGGAGCCGCCUUGACCCGCCUAGGGCCGCAAAGGCCGCCUUGACCCGCCAAGGGCCUGCUAAGACCCGUCUAGGUUUGCCAAGUGCCGCCUUGACCAGUCUAGACUUGCCUUGACCCGCCUAGGGGCGCAAAUGCGCGCCAAGACACUUCUAGGGCGGUAAAGGCGUCCUUGACCCGCCAAGGGCCUGCAAAGACCCGCCUUGGGCCGCUAAGUGGCCACCUUGACCCGUCCAAGGCCACCAUGGGGCCGCCUUGACCAGCCUUGGGCCGCCAUGGGCCGCCUUGACCCUCCUAGGGCCACCAGAAGGCUGCCUUGAUCUGUCCAGGGCCACCAUGGGGUUGUGUUCACCCGUCAUGGGGCCGCCUUAACCGGCGUAAGGGCUUCCUUGACCUGCGUUGACCCAUCUAGGGCCACUGAGAGGUCACCUUGACCCGUGAAGGGGCUACCUUGACCCUCUUAGGACCGUCAAUAGUCCGCCUAGACCCUGCUAGGGCAGUAAAUGGGGGGCUGCGUUCACCCGUCUAAGGCCGCCAGAGGGCCGUCUUGACCUACCAAGGGGCUGCCUUGACCCUCCUAGACCUGCCUAGGGCCGCUUUGACUCUCCUAGGUUCUCCUAAGCCCGCCUUGGGCUACCAAGGGACCGCCAUGACUAGCCAAGGGGUCACCAUGACCCUCCUAGGCCCGUCUAGGGCCGCUAAGACUCAUUUAGGGCGGCCAUGAGCCGCCUUGACUUGGCUAGGGCCACCACCAAUGGGCCGCCUUGACCCGUCUAGGGCCACCAAGGGGCCGCCUUGACCCACCCAGGGACGCCUUUUCACGCCAAGGGGUCACAACGUGCCACCUUGACCUACCUAGGCCCAUCUUGACCCGCCAAGGGGCUGCCUUGACCCUCCUAGGACCGCUUUGACCUUCCUAAGACCGCCUAAGGGCUGCCUUGACCCGCUUAGGGCCCCCUUGACCAGCCAAGGGGCCGUCUUGACCCGCCAAGGGGCUGCCUUGACCCUCCUAGGACCGCUUUGACCUUCCUAAGACCGCCUAAGGGCUGCCUUGACCCGCUUAGGGUCCCCUUGACCAGCCAAGGGGCCGUCUUGACCUGCCAAGGGCCACCUUGACCAACUAAGGGGCCGCCUUGACACGUCUUGGGCAGCCUUGACCAAUCUAGGGCCGUAAAAAUGCCUGCCUAGACAAUUCUAGGGUGGCAAAGGCCGCCUAACCUUGACCUGCCAAGGGUCGUCCUGACCCACCUAGACCCGCAUAGGGGCCGCCUUGACCCGUCUAGGGCCACCAAGGGGCAGCCUUGACAUGCCUUGAGCCGCCAUAUGCCGCUUUUACCUGCCUAGGGCUGCCUUUUCCUGCUAAGGGGACACAAAGGUGCCGCAUUGAGCCGCCUAGGCCGCCAAGGGGCCGCCUUCACCCGUUUAAGGACGCCUUGACCCGACCAGGGCUGCCAAGGGGCCGUCUUGACCUACCAAGGGGCUGCCUUGACCCUCCUAGGCCCGUUUAGAGCCGCCUGGACCUGGCUUGGCUUGCUUUGACCCACCUUGACCUGCCUUGGGCCGCCUCAACCCAUCUAAGGCCACCAAGAGGCCGCCUUGACACGCCAAGGGGUUGUGUUGACCCUACUAGGGCCUCUAAUAGGCCGCCUUGACCCAGCUAGGGCAGCAAAUGGGGGGCUGUGUUCACCCAUCUAAGGCCACCAAGGGGCCGUCUUGACUCGCCAAGGGGCUACCUUAACCCUCCUUGACUCGCCUAGGGCUACCUUGACCCUUUUAGACCCGCCUAGGGCCACCAAGGGGCCGGCAUGACUUGCCAAGGGGUCGCCAUGACCAUGUUAGGCCCAUCUAGGGCUGCCAAGGGGCCCCCUUGACCCGCCUUGGGCCGCCAUGGACCGCCUUAGGCCGUCUUUACCCACCUUGGGCUGCCUUGACUCUCCUAGACCCCCUUUGGGCUUCCAAGAAGCCGUCGUAACUCGCCAAGGGGUCUCCAUGACCCUUCUAGGCCCGCCUUAACCCGCCUAGAGCCGCCUUGACCCGUCUUGGGCCGCCUUGACCCGCUUUGGCCCGCCUUGAUUCAUGAUGUGCUGGUAUUUUCCUAUAUUUUUAUGCCUUUUUAUCUUGAUAUUUGUGUAUAGUUCUCCUUGUUUUUAGUCCAUUUACUUGGUUUAGUGUUUGUAGGUUUGAAGAGCAAAGAUGAGGAAAAGAAGCAAAAAGAGAGCAAAAAGGAUUGAAGGUCGUUUGCAGUCCUGACAACUGAAGCAGUCUUGACAGAAUAGCCAACUUUGAGGAUUUAACUGUAAUGAUCCAGGAAGAACUAGAGAGUGAGCCUUAUAUGGACGAAAAGCCCUAGAUGUCUACUUUCUACAAAAUUUUACGGUUCAUGAUUUCGAUAUUCCUAGAGGGAGAUAUGGCCGUUUAAGUACAGGCUGUUCGGUACGCGCGAAUCUGCAACAUGUCUCCAAGAGCUCAAGUUUUCAAGACCUGAAUGACUUAGCAAAAUUCAGGGAAAAUUAAUAUAGCAUUAUGGGCCUUUUAAGAGUCCAACACAUGUUUUCCUUGGACUUUUUGGGCUAUGUCAUUAAAGAUUUCUCAAAGCCUGAAGCAACAAGGAAAAAUACAUCAUAUAAAAGGAGGUUUAUCAAGCACAAAAGGGGGAUCGAUCCAUAUUAGAAUUUCAUCCAAGAAGCUGCUGCCAUCUAGUGUCUUCUACUUCCAUCUCCAUUCAAUUAGUUUCUUUAUGUUUUUAAGAACUCAUAAUAUGUUUGCUUUGAACAUGAGUAGCUAAAUUCUUUCUCUAGGGCUAGGAUGAAGCCCUAGCAUGAUUGUCUACAUAUUUUGAUACUUAAUUGAUGGAUUAUUAGUUUCUUCUCAGAUAAAUUCUUAAUCUCUGCUUGAUUUGUUGCUUGUGUUAAAGUUCUAUUGAUUUGCGACUUGUAGGCUUUGCAUCUAGCUAUCUGAAGUUGAAUUUGAGGCGUAAACUGCAAUAGAAUUCUACUUAGCUUCUAGAGAUUAAGGAUUGUGAAUUAUAUUGUUGCCGUAACUGGAAUAGUAGUUUGCAUGAUUCUCUGUUUUCUAAACAUCAUGAGUCCUAUGUGUUAAAUUUAUGCCGUAACUGGAUAGACUGCAUACUAAGAUAUACUAUCUCUGCCGUACCUGGAGAACAUCAUACUAUUAAGGAAAACUAAGGUCUAAGUGCCGUACCUGGAUAUAGAUACAAGAAUUGUUAUCUGGAGAAACAAAGGAAUCCAUUAGUUGUGUCAAGCCGUAGAAAAGAUUGAUUGUGGUUGAUUCCGACACCCUAGGCUUAUCAUCAUCAUCAUAUUCUUACUCUUUUCAAUUUUAAUUACUCUCUUUUAGUUUCUGUUUACAAGUUACUUUUUAUCAGCACAAAACCCUUUUCAAAAACCCCAAAAAUCAUAAGUACAACUUAGUUUGAGUCUUUGUGUUUGUCUUUAUCAAUUUGUGUAUUUUGUUUUGUGUGUUUUAGUGUAGUUAGUUUAGAUAUUUCAAAAUUUAAGUUGAACUAAUAUCCUUGUGGGAACGACAACCCUUUUUCUUUCAUUCAUUAUACUACUACAUCCACCCUGUAUACUUGCAGGAAUCCAUCAGCUCGUCUAUGCCCCCUUAACCCGCCUUGACCCGCCUUGCUGCCUUGGCUCCUCUUGACCCACCCUAGCCCCCUUGACCCACCUUGGGCCGCUUUGACACUCUUAGACCCGCCUAGGGCCGCCUUAACCCUCCUAGACCCGCCAAGGGGCUGCCUAGGGGCCACCUUGACCCGCCUUGGAACGCCUUUGGCCACCUUGACCCGCCUCAACCCGCUUUGGACCGUCUUGGCCCACCUUGACCGGCCUUGGCUCACGUUGGGCCACCAUGGUCCCCUUGACCCGCUUUUAACCGCCUUGUGCUGCCUUAACCCUCCUACACCAGUCUUGACCAUCCACAGCCCUUCUAGGCCCACCUAGGGCAAGGGGGCGCCAUGACCUACCUAGGGCCGCCAAGGGGCUACCUUUACAUGCUGUCUUAACCCUCCUACACCCGCCUUGACCAUCCACGGCCCUUCUAGGCCCACCUAGGGCAAGGGGGUGCCAUGAAAUACCUAGGGCCGCCAAGGGGCUACCUUUACACGCCUUAACCCGUCUAGGGCCGCCAAGAGGCUACCUUUACAAUCCUAUGGCCGCCUUGACACGCCUAGGGCUGCCAAGGGGACGUCUUCACACACCAACAAGCCGCCAUGACUCGCCAUGACCUGUCAAGGGGCUGCCUUUACACGCCUUGACCCUCCUAGGCUCGCUUAGGGCCACCUUGACUCGUGUAGGGCCGUCAAGGCCCGCCUUAGGCUGCCAUGACCCGUCUUGGCCCGCUUUGACCCUCCUCGGCCCUUUUAGGCCCACCUAGGGCAGCCAAAGGGGAGCCAUGACCCACCUAGAGUCGCCAAGGGCUGCUUUUACACUCCUUAACCCGCCUAGGGCAGCUAAGGGGGCCACCUUGACACGCCUAGGGCCGCCAAGGGGACGUCUUGACCUUCCAUGGGGCUGCCUUCACACGCCUACGUCAUGACCCACUUAGGGCCGCCAAGGGGUUGCCUACGGCCGCCAUGGGGCUACCUUCACCCGUCUAGGGCCGUUUUGACCCGCCUUGGGCCGCCUUAACCCGCCUUGGACCGCCUACGACCUCCUUGGACCGCCUUGACCCGUCUUGGGCCGCUUUGACCCGCCUUGACCCGUCUUGACCUACCUUAACCAGCCUUCACCCGUUUUGGCCCGCCUUGACUUGACUUGGGAUGCCUUGAGCCGCCCUUACCUGCCUUGGACCGCCUUAACCCGCCUUGAACCGCCAUAGGCCACCUAGUGCCACCAAAAAGCUGCCAUAAACCCUUGUAGGGCCGCUAAAGGGGCCACCUUGAGACACCUAGGGCCGUUAAAGGGACGUCGUGACCCGCCAAGGGGCUGCCUUUACACACCUAGGGCUGUUUUGACCUCCCAAGGGAUGCCAUGACCCGCCUAGGGCCGCCAAGGGGCUGCCUACGGUCGCCAUGAGUCCACUUUCACCUGCCUCAGCCCGUCUUGGGUCGCCUUGACUCGUCUUGACCUACCUUGUACUGCCUUGGCCCGCCUUGACCCGCCUUGGGCCUCCAUGGGCCGACUUUACCCGCCUUGACCUUCUUAGACCCGCCUUGGGCCGCCUUGACCCUCCUAGAUCUUCCUAGAGCCACCAAGAAGUAGUUAUGACUCGCCAAGGGGUCUCAAUGACCCUUGUAGGGCCGCCAUGGGGCCACCUUAACCCUCCUUAGGACGCCUUAACCCGUCUUGGCCCGUCUUAGGCCGCUUUAACCAGCCUUAGGCCCCCUUAACCCGCCUUAGGCCACCUUGACCCACCUCGGCUCUUCUAGGCCCACCUAGGGCAGCCAAGGGGCGCCGUGACCCACCUAAGGCCGCCAGGAGGCAGCCUUUACACGCCUUGACCCUCCUAGGCCCGCCUAGGGCCACCUUGACCAGUCUAGGGCCGUCAAGAGGCCACCUUGACCUGCCUAGGGCUGCUAAGGGGUUGCCUUGACACGCCUUGACCCUGCCUAGACCCGCCUUGACCCGUCUUGGCCCACCUUGACCCACCUUGGACCGCCUUGGGCCGCCUUGAACCGCCUUGGGCUCCUUUACCGCCUUGAACUACGUUGGGCCGCCUUGACCCAUCUUGGACCGUCUUGGCCCGCCUUGAACCGCCUUGUUCCGCCAUGACCCGCUUGGCCCUCCUUGACCAGCCUUGGAUCGCCUUGGGCCACCUUGACCCACUUUGGCCCGCCUUGACCCGCCUUGAACCGCCUUACGUCGCCUUGACCUGCCUGGACUGCCUUGGGAAGCCAUGACCCGCCUUGAACCGCCUAGGGCCACCUUGACUCGUCUAGGUCCGCCAAGAGGCCACCUUGACCUGCCUAGGGCCGCCAAAUGGCUGCCUUGACACGUCUUAACCCUCGUAGACCCGCCAAGGGGCUGCCUAGGGCCGCCUUGGCCAACCAAGACCCGCCUUGACCUGCCUUGGGCCGCGUUGACCCUCCUAUACCGGCCAAUGGGCUACCUAGGCCCUCCUAAACCCGCCUUGACCCGUCUUGGCCCGCCUUGACCCACCUUGGGCCGCCUUGACCCGCCUUAGGUGCAUUUACCCGCCUUGAACCGCGUUGGGCCGCCUUGACCCUCCUAGACUGCCAAGGGGCUGCCUAGGGCCGCCUUUGACAGCCUUGAACCGCCAUGGCCUGCUUUGACCUGCCUUGAGCCGCCUUGGGCCGCCUAGUGCCGCCAUGACCCUCUUAGGCUUGUCUAGGGCCGCCAAGGGACUGCCAUAACCCGUCUUGGCCCACCUUUACACGCCUUGACCCGUCUAGGGCCGAUAAGAGGUCGCCUUGACAUUCCUAGUGCCACCAAGGGUGCCGUCUUGACACGCCUAGGGCCGCUAAGGGGACGACCCGUCAAGGGGCUACAUUUACACGCCUAGAGCUGUUUUGACCUCUCUAGGGCCCGUCAUGAUCCGCCUAGGGCAGCCAAGGGGGCUUCCUACGUCUGCCAUAGGGCCACCUUGACUCGACUUGGCCUGUCUUGAGCCGUCUUGACAUGCCUUGGCACGCCUUGACCCGCCUUGGACCGCCUUUACCCGUCUUGAACCGCCUUGACCCUCUUAGACCCGCCUAGGGCCACCAAGAAGCCGCCAUGACUCGCCAAGGGGUCACCAUGACCCUCCUAGGCCCGUCUAGGGCCGCCAAGGGACUGCCUUAACCCGUCUUGGCCCGCCUUGACCCUCCUCGGCCCUUCUAGGCUCACCUUUACAUGCCUUAACCCGUUUAAGGCCGCCAAGAGGCCGCCUUGACAAUCCUAGGGCUGCCAAGGGUGUCACCUCGACAUGCCUAGGGCCGCCAAGUGGACAACCCGCCAAGGGGUUGCAUUUACACGCCUAGAGCUGUUUUGACCUCCCUAGGGCCCGUCAUGACCUGCCUAGGGCCGCUAAGGGGCUUCCUACAUCCGCCAUGGGGCCACCUUGACCCGACUUGGCUCGUCUUGGCCGUCUUAACCUGCCUUGGACCGCCUUGACCCGUUUUGGCCGCCUUAACCUACCUUGGACCGUCUUGGCCGCCUUAACCUGCCUUGGCCUGUCUUGGCCGCCUUAACUUGCCUUGGACCGUCUUAACCUGUCUUGGACCGCCUUAGGCCGCCUUUACCCGCUUUAAACAGCCUUGACCCUCCUAGACCCGCCUAGGGCCACCAAGAAGCCGCCAUAACUCGCCAAGGGGUCUCCAUGACCCUCCUAGGCCAGUCUAGGUUUGCCAAGGGGCCGCCUUGACCCGCCUUGAUCCUCCUCGGCUCUUCUAGUGCCCCUAGGGUAGCCAAGGGGCGCUUUGACCCGCCUUGGACCGCCUAGACCCUCUUAGACCAGCCUAGGGCCACUAAGAAGCCGCCAUAACUCGCCAAUGGGUCGCCAUGACCCGCCUAGGCCCGUCUAGGGUCGCCAAGAGACCGCCUUAAUCUGCCAUACGCCGUCUUGACCCUCCUCGGCCUUGCUAGGCCCACCUAGAGCAGCCAAGGGGGCGCCAUGACCCACCUAGGGCUGCCAAGGGGCUGCCUUUUCACGCCUUUACCAUCCUUGGCCCGCCUAGGGCCACCUUGACCCGUCUAUGGCCGCCAAGAGGCCGCCUUCACUUGCUUAGGGCCGCCAUGAGGACGUCUUAACGCACCAAGCGGCUGCCUUUACACGCCUAUGGCUGUUUUGACCUCUCUAGGGCCACCAAGGGACAGCCUUGUCCUGUUUAGGGGCUGCCUUAACCUUCCUAGACUCGCCUAGAUCUGCCAUAACCCUCCUAGACUCCCCUAGGGCAACCAUGAUGCCGCCAUGACUCGCCAAAGGGUCACCAUGACCCUCUUAGGCCUGUCUAGGGCCGCCUUAACCUGCUUUGGCCCUCCUAGACCGCCUAGGGUCGCCUACACCCUCCUAGACCCGCCAAGGGGCUGCCUAGGGCCGCCAUGGGGCCACCUUGACUCGCCUUAACCCACCUUGGUCCGCCAUGGGCCGCUUUGACUCGCCUUGACCCUCCUAGACCGGCCUAGGGCCACCAAGAAGCCGCCAUGACUCGCCAAUGGGUCGCCAUGACCCUCCUAAGCCUGUAUAUGGCCACCAAGUGGCCCCCUUAACCCACCUUGGCCCGCCUUAAGCCGCCUUGACCCGUCUUGGCCUGCCUUAACCCUCCUCGGCUCUGCUAGGCCUACGUAGGGCAGCCUAGGGGGCGCCAUGACCGCCUUGAUCCGCCUUGGCUCACCUUGAACCACCUUGACCCGCCUUGAUUGGCCUAGGGCCAUCAAGAAGCCGCCAUGACUCGUCAAGGGGUCGCCAUGACCCUUCUAAGCUCGUAUAGGGCCACCAAGUGGCCCCCUUGACCCAUCUUGGCCCGCCUUAGGCCGCCUUGACCCUCCUCGGCUCUGCUAGGCCUUCAUAGAGCAACCAAGGGGGCGCCAUGACCCACCUAGGGCCGCUAACAGAACGCCUUGACCUGUCUAGGGGCUGCCUUGACCCUCCUAGACCUGCCUAGGGGCUGCCUUGACCCUCUUAGACUCGCCUAGGUCUGCCUUGACCCUCCUAGACCCGUCUAGGGCCACCAAGAAGCCGCCAUGACUCGCCAAAGGGUCACCAUGACCCGCAUAGGCCUGUCUAGGGUCGCUAAGGGGCCGCCAUAACCCACCUUAGAGUCGGUCGAAUCUUAACCGUUAGAUUUUUAACCGCAAAAUUUGGGCUGUCCAUUUGAGAUCAUAUAUUGAUGUGGAUCAAUUUGGACUUCAUUAGAUCGAGUCCAGACCGACUUCGUCUCCACUCUUCGAUCGUUCUCUGUCGUCCGGCCACCUCUCGGCGUCCAACCGGUGUCAACAGCUUCGUCUCCUCGUCCCCAGCCUCUAUGUGUUCUUCGUUUUCGAAAAGGAGCUCCGUCUUGACCAGCCUAGGGCCGCCUUCACCCGUUUAAGGCCUCGAAGGGGCCGUCUUGACCUGCCAAAGGGCUGCCUUGACCCGUCUUGGGCCACCAAAGGGUCGGGCCGCCUUAACCCGCUUAGGGCCACCUUGACCCGCCAAGGGACUACCCUGACCCUCCUAGGCCCGCCUAGGGCUGCCUUAACCCUCCAAGGGGCCAUCUUGACCCACCGAAGAGCUACCUUUACACGCUUAGGGCCGCUUUGAUCUCCUUAAGGCCCGCCAAGUCCCGUUUAGGGCCGCCUUGACCCACCUUGACCCGUCUUGGGCUGUCUUUACCCUUCUAGGGCCGCCAUGACCCGCCUAGGGCCGCCAAUACGCUGCUUUGACCCACUUUAGGCCGCCUUGACUCGGCUAGGGUCGCUGAUGGGCCGCCUUCACCCGCCAAGGGGCUGCCUUGACCCUUCUAGGGCCGCCAAGGGGACGCAUUGACCCGCUUAGGGCCGCCUUGACCCAUGUAAUGACGCCAUGGGGCUGCCUUGACUCGGCUAGCUAGGGCCGCCUUCACCCACCAUGGGGCUGCCUUGACCAUUCUAGGGCCGCCAAGGGGACGCCUUGACCUAUAUAGUGACUCUAAGGGGCUACCAUGACCCUCUUAGGGCCGCCUUGACCUGUGUAGGGCUACCAAGAGGCGUCCUUAACCAGCCUAGGGCCGCUAAGGGGCCGCCUUCACCCACCUAGGGCCACCAAAAGGCCGCCUUGACCUGCCUAGGUCCGCUAGCGACCACUUUGACCUGUCUUGGCCCGUUUUAGCCCGCCUUGGGCCAUCUUGACCCUCAUAAGGCCGCCAAGAGGACGUCUUAACCUGUCUAGGGUCACCAAGGGGCCGCCUUCACCCGGUUAAGGUGGCGAAGGGGCCGCGUUCACCCGUCUAAGAUCGCUAAGGGGCCUGUUUGACCCUCCAACGCCUUCCUAGGGCAACCAACGGGCCGCCAUGACUUACCAAAGGGCCGCCUUGAUCUGUGUAAGGCCGUAAAGAGGUCGCUUGGACCAGCCUAGGUUCGCUAAGGGGCCGCCUUCACUCGUUUAAGGACAUUAAGGGGCCACCUUACCUUGUUAAGGGGCUGCCUUUACACUUAUAUGGCCGCUUUUACCUCCCUAAGGCCUGCCGAGACCUAACUAGGGCCGCCUUGACCUGCCAAGGGGCUGCAAAGUCCCGUCUAGGGCCACCAAAGGACCGCCUUGACCAGCCUAGGGCCACCAACUGGCCGCCUUGACCCGCCUUGACUUGCUUAGGCCCGUCUAGGGCCGCAUUAACCCGUCUUGGGCCACCAACUGGCUGCCUUGACCCACCCGCCUAGGCCACCAACUGGUCGCCUUGACCCGCCUAGGCCACGUAGGGCAGCCAAAGAGGCGCCAAGACCCACCUAGGGCCGCCAAUGGGCCACCUUGACCUGUUUAGGGGCUGCCUUGACACACCUUAACCUGCCAUGGCCCGCCUUAGGCCGCCCUGUUCCAUCUUGGCCCACCUUGACCCUCCUCGGCCUUGCCAGGCCCACCUAGGGUAGCCAAGGGGGUGCCAUGGCCCACCUUGGGCCGCCACGGGGCUGCCUUUACAUGCCUUGACCCGCAUAGGGCCACCUUGACCCGUCUAGAGAUGCCAAGAGGCCACCUUGACCUGCCUAAGGCCGUUGAGGGGCUUCCUUUACACGCCUAAGGUUGUUUUGAUCUCCCUAGAGCCCGCUAUGACCCGCAAAUGGCCGGCUUGGGGCCACCUUGACCCGUCUAUGGCCGCCUUGACCCACUUUGGCCCACCUUGACCCGCCUUAGGCAGCCUUGGCCCGCCUUGACCUGCAUUGGAUCACCUUGAACCGCCAUGGGCUGCCUUGACUCUCGUUGAACUGUGUUAGGCCGCCUUGACCUUCCUAGACCUGCCUAGGGCCGCCUUUACCCUCCUAGACCCACCAAAGGGCUGCCUAGGGCUGCCAUGAGUCCGCCUUGACCUGCCUUGGGCCGCCUAAGGACACCAAGAAGCCGCCAUGACCCUCCUAGGCCCGUCUAUGGCCGCCAAAGGACCGCCUUAACAUGCCUUAACCCGUCUUGACCAUCCACGAUUCCACGGCCCUUCUAGGCCCACCUAGGGAAAGGGGGCAUCAUGACCUACCUAGGGCCGCCAAGGGGCUGCCUUUACAUGCCUUAACCCGUCUAGGGCCGCCAAGAGGACGCCUUGACAAUCUUAGGGCCGCCAAAGGGGCCGCCUUGACACACCUAGGGCCGCUAAGGGGACAUCUAGACAUGCCACCAUGACUCGCCAUGACCUGUCAAGGGGCUGCCUUUACACGCCUUGACCUCCUAGGCUCACUUAGGGCCAUCUUGACCCAUGUANNNNNNNNNNNNNNNNNNNNNNNNNNNNNNNNNNNNNNNNNNNNNNNNNNNNNNNNNNNNNNNNNNNNNNNNNNNNNNNNNNNNNNNNNNNNNNNNNNNNNNNNNNNNNNNNNNNNNNNNNNNNNNNNNNNNNNNNNNNNNNNNNNNNNNNNNNNNNNNNNNNNNNNNNNNNNNNNNNNNNNNNNNNNNNNNNNNNNNNNNNNNNNNNNNNNNNNNNNNNNNNNNNNNNNNNNNNNNNNNNNNNNNNNNNNNNNNNNNNNNNNNNNNNNNNNNNNNNNNNNNNNNNNNNNNNNNNNNNNNNNNNNNNNNNNNNNNNNNNNNNNNNNNNNNNNNNNNNNNNNNNNNNNNNNNNNNNNNNNNNNNNNNNNNNNNNNNNNNNNNNNNNNNNNNNNNNNNNNNNNNNNNNNNNNNNNNNNNNNNNNNNNNNNNNNNNNNNNNNNNNNNNNNNNNNNNNNNNNNNNNNNNNNNNNNNNNNNNNNNNNNNNNNNNNCCUUGACCCAUCUUGGCCCGUUUUGACCCUCCUCGACCCUUCUAAGCCCACCUAGGACAGCCAAGGGGGAGCCAUGAGUCACUUAGAGCCGCCAAGGGGUUGCCUUUACACUCCUUAACCCGCCUAGGGCCGCUAAGGGGGCCACCUUGCCACGCCUAGGACAGCUAAAGGGACGUCUUGACCUUCCACAAGGCUGCCUUUACACGCCUACGCUUGGCGGCCCUAGGCGUGUCAAGGCGGCCCCCCUUGGCGGCCCUAGGCAUGUUAAGGUGGCCCCUUAGCGGCCCUAGGCGGGUUCAUGGUAGCUUCUUGGUGGCACUAGGCUGCCCAAGGCGGUUCAAGACGGGUUAAGGAGGCCCAAGGCGGGCCAAAGGCUUCCCAAGGCGGUCCAUGGCGGGUAAGGCAGGUAAAGGCGGCCCAAGGCUUCCCAAGGUGGUCCAAGGCGGGCCAAAACUGGUCAAGGCUGGUCAAGACUGGUCAUGGGGCUGCCUACGGUCGCCAUGGGUCCACUUUGACCUGCCUCGACCCAUCUUGGGCCGCCUUAACUCGCCUUGACCCGCGUUGACCUGCCUUGACCUGGCUUGGGCAGCCAUGGGCCGCAUUGACCCACCUUGAACCACCUAGGGCCGCCUUGACCUUCCUAGAUCUGCUUAGAGCCACCAAGAAGUCACUAUGACUCGCCAAGGGGUCUCCAUGACCCUUGUAGGGCUGCCAUGGGGCCACCUUGACCCGUCUUGGCCCGUCUUAGGCCGCAUUAACCUGCCUUGGGCCGCCUUGACCCUCGUCAGCUCUUCUAGGCCCACCUAGGGCAGCCAAGGGGGCGUCAUGACCCAUCUAGGCCGCCAAGAGGCUACCUUUACACGCCUUGACCCUCCUAGGGCCAACUUGACCCGUCUAGGGCCACCUUGACUAGUCUAGGGCCGCCUUGACCUGCCUAGGGGGCUGGCCUUGACACACCUCGACCCUAUUAGACCAGCCAAGGGGCAGCCUAGGGCCACCUUGGCCCGCAUAGACCCGCCUUGACCCGCCUUGGACCGCCUUGUGCCGCCUUGAUCCGCCUUGACCCGCCUUGGGCGCCUUUACCCGCCUUGAACCGCGUUGGGCCGCCUUGACCCUCCUAGACCCGCAAAGGGGCCGCCAUGAGGCCUCCUUGACCAACCUUGGACUGCCUUGGCCCGUCUUGGGCCACCAUGACCCUCCUUGGACCUCCUUGAACUGCCUUGGGCCGGUUUGACCCUCCUUGACCCGCCAAGGGGAUGCCUGCGGCUGCCUUGCUUGGGCCUUGGACUUCCUUGGGCCGCCUUGGGCCGCCUUGGCCAGCCUUGAACCGCCUUGGGCGGCCAUGAUCCUCCUUAGACCGCCUUGACCCUCCUUGACCCGUUUUGACCGCUUUGACCUGCCUUAGCCUGCUUUGACUCGCCUUGAACCGCCUUGGGCUGCCUAGGGCCACCAAGAAGCCACCAUGACUCGCCAAGGCGUCCCCAUGACCCUCUUAGGCCAGCCUAGGGCACCAAAGGACCACCUUAAACCUCCUUGACCCGUUUUGGCCCGCCUUGACCAUCUUCGGCCCUUCUAGGCUCACCUAGGGCAAGGGGGCGCCAUGACCCACCUAGGGCCGCCAAGGGGCUGCCUUAACACGCCUUGACCCGUAUUGGACCGCCUUGACCCGCCUUGGACUGCCUUGGGUUGCCAUGACCCGCCUUGGACCGCCUUUGUCACACCCCAAUUUUUGAAAGAUAAAUUUCAAAAAUUUUGGCAUGAUAUAUCCUAAAAUAUUAAUAUCCCAAAACCUGUUUCAACAAAAAUCAAGGAAAAUAAACUCAAUGCGUAAUGUAAAUUUACACACAACUCCAAAUUGAGUUAAAUAUUACAUUUCCUUGUUUACAUAACUUGAGAACAAGGAAACGCUCACAAGAGUUUAAUAAUUCCUAUCCCAGUGUAUAUAAAAAGAAUAUACAAAGACACACCCAAAACCCAACAAAAAAAACCCUGCCACUACGCCUCCAUCUCAACCCUGCUGAUCCUCACCUGCAGGUCUAACCCCUACACCAAGAAAUGGUGCACCGGGUUGUAAACAACAAACCCGGUAAGCUAAAAAGCUCGUAUGAGUAAACUCAAAAACAACACAACAUUUAUCACAUCCAAUAUUCACAAGAGAGAUUGGAUCAAUAAUUAAAAACCACACAUCAAACACAUUACCCAAGAAAUGUACCCAUGAGUCCCAGAUAUUUAAUAAAAUACCUCUCAUGACCUACAACAACAUUAUGUGUACCCAUGGGUCCCAGAUACCAUACAGUAUCUCCCAUGACCUACACUGACAGACGGACUAGAGCUCUAUUCCUAACCGCAACCAAUCACCCGGCCAAAGGCUUGGAACCCGGUUUGACUGUCUAAUAUCAAACACAAAAAUGAUAAAUAGCAUCUUAACCGCAACCAAUCACCCAAAAAGGGCUUGGUACCCGGUUUGGCUAUUUAUCCAACAAUCAUAAUAAAUUUCACAACAUUAACCUCACAACACAUUAUCACAAUUAUUAUUGUCAACAACAUGAUAUAUCUCACAUUAUUAUUCUUAACAUCACAAUAUAAAGAAGACUUGUUUUUAUCUUACCUAUAAGCCGUUGGCGAUCAAGCUCAUAUAUUUUUAAAAACAAUUAAAAGAAUAAUAACAAAACCACCAUCAUCAUCAUUAUCAUUAUAUCAUUAGGUUCAAAAGUGAACCUUGGUGAGAUUUACUCACCUAAGUAUCCAGCUGCAAUUUCCACAACCAAAUUUAGCAAGCGAAACACAACUUCACAACCACCUAAAAACACACAAUUAAAACCUUAGUAACUAAAAUACAAUAGGUUAACACAAUACCCUUAACUAACCCUUAAUUCAAGAGAUGACAACUUUCCAAAGUCGUCGAACUUAGAGACCCACAAAGGCUGCCUCUAAUCCUCCAUUCCUAACUCAAACCUCCACCAAACCUAAAAUCACACUUAACGUUCUAGCAUGCCAACAUUUCUUAAAAACUAGCCACACUACCACUCAACAAGCUCACAGCAGUAAGGACUACCUAACCACAGGAAACUAGGGCUGCAACUCAACCGGACGCGCCGCCACAGGCGGCGGCGAGUGGGCCUCACGCGCCACCCCAAACUUCCGAAUUUGAGAAAACUCCCAACAGUAAAGUUGAAGCUUGAAGCAAGGGGAACAACUUUCAUACAUGAGACUUCGACCAACAAUGGCCGGAACCGGCCGGAAACCGCCCCGAACAGUGACCAGAAAAUCAAAGACAAAAUCUGCAAAACCGGCCUCAAAACCUUAAAAACUUGCUUCAAUCCAUGCCUAAACACUACCAGGGGAAGGAGAGGAUCAAGACUCACCUAUACUUGGCCGGAAACGGCGUCGAAAUCACUUGUUUUCCGGCUGGACAGCUGCAGCUCCGCCGCUUCGUGGCGGCUUCCAGGCGGCGGGACAGUGGCCGGAACUGCUCCAGAAAUGGAGAGGGCUGCUGUGGGAGUUGAAAGGAACCGGCGGUGUCCGGUUUAGUGGCCGGAGGAGGGAGAACUCGGUUGAAGAAGGGAGGAGUUCGGGGGAGCUCGGGUGGGAGGAGAGAGAGAGAAAAGGGAGAGAAAACUGAAUUAGGGUUUCUAAUUAACACUCCCACACAUUUUCCUACUUAAACUAAUUCCAAACCCGGAAACAAACUUCCUCUGACCACCACUUUCUCUCACAACUUCCGAUUUAAGCGUGCCGCGUGUCUACGAACUCGUAUUGACAAGCUCUACAAUUUUCAUGAAGAAAGUUUUCGAAGAUAACCUACGGAAAAUAAAGUCAACUUUUGGCCUCUUAAAAGUCAAAGCACUUUAAAUAAACUCCCGAAAUUUCAACUUCGCAUAAACCCAAGAAUUUUCAUAAAUAAUUCUUCAUUAAUUGAGGGAAUUAUACAAGAAAAAAGAUAUAAAAAUCUAGGGUAUUACAGCCUUGACCUUCCUUGGCCUGCCUUGACCUGCCAUGGCCCGCCUUGACCAGCCUUGGGUUGUCUAGUGCCACCAAGAAGCCGCCAUGACCCUCCUAGGCCUGUCUAGGGCCGCUAAGGGACCACCUUAACCCGUCUUGGCCCGCCUUGAGCCGCCUUGACCCUCCUCAGUCCUUUAGGCCCACCUAAGGCCUCCAAUGGGCUGCCUUUACACACCUUGACCUGUCUAGGGCCGCUAAGAGGCCGUCUUGACAUUCCUAGGGCCGCCAAGGGUGCCGCCUCGACACACCUACGGCCGCGAAGGGGACGACCUGCCAAGGGGCUGCAUUUACACGCCUAGAGAUGUUUUGACCUCCCUAGGGCCUGUCAUAACCCGCCAAGGGGCUUCCUAAGUCUGCCAUGGGGCCACCUUGACCCGACUUGGCCCAUCUUGGGCCGCCUUGACCCGCCUUGACCUGCCUUGACCUGUCUUGGCCCACCUUGGGCUUCCUUUACUCACCUUGACCUCCUAGACCCGCCAUGACUCAUCUUGGCCGCCAUGACUCGCCAAGGGGUGGCCAUGACCUUCCUAGGGCCGUCUUGACCCGCCUUGAUCCUCCUCGGCUCUUCUAGGUCCACCUAGGGCAGCCAAGGGGCGCGUUGACCUGCCUUGGACCGCUUUGGGCCACCUUGACCCUCUUAGACCCGCCUAGGGCCACCAACAAGCCGUCAUGACUUGCCAAGGGGUCGCCAUGACCCUUCUAGGCCCGUCAAGGGCCGCCUUAAUCUGCCUUAGAACGCUAUGACCCGUCUUGACCCGCCUUGACCCUCCUCGGCUAUGUUAGGCCCACCUAGGCAGCCCAAGAAGCGCCAAGACCCACCUCCGUCUAGGGGCUGCCUUGAUCCUCCUAGACCCGCCUAAGGCCAUCAAGAAGCCGUCAUGACUCGCCAAGCGGUCGCCAUGACCUUUCUAGGCCCAUCUUGGGCAACCAAGGGGCCGCCUUUGAUAGGAGCAUAAAAUGCGACAUUCUUAAUAUGUUAUUACCUCCAUUUGUACUUUGAUUAUCUCUUAUUGUCGUAGAAUAGAGUCAUAAUGUAGAGCCGAAAGGUUUUGGUAGAGUUGUGCGUAAAACGUGUUAAACAUAGAGGAAUGAUGUAGAAAAUUGUCAAAAGCGAUUUGUGGAGCCUUAGAGAUGUUUUUAUGAUUCUGUAAAGCUUUUACAUUGUCACAAAUUGAUUUAACUUCUCUGAUACUUAGGUGAUAUGUAGAAGAGUUAUGGGAGAAAGAAUCAGGAGAAUUGAAGUUAUGCUUGAAUCAUUGCUGAGAGAAGUGUUCCUGAUGGACCUAGGGAAGCAAAGCAGCUGAUCCACGAAGCCUAGUCCAUGAAGGAGAGGUCCAAACCAAGUCCAAUAUGAAGAAGAAGAUCUAAAUUCGGCAGAAUAUCAAGAAUUCCUGUGCACGUCUCUCAACUUCAACGGACUCUCCAGGACAGUUCACAAUGAAUCAGAAAACGUGCUAGAUACGGAUAGAGAGCUACGGGAGUCUAGUUUCCAAAUCAAUUGGAAUCACCUCAAUAUCUAUUUUCUAGAGGGAGUUAUGACAUAAUCAUUAGACGGAGGUCAUUCUGCCGAAUUGAGAAAAACUAGGAAACCUAAACCAACUUGGUUUAGGCUUUGUGGCCAACUUCUCUAGGGUUUUUCCUCUAUAUAAAGCACGACUUCAAGGACAGAAAAACAUCAUCUCUACCCUUGCAAUUACAUAGCCGAAACUCUACCAAACCCUAUACAGAAAAUUACUUAGCCGAUUCAUCCACCACAAACCAUAAGAAUCAUUCCAUCCUUCCACUGAUUUUCCCCACACUUGCCGAAUCUUUCAAGGUUGUAAAAGUGUGAUUUUCUCAUGGCUUCUUGUAUUAUUUUCUGUAUAGUUUCGAACUCUAUUGUAAUAUACUUUUCGAUUUGGGUUUUAUUUAUCAAACAUGGUUUUCGGAUUUCUUUGUGAUCUUUGAUUGUUCUAUGUUUUGAUUUGUAACCUCUUGAAUAUAUGUAUGUGAAUAAUUUGAACGUUGCUACCCGGCCUUGCAUGAAGUUGUUAUGUGUUCUUGAUGGUUUUUCGUGUUAUGUGUUGCAUGAGUAUGUUGAUCAUUUGUAUAUAAUAAUCUUAGGUUUAAUUUUCAGUAGGUUAUUUAUUAGAAUUAAUCAAUCUUAAACCCCCAAUAUUUCAAUAUAUAUAUGUGAAUACUUGUUUAUAAGUUGUUUGGUUUAUCUUCUUUCGAUCGCCCUUUGGUUUCCCUGGAUAGAACGAUCCCUACUUGUCUAUAUUACUACGAUUGCAGGGUAAUUAAAUUGAAGUUGUUUGACCCUGGUUACACGACACGUCAGCCUUAACCCGCCUUGGCCCGCCUUAACCCAUCUUGGCAUGCCUUGGGCCUUCUUGACCCUCAUCGACUCUACUCAGCCCACCUAGGACAGCCAAGGGGGCGUCAUGAUUCACUAGCCUUUACACACCUUGACCCGUCUAGGGCCGCCAAGAGGCCACCUUGACAUUCCUAGGAUCGCCAAGGAGGCCACCUUGACACGCUUAAGGCCGCUAAGGGGACGUCUUUACCCGUCAAAGGGCUGCAUUUACACGCCUAGGGCUAUUUUGACCUCUCUAAGGCUGCCUAGGGUCGCCAUGGGACCACCAUAGGGCUGCCUUGGACCGCCUUUGCCCGCCCUACUCGCCUUGAACCGGCUUGGGCCGCCUUGACCCGCCUUGGACUGUUUUGGGCCGCCUUGACCCGUCUUAACCCGCCUAGGGCCGCCUUGACCCUCUAAGGGCUGCCUUUACAUGCCUAGGGCGGUUUUGACCUCCCUAGGGCCGCCACGGGGCUGCCUUGGACCGCCUUUGCCCGCCUUUACUCGCCUUGGCCCGCCUUGACCCGUUUGGGCCCGCCCUUACUCGCCUUGAACCAGCUUGGGCCGCCUUGACCCGCCUUGAACCACCUUAGGCCGCUUUGACCCUCCUAGACCCGCCUUGAACCGCCUUGAGCCUCCUUGACCCUCUUUGACCCUCCUAGACCCACCAAGGGGCUGCCUAGGGCCGCCAUAGAGCCACCUUGAUCUGCCUUGACCCGCCUUGACUAGCCUUGGGCCGCAUUUAACCGUCUUAGGCUGCCUUGACUCUCCUAGAUCCACCUAGGGCCGCCUUGACCCUCCGAGACCCCCCUAGGGCUACCAAGAAGCCGCCAUGACUCGCCAAGGGGUCUCCAUCACCCUUCUAGGGCCGCCAAGGGGCCGCCUUAACCCGCCUUGGACCGUCUUGACCCGGCUUGGAAACCUCUUAACAUAUAGUGAACCAUUCUAGCGUUAAAAAUCUGAGUCUUUUAUCAAUUUACUCGCGAUCGAGCCUAAAUAAACUCACGCGUACCGUGUUUUGUAAAACUAUUGAAAUUUCUGUUUUAAUUGAUAUUGAGUGACUUUCCAAGAUUCCGUUCUCUUCAAUUUUUUUCAUUUUGACACCAGGAACCUUAUUUUUAAAAGAAAAUGAGGUAUUGCUUCUCAUUUCAAAUUUCACCCAAUUCGAGUCAAAACCUCUUUUUAUAGCACACGAGUUUCUACCCAGUUUCACUUUUUUUGGGCCUCUGUCUUUUUACAUUCGGGUGUGCUUACAAACACCUGCUAACAUAUAGUGAACCAUUCUAACUUCAAAAAUCCGUGUCUUUUAUCAAUUUACUCGCGAUCGGGCCUAAAUAAACGCACGCGUGCCGUGUUCUGUAAAGUUGUUGAAUUUACUAUUUUAUUUGGUAUUGAGUGACUUUCCAAUAUUUCGUUCUCUUCAAUUAUUUUCAUGUUGACAUUGGGAACCUUAAUUUUAAAAGAAAAUAAGGUAGUUCCCCUCAUUUCAAAUUUCACCCAAUUCGAGCCAAAACCACUUGCUAUAGCACAUGAGUUUCUGCCCAAUUUCACUUUUUUGGGGCCUCCGGUUUUGUCUGUUCGAUUGUGCUUACAGACACCUCAUAACAUAUAGUGAACCAUUCUAGCUUUAAAAAUCCGUGUCUUUUAUCAAUUUACUCGUGAUCGGGCCUAAACAAGCUCAUGUUUGUCGUGUUUUGUAAACUUGUUGAAAUUGUUGUCUUAAUUGGUAUUGAUUGACUUUUUAAAAUUAUGUUCUCUUCAAUUCUUCUCAUAUUGACAUUGGAAACCUUAGUUGCAAAAUAAAAUGAGGUAUUGUCCCUCAUUUCAAGUUUCACCCAAUUCGACCCAAAACCCCUUACUAUAGCACAUGAGUCUUUUUUUUGGCCUCCGGCUUUUUCCGUUCAAGUGUGCUUACAGACACCUCUUAACAUAUAGUGACCAUUCUAAAAAUCCGUAUCUUUUAUCAAUUUACUCGCGAUCGAGCCUAAAUAAACUCACGCAUGUCAUGUUUUGUAAAGCUGUUGAAAUUUUCCUUUUAAUUGCUAUUGAGUGACUUUUUAAGAUUAUGUUCUCUUCGAUUCUUCUCAUAUUGACAUCGGAAACCUUAGUUUCAAAAGAAAAUGAGGUAUUGUGACAUAUCGGAUCGAAUUUCUAUUUUUAAGAAAAAUAUUUAUUGAUUUUUAUGUCAAUUUCUAUUAUUCAUUAUUUUCUUACUAGCUUUCGAAAAUUAUUUGAAAUUUUAGUUUGUUAAAUUUUGUCUUUCGAGCCAGUAGGAUUAAACUAGACGUCGUUACGAGUUCGUAGGAUUUUACAUAAGUGUUUUCAGACAUCGGAGCUAUUUUUAAUGAUUUUUGGAAGUUUGGUAUUAUCCAAAAAUUUAAUUAAAAAUAAAAAUUAGAGUCGGCUGCAUCUGGACCGUUAGAUUUUUAACUACAAAAUCUGGGCCUUCCAUUUAAGAUAAUAUAUUGAUGUGCAUCAACUUGGACUUCAUUAGAUCGCGUCCAGACCAAUUUUGUCUCCUAUCUCCAGCCUCUCUGUAUCAACAGAGCGUUGAUCAUUCUCUGUAGUCUGGCCACCUCUCGCCGUCUAAUCGGUGUCAACAGCUUCGUCUCAUCAUCCCCAGCCUCUAUGUGUUCUUUCGAAAAGAAGCUCCGGUGAGAGAGAAAAGAAGGAGAGAAGGAUGUCUGGGUUCGCCAGUGAUCUUUGGAUUUCAGCCACGACGACGAGGAUGACCGGUGUGGAUAGCUUCGUCUUGGUCUCGUCAACGUCGAUAACCACCAAGAAACCGCCAUGACUCGCCAUGACCCUCCUAGGCCCAUCUAGGGCCGCUAAGGGGUCACCUUAACCCGCUUUGGCCCGCCUUAGGCCGCCUUGACCUGUCUUGGUCCGCCUUUAGCCGCCUUGACCCUCCUCGGCCUUUCUAGGCCCACCAAAGGAAGCCAAGGGGGCACCAUGUCCCAUCUAGAGCCGCCAAGGGGCUGUCUUUACACACCUUGACCCUCUUAAGCCACCUAGGGCCACCUUGACCCGUCUAGGGCCGCCAGGAGGCUGCGUUGACCUGCCUAGGGCCGCCAACAGGCCGCCUUGAAACGGCUAGGGCCACCAAGGGACGUCUUGACCCACCAAGGGGCUGCCUUUACACGCCUAGGGUUGUUUUGACCUCCCUAAGGCCCGCCAUGACCCGCCUUGGCCCGCCUUGACUCGCCAUGGACCGCCUUAGCCCACCUUGGGCCGCCUUGACCCACCUUGAACUGCCUUGGGCAGCCUUGACCCUCCUAGACCCGCUUGACUUACUUAGGACACGCCUAGGGCCGCCAAGAGGACGUCUUGACUGGCCAAGAGGAUGCCUUUACCCAUUUAGGGGCUGCCUUGACCCUCAUAGACCCGCCUAGAUCUGCCUUGACCCGCCUAGGUCUGCCUUGACCCUCCUAGACCUGUCUAGGGCCACCAAGAAGCCGCUAUGACUCGUCAAAGGGUCACCAUGACCCUCAUAGGCCCGUGGGCCACUAAGGGGCUGCCAUAACCCACCUUAGAGUCGGCUGCAUCUGGACCGUUAGAUUUUUAACCGCAAAAUUUGGGCUGUCCAUUUGAGAUCAUAUAUUGAUGUGGAUCAACUUGGACUUCAUUAGAUCGAGUCCAGACCGACUUUGUCUCCACUCUUCUAAUGUUCUCUGUCGUCCGGCCACCUCUUGGCGUCCAACCGGUGUCAACAGCUUCGUCUCGUCGUCCCCAGCCUCUGUGUUCUUCGUUUUCAAAAAGGAGCUCCGGCGAGAGAGAAAAGAAGGAGAGAAGGAUUUAUGGGUUCGUUGGCGAUCUUCGAAUUUCAGCAAUGACGACAAGCACGACCUGUGUGGAUAGUUUCGUCUCGGUCUCGUCGACGUCGACAUCCACCAUAACUCGCCAAGGGGUCGCCAUGACCAUCUAGGCCCUUUUAGGGCCGCCUUGGCCCGCCUUGACCCAUCUAGACACCCUUAGGGCCGCCUUGACCCUCCUAGGUCCUCCUAGGGCCACCAAGGGGUCGCCACGACUCGCCAAGAGGUCACCAUGACCCUCCUAGGCCCAUCUAGGGCUGCCAUGAACCUUUUUAAGCCGUUAUGACCCGCCUUAGCCCGUCUAGGGCUGCCUACAGCAGCCAAGGAGCCGCCUUGACCUGCCUAUGGCAGGCAAGGGGCUACCAUGACCAUCCUAGGCCGGCCUAGGGCUAAAUUGAACCGCCAAGGGGCUACCAUGACCCUCUUAGACCCGCCUAGGGCUACCUUGACCUUCACUACAAAAAAAAGUAUAUUGGCCACGGCGCAAAACCGUUGCCAAUAGCCUUUUUGCCGUGGCAAAACAGUAUUCGCGACGGUGCUGCGACGGCAAAGCGUUCGUCGUAAAUAGUGGCGUCGCCAAUGCUAUUUGCGACGGCAAUUACGCCGUCGCAAGAGCAUUAGCAAUGGCAAAGGUUUGCCGUCGUAAAAAGAUACGACGGUGUAAUUGCCGUCGCCAAUACCAUUAGCGACGCCACCAUUUGCGACCAAAGUUUUUGCGACGGCAGCAACGCCGUGGCAAAAGAGUUAUUUAUGAAUAAAAAAAAUUGGCAUACAAAUAUACACUGCAAAUUUUUAUUAUUAUUUGCAUAAAAAAAACAUACAAGGAAUAAGCCUAAUGUUAGGAAUGGUAGGUUUUAGGAAUCUUAAACCUAACAAGUUCACAAGAAAAUGAAGCAAGUUUACAAUAUUAUAGUUUCAUGGUAGUUACAUCUCUCAAAAAAAAAAAAAUCUCUCUCCUCCAAGCUAGCAAGUGUCCAGCCAAGUGAUAACAUUUUUGCUGCAACAACAUAUCCACAUAUCCUCUGUGCAAUUUGCUUGUCUCAGCAUCUUUCAAAUUAAUCUUUGGCACCAUCUGAUAAUGAAAGCCAUGGUUGAAUUUCAAAGUCAACUGCACCUUUCUAUAUAUAUGACAUCAAAUAUACUCUCUCAGUCUAUGCACAAGUAUAUAUAAAGUUAGAGGUGAUGCAUAAGAUAACUAACAUGAGAGCACAGUCAGAAAGAAUACAAUGAAUGAAUUAAAUUUACUAGCCCAAAAUAGAGGUACACACUCCAGUAAGUAUCUAUCUCUAAUCCUUCUUUACCCAAAGUGCUUUAUGCAUAACACUAGCAUCCCUCAUAUACCUUAGAUGAUAACAUCACCUUUAUAAAUCGAAACAAACAUAUAAAUGAUCGGCAACAAAGAAACAAGCAUUUCACACAAGCAAAUAGAAACAACAUAUAAAGCAAACAUAGAGGCUCCCCAAUUUUUCCUCUACCUUUGCUGACUUUCACAUGAAGUAUGAAGCUCCUAAUAAAAAGAUAUAACCAUUAGUUUAAGCAAUAAUAUGCAAUCUCUAUUUCAUUUAGAACUCAAUUUAAGACUAUGCUCAGAUGCUAAACAGAAGAUACAAUAGUAAGCCAAAACAGUUUCACACAAUAACACAACAACACAAUUUAGCUUUCUGAACCAGUCACCUUAACUUCAAAAACUGUACAAAUCCGUAAGGAAUUUGACUUCGAUUUCUUCUAAUGACUUGUAUCAGAUACACAAAAGAAACUCUCAGACUUAGAAUCACCUUAAAACGAAUUUUCUUGAAUUAGUUAUGGAUUUUCAAAGUUCAGCUUCAGUUUUCAGGUUUUUCUGAAAAUUUCCUGCUAUGUGCCUAAACUUAGAAUUUAAAAGCAAAUAAGAAACUCUAUAUAUUAAACUUCUAGCAACUGAACAUAACCACUCCAAUGUUUCAAAAAAGAAACACACAAAAAUUGCAACUUAAGUAGCUAAAUUAGAUUACCACAACGACAGCUAACAGAAGAUAACAAGUAAAUAUAGUUCUACACUUCUAAUGUUCAGCCAACUUUAAGCAUACCAAAACCUUGAUCUCUAACUUCAAUUUGAGAAAAAAAUUACAUGUAUAAGAACUUUAUAGUCUAAUCUAUAUGUCUAUAUAAUAUCAUACCAAAAAGAGUAAGAAUCAUAGGCAACACUGAGACUAAAAGCAAAGGUACAAAAAUCAGAAAAGUGCCUAACUGAAAUUCUGACCAGAAAAGUCUUUGGUUAAAAACGAUACGGUUCAACUGGGAAUUAAAGCUUGGUGUCUUCAUGACAUUUGAAAUAGACAUCCUAAAUAUCAAUUUGGAACUGGAAUCGGACAAAAAAGAUUUUCCUCCAAUUACUUAUGAUUUUUCGAAGUUGAAGACCUGCAUCAGGAAAAUCACUGAUUUUGACUCGAAUCAAGUUCCUCCUCUUAAAGAUGAUUCCCAGUAGGUAACAACUAACAAAAAAAAAAACCCAAUCCUAAUGCUUUACUUCCUACCAAGAUGAUCCUCCAUAACAAGAAGCAUAAAUACUGAAGUUAUAACCCAACAUUGAAAGCAGAAAGUCAUAAAGAAUCAUCUAUAUAUACUAUUACAAUAUACCUAAUAAACACAACAUAUAUGUUGACAAACACAACAACUUAUCAUAUCAGAAACAAAUACCUAACAACUCUAUAACAACUCAUCUUUUCUGCAAGAAUUGACUAAGUGACUAACAUGGUUCACAAAGGAAUAACCAAUUGAUCAAGAACAUAAAAGAUGCAGACCUAAAUUGUUCUUCCUAUAUUCCUACAACACCAAUCUCUCUCUCUCUCNNNNNNNNNNNNNNNNNNNNCUCUCUCUCUCUCUCUCUCUCUCUCUCUCUCUCUCUCUCUCUCUCUCUAUAUAUAUAUAUAUAUAUAUAUAUAUAUCAGUAAACUCCAGGAAUAUAACAUCAUUGUAAUAUAACAUCACUGAAUUUGACAUCACCCAUAUUAACCAAAAAUACAAAGAUUGUCUUUAAAACUUAGCUCUUAGAUAAAAUCAAGCUCCCACUGAUUCAAACAACACAUAAGACUUUACUAUGAUCCAAAGACAUUUUAAUUAAUAACUAAUUUUGUUUCUGUAUGUCCAAAGAGAUACAUAUUAGCAAGCUCCCUCCUUUCUCCUCAAAUAAACCAAUAACCCCAUCCAACAUCUACAACAUCACCAAAAUUACAAAUUUAAAGGCUCUAAUGCAAAAACAUCCUUACCUUUACCAAAUCCGACCAAGGCAGACCCAAACCUCCUUCAAUACUCUGCCGAGACGCAACAGACCACCAGACCUUCUCGGUCGUCACCUCUAGCUAAAACAAUAACCAUUCAAACUCUAAAACGCGAACAAAAUCCCAAAAUGAAACCAAUAAGCAAGGCCACUUACCCAGACGUGUCAAGAUCAAUUAUCCUGUCAUCCUCAACCCUGAAAGCAGCCUGGAACGUUAGGUAAGUCGCCGAAUUUGUAGGCCAUGCCGGAUCAGUACUUCGGAAAACUCAAAAACGGGAAAAAGAAGAAUUAGGUACCAAAGCUGCGAAUUGAAGCUCAAUGAAGCUCGAAAUUGAAGAAGGAGAGAAUAUAUUACCUUGAAGAAGCAAAGGCUUCGCCAGAGAGGGAUGAAUUGCGCCGGAAUUGGAAUUGGGGAUUUUAGGGUUUAGAUUCCGAUAUGCCAAAUGGGUGGAUGCAUAUUGAAAUGGAAGGUAGGAGGAGGAAGAGGGUAGAGAGGGGAUUCGGUUGUGAUCUUCGUUCGACCGGCGAUUGCUCAAAGGAUGGCAGCUGGGCAGAGCUCAGUCUCAGUCUCUCAGAGACGCAGACCUUCUCUCUUCUCUCUCGACAAAAUGAGGGAUAGAGAUACCUAGUUUUUUACUUCUAUACUCAAGGCAACGACCAAGAUAUGAAAUCCACGGCCGAGAUUAAAGGAUGGAAACAAAAUCAGAAAGGGUGAUUUUAGAAGUAUGCCACGGCUUCCUAACGCAAUCGCAAAAUUUUCUUUUUUUUUGCCACGGCAGGAAAUUGCCAUAGCAAAAUGGUUUUAAUUCAGCGAUGGAAGUAAUGCCGUCGUGAAAUUUAGACUAAUGGCGACGGCAAAUCUGCGCCGUGGCAAUCUGUGGUGGCUAAUGUAAUUAUUUUUUGUAGUGGCAUGCGGCCGCUUUGACCCGUCUAGGGCCUCCUAAGGUAGACAAAGGGCUGCCAUGACCCUCCUAGGGCCGCAAAGGGGACACCUCUACCCGCCAAGGGUCCACCUUAACCUGCCUUGGGUCGCUGAACGGCCGCCUUGACCAACCUAGGGCCGCCUUCACCCGCUUAAGGCCGCUAAGGGGCCGUCUUGACCCGCCUAAGGCCACCUUGACCCGUCUUGGGCCACCAAAGGGUCGAGCCGCCUGAACCCGCUUAGGGCCCCUUGACCCGCCAAGGGACUGCCUUGACCCUCCUAGGCCCGCCUAGGGCUGCCUUAACCCUCCAAGGAGUCGUCUUUACCCACCAAAGAGCUUCCUCUACAUACUUAGGGCUGCUUUGAUCUCCUUAAGGCCUGCCAAGUCCCGUCUAGGGCCACCAAGGGGCCGCCUUGACCCGUCUAGGGCAGCCUUAACCCGUCUUGACCCUCUUAGGCCUGCAAAGGGGCAACCUUGACCCGCGUAGGGCCUCCAUGACCCGUCUUGGGCUGCCUUGACCCGCCUUAACCCUCCUAGGCCAGCCAAGGAGCCGCCAUGACCCACCUAGGGCCACCAAUACGCCGCCUUGACUCGCCAAAGGGCCGCCUAACCUGCCUAGGGCCACUAGGCGGCCGCCUUCACCCGGCUAGGGCCACCUUCAUCCAUCAAGGGGCUGCCUUGACCCUUCUAGGGCCGCCAAGGGGAUGCCUUGACCCGCUUAGGGCCGCCUUGACCCAUAUAGUGACUCCAAGGGGCCGCCUUGACCCUCCUAAGGCCGCCAUGACCUGUGUAGGGCCACCAAGAGGCCGCCUUAACCAGCCUAGGGCCGCUAAGGGGCCGCCUUCACCCGUCUAAUGCCGGCGACGGGGCCGCCUUCAUCCGUCGAAGGGACCGUCUUCACCCACCUAGGACCACCAAAAGGUCGCCUUGACCUGCCUAGGUCCGCUAGCGGCCACCUUGACCUGCCUUGGGCUGCCUUGACCCUCAUAAGGUCGCCAAGAGGACUUCUUAUCCUGACUAAGGCCACAAAGGGGCCGCUUUCACCCGUUUAAGAUCGCUAAGGGGCCUGCUUGACCCUCCUACGCCCUCUUAGGGCAACCAAUAGGCCGCCUUGGCCCGAAUAUGGCCGCCAAGGGGCUGCCUUGAUCUGUGUAAGGAAGGUAAGGGGCCGUCUUAUCCCGUUAAGGGGUGGCCUUUACACUUCUAUGGCCGCUUUGACCUCCGUAAGGCCUGCCAAGACCCAACUAGGGCCGCCUUGACCUGCCAAGGGGCUGCAAAGUCUAGUCUAGGGCCGCCUUGACCAGCCUAGGGCCACCAAGGGGUCGUAUUGACCCGUCUAGGGCCACUAACUGGCCGCCUUGACCUGCCUCGGAUCGUCUAAGGCCGCAUUAACCUGUCUUGGGAUACUAAGGGGCCACCUUGACACGCUUGGGGCCACCAAGGGGCUGCUUUAACUUGUUUAGGACCACCAACUGGCUGCCUUGACCUGGCUAGGGCUACCAAAGUAUAAGGUCAUGAAGGGGCUGCCUUAACCCUCCUAGGCCCGCCUUGGACCGCCUUAACCAUCCUAGGUGCUCCGUAGCCUGCAUCGGGCAACCAAGGGGCUGCCGUGACCCGUCUAGGGCUGCCUAGGGAUGCUAAACGGCCGCCUUCACCCGUUUAAGGCUGUCUGAGGCUGCCUUCACCCGCCAAGGGGUUGCCUUGCCCUCUUAAGACCGCCUUCACCUGCCAAGGACCACCUUGACCCGCUAAGGGGCCGCCUUGACCCGUCUAGAGCCACCAAAUGGCCGCCUUAACCCGCCUAGGGACCUCUUGACCCACCAAAAGGCUGCCUUGACCCUCAUAGGUCCGCCUUAACUCUCCAAGGAGCCGUCUUGACCCGCCACAUGGCUUCCUUUACACAUCGAGUGCCCCCUUGAGACGCUUUGCCUGUCGGGACACAACUAUGGCCGCCUUGACCUGCCAAGGGGCUGCCAAGUCCCGUCUAGGGCCAUUAAGGUGCCGCCUUGACCCGCCUAGGGCUGCCAGGCCUUGACCCAUCUAGGGCCGACAAGGGGCCGUCAUGACCCGUCUAGGACCAACAAGGGGCCGCCGUGACCCUCCUAGGGUCAUCAAAGGGCAGCCAUGACACGCCAAAGGGUUGUCAUGACCCUCCUAGGCCUGUUUAAGGCCACCAAGGGGCCGCCUUGUCCCACCUUGACCCUCCUAGGCCUGUUUAGGGCAGCCAAGGGGCCGCCAUGACCCAUUUAGGGCCUCCAAGAGGCUGUCUAAGGCCGCCUUGACCCGUAUAGGGCCGCCAAGGGGCCGGCUAACUUGCCUUGGGCCGCUAUACGGCUGUCUUGACCAGCUUAGGGUCACCAAAAGGCCGCCUUCACCCGUUUAAGGCCGCUAAGGGGUUGCUUUUACUCGCCAAAGCCUGCCUUUACCCGCUAAGGGGCCACCUUGACCCGCUUUGGGCCGUAAAGGCCGCCUUGACCCUCCAAGGGCCUGCCAAGACCCGUCAAGGGACGCCUUAACCAGCCAAGGGGCCGCCUUGACCUGCAUUUGGCCGUAAAGGCCGCCUUGACUCACCAAGGGCCUACCAAGACCCGUCCAGGGCCGCCUAGACCCACCGAGGGCCGCCUUGACCUACCUUGACUCGCCUAGACCCAUCUAGGGGCCACUAAAGGGCUGCUUUUACACGCCUUGGGCCACAUUGACCUCCCUAAGGACCGUCGAGACCCACUUAGGGCCGCCUUGACUUGCCAAGGGGCUGGCAAGACCCGUAUAGGGACACCAAGGGGCCGCCUGGACACGUCUAGCGGCCCCGUCUAGCAUAGCCAAGGGGCCGCCUUGACCUGCCUAGGCCGCGAAGGGGCCGCCAUCACCCGUCUAGGGCCACCAAGGGGCCUCCUUGACCCGCCUUGACCCGCCCAAGGGCUGCCUUGACCCUUCUAGGACCGCCUAGGGGCCGCCUUGACCCGCCUAGGGCUGCCUUCACCAGCCAAGGUGUCGUCUUGACUCACCAAGGGGCCAUCUUGACUACCAAAGGGGACGCAUUGACCCGUCUUAGGCCAGCUUAACCCGCCUAGGACCGCAAAUGCCGCCUUGACCCGCCUGGACCAACCUAAGGCCGCCUUCACCCGCCUAGGGCUGCCAAGAAGUCGCCUUCACACAUCUAGGGGCUCCAAGGGGCCACCCUGACCCGCUUAGGGAUGUCAAGGCCGCCAUGACGUCAAUGGCCGCCAUGACCAGCCUAUGGCUGCAAAGGGCCGUCUUAACCCUCCAAGGGGCUGCCUUAACCCGCCUAAGGCCGCCAAGGGGCCGCCUUGACCCGUCUUGGGCCACCAAAGGGUCGGGUCACCCUAACCCGCUUAGGGCCCCCUUGACCCGCCAAGAGACUGUUUUGACCCUCCUAGGCCCGCCUAGGGUUGCCUUAACCCUCCAAGGGGUCGUGUUGACCCACCAAAGAGCUGCCUUUACAUGCUUAAGGCCGCUUUGAUCUCCUUAAAGCCCGUCAAGUCCUGUCUAGGGCCACCAAGGGGGCCGCCUUGACCCGCCUAGGGCCGCCUUGACCCGUCUUGGGCUGUCUUGACCCUCCUAGGCCAGCCAAGGGGACCCCAUGACCCGCCUAGGGCCGCUAAUACGCCGCCUUGACCCGCCUUGGGCCGCCAAAGGGUUGCCUAACCUGCCUCGGGCCACUAGAAGGCCGCCUUGACCCGGCUAGGGCUGCUGACGAGCCACCUUCACCAGCGAAGGGGCUGCCUUAACCCUUCUAGGUCCGCCAAGGGGACAUCUUGACUCGCUUAGGGCUGCCUUGACCCAUAUAGUGACACCAAGGGGACGCCUUGACCUGUGUAGGGCCACCAAGAGGUCGCCUUAACCAUUCUAGGGCCGCUAAGGGGCCGCCUUCACCGGUCUAAGACCGCAACAGGGCCGCCUUCACAACCACCAAAAGGUCGCCUUGACCUGCCUAGGUCCGCUAGCAGCCACCUUGACCUGCCUUGGCCCGCUUUAACCCGCCUUGACCCUCAUAAAGGGUUAUCUGGACAUUAGAUCCAUUUUUCUUUCAAUUUCACCACUUCAACAAGGAAGAAAGAUGAAGAGAAGGGGCCAGCAACAAGGAAUAGGCUAUUCACCACUUCAAUUUCAUAUUCUAAUUUCUAUUUUUCUUUCUUUCAUCUCGUUCAAUUUUUUCUUUUUUGUGUUCAUAUGAAUGUAUUGGUUGCUUUAGAUUUUGGUUUUUAUUUGGGUUUAUGAGAUAACUUUUGCGGGUUAAAUUUGUCUUAUCAUUGAGUUUCUACAAAAUCUAGUGUUCUAGAUGUGUGUGGUUUUGAAAGUGCAGAGAUGGGUGUAGGACAUAAACAUAUAUAUGGUAUAGAAGUGUAUUUGUUGGAGAUGGGAGGGUGUGGUUGAGUUGAUGAUUAGUUGAGUAAACCUAUGAAGGGAUUUGAGUUUUGGGGGUUAGAGUUUAACAUAAGACGGUAGGUAAGACAUUUUAUCCAAAUUUUAGGUCAAAUUCUGAUAAAUGGGUCCUCUUGUCCUAGCCAACUCAGCUUGUGAUGUCAUGUUUACAGUCAAAUUCGAAAUUCAGAGACUACUGAUGUAAAUUGAAAGAUAAGGAUCAUUUUAGAGCUAAAGUUUGAGGAGGUAAACUGAAUUUAAUCAUAAAAAGAUUGACUCGUUUCAUUAUAGUGAUAAAUUAUGUUGAAUUGAUUUGAAGUUAAUUUACCGUUAUAUAAAAGAGUGCGGCUAUUAGGACCUCCAAAUUUGCUCACUUGACCUCCCUUUGUUACGAGUUAUUGAAUGACAAUUACCUCUUCUUACAUAAUGACUAUUAAAGAUAAUAAUCAUACAAAAAGAAGUAUAUUUAUUUUCUCUAGACUUUCCAAUCCGAUAAUUAAUUGAUGGUGUUAUUUAUUAUUUUUCUUAUAUAUUUUUAAUUUUUAAUUUACUAUUUUCUAAAUUUUACUACAUAUUAUAUAUUUAAUUAAAGCUAAAACAAUGAUCAAUAUCGACCAUGUGACAUAAAAUUUUCCAUUAUCAUACAUGUUGAAACUUGAAAGCAUGCAUGUAAUAUCCCACAUCGGCCAAACGGAGAGGGGUUAUGUGCUGUAUAUGUACAUGCCCACCUCCAAUCUAACACGAGGCUUUUUGGUGGCUCAACGGCUUCGGAGGGGAUGGGUACUCCGAGGUUAAGCAUGUUGAUGCUAGAGCAAUCCCAUGAUAGGUGACCUACUGGGAAGCUGUUCCUGAGCUGUCGGAAACAAAACCGUGGGGGCCAGUGGGCCCAAAGCGGACAAUAUCGUGUUACGGCGGAAUGGGUCCUGGGAUGUUACAAAUGGGGUAAAAUUCUUAUUAUAACCCUUAAAUUUUUAUCUUAUUUACUAGCUUGGUAUUAAUAAGAAUUUGGAUCGUAAUAUCUCACAUCGGCCAAAACGGAGAGGGGUUAUGUGUUGUAUAUGUACAUGCCCACCUCCAAUCUAACACGAGACUUUUUGGUGGCUCAGCGGCUUCGGAGGGGAUGGGUACUCCGAGGUUAAGCAUGUUGAUGCUAGAGCAAUCCCAGGAUGGGUGACCUACUGGGAAGCUGCUCCUGAGCUGCCGGAAACAAAACCGUGAGGGCCGGUGGGCCCAAAGCGGACAAUAUCGUGUUACGGCGGAAUGGGUCCUGGGAUGUGACAAAUGGUAUCAGAGCCACUCUGCCGUGUGGUGCGAGUGUGCCGACGAGGGCAUCGGACUCCCAAGGGGGGUGGAUUGUAAUAUCCCACAUCGGCCAAAACAGAGAGGGGUUAUGUGCUGUAUAUGUACAUGCUCACCUCCAAUCUAACACGAGGCCUUUUGGUGGCUCAACGGCUUCGGAGGGGAUGGGUACUCCGAGGUUAAGCAUGUUGAUGCUAGAGCAAUCCCAGGAUUGGUGACCUAUUGAGAAGCUGCUCCUAAGCUGCCGGAAACAAAACCGUGAGGGCCGGUGGGCCCAAAGCGGACAAUAUCGUGUUACGGCGGAAUGGGUCCUGGGAUGUGACAAUGCAAGGUGAAGAAGGAAUAUAUAUGCAAAAACAAAUCGAUAAUGAAAAAUUAAAUAACUAUUGAAAUAAUUUCAUGAUGUACAUAAAAUAGAGGGAAAAAAAGAACAUACAUAGUAUACAAUUGUUAUCUUUGAUCGUUGUUUAACACAAGUAAAAUAGAAAAAGAAAAGCAAAUUUAUGUUAUAAUAUUUUCUUGUUGGUAAAUAUAAGUUUUUUUCUCAGAUAAACAACUAAUAUGCUACAACGAGUCUACUGUGAGUCGAACUCACGACCUCUCACUUAUAAGGAGAGACAGUACUGGGUUGAUAAAUAUAAGUUUUUAAAACUCAAUACUUUGUGCUAUUUGAUUUUUAAGAGAAAAAUCGACGUCAUUGAAUUUUUUUUUUUUCUUACAAAUUGAUCAAAUAAUGGAGGUUGGGUGACAUUCUAUGGGAAAUAAAAAAAUAUCAAGGAAUUGAGGUCAGAUUGGUCAUGGUAUAAAAGAUAUUUUAGAGAUGAAAGAGGUUUGAACAAAAAAAAAAAAUCAAGAAAAAUAGAGGUCUCGAUGAUAGCAUGCAAAAUGAAAAAAAAUUAAAAGAAUGAGAGGUCUAAAGAAUAAAUAAGAGGUAUAAUGAGUAAAUUAUCAAGAUAUAUGUGAAUAACAUAUCUAAUAUUAUUUUAGGAAUUAGAAAGAAGGUAUAGUGAGUAAAUGCUUGUAGUUAAAAUUAAAAAUGAGGUGUAAAGAGCAUGAGAGGUAUACUGAGGAAAUUUGGAGGUCCCAAUCAGAGGUAUAAUGAGUAAAUUAUCAAGAUAUAUGUGAAUAACAUACCUAAAGUUAU